This 238987-nucleotide long non-coding RNA is filed under the name Panax ginseng (ginseng). Its description in RNAcentral is "long non-coding RNA (PGIN_LNC006973)". The stretch from base 2337 to 2422 matches the Rfam family "Small nucleolar RNA R32/R81/Z41". The record is from RNAcentral. Lineage: Eukaryota; Viridiplantae; Streptophyta; Magnoliopsida; Apiales; Araliaceae.
UUCCCAGUUCAUUCUCUACUUUCUUUCGCAAAAAGGUCUCAUCAGGUUCAAAUGCUUCCAGAUAUGCAGUGUAACGUUCAAAAGCAGUGUUUAAUGCUUUAACAAAUUCAUAUGGUAAAGGUCUGACAUUCUGCAGAAAUAUUCACAUGAGUAUACAGCAUGAAUCCGAGAAACAUUAAAUAAAUAAGCGUCACUAAUAACAAUGUUUCUAUGUAACCUCGCCACUCAAUCUAAGGUUGUCAUCAAUUUCCAUCCUCAAAGAUACAAGUUUUCCCGUAAAUUCCUCAACUGCCUCAGCUGCACGGAGUAUAUUAGCCAAGAUCUCCUGGCCAGCCUUGUCUUCUGUAUUUUUAGACAAUGCCUUGUUUGCAUAAUGAAUGACAGCAUUUGGGAGCUCAUCCCAACUUGCAGCCAUCAAGUCCUUGACAACAGUUUCGAUCUCACGAUCAUUUAUGGAAGGCAUGUGACUCAAAUAACGCCUGCUUCCAAUGUUCAUCGAACUCGAGAGAGGGGACCAGAAAUCUCAUAAUAUCAAAUGACAUCACAUUAUUCUUUUUGGCAGGUAAUACAAAAAGAUAUACUAACUCAAAACAGGAAAGCUAAAGCUCAUAGAUAAUGUAUAUCUAUUGACUCUAGCCAAGCCUAACCAAAGUCCACAAUGCAGAAAAUAUGUCCUAAAGACACCAAAUGAUGCAACUUCUAAAUAAAUGCUCAUUAGUAAAUUUGUGUCCUAAAAGCACUCUCCACAUAAAGAUGUUAAGUACCCAGAUCAAUCUUGUUGAACAAAAUGCCACUCAAGUAGAAUUAUCCCAUCCCAAGAUAUUAUAAUUUAUAUAUAUAUAUAGUAGGAACAAAAGAGAAAAAUAAGCAAGGACGAUAACGAAGAAAGUACCAGGAGUGAGGCGUUUUGCAACAGUUGGGAGAUGGAAAUAGCGGAGUCCACGGCUGAGGUGAUGCUGGUUGCUGGUAGUGGCGGUGGCGGUUGCCGCAAUAGAGAAACCUAGGGAUCUGCGAUAGAUCGAACGGUAUAGAGAUCUCAUCGUAACAAUUUUCUCCAUUUUCGUUCUUGGAGUGACGACCCUUUUCCCUGCUGCCGUUCGGCAACAACAUAUUUUAAAAUGACUUAAAGUUAAAAUUUAAGUUGACUUAUAAGUUAUUUUAAGUUAUGACUUAUAAGUAAAAGCGUUCAACAUCAAUUUGACUUAAAAGUUAGAAAUUAAGUUAAAACAAGUUAUGAAGGUGUUUAGCUAAUAAUGACUUAUAAGUUAAAAUCAAAUGUAAAGAUUACUAAAAAUGACAAUAAUAAAAAGAUACUUUGAUUUAAUAACAUAUCAUAACAAUCAUCCACAAUUUCAUUAAAUAAAACACUAAAAGUGGAUUUAAAAUAUAGUGUUAUACUACUAAAAGCAGUGUACCCUACGUGGUUUGCAUUUUGCACCAUGGUUAGAUCAAAAUAGAACAAUAUAACUAGAAAAUUCUUUACCACAUUCACUAAAUAUUCAAUUGAUUAGCAUUUGGAAAAAAAACCACUAAAUUGAAUCAGCCAAAAAUAAAGUUCCAUUCCAAACCUUAAAAUUAAUAUACUCCUAUUAAAACAAAAACAAUACAAGACAUCAAGAGGCCAAAGCAAAACCAAACAGAAAAUAAUGAAAUUCUACUUGAAUUAUUAAAAAGAUUCUUAAAAAACAUGUUUUAAACAAAAAAGAAAUUUAGGUUCUUUCAAAAAUUCAUUGAUUAGCCACAAGGUACUUAAUUAACAAGAAAACCACUAAAAUAACUAAGGUUGUGUUUGAUAAAACUGAAAGUUAAGAUCUGAACAGUUUAGACAUCUGAAAAGUAGAGCAUCUGAAUCAAAAUGUUGUUUGAUAGUUAAUUCUUUCAAAAUGUCUAAAUAAUAGUAUUUUACAAUUUUAACAUUUUCUUCCUUCUUUCUAUUCAACAACCCAGCUUCUUCUCCUUCCCCUUUCUUCUCCUCCUCCUCCUCCCCCCUAAUACACUCUUCCGCUGCAUCAGUUUUCUGGUACAUCAACAUUAAUCAAAUACUUCAAAUACCAACUAUAAUCAUCAGUAAAAUCUUUUGAUACAUAUAUAGAGAGGGAAAAAAUGAAGGAAAAGUGAUUUCAAAUCGGAUUGUCUGUGCGAUUACUUUACCGUUGAUGAUGGUUGCCUUCUGAUCCGAUGUGGCCGUCAUUUUUCAAGUAUGAAUUUGAUUAAUUAUUCUCUUGUAUUUCUCAGCUUUUCCGAUCCCCAGUUUUGCUAUUUCUAUUUCAUCUGCGUUCUCUCAUCUCAUCCCCAGUUUUGCUAUUUCUAUUUACAUGUAAUUUGUUGAAUGGUAAGGAUGAAUAUGAGGAAAGUGAUGGAGGGUGAUGUUCAAUUUCAUGUGAUCCAUUUAUCUCCUAGCUACGUUCUUUCUGAUUUGAUCCAUGAAAAAAAUUUAUCAAAAAAAUAAUUUGUCUUCGAUCUACAGUUAGAUUUUGAGAAGGUUAUUUUUGUCCAAAAAAAUCAAAUUUUCGCUCAGAUGGGCUCUGAUUGGUUUAGCUGUAUUUUUGAAUCUUAUCUAUUAAGAGGUAUUCAGAGGCAUAAAAAAUGUUUACCAAACAAGUUGUGCCUCUGACCGAAUCAGAGGCACAACUAUUCAGAGCCAUUAAGACGUAAACAAACACAGCCUAAGCCUAGUCUGGAUACCAUUUUAGUCCAACUAAAAUGUUCGAGUCUACCCUAUCUUCAGUAAGAAGCCGGGGCGGAUGCACGUUAGGGGCUGGGGGGCACCUGACCCCACUAAAAUUUCAGAGGUUCAAGGGGGUCAACUUAAAAAAAUUAUUUGAGAUGGCUGUGAAAUGAAAUUUUUAUAUUUUAUACUUCAAAACCUAUUAGAUUUCCUAAAGUUAACUGUUAAAGUCUAAAAGACCAAAUCCUAUGGACGUUAUUCUGGAAUCCCACUACAACACUACUCCACUAGUAGUCUUAGACAUUUAGACUUUUAGUACUUCACUUUAUCUAUUGAUCGCAACAAAGGACAUAGCAACAUCAAUUCCAUGUCUCUUAGGUCUCCAUAUUCGCAAUCGCAACAGAGAAACUCCAAAUUCAAGUAUUUUUUAAUUAUAAUUUUAGUUUUUUAAUUUCAAAAAUUUAACAAUUGCCUCAGAAAUUUUUGUAAUUGUUUAUAGAUUCUUUUUUUGUACUUUUAUAAAAUUAGGGCUUUUUACUUCUUAAAGCAACACUGCAACAAAGAAGAAAACUCCAUCAAAUAAAAGUUCUUCAAAUUCAAGUGUGUUUUAUUCUAUUUUUACUUUCUUUAAAUUUUGUAAUUUAUUUUGUAAUGUUACUUGUUAGUGGUUUAAUUGAGAUUGUUUAUUGUUGAUACUAAUUUCACUUGAAUAUUCAUAUCGUAAAUUGAUCUUGUUUUAAUGGUAAAUUAGUUUUUAAAUAUUUAUUGAUUAUCAGGCAUGGACAUACGUAAUUGGGUUUCAACUAAACGUACAAAAUUUGAAUCUAUUCCUGAAAAUGUCCAAGCAGAAAGGACUAGUGACGACCCUAUCACUGCUGAUAUUCACCAAGAAACUCACCCACAAAAUGUUAACCGCCAAACCCAAGUACCAAAAUCUUUUGACCAAAAUAUCCAGUUUCAAACUCAUACACUGGUAUCUACUUCCCUUAAUAUUGAGGGGGGUCCCGGUAAAAGACCGCCAAUAAGUUCUUAUCCCACUAGUGAAAGAGAGAAUUUUCGAAUAAGUUAUUUACUAAGGGGGCCGACUCAACCAAUACCUCUCAAAUUUCCCGAUACACUAAUUAAUGAAGUUGCUCGUAAUUAGUUAUUUUCAAAUGUUGGUUGAGAAAAGAAAGGAUGAUGUAUAUCCCCAAGUCUAUUUGUUGCUGAAGUUGGAUCUACUUUUGCCUGUUCCUACUGCAACUAUUGAAAGGACAUUUUUGGCCAUGAAUAUUGGUGAAGAAUGAACUCCGUAACCAAAUGAGAGAUGAAUGAAUGACUGUUUAGUAACUUACAUUAAGCGUGAUAUUUUUGCAACUAUUAAAAAUGAGGCUAUCAUGCAAAAAUUUCAAACAAUGAAACCUCGAAAAAUAUUAUUGUAAACAAUAUUUGAGGAUUAUUUAGUUUUGUGAUUUAUUUUAUUAAAUUUUUAUUCUUAAGGGAUUUUUUUUUGAAUUUGACCCACUGAAUUACGAGACUGGUAAGAAAUCAGUUCUAGAUUCAAAAGAUUAAAAAUAAAAGUUUCCCCUAGUUUUGCUCUUGACCCCCUAGGCCCUAGGAUUGAAAUAUAUUCUUAAAUUUACUACAGUAUAAUAGUGUAGGUUCUCAUAAAAAUUGAAAAUAUUGAACAAAAGAACAAAACUUUAAUAUUUCAACUACAAAAUUCAUACUUAGUGAAACAGUGACUAGAAAAUCCAUCUACAGAAUUCAUACCAAAAUUACAUUAACCAUACAGCAGCAGGAGAUUCCUUCACCAAGAGAAAUGAAUUAAGAAUCAGACUUAAAUUCUCUCUAAUAGACAAAUUUUCCAAUAAUGAUUAGCCUCCACAAUGUCAUCAUAACAAAUGCUGUCACAAAUCCUCUUCAAGGAGGCAAAUCAUAAGGAAAGGCCAAAAUGGUGGCAAAAUAGUUGAUCUACAGAUUUGUAGUCUUUUGUUUGGCAUCUAAAGCAUAACCCAAAUUAGGUCGCGCAAAGGAUAAAUAUCAAGUAUACCCAUCAAGAGUUAGCUCCCACACUCCCCAACAAAAACAAAUCUUUGAACUUAAAAAGGGGUCAAUUUUUAUUCUCUUAAAGAAAGUAGUCUUUGAUAGCCUUGAACAUAUAUCACAGUGAAGAUUCAACUAAUUUAAACCUAAUAAUUAAAAUGAAUUUAUAUAAUCAAAUAAAACCUAAUAGUUAAAAUGAAAACACCAAAAGGGCCAUCAAAAGCUAUCAAAAUCUGAUUAAUAGGAAAAUACAAGAUCUCAAUAAACUGUAAUCUGAGAAAAACAUCCUCUUUUACCUGAUUCAGGUGAUUAGAGUUAGAGAUAACUCGAUCUUAAAUUGUAAUAUUGAUGAAUCAAAUCGAAAAUUCCAAAACCAUAAACAGAAUGAUCGCAGAAUUAAUUGUAUAAUAUAUAUGUGUAUUUACAUAUUACAAAUCGUACCGAUAAUACUGUGAUCCGGGAGGAAUUGUAAGCCGAAAGAGAGGAUGUCUCAAUCGAGCAAGAGAGAUUGAUUCAAUAGAGCGAGAGAGAUUGAUUCCAAUCGACCAAGAUGAGCAGCAAAGCAGCCGUUUGUUUACGUUAGAGAAGGGAAGAACUCAGAAACCUUAAUAUUGAGUACUCCUAUCCUAUUUCGUGAAUAGCUGAUUUAAACUUUAACACUGGGAUUAAAACUAUAUUUCAGAAUAUUAUUAACAUAAACUUUAAUAUUGAAUACUCUUAUCCUAUUUUGUUAAAAAAUCAUAGAAUAUAUGUAAUAAUUCGGAUUUUUUUAAUAAUUAAAUAUUAAUUUUGUUUUAUUAAAAGUAUAAUUGAAUUAUAAAAGGUAAGUUAAUAUAUUUUGUUCUCCCUUGUUUCGUUUCGAAAGUUAAAUUCUUUUAAUAGAUAAUUAAAUAAUUGAUUUAAUUAAAAUAAAAAAGUCCAUUAAUAUUUUGGUAACUCAUUUAUUAUUUCCUACUUAUAUUUAAAGAGUGGAGUUGUAACGCUACUCCUAUUCCAAUUUGAUGAGUUGAAAUACUUAUACGCUCUGCAGUCCAUUAGAAAAGUUAUAAUUAAUUUAUCCGAUGUCAAUGUAUUCGAAACCUAUUUUUUUGGGUAUUUGUCCUCUACAACUACGAAAAGGAAGAGAAGUUAUUUGAAAUCAUUUUCGUACCUUAAAUUUAUUAAAACCGCAACAUGUCCCAAUUUUCAUCACUAUUUUCAGCCCUAAUUUUGAAAAUUUGAAAAUUCGUAAAUUAGUCGUAUUAACUCCGAAUCGAGUGAUUCUUGAGCUUAUUUUGUAUAUCUUUUCGAGAGUUAAAAUUUUUAUGAAAAUAUAAAGAGAUUUUGAAGACUCAAAAAGACCCGAAAGUUAGAUUAUUUACUACUACAUAUUGAAAAAAAAAAGACGAACAAGGAAUGUAAAUAUUAUUUCAUAUCUUGAUUUUAAGUUUAGUUACGUGGGUUUUUAAAUUAGAGAUUAUUUUUGAUCAAAAUAGAGACAUGAAUUAGAAACCAUGAUAAUUGGAAAGAGAAGAUAAAUUUAUAUUAAAGAAUAUAAUUUAAUUAAAUGUAAACGUUAAAAUUUGAAAAUAAAAUUCUAUAUUUUUAAGGUAUAUUGUAUGUAUUAUAUCUCUUAAUCCGACUGUUAUAUCGUUAUAAGUUUUUGAAUAUGUUAUACAUAUAUAAGUUGGGAAUAUAUUCACCUAUUUUGAACCGUUGAAAAUUAACGUAUGAUUUGUUAUGAAUUUUUAUCAAGUAGAUUUUCAAUAGCGAGUUAUGAUAUUUAAAAAUGUAUAACUUAAUGUUUUUAAACCCGAUUUGGUUGAUUUUUGAGGUUAAAUUGGAGUAUUUGAAGUCUAAUUUUUGUUAAAAUUAAUUAAUUUAGCAAAAAAAAUUCAAUCAAUGGUAAUAAUACCAGAAUAGUGGACUGACGUCUUAAAAAUAAUUUGCCAUGUUAGAGUUUUAAGACUUCUUAAAAUUUGUUAUUGACUUUUAAGUUUUGGAGUAUUAAUAGUGAUCUAAGACGAUAAUUAAAGUCACCGUUGUGACGCCCCCAAAAUAGGUAUACAUCAUCCAUUUUAGGUCGUCAAUAACAUGGUACAGAAACUGUGACGCCCCCAAAACAGGUAUACAUCACCCAUCUUGGGUCGCCACUUACAUGUUACAAAAUACAACUACAAACUUAAUUAUACAACAGUCGUGUAACAUACGACAAAACAUAGCUGAGAGUUUUGAAACGAAUAUUAUCUUCUAGACAUUAUUCAAACACAAUGGAGUCCUCAUUAUAUUUAUUAUCACACUAUUUCACAAAAUAAUGAGGACUACUAAUGCAAACAUCUGGACCGUCACUCUAUUCCCCGACUAGUCCCAACUACGUUCUCAUUUCCUGAAAAGAAUAGUGAAAGAAAGGGUGAGCUCAACUAGCCCAGUAAGAAAUAUUAUGACCAAGAUAAUGCAGAAUAAAUUAUCUUUAUCCUUCAACAAUAUAACAACUGAUAGAAUAUAAUAGACAACAAGUUUUAGAUCAACAACUGCAGCGGAAUAAGCAAUCCAUUAGAAGAGUCAAGUAGAGCAUAAAAUCUACUAUCUUCUAUGAUUUAAAAAGUUUUUCAUCAACUUUAUCGCUGAGACUCAGCUUAAUAAAUAAAAUCGAAUCAUCCCUGCACCACGGCCAAGGAUAUUCAUGUAAUCAUCAAUGGUCAUGAUUAUACCGAAUAAUCCCUGGUCAUAAUCAUACCAACAACUGUCCACCAAUGAACUACAGGCCAAUGAGGACUUUUACCACAUCAUUCGUUACAUUACGGUCAUGAUUAUACCGAAUAAUCCCUGGUCAUAAUCAUACCAAGUCCAUCUAUGCACGUAAGCCAAAGAUGACUUUCAUCACAAUAUAAGCAUGAGGAUGAUGACAAUGAUAUAAGCAUUAAUCAAACGAAAACAAGGAUAAAUAUUAAAGACUUUAAAUUUAUCCAAAUAUUAUCAAUCGCUUAAUAAACUCAUAAUCUAAUAUUAUUAAUAUUAUAAUAAUAUUUUAAUCAAUUCUUAAACUUAUAAAUAAUUUAAUUUAAUUGUUUACACUUUACCAAAUAAUGCAUUUAAUCAAUCAAAAAUGCCAUACUCAUAAGAUUUCAUUACCAAUGAUCAAUUUACUCAUCAAAAAUCUGCACAUACCUUAUAUAGGAUUCCCAAGCCAUAAAAUCCUAUUUACCAAUUCUUCAACUUCACAUAACAUAUUUAACUAAUAUGUUUGUAACUAAACUAUUUUUAUGAAAAAUACCAAAUCAGUCCCAAAAAUUAUUCUUUUCUGGGAUUAAGCAUAAUAUAGUUUCAUAUUGAACAUAUAUUUUUCUUGGAAUUUUUAAAAUUCAUUUACUAUUUUUCAGAAAUCAAUUUCUAAUUAAUUCCUUAAGAAAUUAGCUACCUCAAGUUUAACUCCAAAAAUUCCCAAAUCUUGGCAGAAUUUUACACAUGUUAACGUGAGCUUCCAGUUUAAAUUUCAUGGUCAUCGGAGUUAUAGAACUCCGGUUAUAGCAUUUUUCGUCGGAAAAACCUAAAUAUUGAAAUGGUCAUAACUUGCUCAUUUUAAGUCGGAAUGAGCUCAUUUUGGACAGUAUGUUCUUUAUACCAUAUACUUUCAUGUCCCAAAAGGCCAUAAUUUUUCUCAUAAUUUAAGUGGCCAAAACAACCCCUCUAAAAAUCUGGACAGUAGCAUUUCGGUAAUUUCCAGCUUUUUCAUCCUUUACUAAUAUUAGUCCACACGAAAAUCUACAACACAUUUUUCAGUGAUUCCACGUGAUUCCAACACAAAAAUCUAAGUUGUCAGCCCGUAGGCAAAAUUGACUAACACUUAGGUAAAAAGAUAAAAAAGAGGCCAAAACCCGACUCGGCCAUUGUAAUGACAUGCAAAUGCAUGCAUAGCACCGCGUAGGUAUUAGGCACGCGUUAUAACUUACAAGACUCAAUUCUGACUUACGGAGGUCGAGUUAUCAAUUCGUAGGAUAAACUGACCAACACUUAGGGAAAAAGUCAAAAAAGAAGCCAAAACCCAUCUCGACUGUCGUAAUAACACGCAAACACGUACAUAGCACUGCGCAGGUAUUAGGCACGUGUUACAACUUACAGGACUCGAUUCAGACUUACGGAGGCCGAGUUAUCAGCCCGUAGACAAAACUGACCAACACCUAGGCAAAGAAAUCGAAAAAGAGGCCAAAACUCGCCUCGGCCGUUGAAACGAUACGGAAACUCGUAUAUAGCACCGCGUAGGUAUUAGGUACGCGUUACAACUUACGGAACUCGAUUUCAACUUACGGAGGCCGAGUUAUCAGCCCGUAGAUAAAACUAACCAACACUUAGGUAAAAAGUUAAAAAAGAGGCCAAAACCCGCCUCGGCCGUCGUAAUGAUACGCUAACACAUACAUAGCGCCGCGUAGGUAUUAGGCAUACGUUACAACUUACGAGACUCGAUUCCGACAUACGGAGCCCGAGUUAUCAACCCGUAGGCAAAACUGACCAACACUUAGGCAAAAAGUCAAAAAAGAGGCCAAAAAAAAACCUCGACAGUCGUUACGACAUGCAAACACAUACAUAGAACGGCGUGGGUAUUAGACAUGUGUUACAACUUAUGGGUCUUGAUUCUGACUUACGGAGGCCGAGUUAUCAGCCCGUAGCCGAAACUGAACAACACUUAGGCAAAAAGUCGAACAAGAGGCCAAAACCAGCCUCGACCGUCGUAACGAUAUGCAAACACGUACAUAGCAUCGCGUAGGUAUUAGGAACGCAUUACAACUUAAGAGACUCGAUUCCGACAUACGUAGGCCGAGCUAUCAGCCUGUAGGCAAAACUGACCAACACUUAGGCAAAAAGUCGAAAAAGAGGCCAAAACCCGCCUUGGCCGUCAUAAUGACGCGCAAACACAUGCAUGGCACCGCGUAGGUAUUUGGCAUGCGUUACAACUUACGGGACUCGAUUCUGAUAUACGAAGGCCGAGUUAUCAGCCCGUAGAUAAAACUGACCAACACUUAGGGAAAAAGUCAAAAAAGAGGCCAGAACCGCCUCGGCUAUCGUAAUAACACGCAAACAUAUACAUAGCACUGAAUAGGUAUUAGGCACGCGUUAUAACUUAUGAGACUCGAUUUUGACUUACGGAGGCCGAGUUAUCAGUGUGUAGGCAAAAUUGACCAACACUUAAGCAAAAAGUCUAAAAAGGGGCCAAAAUAAGCCUCGGCUAUCGUAAAAACACGCAAACACGUACAUAGCAUCGUGUAGGUAUUAGGCAUGCGUUAUAACCUAUGAGACUCGAUCCGACUUACGGAGGCCGAGUUAUCAGCCCGUAGGCAAAACUGACCAACACUUAGGCAAAAAGUCGAAAAAGAGGCCAAAACUAGCCUCGGCCGUUGUAACGACACGGAAACACAUACAUAGCAUCGCGUAGGUAUUAGGCAUGCAUUACAACUUACGGGACUCGAUUCUGACUUACGGGGCCGAGUUAUCAGCCCGUAGGCAAAACUGGCCAACACUUAGGCAAAAAGUCAAAAAAGAGGCCAAAACUCGCCUCGACCGUUGUAACGAUAGGCAAAGUCUUACAUAGCACCGUGUAGGUAUUAGGCAUGCGUUACAACUUACGGGACUCGAUUCCGACUUACGGAGGCCGAGUUAUCAGCGUAGGCAAAACUGACCAACGAUACGCAAACACAUAUAUAAAACCACGUAGGUAUUAGGCAUGCGUUAUAACUUACGGGACUUGAUUCCGACUUACGGAGACCGAGUUAUCAGCCCGUAGGCAAAACUGACCAACACUUAGGUAAAAUGUUAAAAAAGAGGCCAAAACCCGCUUCAGUCAUCGUAACGAUAUGCAAACAUAUACAUAGCACCGCGUUGGUAUUAGGCAUACAUUACAACUUAUGGGACUCAAUUUCGACAUACGGAGGCCGAGUUAUCAGCCCGUAGGCAAAACUGACCGACACUUAGGUAAAAAGUUGAAAAAAGGCCAAAACCAACCUCGGCCGUCGUAACAACACGCAAAGACAUACAUAGCACUACAUGGGUAUUAAGCACGCGUUAUAACUUACGGGACUCAAUUUUGACUUACGGAGGCCGAGUUAUCAGCCCGUAAGCAAAACUGAACAACAUUUAGGUAAAAAGUCAAAAAAGAGGCCAAAACAUUCCUCGGCCGUCGUAACGACAUAAAAACACAUACAUAGUACCGCGUAUGUAUUAGGCAUGCGUUACAACUUACGGGACUCGAUUCUGACAUACGUAGACCGAGUUAUUAGCCCGUAUGCAAAAUUAACCAACACUUAGGUAAAAAGUUACAAAAGAGGCCAAAACCCGCAUCAGCCAUUGUAAUGACACGCAAAUACAUGCAUAGUACCACGUAGGUAUUAGACACGCGUUAUAACUUACAGGACUCAUUUCCGACUUACGGAGGCCGAGUUAUCAGCCCGUAGGCAAAACUGACCAACAUUUGGGGAAAAGUAAAAAAAAGGCCAAAAUCCACCUCGACCGUUGUAAUGAUACGAAAACUCGUACAUAGCACCGCGUAGGUAUUAGGCACACGUUACAACUUACGGGACUCGAUUCCGAUUUACGGAGGCCGAGUAAUAAGCCCGUAGGCAAAACUAACUAACACUUAGGUAAAAAGUCAAAAAAGAAGCCAAAACCCAGCUCGGCCAUCGUAAUGAUACAAAAACACAUACAUAGCACCGCGUAGGUAUUAGGCAUGCGUAACAACUUACGGGACUCGAUUCCGAUAUACGGAGGCCGAGUUAUCAGUCCGUAGGCAAAACUAACCAAUACUUAGGCAAAAAGUCAAAAAAGAGGCCAAAACCAACCUCGGCUGUCGUAACAACACGCAAAGACAUACAUAGCACUGCAUGGGUAUUAGGCACGCGUUAUAACUUACGGGACUCAAUUCUGACUUACGGAGGCCGAGUUAUCAGCCUGUAAGCAAAACUGAACAACAUUUAGGUAAAAAGUCAAAAAAGAGGCCAAAACAUGCCUCGACCGUCGUAACGACAUAAAAACAUAUACAUAGUACUGCUUAUGUAUUAGGCAUGUGUUACAACUUACGGGACAUGAUUCUGUCAUACAUAGACCGAGUUAUUAGCCCGUAUUCAAAUUUGACCCACACUUAGGUAAAAAGUUAAAAAAGAGGCCAAAACUCGCAUCGGCCAUUGUAACGACACGCAAAUACAUGCAUAGCACCGCGUAGGUAUUAGGCACGCGUUACAACUUACGGGACUCAAUUCCGACUUAUGGAGGCCGAGUUAUCAACCCGUAGGCAAAACCGACCAACAAUUGGGGAAAAAGUCGAAAAAAGGCCAAAAUCCACCUCGGCCGUUGUAAUAAUACGGAAACUCGUACAACUUACGGGACUCAAUUCCGACAUACGGAGGUCGAGUUAUCAGCCCGUAGGCAAAACUGACAAACACUUAGGCAAAAAGUCAAAGAAGAGGCCAAAACUCGCCUCGGCCAUCGUAACGACAAACAAACACAUACAUAUCAUCGCGUAGGCAAAAUUGACCAACACUUAGGUAAAAAGUUAAAAAGGAGGCCAAAACCCGCCUCGGCAAUUGUAAUGACAUGCAAACGCAUGCAUAGCAGCGCGUAAGUAUUAGGCACGUGUUAUAACUUACGAGACUCAAUUCUGACUUACGGAGGCCGAGUUAUCAGUUCGUAGGGAAAACUGACCAACACUUAGGGAAAAAAUCAAAAAAGAGGCCAAAAUCCACCUCGACCAUCGUAACGACACGCAAACACGUAAAUAGCACCGCGCAGGUAUUAGGCACGUGUUACAACGUACGGGACUCGAUUCUGACUUACGUAGGCCUAGUUAUCAGCCCGUAGGCAAAACUGACCAACACUUAGGCAAAAAAUCGGAAAAGAGGCCAAAACUCGCCUCGGCCGUUGAAAAGAUACGGAAACUCGUAUAUAGCACCACGUAGGUAUUAGGCAUGCGUUAUAACUUACAGGACUCGAUUUCGACUUACGGAGGCCGAGUUAUCAGCCCGUAGAUAAAACUAACCAACACUUAGGUAAAAAGUUAAAAAAGAGGCCAAAACCCGCCUCGGCCGUCGUAAUGAUACGCUAACACAUACAUAGCACCGCGUAAGUAUUAGGCAUACAUUACAACUUACGGGACUCAAUUCCGACAUACGAAGCCCGAGUUAUCAGCCCGUAGGCAAAACUGACCAACACUUAGGCAAAAAGUCAAAAAAGAGGCAAAAAAAAACUCGACAGUCGUAAUGACACGCAAACACAUACAUAGAACCGCGUGAGUAUUAGGCAUGUGUUAUAACUUAUGGGUCUUGAUUCUGACUUACGGAGGCCGAGUUAUCAGCCCGAAGGCAAAACUGAACAACACUUAGGCAAAAAGUCGAACAAGAGGCCAAAACCAGCCUCGACCGUCGUAACGAUAUGCAAACAUGUACAUAGCACUGCGUAGGUAUUAGGCACGUGUUACAACUUAAAGGACUCGAUUCUGACAUACGGAGGCCGAGCUAUCAGCCUGUAGGCAAAACUGACCAACACUUGGCAAAAAGUCGAAAAAUAGGCCAAAACCCGUCUUGGCCGUCGUAACGACGUGCAAACACAUGCAUAGCACCGCGUAGGUAUUUGGCAUACGUUACAACUUAAGGGACUCGAUUCUGAUAUACGAAGGUCGAGUUAUUAGCCCGUAGGUAAAACUGACCAACACUUAGGGAAAAAGUCGAAAAAGAGGCCAAAACCGCCUCGACCCUCAUAAUGACAUGCAAACACGUAUAUAUCACUGUGUCGGUAUUAGACACGUAUUACAACUUAUGGGAUUCGAUUCUGACAUACGGAUGCCGAGUUAUCAGUGCGUAGGUAAAACUGACCAACACUCAAGCAAAAAGUCAAAAAAGAGUCCAAAACCCACCUCGGCUGUCGUAAUAACACGCAAAUAUAUACAUAGCACUACAUAGGUAUUAGGCACGCAUUACAAAUUAUGGGACUCAAUUCUGACUUACGGAGGCCGAGUUAUCAGCGUGUAGGCAAAAUUGACCAACACUUAAGCAAAAAGUCUAAAAAGGGGCCAAAAUAAGCCUCGGCUAUCGUAACAACACGCAAACACGUACGUAGCAUCGCGUGGGUAUUAGGCAUGCGUUACAACUUAUGAAACUCGAUUCUGACUUACGGAGGCCGAGUUAUCAGCCCGUAAGCAAAACUGACCAACACUUAGGCAAAAAGUCAAAAAAGAGGCCAAAACUAGCCUUGGCCGUUGUAACGACACGCAAACACAUACAUAGCAUCACGUAGGUAUUAGGCAAGCAUUACAACUUACGGGACUCGAUUCUGACUUACGGGAGUCGAGUUAUCAGCCCGUAGGCAAAACUGACCAACAUUUAGGCAAAAAGUCAAAAAAGGGGCCAAAACCCGCCUCGACCGUUGUAACGAUAGGCAAACUCUUACAUAGCACUGCGUAGGUAUUAGGCAUGCGUUACAACUUACGAGACUCGAUUCCGACUUACGGAGGCCGAGUUAUCAACCGUAAGGCAAAACUGACCAACACUUAGCGAAAAAGUCAAAAAGAGGCCAAAACCCGCCUUGGCCGUCAAAACAAUACGCAAACACAUACAUAGAACCCCGUAGGUAUUAGGCAUGCGUUAUAACUUACGGGAUUUAAUUCUGAUAUACGGAGGCCGAGUUAUCAACCCAUAGGCAUAACUGACCAACACUUAGGCAAAAAGUUGAAAAAGAGGCCAAAACUCACCUCGGCCGUAGUAACGAUACACAAACACUUACAUAGCAUCGCGUGGGUAUUAGGCACACGUUACAACUUACGGGACUCGAUUUCGACUUACGAAGGUUGAGUUAUUUGCCCGUAGGCAAAACUUGCCAACACUUAGGCAAAAAGUCGAUAAAAGAGGCCAAAACUCGCCUUGACUGUCGUAACAACACGUAAACACAUACAUAGCACAACGUAGGUAUUAGGCAUACGUUACAACUUACGGGACUCGAUUCCAACUUACGGAGGCCGAGUUAUAAGCCCGUAGGUAAAACUGACCAACACUUAGGCAAGAAGUCGAAAAAGAGGCCAAAACUCGCCUCGACAGUUGUAAAGACACGCUAACACAAAUAUAGCACCGCGUAGGUAUUAGGCACGCGUUACAACUUACGGCACUCGAUUCCUACUUACACAGGCCGAGUUAUCAGCCCGUAGGCAAAACUGACCAACACUUAGGCAAAAAGUCGAAAAAGAGGCCAAAACCCGCCUCAGCAGUCGUAAGGACACGCAAACAUUUACAUAGAACCACAUAGGAAUUAGGCACGUGUUACAACUUGUGAGACUCUAUUCUGAUUUACGGAGGCCGACGUAUCAGCCCGUAGGCAAAACUGACUGACACUUAGACAAAAAGUUGAAAAGAGGCCAAAACCCGCCUCGACCGUCGUAAGGACACGCAAACAGAUACAUAGCACCGCGUAGGUAUUAGGCACGCGUUACAACUUAUAGGACUCGAUUUCGACUUACGGAGACCGAGUUAUAAGCUGGUAGGCAAAACUGACCAACACUCAAGCAAAAAGUCAAAAAAGAGACCAAAUCCCGCCUCGACCAUCUUAACGACACGUAAACACGUACAUAGCACUGCGUAGGUACUAGGCACGCGUUAUAUCGUACUGGACUCAGUUCAGAGUUACGGAGGCUGAGUUAUCAGCCCGUAGGCAAAACUGAGUAACACUUAGGCAAAAAGUCGAAAAAGAGGCCAAAACCAGCCUCAGCCGUCGUAAUGACACGCAAACACAUACAUAGCACUGCGUAGGUAUUAGGAACUCGUUACAACUUACGGGACUCGAUUUCGACUUACGGAGGCCAAGUUAUCAGCCCGUAAUCAAAACUCGCCAACACUAAGGCAAAAAGGCAAAAAGAGGCCAAAACCCGUCUCGACCGUCGUAACAACACGCAAACAUAUACAUAACAUAAUAUAGGUAUUAGGCACACGUUACAAUAUACGAUACUUGAUUCUGACUUACGGAGGCCGAGUUAUCAGCCCGUAGGCAAAACUGACCAACAUUUAGGUAAAAAGUUAAAAAAGAGGCCAAAGCCCGCAUCGGCCGUUGUAACGACACGAAAAAAAUGCAUAGUACUGCGUAGGUAUUAAGCACGUGUUAAAACUUACGGGACUUGAUUCCAACUUACGGAGGCCGACUUAUCAGCCCGUAGGCAAAACUGACGAACACUUAGGUAAAAAGUUAAAAAAGAGGCCAAAACCCGCCUCGGCCGUCGUAACGACACGUAAACACGCACAUAUCACCGUGUAGGUAUUAGGCACGCGUUAUUAUUUACGGGACUUGGUUCUGAUUUACGGAGGCCGAGUUAUCAGCCCGUAGGUAAAACUAACCAACACUUAGGCAAGAAGUCAAAAAAGAGACCAAAACCCGCCUCGGCAAUCGUAAAGACACGCAAACAUGAACAUAGCACCGCGUAGGUAUUAGGCACGGGUUAGAACUUAGGGGACUCGAUUCUGACUUACAGAAGCCGAGUUAUCAGCCCGUAGGAAAAACUGACCAACACUUAGGCAAAAAGUCGAAAAAGAGGCCAAAACCUGCCUCGGCCGUCGUAACAACACGCAAACACGUGUAUAGUACCACAUAGGUAUUAGGCACGCAUUAGAACUUACGGGACUCGAUUCCAACUUACGGAGGCCGAGUUAUCAGCCCGUAGCCAAAACUGACCAACACUUAGGCAAAAAGUCAAAAAAGAGGCCAAAAUCCGCCUUGACCGUCGUAACAACACGCAAACACAAACAUAGCACAAUGUAUGUAUUAAGCACUCGUUUCAAUAUAUGUUACUCGAUUCCGACUUACGGAGGUCGAGUUAUCAGCCCGUAGGCAAAACUGACCAAUAAUUAGGUAAAAAAUUAAAAAAGAGGCCAAAACCCGCCUCGGCCGUUGUUACGACAUGAAAACACAUGCAUAGUACCGCGUAGGUAUUAGGCACGCGUUAAAACUUACGGGACCCGAUUCCAACUUGCGGAGGCCGAGUUAUCAGCCCGUAGGCAAAACUGACUAACAUUUAGGUAAAAAGUCAAAAAAGAGUCCAAAACCCGCCUCGGCCAUUGUAACGACACGUAAACACGUACUUAUCACCGUGUAGGUAUUAGGCACGCGUUACUACUUACGGGACUCAAUUCUGAUUUACCGAGGCCGAGUUAUCAGCUCGUAGGCAAAACUGACCAAAAUUAGGUAAAAAGUCGAAAAAGAGUCCAAAAUCCGCCUCAGCUGUUAUAAUGAGACAGAAACUCGUGCAUAGCACCGCGUAGGUAUUAGGCACGCGUUACAACUUACGAAACUCAAUUCCGACUUACGGAGGCUGAGUUAUCAGCUCGUAGGCAAAACUUACCAACACUUAGUUAAAAUGUCAAAAAAGAGGCCAAAAACCGCCUCAGCCAUCGUAACGAUACGCAAACAAAUACAUAGUACCGCGUAGGUAUUAGGUAUUCAUUACAACUUACGGGACUCGAUUUCGACAUACGGAGGCCGAGGUAUCAGCCCGUAGGCAAAACUGACCAACACUUAGGUAAAAAGUCCAAAAUGAGGCCAAAACCCACCUCGGCUGUCGUAAUAACACGCAAAGACAUACAUAGCACUGCAUGGGUAUUAGUCACGCGUGAUAACUUACAGGACUCAAUUCUGACUUACGGAGGCCGAGUUAUCAGCCCAUAAGCAAAACUGAACACCAUUUAGGUAAAAAGUCAAAAAAGAGGCCAAAACAUGCCUCGGCCGUCGUAACGACACACAAAGACAUACAUAGCACUGCAUGGGUAUUAGUAACACGUUAUAACUUAUAGGACUCAAUUCUGACUUACGGAGGCCGAGCUAUCAGUCCGUAAGCAAAACUGAACAAUAAUUAGGUUAAAAGUCGAAAAAGAGGGCAAAACAUGACUCGGUCGUCGUAACAACACAAAAACACAUACAUAGUACCGCGUAUGUAUUAGGAAUACGUUACAACUUAUAGGACUCGAUUCUAACAUACGUAGACUGAGUUAUUAGCCCGUAUGCAAAAUUGACCAACACUUAGGUAAAAAGUUAAAAAAGAGGCCAAAACCCGCAUCGGCCAUUGUAGGUAUUAGGCACGCGUUACAACUUACGGGACUCAAUUCCGAUUUACGGAGGCCGAGUUAUCAGCCCGUAGACAAAACUGACCAACAUUUGGGGAAAAAGUCAAAAAAGAGGCCAAAACCCACCUUGGCCGUUGUAACGAUACGAAAACUCGUACAUAGCACCGCGUAGGUAUUAGGCACGGAUUACAAUGUACAGGACUCGAUUCCGAUUUACAGAGGCCGAGUUAUCAAACAGUAGGCAAAACUAAUUAACACUUAGGUAAAAAGUCAAAAAAGUAGCCAAAACCCGCUUCAGACAUCGUAACGAUACACAAACACAUACAUAGCACCGCAUAGGUAUUAGGCAUGCGUUACAACUUAUGGGACUCGAUUUCGACAUACGGAGGCCGAGUUAUCAGCCCGUAGUCAAAACUGACCAACACUAAGGCAAAAAUUAAAAAAAGAGGCCAACACUCGCCUCGGACAUCGUAACGACACCCAAACACAUACAUAGCAUCGCGUAGGUAUUAGGCACGCAUUACAACUUACGGGAAAACUGACCAACACUUAGGCAAAAAGUCAAAAAAGAGGCCAAAACUCACCUUGGCAGUAGUAACGACACGCAAACACAUAACUAGGAACGCGUAGGUAUUAGGCACGCGUUACAACUUACGGGACUCGAUUCCGACUUACGGAGACCGAGUUAUCAGCCCGUGGGCAAAACUGACCAACAUUUGGGGUAAAAGUCGAAAAAGAGGCCAAAACCCACCUCGGCCGUUGUAACGAUACGAAAACACGUACAUAGCACCGCGUAGGUAUUAGGCACGCGUGACAAUUUACGGGACUCGAUUCCAAUUUAUGGAGGCCGAGUUAUAUGCCCGUAGGCAAAACUAACUAACACUUAGGUAAAAAUUCAAAAAAGAAGCCAAAACCCGCUUCGGCCAUCGUAAUGAUAUGAAAACACAUACAUAGCACCGCGUAGGUAUUAGGCAUGCGUUACAACUUACGGGACUCGAUUCCGACGGACAGAGGCCUAGUUAUCAGCCCGUAGGCAAAACUGACCAACAAUUAGGCAAAAACUCGAAAAAGAGGCCAAAACUCACCUCGGCUGUAGUAAUGACACGCAAAGACAUACAUAGCACCGCGUAGGUAUUUGGCACGCGUUAAAACUUACGGGACUUGAUUCUGACUUACGGAGGCCGAGUUAUCAGCCCGUAGGCAAAACUGACUAACACUUAUGCAAAAAGUUGAAAAAGAUGCCAAAAACUAGUCUCGACCCUCGUAAUGAGACGCAAACUAAUACAUAGUACCGCGUAGGAAUUAGGCACGCGUUACAACUUACAUGACUCGAUUAUGACUUACGAAGGCCGAGUUAUCCGCCCAUUGGCAAAAUUUACCAAGACUUAGGUAAAAAGUCAAAAAAGAGGCCAAAAUAGGCUCGGCCGUCGUAAUGACACACAAACAUAUACAUAGCACCACGUAGGCAUUAGGCACGCGUUACAAUUUACGGGACUCAAUUUCUACUUACGGAGGCCGAGUUAUCAGCUCGUAGGCAAAACUGACAAACACUUAGGCAAAAACUCGAAAAAGAGGCCAAAAUCCGCCUCGACCGUCAUAACGAUACGUAAACAUGUAUAUAGCACCGUGUAGGUAUUAGGCAUGUGUUACAACUUACGGGACUCAAUUCUGACUUACAUAGGCCGAGUUAUAAGCCCAUAGGCAAAACUGACCAACACUUAGGCAAAAAGUCAAAAAAGAGGUCAAAACCCGCCUUGGCCGUUGUAACGAUACUUAAAAAAGUACAUAGCACCGCGUAGAUAUUAGGCACGCGUUACAAGUUACGAGACUCGAUUCUGACUUACGGAGGCUGAGUUAUCAGUCCGUAGGCAAAACUGACUAACACUUAGGCAAAAAGUUAAAAAAAAGGCCAAAACCCGUCUCAGUCAUCGUAACGACACGUAAACAUAUACAAAGCACCUCGUAGGUAUUAGACACGCGUUACAAUAUAUGAACUCAAUUCUAACUUACGGAGGCCAAGUUAUUAGCCCGUAGGCAAAACUGACCAACACUUAGGCAAACAGUCGAAAAAGAGGCCAAAACCAGCCUCAGCUGUCGUAAGGACACGCAAACACGUACAUAGCACCACGUAGGUAUUAGGCACGUGUUACAACUUGUGAGACUUUAUUCCGAUUUACGGAGGCCGACUUAUCAGCCCGUAGGCAAAACUGACUAACACUUAGACAAAAAGUCAAAAAAGAGGCCAAAACCCGCCUCGGUCUUCAUAACGACAGGCAAACACGUACAUAGCACCGCGUAGGUAUUAGGCAUGCGUUACAACAUAUGGGACUCGAUUCCGACUUACAUAGGCCGAGUUAUCAGCCCGUAGGCAAAACUGACCAACACUUUGAUAAAAAGUCGAAAAAGAGUCCAAAACCCGCCUCGGCCAUCGUAACAAUAUGCAAACUUGUAUAUAGCACAGCGUAGGUAUUAGGAACGCGUUACAAAUUACGGAAUUCAUUUCUAACAUACGGAGGCCAAGUUAUCAGCCCAUAGGAAAAAUUGACCAAUACUUAGGCAAAAAGUCAAAAAAGAGGCCAAAACCCGUCUUGGUCGUCAUAAUGACACACAAACACAUACAUAGCACUACAUAGGUAUUAGACACGCGUUACAACUUAUGGAACUCGAUUCCAACUUACGGAGGCCGAGUUACCAGCCCGUAGGCAAAACUGACUAACAAUUAUGCAAAAUGUCGAAAAAAGGCCAAAACCAGCCUCGGCCGUUGUAACGACACGAAAACACAUACAUAGUACCGCAUAGGUAUUAGGCACACGUUAAAACUUACGGGACUAGAUUCCAACUUAUGUAGGCUGAGUUAAUAGCCCGUAGGCAAAACUGACCAACACUUGGUAAAAAAUCAAAAAAGAGGCUAAACCCGCCUCGGCCGUCGUAAUGUCACGCAAACUCGUACAUAGUACCGCGUAGGUAUUAGGCAUGCGUUUCAACUUACGGAACUCGAUUUUGACUUACGGAGGCUGAGUUAUCAGCUCGUAGGCAAAACUGACCAACACUUAGGUAAAAAGCCGAAAAAGAGGCCAAAACUCGCCUAAACCAUCAUAUUAGGCAUGCGUUAAAAGUUACGGGACUCAAUUCUGACAUACAUAGAACGAAUUAUAAGCCUGUAUGCAAAAUUGACCAACACUUAGGUAAAAAGUUAGUAUGCAAAAUUGACCAACACUUAGGUAAAAAGUUAAAAAAGAGGCCAAAACCCGCAUCGACCAUUUUAACGACACGCAAAUACAUGCAUAGAACCGCGUAGGUAUUAGGCACGUGUUACAACUUACGGAACUCAAUUCCGACUUACGGAGGUCGAGUUAUCAGCCCGUAGGCAAAACUGACCAAUAUUUGGGGAAAAUGUCAAAAAUAAGGCCAAAACCCACCUCGGCCGUUGUAACGAUACGGAAACUCGUACAUAGCACCGUGUAGGUAUUAGGCACGCGUUACAGCUUACGGGACUCGAUUCUGAUUUACGGAGGCAGAGUUAUUAGCCCGUAGGCAAAACUAACUAACACUUAGAUAAAAAGACAAAAAAGAAGACAAAACCCGCCUCGACCAUCGUAAUGAUACGCAAACACAUACAUAGCACCGCAUAGGUAUUAGGCAUACGUUACAACUUACGGGACUCGAUUCCGACAUACGGAGGCCGAGUUAUCAGCCCGUAGAUAAAACUGACCAACACUUAGGCAAAAAGUUGAAAAAGAGGCAAAAACUCGCCUCAGCCAUCGUAACAACACGCAAACACAUACAUAGCAUCGUGUAGGUAUUAGGCACGUAUUACAACUUACGGGACUCGAUUCCGACAGACGGAGGCCGAGUUAUCAGCCCGUAGGCAAAACAGACCAACACUUAGGCAAAAAGUAGAAAAAGAGGCCAAAAUCCACCUCGGCCGUUGUAACGAUACAAAUACUAGUACAUAACACGGCGUAGGUAUUAGGCACGUGUUACAACUUAAGGGACAUGAUUCUGACUUACGGAGGCCGAGUUAUCAGCCCGUAAGCAAAACUAACUAACACGUAGGUAAAAAGUCAAAAAAGAAGCCAAAACCCGCCUCGGCCAUCGCAAUGAUACGUAAAAACAUAUAUAGCACCGCGUAGGUAUUAGGCAUACAUUACAAUGUACGGGACUCGAUUCCAACAUACGGAGGCCGAGUUACCAGCCCGUAGGCAAAACUGACCAACACUUAGGCAAAAAGUCGAAAAAGUGGCCGAAACUCGCCUUGGCCAUCGUAAUGACACGCAAACACAUACAUAGCAUCACGUAUGUAUUAGGCAUGCAUUACAACUUACGAGACUCAAUUCCGACAGACGGAUGCCGAGUUAUCAGCCAGUAGGUAAAACAGACCAAUAGUUAGGCAAAAAGUCGAAAAAGAGGCCAAAACUCACCUCGGUUAUAGUAAUGACACGCUAACACAUACAUAGCACCGCGUAUGUAUUUGGCACGCGUUAUAAUUUAUGGGACUUGAUUCUGACUUACGGAGGCCGAGUUAUCAGCCCGUAGGCAAAACUAACCAACACUUAGGCAAAAAGUCGAAAAAGAUGCCAAAAACUAGUCUCGACCGUCGUAAUAAGACGCAAACUAAUACAUAGCACCGCGUAGGAAUUAUUCACACGUUACAACUUACGGAACUUGAUUCUAACUUACGGAGGCCGAGUUAUCAGCUCAUUGGCAAAACUGACCAACACUUAGGCAAAAAGUCAAAAAAGAGGCCAAAAUUAGCCUCGGCCAUCGUAAUAACACACAAACAUAUACAUAGCACCACGUAGGCAUUAGGCACACGUUACAACUUACGGGACUCAAUUUCGACUUACGGAGGUCGAGUUAUCAGCCCGUAGGCAAAACUGACCAAUACUUAGGCAAAAAGUCAAAAAAAUGGCCAAAACUCGCCUCGGCCAUCGUAACGACACGCAAACACAUACAUAGCAUCACGUAGGUAUUUGGCACGCAUUAAAACUUACGAGACUCGAUUCCAAUAGACGGAGGCCGAGUUAUCAGCCCGUAGGUAAAACUGACCAAUAGUUAGGUAAAAAGUCAAAAAAUAAGCCAAAACUCACCUUGGCUGUAGUAACGACACGCAAACACAUAGAUAGUACCACGUAGGUAUUUGGCACGUGUUAUAACUUACGGGACUCGAUUCUGACUUACGGAGGCCGAGUUAUCAGCCCGUAGGCAAAACUGACCAACACUUAUGCAAAGAGUCGAAAAAGAUGCCAAAAACCAGUCUCGACAAUCGUAAUGAGACGCAAACUAAUACAUAGCACCGCGUAGGAAUUAGGCACACAUUACAACUUACGGGACUCAAUUUCGACUUACGGAGGCCGAGUUAUCAGCCCGUAGGCAAAACUGACAAACACUUAGGCAAAAACUCAAAAAAGAGGCCAAAACCCGCCUCGACCGUCAUAACGACACGUAAACACGUAUAUAGCACUGUGAAGGUAGUAGGCACGUGUUACAACUUACGGAACUCAAUUCUGACUUACAUAGGCCGAGUUAUCAGCCUGUAGGCAAAACUAACCAACACAUAGGGAAAAAGUCAAAAAAGAGUCCAAAACCCGCCUCAGCCGUUGUAACGAAACGCAAACAUGUACAUUGAACCGCUUAAAUAUUAGUCACGCAUUACAAGUUACGGGACUCGAUUCCGACUUACAGAGGCUGAGUUAUCAGCCCGUAGGCAAAACUGACUAACACUUAGGCAAAAAGUUAAAAAAGAGGCCAAAACUCUACUUGGUUGUAGUAACGACACGCAAACACAUAUAUAGCACCACGUAGAUAUUAGGCACGCAUUACAACUUACGGGACUCGAUUCCGACCUACGGAGGCCGAGUUAUCAGCCCGUAGGUAAAACUGACCAACACUUAGGCAAGAAGUCAAAAAAGAGGUCAAAACCCGCCUCGGCAGUCGUAAAGACACACAAACAUGAACAUAGUACCGUGUAGGUAUUAGGCACAUGUUAGAACUUACGGGACUCGAUUACGACUUACAGAGGCUGAGUUAUCAACCCGUAGGCAAAACUGACCAACACUUUGGCAAAAUGUCGAAAAAGAGGUCAAAACUGCCUCGGUCGUCGUAACAACACGCAAACAUGUGUAUAGUACCGUGUAGGUAUUAGGCACAUGUUAUAACUUACGGGACUCGAUUCCAACUUACGGAGGCCGAGUUAUCAGCCCGUAGCCAAAACUGACCAACACUUUGGCAAAAUGUCGAAAAAAGAGGCCAAAAUCGCCUCGGCCGUCGUCACAACAUGUAAACACAUACAUAGCACCACGUAGGUAUUAGGCACACGUUACAACUUACGAGACUAAUUUCCGACUUACGGAGGCUGAGUUAUCAGUCCGUAGGCAAAACUCUCCAACACUUAGGCAAAAAGUCAAAAAAGAGGCCAAAACCCGCCUCGACCGUCGUAACAACACGCAAACACAAACAUAGCACAAUGUAGGUAUUAAGCACGCGUUACAAUAUAUGUUACUCGAUUCCGACUUACGGAGGCCGAGUUAUCAGCCCGUAGGCAAAACUGACCAAUAAUUAGGUAAAAAAUUAAAAAAGAGGCCAAAACCCGCCUCGGCCGUUGUAACUACAUGAAAACACAUGCAUAGUACCGCGUAGGUAUUAGGCAUGCGUUAAAACUUACGGGACCCAAUUCCAACUUACGUAGGCCGAGUUAAUAGCCCGUAGGCAAAACUGACCAACACUUAGNNNNNNNNNNNNNNNNNNNNNNNNNNNNNNNNNNNNNNNNNNNNNNNNNNNNNNNNNNNNNNNNNNNNNNNNNNNNNNNNNNNNNNNNNNNNNNNNNNNNGUAGGUAUUAGGCACGUGUUACAACUUGUGGGACUCUAUUCCGAUUUACGGAGGCCGACUUAUCAGCCCGUAGGCAAAACUGACUAACACUUAGACAAAAAGUCAAAAAAGAGGCCAAAACCCGCCUCGGUCUUCAUAACGACACGCAAAUGCGUGCAUAGCACCGCCUAGGUAUUAGGCAUGCAUUACAACAUAUGGGACUCGAUUCCGACUUACAUAGGCCGAGUUAUCAGCCCGUAGGCAAAACUGACCAACACUUUGGCAAAAAGUCAAAAAAGAGUCCAAAAUCUGCCUCGGCCAUCGUAACAAUAUGUAAACUUGUAUAUAGCAUAGCGUAGGUAUUAGGAACGCGUUACAAAUUACGGAAUUUGUUUCUGACAUACGGAGGCCAAGUUAUCAGCCCGUAGGCAAAAUUGACCAAUACUUAGGCAAAAAGUCAAAAAAGAGGCCAAAACUCGUCUCGGUCGUCAUAACCAUACACAAACACAUACAUAGCACUACGUAGGUAUUAGACACGCGUUAUAACUUAUGGAACUCGAUUCCAACUUACAGAGGCCGAGUUACCAGCCCCGUAGGCAAAACUGACCAAUAAUUAUGCAAAAUGUCAAAAAAGAGGCCAAAACCCGCCUCGGCCGUCGUAACAACACGCAAACACGUGCAUAGUACCGCGUAGGUAUUCGGCAAGCGUUACAACUUACGGGACGCGAUUCCAACUUACAGAGGUCGAGUUAUCAGCCCGUAGUCAAAACUAACUAACACUUAGGCAAAAAGUCGAAAAAGAGGCCAAAACCCACCUCGGUCGUCGUAACAACACGUAAACACAUACAUAACACCACGUAGGUACUAGGCACACGUUACAACUUACGGGACUAAUUUUUGACUUACGGAGGCCGAGUUAUCAGUCCGUAGGCAAAACUCGCCAACACUUAGGCAAAAAGUCAAAAAAGAGGCCAAAACUCGUCUCGACCGUCAUAACAACACGCAAACACAUACAUAGCACAAUGUAGAUAUUAGGCACGUGUUACAAUAUAUGUUACUCGAUUCUGACUUACGGAGGCCGACUUAUUAGCCCGUAGGCAAAACCGACCAACACUUAGGCAAAAAGUCAAAAAAGAGGCCAAAACUAGCCUCAGCCGUCGAAAGGACACGCAAACACAUACAUAGCACCACGUAGGUAUUAGGCACGUGUUACAACUUGUGAGACUCUAUUCUGAUUUACGGAGGCCGACUUAUCAGCCCGUAGACAAAACUGACUAACACUUAGACAAAAAGUCGAAAAAGAGACCAAAACCCGCCUCGGUCUUCAUAACGACAAGCAAACACGUACAUAGCACCGCGUAGGUAUUAGGCAUGCAUUACAACAUAUGGGACUCGAUUCCGACUUACAUAGGCCGAGUUAUCAGCCCGUAGGCAAAACUGACCAACACUUUGGCAAAAAGUCGAAAAAGAGUCCAAAACCCGCCUCGGCCAUCGUAACAAUAUGCAAACUUGUAUAUAGUACAGCGUAGGUAUUAGGAACGCAUUACAAAUUAUGGAAUUCGUUUCUGACAUACGAAGGCCAAGUUAUCAGCCCAUAGGCAAAAUUGACCAAUACUUAGGCAAAAAGUCAAAAAAGAGGCCAAAACCCGUCUCGAUCGUCAUAAUGACACACAAACACAUACAUAGCGCUACGUAGGUAUUAGACACGUGUUACAACUUAUGGAACUCGAUUCCAACUUACGGAGGCCGAGUUACCAGCCCAUAGGCAAAACUAACCAACAAUUAUGCAAAAUGUCGAAAAAUAGGCCAAAACCCGCCUCGGCCGUCGUAACAACACGCAAACACGUGCAUAGUACCGCGUAGAUAUUCAGCACGCGUUACAACUUACGGGAUGAGAUUCCAACUUACAGAGGUCGAGUUAUCAGCCCGUAGUCAAAACUGACUAACAUUUAGGCAAAAAGUCGAAAAAGAGGCCAAAACCCACCUCGGUCGUCGUAACAACACGUAAACACAUACAUAACACCACGUAGGUACUAGGCACACGUUACAACUUACGAGACUAAUUUUUUACUUACGGAGGCCGAGUUAUCAGUCCGUAGGCAAAACUCGCCAACACUUAGGCAAAAAGUCAAAAAAGAGGCCAAAACUCGUCUCGACCGUCAUAACAACACGCAAACACAUACAUAGCACAAUGUAGAUAUUAGGCACGCGUUACAAUAUAUGUUACUCGAUUCCGACUUACGGAGGCCGACUUAUUAGCCCGUAGGCAAAACUGACCAACACUUAGGUAAAAAGUUAAAAAAGAGGCCAAAACCCGCCUCGACCGUUAUAAUGACACGAAAACACAUGCAUAGUACUGCAUAGGUAUUAGGCAAAUGUAAAAACUUACGGGACUCGAUUCCAACUAACGUAGGCCGAGUUAAUAGCCCGUAGGCAAAACUAACCAACACUUAGGUAAAAAAUCAAAAAAGAGGCUAAAACCCGCCUCGGCCGUCGUAAUGUCACGCAAACUCGUACAUAGUACUGCGUAGGUAUUAGGCAUGUAUUACAACUUACGGAACUCGAUUCUGACUUAUGGAGGCCGAGUUAUCAGCCCGUAAGCAAAACUGACCAACACUUAGGUAAAAAGUCGAAAAAGAGGCCAAAAUCCACCACAGCCAUCGUAACGAUACGCAAACACAUGCAUAGCACCGCGUAGGUAUUAGGCACGCAUUACAACUUAUGGGACUCAAUUUCGACAUACGGAGGCCGAGUUAUCAGCCCUUAGGCAAAACUGAACAACAUUUAGGUAAAAAGUCAAAAAAGAGGCCAAAACCCGCCUCGGCAGUCAUAACGACUCGCAAACACAUAAAUAGCACCGCGUAGGUAUUAGGCGUGUGUUACAACUUACGGGACUCAAUUCUGACUUACGGAGGCCGAGUUAUCAGCCCGUAGGCAAAACUAACCAACAUAUAGGUUAAAAGUCGAAAAAGAGGCCAAAACCCGCCUCGGUCAUCGUAAUAACACGCAAACAUGUGCAUAGUACCGCGUAGGUAUUAGGCACGCAUUACAACUUACGGGACUCGAUUCCAACUUACGGAGGCCGAGUUAUCAGCCCGUAGCUAAAACUGACCAACACUUAGGCAAAAAGUCAAAAAAGAGACCAAAACCCGCGUCUGCCACCGUAACAACACGCAAACACAUAUAUAGCACUGCGUAGGUAUUAGGCGUGUGUUACAACUUACGGGACCCGAUUCAGAGUUAUGGAGGCCGAGUUAUCCGCCCGUAGGCAAAACUGACCGACACUUAGGUAAAAAGUUAAAAAAUAGGCCAAAACCCGCCUCGGCGGUUGUAACGACACGAAAACACAUGCAUAGUACCGCGUAGGUAUUAAGCAUGCGUUAACACUUACGGGACUCGAUUCCAAAUUACGGAGGCCGAGUUAUCAGCCCGUAAGCAAAACUGACCAACACUUAGGUAAAAAGUCAAAAAAAGAGGCCAAAACCGCCUCGGCCGUCAUAACGACACUCAAGCACGCACAUAUCACCGUUUAGGUAUUAGGCACGCGUUACUACUUACGGGACUCGAUUCUGAUUUACUAAGACCGAGUUAUCAGCUCGUAGGCAAAACUGACCAACACUUAGGUAAAAAGUCAAAAAAGAGGCCAAAACCCGCCUCAGCCAUCGUAACGAUAUGCAAACACAUACAUAACACCGCAUAGGUAUUAUGCAUGCAUUACAACUUACGGUACCCGAUUUCGACAUACGAAGGCCGUCGUCAGCCCGUAGGCAAAACUAACCAACACUUGGGCAAAAAGUCAAAAAAGAGGCCAAAACUUACGGGACUCAAAUACAUACAUAGCACUGCAUGGGUAUUAGGCAUGCGCUAUAACUUACGGGACUCAAUUCUGACUUACGGAGGCUGAGUUAUCAGCCCGUAAGCAAAACUGAACAACAUUUAGGUAAAAAGUCAAAAAAGGGGCCAAAACUCGCCUCGGCUGUCGUAACGACACGAAAACACAUACAUAGCACCGCGUAGGUAUUAGACACUCGUUACAACUUAUGGGACUCAAUUCUGACUUACGGAGGCCGCCGUAGGGAAAACUCGACAACACUUAGGCAGAAAGUCGAAAAAGAGGCCAAAACCCGCCUCGACCGUCGUAACAACACGCGCACACAUACAUAGCACAGAACGGGACUCAAUUCUAACUUACGGAGGCCAAGUUAUCAGCCCGUAGGUAAAACUGACCAACACUUAGGGAAGAAGUCAAAAAAGAGGCCAAAACCCGCCUCGGUAGUCGUAAAGACACGCAAACAUGAACAUAGCACCAUGUAGGUAUUAGGCACGUGUUAGAACUUACAUGACUCGAUUCCGACUUACAGAGGCCGAGUUAUCAGCCCGUAGGCAAAACUGACCAACACUUUGGCAAAAAGUCAAAAAAGAGUCCAAAAUCCGCCUCGGCCAUCGUAACAAUAUGUAAACUUGUAUAUAGCAUAGCGUAGGUAUUAGGCACGCGUUAAAACUUACGGAACUCGAUUCCGACAUACGGAGGCCGAGUUAUCAGCCCGUAGGCAAAACUGAACAACACUUAGGCAAAAAGUCAAAAAAGAGGCCAAAACAUGCCUCGACCGUCGUAACGACACGCAAACACAUGCAUAGCACCGUGCAUGUAUUAGGCAUGUGCUACAACUUACGGGACUCGAUUCCGACAUAUGUAGGACAAGUUGUCAGCCCGUAGGCAAAAUUGACCAACACUUAGGUAAAAAGUUAAAAAAAAGGCCAAAACACGCCACGGCCAUUGUAAUGACAUGCAAACACAUGCAUAGCACCGCGUAGGUAUUAAGCAAGCAUUAUAACUCCUGACUCAAUUCCGACUUACGGAGGCCGAGUUAUCAGUUCGUAGGCAAAACUGACCAACACUUAGGGAAAAAUUCAAAAAAGAAGCCAAAACCCACCUCGGCCAUCGUAAAAACACGCAAAGACAUGGCACCGCGUAGGUAUUAGGCACGCGUUACAGCUUAUGGGACUCGAUUCCGAUUUACGGAGGCCGAGUUAUCAGCCCGUAGGCAAAACUAACUAACACUUAGGUAAAAAGUCAAAAAAGAAGCCAAAACCCGCCGCGGCCAUCGUAAUGUUACAAAAACACAUACAUAGCACCACAUAGGUAUUAGGCAUGCGUAACAACUUACGGCACUCGAUUCCGACAUACGGAGGCCGAGUUAUCAGCUCGUAGGCAAAACUGACAAACACUUAGGUAAAAAGUUAAAAAGAGGCCAAAACCCGCCUCGACCGUUGUAACGACACGAAAACACAUGCAUAGUACCGCAUAGGUAUUAGGCACACGUUAAAACUUACGGGACUCUAUUCCAACUUAUGUAGGCCGAGUUAAUAGCCCGUAGGCAAAACUGACUAACACUUAGGUAAAAAAUAAAAAAAGAGGCUAAAACCCGCCUCGACCGUCGUAAUGUCACGCAAACUCGUAUAUACUACCGCGUAGGUAUUAGGCAUGCGUUAUAACUUACGAAACUCGAUUCUGACUUACGGAGGCCGAGUUAUCAGCCCGUAGGCAAAACUGACCAACACUUAGGUAAAAAGUCGAAAAAGAGGCCAAAACUCACCUCAACCAUCGUAUUAGGCAUGCUUUAAAACUUACGGGACUCAAUUCUAACAUACGUAGACCGAAUUAUAAGCCCGUAUACAAAAUUUAACAACACUUAGGUAAAAAGUUAAAAAAGAGGCCAAAACCCGCAUCAACCAUUUUAAUGACACGCAAAUACAUGCAUAGUACCGCGUAGGAAUUAGGCACGCAUUACAACUUACGGGACUCAAUUCCGACUUACAGAGGCCGAGUUAUCAUAAUGACAUGCAAACACAUACAUAGCAUCACAUAGGUAUUUGGCACGCAUUAAAACUUACGAGACUCGAUUCCAAUAGACGGAUGCCGAGUUAUCAGCCCGUAGGUAAAACUAACCAAUAGAUACGUAAAAAGUCAAAAAAGAGGCCAAAACUCACCUUGGCUGUAGUAACGACAUGCAAACACAUACACAACACCACGUAGGUAUUUGGCACGUGUUAUAACUUACGGGACUCGAUUCCGACUUACGGAGGCCGAGUUAUCAGCCCGUAGGCAAAACUGACCAACACUUAUGCAAAAAGUCGAAAAAUAUGCAAAAAACCAGUCUCGACCGUCGUAAUGAGACGCAAACUAAUACAUAGCACCGCGUAGGAAUUAGGCACGCUACAACUUAUAGGACUCAAUUCUGACUUACGGAGGCCCAGUUAUCAGCCCAUUGGCAAAACUGACCAACACUUGGGCAAAAAGUCAAAAAAGAAGCCAAAAUUAGCCUCGGCCGUCGUAAUGACACACAAACAUAUACAUAGCACCACGUAGGCAUUAGGCACGCGUUACAACUUACGGGACUCAAUUUCGAUUUACGGAGGCCGAGUUAUCAGCCUGUAAGCAAAACUGACUAACACUUAUGCAAAAAUUCGAAAAAGAGGCCAAAACCCGCCUCAGCCGUCAUAACGACACGCAAACACGUAUAUAGCAUCGUGAAGGUAAUAGGCAUGUGUUACAACUUAUGGGACUCAAUUCUGACUUACAUAGGCCGAGUUAUCAGCCCGUAGGGAAAACUAACCAACACUUAGGGAAAAAGUCAAAAAAGAGGCCAAAACCCGCCUCGGCCGUUGUAACAAAACGCAAACAUGUACAUAGAACCGCGUAGAUAUUAGGCACGCGUUACAAGUUACGGGACUUAAUUCCGACUUACGGAGGCCGAGUUAUCAGUCCGUAGGCAAAACUGACUAACACUUAGGCAAAAAGUUAAAAAAGAGGCCAAAACCCGUCUCAGUCAUCGUAACGACACGUAAACAAAUACAUAGCACCGUGUAGGUAUUAGGCACGCGUUACAAGUUACAGAACUCGAAUCUAACUUACAGAGGCCGAGUUAUUAGCCUGUAGGCAAAACUGACCAACACUUAGGCAAACAGUUGAAAAAGAGGCCAAAACCAGCCUCGGCCGUCGUAAGGACACGCAAACACGUAUAUAGCACCACGUAGGUAUUAGGCACGUGUUACAACUUGUGGGACUUGAUUCUGAUUUACGGAGCCCGACUUAUCAGCCCGUAGGCAAAACUGACUAACACUUAGACAAAAAGUCGAAAAAGAGGCCAAAACCCGCCUCGAUCUUCAUAACAACACGCAAACAUGUACAUAGCACCGCGUAGGUAUUAGGCAUGCAUUACAAAAGAGAUGUCUUGAUGCAAUACGAAAGAAGAAAUUCAAUAAGUUUAUUAUUAAUUUUGUAUUUUUAUUUAGAGAUAAAUGUGUUAUUAAUGAAAUUAUUUAGUAUGAUAUUAUAGUAAUAGCUUUUCAUUAGGAGAGUUUUAAUUGUAGUAAUAGAUUUCAAUUAGAAGAGUUUAUAAUAGUAGUAGAUUUUAAUUAGAAGAUUGUUUCCUAGUAUUGGGUUUUAUAUUUAAGCAUUAUAAUACUUCAUAAGUUUCUAAAAUUUUCAAUUCAGACCCUUAAGUUUUUGAAAUUUUCAAUUCUGUCCCCAAAGUUUCUAAAAUUUUCAAUUCAGCCCCUCUACAUAUAUACAAUGUCUUCCAGGUUUAACAAUCCAGACUUUCUUUGGGCUAAGAUAAAGCAACUUGAGCAUCGAACUUUGAUCAUAUGCGAGCAAUUUAAAUGGUCUUGUGUCCCGUAUAGUGCGAGAGUAUUGGAAAUUAUGUGAUGAGCUUGCACUUUCUGAAACAAGUCUUGCAAAUUUAAAGGCACAUUACGAGUACAUAACCACAUGUUUUGUUUGUCCAUGUUUUGUUCAGGCACAAAAAAAUGUUCAUCCUAAUCGUGUUUGUUCAACUAAAGCGACACGUUCACAAGAGGAAACCUGCAACGUAAAUUCUUACAAGACAAUUGAUGACUGUUUCACAAUACUUAAACGUCUCAAUAACCAAUAUGAAAUUGGUGAGGAUAAAGAAGAGCAAGUACUCUCACAUAUUAAUGCUGGUGAGAAACAUGAAUCGGAAGUUAAGUGUGUUGAAAAACUUGCAGAUUCAGAGAUGAUUUAUAGUGAGAAAAUUGAAGUUAAGUUUGACCCCAAAUGCAAAAACAUCAAAGAAGAUAAAUUUGAGGUCAACAAUAUUGAUUUUCUCUUUCCCGUUGAUACAGUUGAGUUCCCAACUACUUCAAAUAUCUAUAUUAUGUCAUUGUUAUUCCCAAAAAUUGUGCUAAUGACAUUAAAACAUCGGAUGCGAAUGUUUUGUUGGAAGAAAUCUCUCGGGCCGUGGUUUAUUAUUCUACGAUAUUUCAACUCGAGGACGAGUUUUUUUUUAAGGCGAGGAGAAUGAUGAAGUACGGAAGAAGAAAUUCAAUAAGUUUGUUAUUAAUUUUGUAUUUUUAUUUAGAGAUAAAUGUGUUAUUAAUUAAAUUAUUUAGUAGGAUAUUAUAGUAAUAGUUUUUCAUUAGGAGAGUUUUAAUUGUAGUAGUAGAUUUCAAUUAGGAGAGUAUUAUAGUAGUAGAUUUUAGUUAGAAGAUUGUUUCCUUUCUAAAUUAGAGUUUUUACUUAAUCCCCAAGUAUUGGGUUUUGUAUUUAAGUAUUGUAAUACUUCAUUAUUUUGGGAUAUUAUUGAAUAUAUUGAUUUGAGAUUAAAACUGUGUGCUUUUGUGUGUGUUUCUUUACCGAUUCUCUGCGGGAGAUAGGUACUCUUAUUCCUUCUUCCUACCCCGUCCUACAUCAUGUCUACUUAAGAGUGCCAUACACAAAUCUUAAUAUUUUCGUUUUCAUAUCAGUCUUUUUUAAUAUUUUGCUCCUAUUUUCUUUUAGCAUCUCUAUGGCCAGUGCUAGUAAUACCAUCUUAGCCUUUUAACUGUCUGCAACACACUUAUGUGCAGUAAACAAGCAAUGAACCAACACAAUGAGAAACAUGGAUGAUAACACAUUUCUAGGUCCAAAUUUUGUAUGCUAUCUAUCUGUCUAUAUAAAAGUGUUUACAAGAAAAAAGCACAUAUGUUUAUACCUUUCCCCAUUCAGAACCAAGACCACCACAUCUCAUUUUCAAGUGUAUCAUCCUCGUUCCUAGUUCAUUCUCUACUUUCUUUCACAAAAAGGUCUCAUCAGGUCCAAAUGCUUCCAGAUAUGCAGUGUAACGUUCAAAAUCAGUGUUUAAUGAUUUAACAAAUUUAUAUGGUAAAGGUCUGACAUUCUGCAGAAAUAUUCACAUGAGUAUACAGCAUGAAUCCGAGAAACAGUAAAUAAAUAAGUGUCACCAAUAACAAUGUUUUUAUGUAACCUCGCCACUCAAUCCAAGGUUGUCAUCAAUUUCCAUCCUCAAAGAUACAAGUUUUCCCGUAAAUUCCUCAACUGCCUCAGCUGCACGGAGUAUAUUAGCCAAGAUCUCCUGGCCAGCCUUGUCUUCUGUAUUUUUAGACAAUGCCUUGUUUGCAUAAUGAAUGACAGCAUUUGGGAGCUCAUCCCAACUUGCAGCCAUCAAGUCCUUGACAACAGUUUCGAUCUCACGAUCAUUUAUGGCAGGCAUGUGACUCAAAUAACGCCUGCUUCCAAUGUUCAUCGAACUCGAGAGAGGGGACCGGAAAUCUCGUAAUAUCAAAUGACAUCACAUUAUUCUUUUUGGCAGGUAAUACAAAAAGAUAUACUAACUCAAAACAGGAAAGCUAAAGCUCAUAGAUAAUGUAUAUCUAUUGACUCUAGCCAAGCCUAACCAAAGUCCACAAUGCAGAAAAUCUGUCCUAAAGACACCAAAUGAUGCAACUUCUAAAUAAAUGCUCAUUAGUAAAUUUGUGUCCUAAAAGCACUCUCCACAUAAAGAUGUUAAGUACCCAGAUCAAUCUUGUUGAACAAAAUGCCACUCAAGUAGAAUUAUUCCAUCCCAAGAUAUUAUAUUAUAUAUAUAUAUAUAUAUAGUAGGAACAAAAGAGAAAAAUAAGCAAGGACGAUAACGAAGAAAGUACCAGGAGUGAGGCGUUUUGCAACAGUUGGGAGAUGGAAAUAGCGGAGUCCACGGCUGAGGUGAUGCUGGUUGCUGGUAGUGGCGGUAGCGGUGGCCGCAAUAGAGAAACCUAGGGAUCUGCGAUAGAUCGAACGGUAUAGAGAUCUCAUCGUAACAAUUUUCUCCAUUUUCGUUCUUGGAGUGACGACCCUUUUCCCUGCUGCCGUUCGGCAACAACAUAUUUUAAAAUGACUUAAAGUUAAAAUUUAAGUUGACUUAUAAGUUAUUUUAAGUUAUGACUUAUAAGUAAAAGCGUUCAACAUCAAUUUGACUUAAAAGUUAGAAAUUAAGUUAAAACAAGUUAUGAAGGUGUUUAGCUAAUAAUGACUUAUAAGUUAAAAUCAAAUGUAAAGAUUACUAAAAAUGACAUUAAUAAAAAGAUACUUUGAUUUAAUAACAUAUCAUAACAAUCAUCCACAAUUUCAUUAAAUAAAACACUAAAAGUGGAUUUAAAAAACAGUGUUAUACUACUAAAAGUAGUGUACCCUACGUGGUUUGCAUUUUGCACCAUGGUUAGAUCAAAAUAGAACAAUAUAACUAGAAAAUUCUUUACCACAUUCACUAAAUAUUCAAUUGAUUAGCAUCUGGAAAAAAACCACUAAAUUGAAUCAGCCAAAAAUAAAGUUCCAUUCCAAACCUUAAAAUUAAUAUACUCCUAUUAAAACAAAAACAAUACAAGACAUCAAGAGGCCAAAGCAAAACCAAACAGAAAAUAAUGAAAUUCUACUUGAAUUAUUAAAAAGAUUCUUAAAAAACAUGUUUUAAACAAAAAAGAAAUUAGGUGCUUUCAAAAAUUCAUUGAUUAGCCACAAGGUACUUAAUUAACAAGAAAACCACUAAAAUAACUAAAGUUAUGUUUGAUAAAAUUGAAAGUUAAGAUCUGAACAGUUUAGAUAUCUAAAAUGUAGAGCAUCUGAAUCAAAAUGUUGUUUGAUAGUUAAUUCUUUCAAAAUGUCUAAAUAAUAGUAUUUUACAAUUUUAACAUUUUCUUCCUUCUUUCUAUUCAACAACCUAGCUUCUUCUCCUUCCCCUUUCUUCUCCUCCUCCUCCUCCCCCCCUAAUACACUCUAUCGCGCUGAACCGAGUUCAGUUUUCUGGUACAUCAAUAUGGGGUAAUCACACAUAUACUUCAAAUACCAACUAUAAUCAUCAGUAAAAUCUUUUGAUACAUAUAUUGAGAGGGAAAAAAUGAAGGAAAAGUGAUUUCAAAUCGGAUUGUCUGUGCGAUUACUUUACCGUUGAUGAUGGUUGCCUUCUGAUCCGAUGUGGCCGUCCUUUUUCAAGUAUGAAUUUGAUUAAUUAUUCUCUUGUAUUGCUUAGCUUUUCCGAUCCCCAGUUUUGCUAUUUCUAUUUCAUCUGCGUUCUCUCAUCUCAUUCCCAGUUUUGCUCUUUCUAUUUACAUGUAAUUUGUUGAAUAUUAAGGAUGAAUAUGAGGAAAGUGAUGGAGGGUGAUGUUCAAUUUCAUGUGAUCCAUUUAUCUCCUAGCUACAUUCUUUCUGAUUUGAUCCAUGAAAAAAAUUUAUCAAAAAAAAAAAUUUGUCUUCGAUCUACAGUUAGAUUUUGAGAAGGUUAUUUUUGUCCAAAAAAAAUCAAAUUUUCGCUCAGAUGGGCUCUGACUGGUUUAGCUGUAUUUUUGAAUCUUAUAUAUUAAGAGGUAUUCAGAGGCAUAAAAAUGUUUACCAAACAAGUUGUGCCUCUGACCGAAUCAGAGGCACAACUAUUCAGAGCCAUUAAGACGUAAACAAACACAGCCUAAGCCUAGUCUGGAUACCAUUUUAGUCCAACUAAAAUGUUCGAGUCUACCCUAUCUUCAGUAAGAAGCCGGGGAGGAUGCACGUUAGGGGCAGGGGGGCACCUGACCCCACUAAAAUUUCAGAGGUUCAAGGGGGUCAACUUAAAAAAAUUAUUUGAGAAGGCUGUGAAAUGAAAUUUUUAUAUUAUAUACUUCAAAACCUAUUAAACUUCCUAAAGUUAACUGUUAAAGUCUAAAAGACCAAAUCCUAUGGACGUUAUUAUGGAAUCCCACUACAACACUACUCCACUAGUAGUCUUAGACAUUUAGACUUUUAGUACUUCACUUUAUCUAUUGAUCGCAACAAAGGACAUAGCAACAUCAAUUCCAAGUCUCUUAGGUCUCCAUAUUCGCAAUCGCAACAGAGCAACUCCAAAUUCAAGUAUUUUUUAAUUAUAAUUUUAGUUUUUUAAUUUCACAAAUUUAACAAUUGCCUCAGAAAUUUUUGUAAUUGUUUAUAGAUUCUUUUUUUGUACUUUUAUAAAAUUAGGGCUUUUUACUUCUUAAAGCAACACUGCAACAAAGAAGAAAACUCCAUCAAAUAAAAGUUCUUCAAAUUCAAGUGUGUUUUAUUCUAUUUUUACUUUCUUUAAAUUUUGUAAUUUAUUUUGUAAUGUUACUUGUUAGUGGUUUAAUUGAGAUUGUUUAUUGUUGAUACUAAUUGCACUUGAAUAUUCAUAUCGUAUAUUGAUCUUGUUUUAAUGUUAAAUUAGUUUUUAAAUAUUUAUUGAUUGUCAGGCAUGGACAUACGUAAUUGGGUUUCAACUAAACGUACAAAAUUUGAAUCUAUUCCUGAAAAUGUCCAAGCAGAAAGGACUAGUAACGACCCUGUCACUGCUGAUAUUCACCAAGAAACUCACCCGCAAAAUGUUAACCCCCAAACCCAAGUACCAAAAUCUUUUGACCAAAAUAUCCAGUUUCAAACUCAUACACCGGUAUCUACUUCCCUUAAUAUUGUGGGGGUCCCGGUAAAAGACCGCCAAUAAGUUCUUAUCCCACUAGUGAAAGAGAGAAUUUUUGAAAAAGUUAUUUACUUAGGGGGCCGACUCAACCAAUACCUCUCAAAUUUCCCGAUACACUAAUUAGUGGAGUUGCUCGUAAUUAGUUAUUUUCAAAUGUUGGUUGAGAAAAGAAAGGAUGAUGUAUAUCCCCAAGUCUAUUUGUUGCUGAAGUUGGAUCUACUUUUGCCUGUUGCUACUGCAACUAUUGAAAGGACAUUUUCGGUCAUGAAUAUUGUGAAGAAUGAACUCCGUAACCAAAUGAGAGAUGAAUGAAUGACUGUUUAGUAACUUACAUUAACCAUGAUAUUUUUGCAACUAUUAAAAAUGAGGCUAUCAUGCAACAAUUUCAAGCAAUGAAACCUCGAAAAAUAUUGUUGUAAACAAUAUUUGAGGAUUAUUUAGUUUUGUGAUUUAUUUUAUUAAAUUUUUAUUCUUAAGGGAUUUUUUUUCGAAUUUGACCCACUGAAUUACGAGACUGAUAAGAAAUCAGUUCUAGAUUCAAAAGAUUAAAAAAAAAAGUUUCCCCUAGUUUUGCUCUUGACCCCCUAGGCCCUAGGAUUGAAAUAUAUUCUUAAAUUUACUACAGUAUAAUAGUGUAGGUUCUCAUAAAAAUUGAAAAUAUUGAACAAAAGAACAAAACUUUAAUAUUUCAACUACAGAAUUCAUACUUAGUGAAACAGUGACUAGAAAAUCCAUCUAUAUAAUUCAUACCAAAAUUACAUUAACCAUACAGCAGCAGGAGAUUCCUUCACCAAGAGAAAUGAAUUAAGAAUCAGACUUAAAUUAUCUCUAAUAGACAAAUUUUCCAAUAAUGAUCAGCCUCCACAAUGUCAUCAUAACAAAUGCUGUCACAAAUCCUCUUCAAGGAGGCAAAUCAUAAGGAAAGGCCAAAAUGGUGGCAAAACAGUUGAUCUGCAAAUUUGUAGUCUUUUGUUUGGCAUCUAAAGCAGAACCCAAAUUAGGCCGCGCAAAGGAUAAAUAUCAAGUAUACCCAUCAAGAGUUAGCUCCCACACUCCCCAACAAAAAUAAAUCUUUGAACUUAAAAAGGGGUCAAUUUUUAUUCUCUUAAAGAAAGUAGUCUUUGAUAGCCUUGAACAUAUAUCACAGUGAAGAUUCAACUAAUUUAAACCUAAUAAUUAAAAUGAAUUUAUAUAAUCAAAUAAAACCUAAUAGUUAAAAUGAAAACACCAAAAGGGCCAUCAGAAGCUAUCAAAAUCUGAUUAAUAGGAACAUACAAGAUCUCAAUAAACUGUAAUCUGAGAAAAACAUCCUCUUUUACCUGAUUCAGGUGAUUAGAGUUAGAGACAACUCGAUCUUAAAUUGUAAUAUUGAUGGAUCAAAUCAAAAAUUCCAAAACCAGCCUUGGCCGUUGUAACGAUACUUAAAAAAGUACAUAGCAUCGCGUAGAUAUUAGGCACGUGUUACAAGUUACGGAACUCAAUUCUGACUUACGGAGGCCGAGUUAUCAGCCCAUAGGCAAAACUGACUAAUACUUAGGCAAAAAGUUAAAAAAGAGGCCAAAACCCGUCUCAGUCAUCGUAACGACACAUAAACAAAUACAUAGCACCGUGUAGGUAUUAGGCAUGCGUUACAACUUACAGAACUCGAAUCUAACUUACAGAGGACGAGUUAUUAGCUCGUAUGCAAAACUAACCAACACUUAGGUAAACAGUCGAAAAAGAGGCCAAAACCAUCCUCGGCCAUCGUAAGGACACGCAAACACGUACAUAGCACCACGUAGGUAUUAGGCACGUGUUACAACUUGUGGGACUCGAUUCCGAUUUACGGAGCCCGACUUAUCAGCCCGUAGGCAAAACUGACCAACACUUAGGCAAAAAGUCAAAAAAUAGGAUUCUGACUUACGAAGGCCGAGUUAUCAGCCCGUAGGCAAAACUGACCAACACUUAGGCAAAAAGUCGAAAAAGAGGCCAAAACUUGUAUCGGCCUUCAUAACGACACGCAAACACAUACAUAGCACCGCGUAGGUAUUAGGCACGCGUUACAACUUACGGGACUCGAUUCAGACGUACGGAGGCCGAGUUAUCAGCCCAUAGGCAAAACUGACUAAUACUUAGGCAAAAAGUUUAAAAAGAGGCCAAAACCCGUCUCAGUCAUCGUAACGACACAUAAACAAAUACAUAGCACCGUGUAGGUAUUAGGCAUGCGUUACAACUUACAGAACUCGAAUCUAACUUACAGAGGACGAGUUAUUAGCUCGUAUGCAAAACUAACCAACACUUAGGUAAACAGUCGAAAAAGAGGCCAAAACUUGUAUCGGCCUUCAUAACGACACGCAAACACAUACAUAGCACCGCGUAGGUAUUAGGCACGCGUUACAACUUACGGGACUCGAUUCAGACGUACGGAGGCCGAGUUAUCAGCCCAUAGGCAAAACUGACUAAUACUUAGGCAAAAAGUUUAAAAAGAGGCCAAAACCCGUCUCAGUCAUCGUAACGACACAUAAACAAAUACAUAGCACCGUGUAGGUAUUAGGCAUGCGUUACAACUUACAGAACUCGAAUCUAACUUACAGAGGACGAGUUAUUAGCUCGUAUGCAAAACUAACCAACACUUAGGUAAACAGUCGAAAAAGAGGCCAAAACUUGUAUCGGCCUUCAUAACGACACGCAAACACAUACAUAGCACCGCGUAGGUAUUAGGCACGCGUUACAACUUACGGGACUCGAUUCAGACGUACGGAGGCCGAGUUAUCAGCCCAUAGGCAAAACUGACUAAUACUUAGGCAAAAAGUUUAAAAAGAGGCCAAAACCCGUCUCAGUCAUCGUAACGACACAUAAACAAAUACAUAGCACCGUGUAGGUAUUAGGCAUGCGUUACAACUUACAGAACUCGAAUCUAACUUACAGAGGACGAGUUAUUAGCUCGUAUGCAAAACUAACCAACACUUAGGUAAACAGUCGAAAAAGAGGCCAAAACUUGUAUCGGCCUUCAUAACGACACGCAAACACAUACAUAGCACCGCGUAGGUAUUAGGCACGCGUUACAACUUACGGGACUCGAUUCAGACGUACGGAGGCCGAGUUAUCAGCCCAUAGGCAAAACUGACUAAUACUUAGGCAAAAAGUUUAAAAAGAGGCCAAAACCCGUCUCAGUCAUCGUAACGACACAUAAACAAAUACAUAGCACCGUGUAGGUAUUAGGCAUGCGUUACAACUUACAGAACUCGAAUCUAACUUACAGAGGACGAGUUAUUAGCUCGUAUGCAAAACUAACCAACACUUAGGUAAACAGUCGAAAAAGAGGCCAAAACUUGUAUCGGCCUUCAUAACGACACGCAAACACAUACAUAGCACCGCGUAGGUAUUAGGCACGCGUUACAACUUACGGGACUCGAUUCAGACGUACGGAGGCCGAGUUAUCAGCCCAUAGGCAAAACUGACUAAUACUUAGGCAAAAAGUUUAAAAAGAGGCCAAAACCCGUCUCAGUCAUCGUAACGACACAUAAACAAAUACAUAGCACCGUGUAGGUAUUAGGCAUGCGUUACAACUUACAGAACUCGAAUCUAACUUACAGAGGACGAGUUAUUAGCUCGUAUGCAAAACUAACCAACACUUAGGUAAACAGUCGAAAAAGAGGCCAAAACUUGUAUCGGCCUUCAUAACGACACGCAAACACAUACAUAGCACCGCGUAGGUAUUAGGCACGCGUUACAACUUACGGGACUCGAUUCAGACGUACGGAGGCCGAGUUAUCAGCCCAUAGGCAAAACUGACUAAUACUUAGGCAAAAAGUUUAAAAAGAGGCCAAAACCCGUCUCAGUCAUCGUAACGACACAUAAACAAAUACAUAGCACCGUGUAGGUAUUAGGCAUGCGUUACAACUUACAGAACUCGAAUCUAACUUACAGAGGACGAGUUAUUAGCUCGUAUGCAAAACUAACCAACACUUAGGUAAACAGUCGAAAAAGAGGCCAAAACUUGUAUCGGCCUUCAUAACGACACGCAAACACGUACAUAGCACCACGUAGGUAUUAGGCACGUGUUACAACUUGUGGGACUCGAUUCCGAUUUACGGAGCCCGACUUAUCAGCCCGUAGGCAAAACUGACUAACACAUAGGCAAAAAGUCGAAAAAGAGGCCAAAACUUGUAUCGGCCUUCAUAACGACACGCAAACACGUACAUAGCACUGUGUAGGUAUUAGGCAUGCGUUACAACUUAUGGGACUCGAUUCCGACUUACAUAUGCCGAAUUAUCAGCCCGUAUGCAAAACUGACCAACACUUAGGCAAAAUGUCGAAAAAGAGGCCAAAACCGCCUCGGCCAUCGUAACAAUACGUAAACAGCAACGUAAGUAUUAGGCACGCAUUAUAACUUACGAGACUCGAUUCUGACAUACGGAGGCCAAGUUAUCAGCCCGUAGGCAAAACUGACCAAUACUUAGGUAAAAAGUCAAAAAAGAGGCCUAAACCCGACUCGACCGUCGUAAUGAAACACAACCGCAUACAUAGCAUUGCGUAGGUAUUAGACACGCGAUACAAUUUACGGGACUCGAUUCCGACUUACGGAGGCCGAGUUAUCAGCCCGUAGGCAAAACUGACCAACAUUUAGGAAAAUUUCGAAAAAGAGGUCAAAACCCGCCUCGGCCGUCGUAACAACACGUAAAGACAUACAUAGCACUGCAUGGGUAUUAGGCAUGCGUUAUAACUUACGAGACUCUAUUCUGACUUACGGAGGCCAAGUUAUCAGCCCGUAAACAAAACUAAACAACAUUUAGGUAAAAAGUCAAAAAAGAGGCCAAAACAUACCUCGACCGUCGUAACGACAUAAAAACAUAUACAUAGUACCGUGUAUGUAUUAGGCAUGCGUUACAACUUACGGGACUCGAUUCUGACAUACGUAGACCGAGUUAUUCGUCCGUAUUCAAAAUUGACCAUAACUUAGGUAAGAAGUUAAAAAAGAGGCCAAAACCCGCAUUGGCCAUUGUAACGACACACAAAUAUAUGCAUAGCACCGCGUAGGUAUUAGAUACGCGUUACAACUAAUGGGACUCAAUUCUGACUUACGAAUGCCGAGUUAUCAGCCCGUAGGCAAAACUGACCAACAUUUGGGGAAAAAGUCAAAAAAGAGGCCAUAACCCACCUCGGCCGUUGUAACGAUAUGGAAACUCGUACAUAGCACCGCGUAGGUAUUAGGCACGCGUUUCAACUUACUGGACUCGAUUCCAAUUUACGGAGGCCGAGUUAUCAGCCCGUAGGCAAAACUAAUUAACACUUAGGUAAAAAGUCAAAAAAGAAGCCAAAACCCGCCUCGGCCGUCGUAAUGAUACGCAAACACAUACAUAGUACUGCGUAGGUAUUAGGCAUGUGUUACAACUUACGGGACACGAUUUUGCCAUACGGAGGCCGAGUUAGCAGCCCUUGGGAAAAUUGACUAACACUUAGGCAAAAAGUCAAAAAGAGGCCAAAACUCACCUCGGCCAUCGUAACGACAAGCAAACACAUACAUAUCAUUGCGUAGGUAUGAGGCAUGCAUUACAGCUUACGGGACUCAAUUCCAUCAGACGGAGGCCGAGUUAUCAGCCCGUAGGCAAAACUGACCAACACUUAGGCAAAAAGUAGAAAAAGAGGCCAAAAUCCGCCUCGGCCAUUGUAACGAUACAAUAACUCGUACAUAGCACCGCGUAGGUAUUAGGCACGCGUUACAACUUACGGGACUCGAUUCAGACGUACGGAGGCCGAGUUAUCAGCCUGUAGGCAAAACUAACUAACACUUAGGUAACAAGUCAAAAAAGAAGCCAAAACUUGACUCGGCCAUCGUAAUGAUACGCAAACACAUACAUAGCACCGCGUAGGUAUUAGACAUAUGUUACAACUUACGGGACUCGAUUCCGACAUACGGAGGCCGAGUUAUCAGCCCGUAGGAAAAACUGACCAACACUUAGUCAAAAAGUCAAAAAAGAGACCAAAACUCGCCUCGGCCAUCGUAACGACACGCAAACACAUACAUAGCAUCGUGUCGGUAUUAGGCACGCAUUAUAACUAACGGGACUCGAUUCCGACAGACGGAGGCCGAGUUAUCAGCCCAUAGGCAAAACUAACCAACACUUAGGCAAAAGGUCAAAAAGAGGCCAAAACUCUCCUUAGUUGUAGUUAUGACACGCAAAUACGUAUAUAGCACCGCGUAGAUAUUAGGCACGCGUUACAACUUACGGGACUCGAUUCCGACCUACGGAGACCGAGUUAUCAGCCCGUAGGUAAAAUUGACCAACACUUAGGCAAGAAGUCAAAAAAGAGGCCAAAACCCGCCUCGGCAGUCGUAAAGACACACAAACAUAAACAUAGUACCGUGUAGGUAUUAGGCACAUGUUAGAACUUAUGGGACUCGAUUCCGACUUACAGAGGCCGAGUUAUCAGCCCGUAGGCAAAACUGACCAACACUUUGGCAAAAUGUCGAAAAAGAGGCCAAAACUGCCUCGGCCGUCGUAACAACACGCAAAUAUGUGUAUAGUACCGCGUAGGUAUUAGGCACAUGUUACAACUUACGGGACUCAAUUCCAACUUACGGAGGCCGAGUUAUCAGCCCGUAGCCAAAACUGACCAACACUUAGGCAAAAAGUCGAAAAAGAGGCCGAAACCCACCUUGGCCGUCGUCACAACACGUAAACACAUACAUAGCACCACGUAGGUAUUAGGCACACGUUACAACUUACGGGACUAAUUUCUGACUUACGGAGGCUAAGUUAUCAGUUCGUAGGCAAAACUCGCCAACACUUAGGCAAAAAGUCAAAAAAGAGGCUAAAACACGCCUCGACCGUCGUAACAACACGCAAACACAAACAUAGCACAAUGUAGGUAUUAAGCACGCGUUACAAUAUAUGUUACUCGAUUCCGACUUACGGAGGCCGAGUUAUCAGCCCGUAGGCAAAACUGACCAACAAUUAGGUAAAAAAUUAAAAAAGAGGCCAAAACCAGCCUCAGCCGUUGUAACGACACGAAAACACAUGCAUAGUACCGCGUAGGUAUUAGGCACGUGUUACAACUUGUGGGACUCUAUUCCAAUUUACGGAGGCCGACUUAUCAGCCCGUAGGCAAAACUGACCAACACUUAGGAAAAAAGUCAAAAAAGAAGCCAAAACCCACCUCGGCCGUCGUAAUGACACGCAAACAUGUACAUAGCACCGCGCAGAUAUUAGGCGCGUGUUACACCUUACGGGACUCGAUUCUGACUUACGAAGGCCGAGUUAUCAGCCCGUAGGUAAAAUUGACCAACACUUAGGCAAAAAAUCGAAAAAGAGGCCAAAACUCGCCUCGGUCGUUGUAACGAUACGGAAACUAGUAUAUAGCACCACGUAGGUAUUAGGCACGCAUUACAACUUAUGGGACUCGAUUCCGACAUACGGAGGCCGAGCUAUCAGCCUGUAGGCAAAACUGACCAACUCUUAGGCAAAAAGAGGCCAAAACUCACCUCGGUCGUCGUAACAACAUGCAAAGACAUACAUAACACUGCAUGGGUAUUAGGCAUGUGUUAUAACUCACGGGACUCAAUUCUGACUUACGAAGGCCGAGUUAUCAGCCCGUAAGCAAAACAAAACAACAUUUAGGUAAAAAGUCAAAAAAGAGGCUAAAACCCGCCUCGGCCGUCGUAACAACACGCAAAGACAUACAUAGCACCGCGUAGGUAUUAGGCACUCGUUACAAGUUACGAGACUCGAUUUCAACUUACGGAGGCCGAGUUAUCAGCCCAUAGGCAAAACUCGCCAACACUUAAGCAAAGAGUCGAAAAUGAGGCCAAAACCUGCCUCGACUGUCGUAACAACAUGCACACACAUACAUAGCACAACGUAGGUAUUAGGCACGUGUUACAACUUACGGGACUCAAUUCUAACUUACGGAGGCCGAGUUAUCAGCCCGUAGGUAAAAUUGACCAACACUUAGGCAAGAAGUCAAAAAAGAGGCCAAAACCCGCCUCGGCAGUCGUAAAGACACGCAAAUAUGAACAUAGCACCGUGUAGGUAUUAGGCACGUGUUAGAACUUACGGAACUGGAUUCCGACUUACAAGCCGAGUUAUCAGCCCGUAGGCAAAACUGACCAACACUUAGGCAAAAUUUCGAAAAAGAGGGCAAAACCCGACUUGGCCGUCGUAACAACAAGCAAACACGUGCAUAGUACCGCGUAGGUAUUAGGCACGCGUUACAACUUAUGGGACUCGAUUUCGACAAACGGAGGCCGAGUUAUCAGCCCGUACGCAAAACUGAACAAAACUUAAGCAAAAAGUCGAAAAAGAGGCCAAAACCCACCUCGGCCGUCGUAACAACAUGCUAACACAUACAUAGCACCGCGUGGGUAUUAGGCACGCGUUAUAACUUAGGAGACUCAAUUCUGACUUACGGAGGCCGAGUUAUCAACCCGUGGAGAAAACUGCACAAUACUUAGGCAAAAAGUAAAAAAAGAGGCCAAAACAUGCCUCGACCGUCGUAAUGACACGCAAACACAUACAUAGCACAACGCAUGUAUUAGGCAUGUGCUACAACUUACGGGACUCAAUUUCCACAUACGUAGGCCAAGUUGUUAGCCCGUAGGAAAAAUUGACCAACACUUAGGUGAAAAGAUAAAAAAGAGGCCAAAACCCGACUCGGCAAUUGUAAUGACAUGCAAACGCGUGCAUAGCACCGCGUAGGUAUUAGGCACACGUUAUAACUUACGAGACUCAAUUCCGACUUACAGAGGCCGAGUUAUCAGUUCGUAGGCAAAACUGACCAACACUUAGGGAAAAAGUCAAAAAAGAAGCCAAAACCCAUCUCGGCCGUCGUAAUGACACACAAACACGUACAUAGCACUGCGCAGGUAUUAGGCACGUGUUACAACUUACGGGACUCGAUUCUGACUUACGGAGGCCGAGUUAUCAGCCCGUAGACAAAACUGACCAACACUUAGGCAAAAAAAUCGAAAAAGAGGCCAAAACUCGCAUCGGCUGUUGAAACGAUACGAAAACUCGUAUAUAGCACCCUGUAGGUAUUAGGCACGCAUUACAACUUACGGGACUCGAUUUUGACUUACGGAGGCCGAGUUAUCAGCCCGUAGAUAAAACUAACCAACACUUAGGUAAAAGUUAAAAAAGUGACCAAAACCCGCCUCGGCCGUCGUAACGAUAUGCUAACACAUACAUAGCACCGCGUAGGUAUUAGGCAUACGUUACAACUUACGGGACUCGAUUCCGACAUACGGAGCACGAGUUAUCAGCCCGUAGGCAAAACUGACCAACACUUAGGCAAAAAGUCAAAAAAUAGGCCAAAAAAAACCUCGGCAGUCGUAACGACACGCAAAUACAUACAUAGAACCGCGUGGGUAUUAGGCAUGUAUUACAACUUAUGGGUCUUGAUUCUGACUUACGGAGGCCGAGUUAUCAGCCCGUAGGCAAAACUGAACAACACUUAGGCAAAAAGUCGAACAAGAGGCCAAAACCAGCCUCGACCGUCGUAACGAUAUGCAAACACGUACAUAGCACCGCGUAGGUAUUAGGCACGCAUUACAACUUAAGGGACUCGAUUCCGACAUACGGAGGCCGAGCUAUCAGCCUGUAGGCAAAACUGACCAACACUUAGGCAAAAGUAGAAAAAGAGGCCAAACCUGCGUAGGUAUUAGGCACGCAUUAUAACUUACGGAACUUGAUUCUAACUUAUGGAGGCCGAGUUAUCAGCCCAUUGGCAAAACUGACCAACACUUAGGCAAAAAGUCAAAAAAGAGGCCAAAAUUAGCCUCGGCCGUCGUAAUAACACACAAACAUAUACAUAGCACCACGUAGGCAUUAGGCACACGUUACAACUUACGGGACUCAAUUUCGACUUACGGAGGCCGAGUUAUCAGCCCGUAGGCAAAAUUGACCAAUACUUAGGCAAAAAUUCAAAAAAGUGGCCGAAACUCGCCUCGGCCAUCGUAACGACACGCAAACACAUACAUAGCAUCACGUAGGUAUUUGGCAUCAUUAAAACUUACGAGACUCAAUUCCAACAUACGGAGGCCAAGUUAUCAGCCCGUAGGUAAAACUAACCAAUAGUUAGGUAAAAAGUCAAAAAAGAGUCCAAAACUCACCUUGGCUGUAGUAACGACACGCAAACACAUAUAUAGCACCACGUAGGUAUUUGGCACGUGUUAUAACUUACGGGACUCGAUUCUGACUUACGGAGGCCGAGUUAUCAGCCCGUAGGCAAAACUGACCAACACUUAUUCAAAAAGUCGAAAAAGAUGCCAAAAACCAGUCUCGACUGACGUAAUGAGACGCAAACUAAUACAGCACCGCGUAGGAAUUAGGCACGCGUUACAACUUAUAGGACUCGAUUCUGACUUACGGAGGCCGAGUUAGCAGCCCAUUGGCAAAACUGACCAACACUUAGGCAAAAAGUCAAAAAAUAGAACAAAAUUAGCCUCGGCCGUUGUAAUGACACACAAAUAUAUACAUAGCACCAUAUAGGCAUUAGGCACGCGUUACAACUUACGGGACUCAAUUUUGACUUACGGAGACCGAGUUAUCAGCCCGUAGGCAAAACUGACAAACACUUAGGCAAAAACUCGAAAAAGAGGUCAAAACCCGCCUCGAUCGUCAUAACGACACGCAAACACGUAUAUAGCAUCGUGAAGGUAAUAGGCACGUGUUACAACUUAUGGGACUCAAUUUUGACUUACAUAGGCCGAGUUAUCAGUCCGUAGGCAAAACUAACCAACACUUAGGGAAAAAGUCAAAAAAGAGGCCAAAACCUGCCUCAGCCGUUGUAACGAAACGCAAACAUAUACAUAGAACCGCGUAGAUAUUAGGCACGCGUUACAAGUUACGGGACUCGAUUCCGACUUACAGAGGCCGAGUUAUCAGCCCGUAGGCAAAACUGACUAACAUUUAGGCAAAAAGUUAAAAAAGAGGCCAAAACCCGUCUCAAUCAUCGUAACGACACGUAAACAAAUACAUAGCACCGUGUAGGUAUUAGGCACGCGUUACAACUUACAGAACUCGAAUCUAACUUACAGAGGCCGAGUUAUUAGCCCGUAGGCAAAACUGACCAACACUUAGGCAAACAGUCGAAAAAGAGGCCAAAACCAGCCUUAACCGUCGUAAGGACACGCAAACACGUACAUAGCACCACGUAGGUAUUAGGCACGUGUUACAACUUAUGGGACUCGAUUCCGAUUUACGGAGCCCGACUUAUCAGCCCGUAGGCAAAACUGACUAACACUUAGGCAAAAAGUCGAAAAAGAGGCCAAAACUCGAAUCGACCUUCAUAACGACACGCAAACACGUACAUAGCACUGCGUAGGUAUUAGGCAUGCGUUACAUCUUAUGGGACUCGAUUUCGACUUACAUAUGCCGAAUUAUCAGCCCGUAGGCAAAACUGACCAACACUUAGGCAUAACGUCAAAAAAGAGGCCAGAACCGCCUCGGCCAUCGUAACAAUACGCAAACAUGUAUAUAGCACGGUGCAAGUAUUAGGCACGCGUUACAACUUACGAGACUCGAUUCUGAUAUACGGAGGCCAAGUUAUCAGCCCGUAGGCAAAACUGACCAAUACUUAGGCAAAAUGUCAAAAAAGAGGCCUAAACCCGUCUCGGCCGUCGUAAUGACACACAAACGCAUACAUAGCAUUGCGUAGGUAUUAGACACACGAUACAACUUACGUGACUCAAUUCUGACUUAUGGAGGCCGAGUUAUCAGCCCGUAAGCAAAACUGAACAACAUUUAGGUAAAAAGUCAAAAAAGAGGCCAAAACAUGCCUUGACCGUCGUAACGACAUAAAAACAUAUACAUAGUACCGUGUAUGUAUUAGGCAUGCGUUACAACUUACGGGACUCAAUUCUGAGAUACGUUGACUGAGUUAUUAGCCCGUAUUCAAAAUUGACCAACACUUAGGUAAGAAGUUAAAAAAGAGGCCAAAACCCGCAUCGACCAUUGUAACGACACACAAAUAUAUGCAUAGCACCGCGUGGGUAUUAGGCACGCAUUACAACUUACGGGACUCAAUUCCGACUUACGGAUGCCGAGUUAUCAGCCCGUAGGCAAAACUGACCAACAUUUGGGGAAAAAGUCGAAAAAGAGGCCAUAACCCACCUCGGCCGUUGUAACGAUAUGGAAACUCGUACAUAGCACCGCGUAGGUAUUAGGCACGCGUUAUAACUUACGGGACUCGAUUCCAAUUUACGGAGGCCGAGUUAUCAGCCCGUAGGCAAAACUGACCAACAUUUGGGGAAAAAGUCGAAAAAGAGGCCAUAACCCACCUCGGCCGUUGUAACGAUAUGGAAACUCGUACAUAGCACCGCGUAGGUAUUAGGCACGCGUUAUAACUUACGGGACUCGAUUCCAAUUUACGGAGGCCGAGUUAUCAGCCCGUAGGCAAAACUGACCAACAUUUGGGGAAAAAGUCGAAAAAGAGGCCAUAACCCACCUCGGCCGUUGUAACGAUAUGGAAACUCGUACAUAGCACCGCGUAGGUAUUAGGCACGCGUUAUAACUUACGGGACUCGAUUCCAAUUUACGGAGGCCGAGUUAUCAGCCCGUAGGCAAAACUGACCAACACUUAGGCAAAAAGUCGAAAAAGAGGCCAAAACCAACCUCGGCCGUCGUAACAAUACGCAAAGACAUACAUAGCACUGCAUGGGUAUUAGGCACGCGUUAUAACUUACAGGACUCGAUUCUGACUUACGGAGGCCAAGUUAUUAGCCCGUAAGCAAAACUGAACAACAUUUAGGUAAAAAGUCAAAAAAGGGGCGAAAAUUAGCCUCAGUCGUCGUAAUAACACAAAAAUAUAUACAUAGCACCACGUAGGCCUUAGGCACGCGUUACAACUUACGGAACUCGAUUCUGACUUACGGAGGCCGAGUUAUCAGCCCGUAGGCAAAAUUGACCAACACUUAGGCAAAAAGUCGACAAAGAGGCCAAAACCCGCCUCGGCCAUCGUAAUAAUACACAAACAUGUAUAUAGCACUGCAUAGGUAUUAGGCACGCGUUACAACUUACGGGACUCGAUUCUGACAUACGGAGGCCAAGUUAUCAGCCCGUAGGUAAAACUGACCAAUACUUAGGCAAAAAUUCAAAAAAGAGGCCAAAACCCGUCUCGACCGUCGUAAUGACACAAAAACACAUACAUAGUACAGCAUAGGUAUUUGACACGCGUUACAACUUACGGAGGGCGAGUUAUCAGCCUGUAGGGAAAACUGACCAACACUUAGGCAAAAAGUCAAAAAAGAGGAUAAAACACGCCUCGGCCAUUGUAACAAGACGCAAACACAUAUAUUGUACUGUGUAGGUAUUAGGCACGCGUUACAAUAUACGGGACUCGAUUCUGACUUACGGAGGCCGAGUUAUCAGCUAGUAGGCAAAAUUGACCAACACUUAUGCAAAAAGUCGAAAAGGAGGCCAAAAUCCGCCUCGACCGUCGUAAUGACACGCAAACACAUACAUAGUAUCGCGUAGGUGUUAGGAAUGCAUUAUAACUUACGGAACUAGAUUUCGACUUACGUUGGCCGAGUUAUCAGUCCGUAAGCAAAACUGACCAACACUUAGGCAAAAAGUCGAAAAAAGGCCAAAACCUGCCUUGACUAUCGUAACGAAACACAAACAUGUAAAUAGGACCGCAUAGGUAUUAGGCAAAUAUUACAACUUACGGGACUCGAUUCCGACAGACGGAGGCCGAGUUAUAAGCCCGUAGGCAAAACUGACCAACACUUAGGCAAAAAGUCAAAAAAGAGGCCACAACCCGUCUCGGCCAUCGUAACGAGACGCUAGCACAUACAUAGCACCGCUUAGGUAUUAGGAACGCGUUACAACUUACGGGACUCAAUUCCGACUUACGGAGGCCUAGUUAUCAGCCUGUAGGCAAAACUGACCAACACUUAGGCAAAAAAUCGAAAAAGAGGCCAAAACUCUUCUCGGCUGUAUUAACGACACGCAAACACAUACAUAGCACCGCGUAGGUAUUAGGCACGCGUUACAACUUACGAGACUCGAUUCCGACUUACGGAGGCCAAGUUAUCAGCCCAUAGGCAAAACUGACCAACAUUUAGGCAAAAAGUCGAAAAAGUUCCCAAAAACCCGUCUCGGCCGUCGUAAUAAGACGUAAAGUAAUACAUAGCACCGCGUCAGAAUUAGGCACACGUUACAACUUAUAGGACUCGAUUCUGACUUACGAAGGCAGAGUUAUUAGCCCAUUGGCAAAACUGACCAACACUUAGGCAAAAAGUCAAAAAAGAGGCCAAAAUUAGCCUCGGUCGUCGUAAUGACACAGAAACAUAUACAUAGCACCACGUAGACAUUAGGCACGCGUUACAACUUACGGGACUCGAUUUUGACUUACGGAGGCUGAGUUAUUAGCCCGUAGACAAAACUGACCAACACUUGGGCAAAAACUCGAAAAAAGGCCAAAACACGCCUUGGCCGUCAUAACGAUACGCAAACACUUAUAUAGCACUGUGUAGGUAUUAGGCACGUGUUACAACUUACAAAACUCGAUUCAGACGUGUAUAGGCCAAGUUAUCAGCCCGUAGGCAAAACUGACCAACACUUAGGCAAAAAGUCGAAAAAGUGGCCAAAAACCCGUCUCGGCCGUCGUAAUAAAACGCAAACUAAUACAUAGCACCAUGUCAGAAUUAGGCACGCGUUACAACUUAUAGGACUCGAUUCUGACUUACGGAGGCCGAGUUAUUAGCCCAUUGGCAAAACUGACCAACACUUAGGCAAAAUGUCAAAAAAGAGGCCAAAAUUAGCCUCGGUCGUCGUAAUGACACACAAACAUAUACAUAGCACCACGUAGGCAUUAGGCACGUAUUACAACUUACGGGACUCAAUUUCAACUUACGGAGGCCGAGUUAUCAGCCCGUAGGCAAAACUGACCAACACUUAUGCAAAAAGUCAAAAAAGAGGCCAAAACUCGCAUCGGCCAUCGUAACAACAUGCAAACACAUACAUAGCAUCGCGUAGGUAUUAGGCACACAUUACAACUUACGGGACUCGAUUCCGACAGACGAAGGCCGAGUUAUCAGCCCGUAGGCAAAACUGACCAACACUUAGGCAAAAAGUCAAAAAAGAGGCCAAAACUCUCCUCAGCUGUAGUAACGACACGCAAACACAUACAUAGCACCGCGUAGGUAUUAGGCACGCGUUACAACUUACGGGACUCGAUUCUGACUUACGGAGGCCAAGUUAUCACCCCGUAGGCAAAACUGACCAACACUUAGGCAAAAAGUUGAAAAAGUUCCCAAAAACCCGUCUCCGCCGUCGUAAUAAGACGCAAAGUAAUACAUAGCACCGCGUCAGAAUUUGGAAUGCGUUACAACUUACAGGACUCGAUUCUGACUUACGAAGGCCGAGUUAUUAGCCCAUUGGCAAAACUGACAAACAUUUAGGCAAAAAGUCAAAAAAGAGGCCAAAAUUAGCCUCGGUCUUCGUAAUGACACACAAACAUAUACAUAGAACCACGCAGACAUUAGGCACGCGUUACAACUUACAGGACUCGAAUUUGACUUACAGAGGCCGAGUUAUCAGCCCGUAGGCAAAACUGACCAACACUUGGGCAAAAACUCGAAAAAAGGCCAAAAUCCGCCUUGGCCGUCAUAACGACACGCAAACACGUAUAUAGCACUGUGUAGGUAUUAGGCAUGUGUUACAACUUAUAGGACUCGAUUCAGACUUAUAUAGGCCGAGUUAUCAGCUCGUAGGCAAAACUGACCAACACUUAGGUAAAAAGUUAAAAAAGAGGCUGAAACUCGCCUCGGCCGUCGUAACGAUACGCAAAGAAGUACAUAGCACCGUGUAGGUAUUAGGCAUGAGUUAUAACUUACGGGACUCGAUUCUGACUUACGGAGGCCGAGUUAUCAGCCCGUAGGCAAAACUGACCCAACACUUAGGUAAAAAGUUAAAAAAUAAGCCAAAACCCGCCACGGCCAUCGUAAUGAUACGCAAAUACAUACAUAGCACCGCGUAGGUAUUAGGCAUGUGUUACAACUUACGGGACUCGAUUCUGACUUACGGAGGCCGAGUUAUCAGCUCGUAGACAAAACUGACCAACACUUAGGUAAAAAGUCAAAAAAGAGGCCAAAACCCGCCUCGGUCGUCGUAACAACACGCAAACACGUAUAUAUCACUGUGUAGGUAGUAGGCACGCGUUACUACUCACGGGACUCGAUUCUGAUUUACCGAGGCCGAGUUAUAAGCCCGUAGGCAAAAUUGACCAACACUUAGGCAAAAAGUCGAAAAAGAGGCCAAAACCCGCCUCAACCGUUGUAAUGAGAAGGAAACUCGUACAUAGUACCGCGUAAGUUUUAGGCAUGCGUUACAACUUACGAAACUCGAUUCCGACUUACGGAGGCCGAGUUAUAAGCCUUUAGGCAAAAUUGACCAACACUUAGGUAAAAAGUCAAAAAAGAGGCCAAAACCCGCCUCAGCCAUCGUAACGAUACGCAAACACAUGCAUAGCACCGCGUUGGUAUUAGGCAUACAUUACAACCUACAGGACUCGAUUUCGACAUACGGAGUCCGAGUUAAUUACUCCUUACUUAUCACACUGAAACUCUCAACUUAAUUGAUUAGCGUGUAUUGACCAUUAAAGUCCUUAACCAUAGAACUUUAACCAAAGAUGGAGUUUUUACUUUCAACCAAUUGUCUUUUAUACACAAAAUAUGAGUAAAGCCUAAAAAGUUAAAUUCUUUUAUUGAGAAUACAUCAACAUUAAAUAUGGUGAUAAAAAUAAUGACGCUGAAUGUUGUUUCUUCAAAAAAAAAAAGUAAUGGUUGAAUAUUUAUUAUAAGGGCAUAAAAGUAAAACAAUGAACCAACUAAAUUUUAUAAAUAAUAAGUAGCCUAUAUAUUGGGACAUCCCAAAAUGAAAAAUCACCCUAUAACUAUGGGACGGAAGGAGUAUUUAUAUUCAAAAUUUUAGAAACAAUUUAAACAUGUAAGAAAUCGAACUAGUCGAACCAAUCUCGAACUUAUCAAACCAAACUCGAACUUAUCGAGUCAAUCUCGAACUUAUCGAACUGAACUCGAACUUAUCGAACCGAACCACAUGGUUCGCGAACAUGUUCGAUCGAGCAAUCGAACGUAACACUAUGUGCAAACUCGACUCGACUAGGCGAGCAUCGAAUUCGAACUGAACCGGUUCACGAACGUUUGCAGCCCUACAGUAAUAUACUACAUACCUGAAGGGCAUACAAGGCAAUUUUAACUAAACUGCUGAAAGAUGAUACAAUCCAUAUCGCAAAACUUUUUGGUUCUCACUAUUUUAUCAAAUCAACUAGAUAAUAGCUCAUAAUUGACAUGAACAUAUAAUGAAGAAAUUAACACUUCAAACCAAAGAUAACAGCUUUGUGACGACCAGUUUCAUCAAAUGAUUCAUCUCCAGAUGAAACAGUCACAUUAUACAGAAAGCUUAGUAAUUGAUAACAUCGGUAGAAUGUCUAAAAGAGAAACUGGCAUGGAUAAAGCCCUCAAGAGAACAUGACAUCAAGACUUAAGAUAUUUAAGUUGUCUACUCUAUGCUCAACAUAUGAACCAGAAAGUCUAGAAGUCCCAAGAACUGUGACCUGCAAUUGAAUGAACAAACAAUUUCAAAUAAUUAGACCAUUUAAUGUAGUCAUUCGAAGAAAGCAGGGACUUCGAGAAGUUAUGAAAAAAUGUCAUAAAAAAAAGAAGAAGAAAAGAGAUGUCUUGAUGCAGUACGGAAGAAGAAAUUCAAUAAGUUUAUUAUUAAUUUUGUAUUUUUAUUUAGAGAUAAAUGUAUUAUUAAUGAAAUUAUUUAGUAGGAUAUUAUAGUAAUAGCUUUUCAUUAUGAGAGUUUUAAUUGUAGUAAUAGAUUUCAAUUAGGAGAGUUUAUAAUAGUAGUAGAUUUUAGUUAGAAGAUUGUUUCCUAGUAUUGGGUUUUAUAUUUAAGCAUUGUAAUACUUCAUAAGUUUCUGAAAUUUUCAAUUCAGACCCUUAGGUUUUUGAAAUUUUCAAUUCUGUCCCCAAAGUUUCUAAAAUUUUCAAUUCAGCCCCUAAAGUUUCUGAAAUAUUCAAUUUAGCCCCCAUAGUUUUUGAAUUUUCAAUUUAACCCCCAAAGUUUUUAAAGUUUUCAAUUCAGCCCCUCUACAUAUAUACAAUGUCUUCCAGGUUUAACAAUCCAGACUUUCUUUGGGCUAAGAUAAAGCAACUUGAGCAUCGAACUUUGAUCAUAUGCGAGCAAUUUAAAUGGUCUUGUGUCCCGUAUAGUGCGAGAGUAUUGGAAAUUAUGUGAUGAGCUUGCACUUUCUGAAAAAAGUCUUGCAAAUUUAAAGGCACAUUACGAGUACAUAACCACAUGUUUUGUUUGUCCAUGUUUUGUUCAGGCACCAAAAAUUUUCAUCUUAAUCGUGUUUGUUCAACUAAAGCGACGCGUUCACAAGAGGAAACCUGCAACGUAAAUUCUUACAAGACAAUUGAUGACUAUUUCACAAUACUUAAACGUCUCAAUAACCAAUAUGAAAUUGGUAAGGAUAAAGAAGAGCAAGUACUCUCACAUAUUAAUGCUGGUGAGAAACAUGAAUCGGAAGUUAAGUGUGUUGAAAAACUUGCAGAUUCAGAGAUGAUUUGCAGUGAGAAAAUUGAAGUUAAGUUUGACCCCAAAUGCGAAAACAUCAAGGAAGAUAAAGUUGAGGUCAACAAUACUGAUUUUCUCUUUCCCGUUGAUACAGUUGAGUUCCCAACUACUUCAAAUUUCUAUAUUAUGUCAUUGUUAUUCCCAAAAAUUGUGCUAAUGACAUUAAAACAUUGGAUGCGAAUGUUUUGUUGGAAGAAAUCUCUCGGGCCGUGGUUUAUUAUUCUACGAUAUUUCAACUCGAGGACAAGUUUUUUUCUAAGGCGAGGAGAAUGAUGAAGUAUGGAAGAAAAAAUUCAAUAAGUUUGUUAUUAAUUUUGUAUUUUUAUUUAGAGAUAAAUGUGUUAUUAAUUAAAUUAUUUAGUAGGAUAUUAUAGUAAUCGUUUUUCAUUAGGAGAGUUUUAAUUGUAGUAGUAGAUUUCAAUUAGGAGAGUAUUAUAGUAGUAGAUUUUAGUUAGAAGAUUGUUUCCUUUCUAANNNNNNNNNNNNNNNNNNNNNNNNNNNNNNNNNNNNNNNNNNNNNNNNNNNNNNNNNNNNNNNNNNNNNNNNNNNNNNNNNNNNNNNNNNNNNNNNNNNNUAUUGAAUAUAUUGAUUUGAGAUUAAAACUGUGUGCUUUUGUGUGUGUUUCUUUACCGAUUCUCUGCGGGAGAUAGGUACUCUUAUUCCUUCUUCCUACCCCGUCCUACAUCAUGUCUACUUAAGAGUGCCAUACACAAAUCUUAAUAUUUGCAAGGAAAAGUCAACAAAAGUAGGACUCUCUUCUCCAGAUGGAGGAAGUGAUCCGUAUUUCGUUUUCAUAUCAGUCUUUUUUAAUAUUUUGCUCCUAUUUUCUUUUAGCAUCUCUAUGGCCAGUGCUAGUAAUACCAUCUUAGCCUUUUAACUGUCUGCAACACACUUAUGUGCAGUAAACAAGCAAUGAACCAACACAAUGAGAAACAUGGAUGAUAACACAUUGCUAGGUCCAAAUUUUGUAUGCUAUUUAUCUGCCUCUAUAAAAGUGUUUACAAGAAAAAAACACAUAUGUUUAUACCUUUCCCCAUUCAGAACCAAGACCACCACAUCUUAUUUUCAAGUGUAUCAUCCUCGUUCCCAGUUCAUUCUCUACUUUCUUUCGCAAAAAGGUCUCAUCAGGUCCAAAUGCUUCCAGAUAUGCAGUGUAACGUUCAAAAGCAGUGUUUAAUGCUUUAACAAAUUCAUAUGGUAAAGUUCUGACAUUCUGCAGAAAUAUUCACAUAAGUAUACAACAUGAAUCCGAGAAACAGUAAAUAAAUAAGUGUCACCAAUGACAAUGUUUUUAUGUAACCUCGCCACUCAAUCCAAGGUUGUCAUCAAUUUCCAUCCUCAAAGAUACAAGUUUUCCCGUAAAUUCCUCAACUGCCUCAGCUGCACGGAGUAUAUUAGCCAAGAUCUUCUGGCCAACCUUGUCUUCUGUAUUUUUAGACAAUGCCUUGUUUGCAUAAUGAAUGACAGCAUUUGGGAGCUCAUCCCAACUUGCAGCCAUCAAGUCCUUGACAACAGUUUCGAUCUCACGAUCAUUUAUGGCAGGCAUGUGACUGAAAUAACGCCUGCUUCCAAUGUUCAUCGAACUCGAGAGAGGGGACCGGAAAUCUCGUAAUAUCAAAUGACAUCGCAUUAUUCUUUUUGGCAGGUAAUACAAAAAGAUAUACUAACUCAAAACAGGAAAGCUAAAGCUCAUAGAUAAUGUAUAUCUAUUGACUCUAGCCAAGCCUAACCAAAGUCCACAAUGCAGAAAAUCUGUCCUAAAGACACCAAAUGAUGCAACUUCUAAAUAAAUGCUCAUUAGUAAAUUUGUGUCCUAAAAGCACUCUCCACAUAAAGAUGUUAAGUACCCAGAUCAAUCUUGUUGAACAAAAUGCCACUCAAGUAGAAUUAUUCCAUCCCAAGAUAUUAUAAUUUAUAUAUAUAUAUAUAUAUAGUAGGAACAAAAGAGAAAAAUAAGCAAGGACGAUAACGAAGAAAGUACCAGGAGUGAGGCGUUUUGCAACAGUUGGGAGAUGGAAACAACGGAGUCCACGGCUGAGGUGAUGCUGGUUGCUUGUAGUGGCGGUAGCGGUGGCCGCAGUAGAGAAACCUAGGGAUCUACGAUAGAUCGAACGGUAUAGAGAUCUCAUCGUAACAAUUUUCUCCAUUUUCGUUCUUGGAGUGACGACCCUUUUCCCUACUGCCGUUCGGCAACAACAUAUUUUAAAAUGACUUAAAGUUAAAAUUUAAGUUGACUUAUAAGUUAUUUUAAGUUAUGACUUAUAAGUAAAAGCGUUCAACAUCAAUUUGACUUAAAAGUUAGAAAUUAAGUUAAAACAAGUUAUGAAGGUGUUUAGCUAAUAAUGACUUAUAAGUUAAAGACUAAAAGACAAUUUGCACCCCAAAUUUUACAUCGUUUUUUACUUUUGCACCCCAAACCGAAAAAGGUGUCUAAGUACACCCCAAACUUCAUUAUACGUAACAAAACGCACACUUUCUUCACUUAACCGGUCAAAAGUGACCGGCUAAGACUGUAACACAAGUUUGGGGUGCAAAUUAUCUUUUAGUCUUAAAAAUUGGUAAAAAUAAUUACUUUUAAAUAAAAUAAAAUAAUUUUAAAUAAAUAAUUAGUUUUAAAAAUAAAAAUAAACUAAUUAAUUUAAAAUAAAAUAAUUAAAAUAAUAAAAUUAAAAUAAAUAUUAGGAAUUAACAAUUAAUCAUUAAUCAUUAACUUGUAAAAUGAUUAUUUUAUUUUUAUUUUUUAAAUUAAUUAUUAAUCAUUCCGGUUAAAAAAUUAUUAACUUGUAAAAAAAUUAUUUUUGCCACAUAAAAAAAAUUCUGUUUUUUUUUUAAAAACAUAAUUUUGUUAAAAAUUCUUCUUUUUAACUUGUAAAAAAAAUUAUGUUUUUUGUUUAAAAUUAUGUUUUUAAAAAUUAUGUUUUUGUUUUUAAAAACAGAAUUUUUUUUUAAAGAAAAUAAAAUUCUAUUUUUAAAAAAUUUUGUGUAAAAAAAAUCAUUAACAAAACAUAAUUUACAAGUUAAUGAUUAAUAAUUAAUCAAUAACUUGUAAAAUGAUUAAUUUUUAAAAAUAUAAUUUUGAAAAAUAUGUAUCAUAUAUAUAUUGUAAGACCCCAAAUAAUUAAUAAAUGAAAUUUAAUUUCCUCUAAUUAUUAUUUUGAAAUAGUAAGGGUUGAUGUGANNNNNNNNNNNNNNNNNNNNNNNNNNNNNNNNNNNNNNNNNNNNNNNNNNNNNNNNNNNNNNNNNNNNNNNNNNNNNNNNNNNNNNNNNNNNNNNNNNNNCCGACGCCCUCCAAUUGCCUCCGAUUACAUAAUAGUCACAAAGAUGACUGUUUUGACCCUUCCUAAUGACCUCAAAUUGAAAAACUUAAAGAAUAAAAGUUGUAGGUAUAUUCGUCCUCGUUUCGAAUAAUCUUGAGUCACCUUAAUCGGAGUUCGAAUGAAAAAGUUAUGGCUGUUUUAGUAAAACAUGUCCUGUCAGAUUUUUUUUCCAAAAUUGGCAAGGCAGACUACCCCCCCGUCGGGGCGGGGGUUUUUGCACUUGGGGGCCCCACCGGGCCGGGGGUCCCUGCUGCGAUUUUCGAUUUUAUGUUCUGUAACUCUACGGAAAACCAAAUUAGGCCUCCAAACUCCUUUCUAACAACCAUACUAACCUAUCUAAGGUGUAAUAGGUUUACAGAAAUAUAAUCUAAUGUUUUCUAACGCGUUUCUAACCACAUAAACAACACACACCAUCUAGGAUCAUCACUCCGUUCCCCAACUCGUCCCAGCUACGUUCUCAUUUCCUGAAGAGAACAGUGAAAGAAAGGGUGAGCUCGACUAGCCCAGCAAGAAAUAUUAUGACUAAGAUAAUGCAGAAUAAACUAUCAUUAGUCUUCAACAAUGUUAAACUGAUAAAAAACAAUAGACAUCAAGUUUAACUGUAGCGGAACAAGCAAUCCAUUAAAAGAGUCAAGUAGAGAAUAAAUUCUACUAUCUUUUAGGUAUUAGGCACACGUUAAAACUUACGGGACUCGAUUCCAACUUACGUAGGCCGAGUUAAUAGCCCAUAGGCAAAACUGACCAACACUUAGGUAAAAAACCAAAAAAGAGGCUAAAACCCGCCUCGGCCGUCGUAAUGUCACGCAAACUCGUACAUAGUACCGCGUAGGUAUUAGGCAUGCGUUACAACUAACGGAACUCGAUUCUGACUUACGAAUGUCGAGUUAUCAGCCCGUAGGCAAAACUGACCAACACUUAGGUAAAAAGUCGAAAAAGAUGCCAAAAACUAGUCUCGACCGUCGUAAUAAGACGCAAACUAAUACAUAGCACCACAAAGGAAUUAGGCACGCGUUACAACUUACGGAACUUGAUUCUAACUUACGGAGGCCGAGUUAUCAGCCCAUUGGCAAAACUGACCAACACUUAGGUAAAAAGUCAAAAAAGAGGCCAAAAUUAGCCUCGGCCGUCGUAAUAACACACAAACAUAUACAUAGCAACACGUAGGCAUUAGGCACACGUUACAACUUACGGGACUCAAUUUCGACUUACGGAGGCCGAGUUAUCAGCCCGUAGGCAAAACUGACCAAUACUUAGGCAAAAAGUCAAAAAAGUGGUCAAAACUCACCUCGGCCAUCGUAACGACACGCAAACACAUACAUAGCAUCACGUAGGUAUUUGGCACGCAUUAAAACUUACGAGACUCGAUUCCAAUAGACGGAGGCCGAGUUAUCAGCCCGUAGGUAAAACUGACCAAUAGUUAGGUAAAAAGUCAAAAAAGAGGCCAAAACUCACCUUGGCUGUAGUAACGACACACAAACACAUACAUAGCACCACGUAGGUAUUUGGCACGUGUUAUAACUUACGGGACUCGAUUCCGAAUUACGGAGGCCGAGUUAUCAGCCCGUAGGCAAAACUGACCAACACUUAUGCAAAAAGUCGAAAAAGAUGCCAAAAACCAAUCUCGACCGUCGUAAUGAGAUGCAAACUAAUACAUAGCACCGCGUAAGAAUUAGGCACGCGUUACAACUUACAGGACUUGAUUCUGACUUACGGAGGCCGAGUUAUCAGCCCAUUGGCAAAACUGGCCAACACUUAGGCAAAAAGUCAAAAAAGAGGCCAAAAUUAGCCUCGGCCGUCGUAAUGACACACAAACAUAUACAUAGCACCACGUAGGCAUUAGGCUCGCGUUACAACUUACGGGACUCAAUUUUGACUUACGGAGGCCGAGUUAUCAGCCCAUAGGCAAAACUGACAAACACUUAGGCAAAAACUCGAAAAAGAGGCCAAAACCCGCCUCGACCGUCAUAACGACAUGAAAACACGUAUAUAGCACCGUGAAGGUAAUAGGCACGUGUUACAACUUACGGGACUCAAUUCUAACUUACAUAGGCCGAGUUAUCAGCCCGUAGGCAAAACUAACCAACACUUAGGGAAAUAGUCAAAAAAGAGUCCAAAACCCGCCUCGCCCGUUGUAACGAAACGCAAACAUGUACAUACAACCGCGUAGAUAUUAGGCACGUGUUACAAGUUAUGGGGCUCGAUUCCGACUAACAGAGGCCGAGUUAUCAGCCCGUAGGCAAAACUGACUAACACUUAGGCAAAAAGUUAAAAAAGAUGCCAAAACUCUCCUUAGUUGUAGUAACGACACGCAAACACAUAUUUAGCUCUGCGUAGAUAUUAGGCACGCGUUACAACUUACAGGACUCGAUUCCGACCUACAGAGGCCGAGUUAUCAGCCUGUAGGUAAAACUGACCAACACUUAGGCAAAAAGUCAAAAAAGAGGCCAAAACCCGUUUCGGCAGUCGUAAAGACACACAAACAUGAACAUAGUACCGUGUAGGUAUUAGGCACAUGUUAGAACUUACGGGACUCGAUUCUGACUUACAGAGGCCGAGUUAUCAGCUCGUAGGCAAAACUGACCAACACUUUGGCAAAAUGUCAAAAAAGAGGUCAAAACCGCCUCGGCCGUCGUAACAACACGCAAACAUGUGUAUAGUACCGCGUAGGUAUUAGGCACAUGUUACAACUUACAGGACUCGAUUCCAACUUACGGAGGCCGAGUUAUCAUCCCGUAGCCAAAACUGACUAACACUUUGGCAAAAUGUCGAAAAAAGAGGCCAAAACCGUCUCGGCCGUCGUAACAACACGUAAACACAUACAUAGAACCACGUAGAUAUUAGGCACAUGUUACAACUUACGGGACUAAUUUCUGACUUACGGAGGCCGAGUUAUCAGUCCGUAGGCAAAACUCGCCAACACUUAGGCAAAAAGUCAAAAAAGAGGCCAAAACCCGCCUCGACCGUCGUAACAACACGCAAACACAAACAUAGCACAAUGUAAGUAUUAAGCACGCGUUAAAAUAUAUGUUGCUUGAUUCCGACUUACAGAGGCUGAGUUAUCAGCCCGUAGGCAAAACUCACCAAUAAUUAGGUAAAAAAUUAAAAAAGAGGCCAAAACCCGCCUCGGCCGUUGUAACGACACGAAAAUACAUGCAUAGUACCGCGUAGGUAUUAGGCAUGCAUUAAAACUUACGGGACCCGAUUCCAACUUACGUAGGCCGAGUUUAGGCAAAACUGACCAACACUUAGGUAAAAAGUCAAAAAAGAAGCCAAAACCGGCUUCGGCCGUCGUAACGACACGUAAACACGUACAUAUCACCGUGUAGGUAUUAGGCAUGUGUUACAACUUGUGGGACUCUAUUCCGAUUUACGGAGGCCGACUUAUCAGCCCGUAGGCAAAACUGACUAACACUUAGACAAAAUAUCGAAAAAGAGGUCAAAACCCGCCUCGGUCUUCAUAACGACACGCAAACACGUACAUAGCACCGCGUAGGUAUUAGGCACGCGUUACAACUUAUGAAACUCGAUUUCGACUUACGGAGGCCGAGUUAUUAGCCCGUAGGCAAAUCAGACCAACACUUAGGCAAAAAGUCAAAAAAGUGGUCAAAACCAGCCUCAGCCGUCCUAAGGACACGCAAACACGUACAUAGUACCACGUAGGUAUUAGGCACGUGUUACAACUUGUGGGACUCUAUUCCGAUUUACGGAGGCCGACUUAUCAGCCCAUAGGCAAAACUGACAAACACUUUGACAAAAAGUCAAAAAAGAGGCCAAAACCCGCCUCGGUCUUCAUAACGACAUGCAAACACGUACAUAGCACCGCGUAGGUAUUAGGCAAGCAUUACAACAUAUGGGACUCGAUUCCGACUUACAUAGGCCGAGUUAUCAGCCCGUAGGCAAAACUGACCAACACUUUAGCAAAAAGUCGAAAAAGAGUCCAAAAUCCGCCUUGGCCAUCGUAACAAUAUGCAAACUUGUAUAUAGCACAGCGUGGGUAUUAGGAAUGCAUUACAAAUUAUGGAAUUCGUUUCUGACAUACGGAGGCCAAGUUAUCAGCCCGUAGGCAAAAUUGACCAAUACUUGGCAAAAAGUCAAAAAAGAGGCCAAAACCCGUCUCGGUCGUCAUAAUGACACACAAACACAUACAUAGCACUACGUAGGUAUUAGACACGCGUUACAACUUAUGGAACUCGAUUCCAACUUACGGUGGCCGAGUUACCAGCCCGUAGGCAAAAUUGACCAACAAUUAUACAAAAUGUCAAAAAAGAGGACAAAACCCGCCUCGGCCGUCGUAACAACACGCAAACACGUGCAUAGUACCGCGUAGGUAUUCGGCAUGCGUUACAACUUACGGGACGCAAUUCCAACUUACAGAGGUCAAGUUAUCAGCCCGUAGUCAAAACUGACUAACACUUAGGCAAAAAGUCGAAAAAGAGGCCAAAACCCACCUCGGUCGUCAUAACAACACGUAAACACAUACAUAGCACCGCGUAGGUACUAGGCAUACGUUACAACUUACAGGACUAAUUUCCGACUUACGGAGGCCGAGUUAUCAGUCUGUAGGCAAAACUCGCCAACACUUAGGCAAAAAGUCAAAAAAGAGGCCAAAACUCGUCUCGACCGUCGUAACAACACACAAACACAUACAUAGCACAAUGUAGAUAUUAGACAUGCGUUACAAUAUAUGUUACUCGAUUCUGACUUACGGAGGCCGAGUUUUUAGCCCGUAGGCAAAACUUACCAACACUUAAGUAAAAAGUUAAAAAAGAGGCCGAAACCCGCCUCGACCGUUGUAACGACACAAAAACAUAUGCAUAGUACCGCAUAGGUAUUAGGCACACGUUAAAACUUACGGGACUCGAUUCCAACUUACGUAGGCCGAGUUAAUAGCCCGUAGGCAAAACUGACCAACACUUAGGUAAAAAAUCAAAAAAGAGGCUAAAACCCGACUCGGCCGUCGUAAUGUCACGCAAACUCGUACAUAGUACCGCGUAGUUAUUAGGCAUGCGUUACAACUUACGGAACUCAAUUCUGACUUACGGAAGCCGAGUUAUCAGCCCGUAGGCAAAACUGACCAACACUUAGGUAAAAAGUCAAAAAAGAGGCCAAAACCCACCUCGGCCGUCAUAACGACUCGCAAACACAUACAUAGCACCGCGUAGGUAUUAGACACUCGUUACAACUUACGGGACUCGAUUCUGACUUACGGAGGCCGAGUUAUCAGCCCGUAGGUAAAACUCGACAACACUUAGUUAAAAAGUCGAAAAAGAUGCCAAAACCCACCUCGGCCGUCGUAACAACACGCAAAUACAUACAUAGCACUGCAUGGGUAUUAGGCACGCAUUAUAACUUACGGGUCUCAAUUCUGACUUACGGAGGCCGAGUUAUCAGUCCGUAAGCAAAACUGAACAACAUUUAGGUAAAAAGUCAAAAAAGAGGCCAAAACCCACCUCGGCCGUCAUAACGACUCGCAAACACAUACAUAGCACCGCGUAGGUAUUAGACACUCGUUACAACUUACGGGACUCGAUUCUGACUUACGGAGGCCGAGUUAUCAGCCCGUAGGCAAAACUCGACAACACUUAGGCAGAAAGUCGAAAAAGAGGCCAAAACCCGCCUCGACCGUCGUAACAGUACGCACACACAUACAUAGAACAGCAUCGGUAUUAGGCACGUAUUAUAACUUACGGGACUCAAUUCUAACUUACGGAGGCCAAGUUAUCAGCCCGUAGUUAAAACUGACCAACACUUAGGCAAGAGGUCAAAAAAGAGGCCAAAACCCGCCUCGGUAGUCGUAAAGACACGCAAACAUGAACAUAGCACCGUGUAGGUAUUAGGCAUGUGUUAGAACUUACAUGACUCGAUUCCGACUUACGGAGGCCGAGUUAUCAGCCUGUAGGCAAAACUGACCAACACUUGAGCAAAAUGUCGAAAAAAGGCCAAAACCCGCCUCGGUCGUCGUAACAACAAGCAAACACGUGCAUAGUACCGUGUAGGUAUUAGGCACGCAUUACAACUUACGGGACUCGAUUCCGACAUACGGAGGCCGAGUUAUCAGCCCAUAGGCAAAACUGAACAAUACUUAGGCAAAAAGUCAAAAAAGAGGCCAAAACAUGCCUCGACCGUCGUAACGACACGCAAACACAUGCAUAGCACCGUGCAUGUAUUAGGCAUGUGCUACAACUUACGGGACUCGAUUCCGACAUACAUAGGACAAGUUGACAGCCCGUAGGUAAAAUUGACCAACACUUACGUAAAAAGUUAAAAAAAAAAGGCCAAAACACGCCACGGCUAUUGUAAUGACAUGCAAACACAUGCAUAUCACCGCGUAGGUAUUAAGCACUCAUUAUAACUCCUGACUCAAUUCUGACUUACGGAGGCCGAGUUAUCAGUUCGUAGGCAAAACUGACCAACACUUAGGGAAAAAUUCAAAAAAGAAGCCAAAACCCACCGCGGCCGUCGUAAAAACACGCAAAGACAUAGUACCGCGUAGGUAUUUGGCACACGUUACAGCUUACGGGACUCGAUUUUGAUUUACGGAGGUCGAGUUAUCAGCCCGUAGGCAAAACUAACUAACACUUAGGUAAAAAGUCAAAAAAGAAGCCAAAACCCGCCUCUGCCAUCGUAAUGUUCCGAAAACAAAUACAUAGCACCGCGUAGGUAUUAGGCAUGCGUAACAACUGACGGGACUCGAUUCCGACAUACGGAGGCCGAGUUAUCAGCCCGUAGGCAAAACUGACCAACACUUAGGUAAAAAGUUAAAAAAGAGGCCAAAACCUGCCUCGGCCGUUGUAACGACACGAAAACACAUGCAUAGUACCGCAUAGGUAUUAGGCACGCGUUAUAACUUACGGGACUCAAUUCUGACUUACGGAGGCCGAGUUAUCAGUCUGUAAGCAAAACUGAACAACAUUUAGGUAAAAAGUCAAAAAAGAGGCCAAAACCCGCCUCGGCCGUCAUAACAACUCGCAAACACAUACAUAGCACCGCGUAGGUAUUAGGCACUCGUUACAACUUAUGAGACUCAAUUUUGACUUACGGAGGCUGAGUUAUCAUACCGUAGGCAAAACUUACCAACAUAUAGGUCAAAAUUCGAAAAAGAGGCCAAAACCCGCCUCGUUCGUCGUAACAACACGCAAACACGUGCAUAGUACCGCGUAGGUAUUAGGCACGCAUUACAACUUACGAGACUCGAUUCCAACUUAUGGAGGCCGAGUUAUCAGCCCGUAGCCAAAACUGACCAACACUUAGGCAAAAAGUCGAAAAAGAGGCCAAAACCCGCCUCGACCGUCGUAACAACACGCAAACACAUAUAUAACACCGCGUAGGUAUUAGGCGUGUAUUACAAAUUACGGGACCCAAUUCAGACUUACGGAGGCCGAGUUAUUAGCCCGUAGGCAAAACUGACCAACACUUAGGUAAAAAGUUAAAAAAGAGGCCAAAACCCGCCUCGGGCGUUGUAUCAACACGAAAACACAUGCAUAGUACCGCGUAGGUAUUAGGCACGCGUUAAAACUUACAGGACUCGAUUCCAAAUUAUAGAGGCCGAGUUAUCAGCCCGUAAGCAAAACUGACCAACACUUAGGUAAAAAAUCAAAAAAAGAGGCCAAAACCCGCCUCGGCCGUCGUAAUAACACGCAAACACGCACAUAUCACCAUUUAGGUAUUAGGCACGCGUUACUACUUACGGGACUCGUUUUUGAUUUACUGAGACCGAGUUAUCAGCUCGUAGGCAAAACUGACCAACACUUAGGUAAAAAGUCAAAAAAGAGGCCAAAACCCGCCUCAGCCAUCGUAACGAUACGCAAACACAUACAUAGCACUGCGUAGGUAUUAUGCAUGCAUUACAACUUACGGUACCCGAUUUUGACAUACGGAGGCCGUUAUCAGCCCGUAGGCAAAACUGACCAACACUUAGGCAAAAAGUCAAAAAAGAAGCCAAAACUCACCUCGGCCGUCGUAACAACACUCAAAUACAUACAUAGCACUGCAUGGGUAUUAGGCAUGCGCUAUAACUUACGGGACUCAAUUCUGACUUACAGAGGCUGAGUUAUCAGCCCGUAAGCAAAACUGAACAACAUUUAGGUAAAAAGUCAAAAAAGAGGCCAAAACCCGCCUCGGCUGUCAUAACGACACGCAAACAUAUACAUAGCACCGCGUAGGUAUUAGACACUCGUUACAACUUACGGGACUCGAUUCUGACUUACGGAGGCCGAGUUAUCAGCCCGUAGGCAAAACUCGACAACACUUAGGCAGAAAGUCGAAAAAGAGGCCAAAACCCGCCUCGACCGUCGUAACAACACGCACACACAUACAUAACAACAUCGGUAUUAGGCACGUGUUAUAACUUACGGGACUCAAUUCUAACUUACGGAGGCCAAGUUAUCAGCCCGUAGGUAAAACUGACCAACACUUAGGCAAGAGGUCAAAAAAGAGGCCAAAACCCGCCUCGGCAGUCAUAAAGACACGUAAACAUGAACAUAGCACCGUGUAGGUAUUAGCCACGUGUUAGAACUUACAUGACUCAAUUUUGACUUAUAGAGGCCGAGUUAUCAGCCCGUAGGCAAAACUGACCAACACUUGAGCAAAAUGUCGAAAAAAAGGCCAAAACCCGCCUCGGCCAUCGUAACAACAAGCAAACACGUGCAUAGUACCGUGUAGAUAUUAGGCACGCGUUACAACUUACGGGACUCGAUUCCGACAUACGGAGGCCGAUUUAUCAGCCCAUAGGCAAAACUGAACAACACUUAGGCAAAAAAUCAAAAAAGAGGCCAAAACAUGCCUCGAUCGUCGUAACGACACGCAAACACAUGCAUAGCACCGUGCAUGUAUUAGGCAUGUGCUACAACUUACGGGACUCGAUUCCGACAUACGGAGGCCGAUUUAUCAGCCCAUAGGCAAAACUGAACAACACUUAGGCAAAAAAUCAAAAAAGAGGCCAAAACAUGCCUCGAUCGUCGUAACGACACGCAAACACAUGCAUAGCACCGUGCAUGUAUUAGGCAUGUGCUACAACUUACGGGACUCGAUUCCGACAUACGGAGGCCGAUUUAUCAGCCCAUAGGCAAAACUGAACAACACUUAGGCAAAAAAUCAAAAAAGAGGCCAAAACAUGCCUCGAUCGUCGUAACGACACGCAAACACAUGCAUAGCACCGUGCAUGUAUUAGGCAUGUGCUACAACUUACGGGACUCGAUUCCGACAUACGGAGGCCGAUUUAUCAGCCCAUAGGCAAAACUGAACAACACUUAGGCAAAAAAUCAAAAAAGAGGCCAAAACAUGCCUCGAUCGUCGUAACGACACGCAAACACAUGCAUAGCACCGUGCAUGUAUUAGGCAUGUGCUACAACUUACGGGACUCGAUUCCGACAUACGGAGGCCGAUUUAUCAGCCCAUAGGCAAAACUGAACAACACUUAGGCAAAAAAUCAAAAAAGAGGCCAAAACAUGCCUCGAUCGUCGUAACGACACGCAAACACAUGCAUAGCACCGUGCAUGUAUUAGGCAUGUGCUACAACUUACGGGACUCGAUUCCGACAUACGGAGGCCGAUUUAUCAGCCCAUAGGCAAAACUGAACAACACUUAGGCAAAAAAUCAAAAAAGAGGCCAAAACAUGCCUCGAUCGUCGUAACGACACGCAAACACAUGCAUAGCACCGUGCAUGUAUUAGGCAUGUGCUACAACUUACGGGACUCGAUUCCGACAUACGGAGGCCGAUUUAUCAGCCCAUAGGCAAAACUGAACAACACUUAGGCAAAAAAUCAAAAAAGAGGCCAAAACAUGCCUCGAUCGUCGUAACGACACGCAAACACAUGCAUAGCACCGUGCAUGUAUUAGGCAUGUGCUACAACUUACGGGACUCGAUUCCGACAUACGGAGGCCGAUUUAUCAGCCCAUAGGCAAAACUGAACAACACUUAGGCAAAAAAUCAAAAAAGAGGCCAAAACAUGCCUCGAUCGUCGUAACGACACGCAAACACAUGCAUAGCACCGUGCAUGUAUUAGGCAUGUGCUACAACUUACGGGACUCGAUUCCGACAUACAUAGGACAAGUUGUCAGCCCGUAGGCAAAAUUGACCAACACUUAGGUAAAAAGUUAAAAAAAAGGUCAAAACACGCCUCGACCAUUGUAAUGGCAUGCAAACACAUGCAUAGCACCGCGUAGGUAUUAAGCACGCAUUAUAACUCCUGACUCAAUUCUGACUUACGGAGGCCGAGUUAUCAGCUCGUAGGCAAAACUAACUGACACUUAGGUAAAAAGUCAAAAAAGAAGCCAAAACCUGCCUCGGUCGUCGUAAAAACACGCAAAGACAUAGCACCGCGUAGGUAUUAGGCACGCAUUACAGCUUACGGGACUCGAAUUCGAUUUACGGAGGCUGAGUUAUCAGCCCGUAGGCAAAACUAACUGACACUUAGGUAAAAAGUCAAAAAAGAAGCCAAAACCCGCCUCGGCCAUUAUAAUGUUACGAAAACAAAUACAUAGCACCGCGUAGGUAUUAGGCAUGCGUAACAACUUAUGGGACUCGAUUCCGACAUACGGAGGCCGAGUUAUCAGGCCGUUGGCAAAACUGACCAACACUUAGGUAAAAAGUCGAAAAAGCGGCCAAAACUCGCCUCGGCCGUUGUAACCACACGAAAACACAUGCAUAGUACCACAUAGGUAUUAGGCACACGUUAAAACUUACGGGACUCGAUUCCAACUUACGUAGGCCGAGUUAAUAGCCCGUAGGCAAAACUGACCAACACUUAGGUAAAAAAUCAAAAAAGAGGCUAAAACCCGCCUCGACCGCCAUAAUGACACGCAAACUCGUACAUAGUACCGCGUAGGUUUUAGGCAUGCGUUACAACUUACGGAACUCGAUUCUGACUUACGGAGGCCGAGUUAUCAGCCCGUAGGCAAAACUAACCAACACUUAGGUAAAAAGUCAAAAAAGAGGCCAAAACUCGCCUCAACCAUCGUAUUACGCAUGCGUUGAAACUUACAGUACUCAAUUCUGACAUACGUAGACCGAAUUAUAAGUCCGUAUACAAAAUUGACCAACAGUUAGGUAAAAAGUUAAAAAAUAGGCCAAAACCCGCAUCGACCAUUUUAACGACACGCAAAUACAUGUAUAGAACCGCGUAGGUAUUAGGCACGCGUUAAAACUUACGGGACUCAAUUCUAACUUACGGAGGCCGAGUUAUCAGCCCGUAGGCAAAACUGACCAAUAUUUGGGGAAAAAGUCAAAAACGAGGCCAAAACCCACCUCGGCCGUUGUAACGAUACGGAAACUUGUACAUAGCACCGUGUAGGUAUUAGGCACGCAUUACAUCUUACGGGACUCGAUUCUGAUUUAUGGAGGCCGAGUUAUCAGCCCGUAGGCAAAACAAACUAACACUUAGGUAAAAAGACAAAAAAGAAGCCAAAACCCGCCUCGGCCAUUGUAAUGAUACGCAAACACAUACAUAGCACCGCGUAGGUAUUAGGCAUAUGUUACAACUUACGGGACUCGAUUCCGACAUACGGAGGCCGAGUUAUCAGCCCGUAGACAAAACUGACCAACACUUAGGCAAAAAGUAGAAAAAGAGGCCAAAACUCGCCUCGGCCAUCGUAACAACACGCAAAAACAUACAUAGCAUCGUGUAGGUAUUCAGCAUGCAUUACAACUUACGGGACUCGAUUCCGAUAGACGGAGGCCGAGUUAUCAGGCCAUAGGCAAAACAGACCAACACUUAGGCAAAAAGUAGAAAAAGAGGCCAAAAUCCACCUCGGCCGUUGUAACGAUACAAAUACUAGUACAUAGGACGACGUAGGUAUUAGGCACGCGUUACAACUAAAGGGACUUGAUUCUGACUUACGGAGGCCGAGUUAUCAGCCCGUAAACAAAACUAACUAACACGUAGGUAAAAAGUCAAAAAAGAAGCCAAAACCCGCCUCGGCCAUCGUAAUGAUACGCAAAAACAUACAUAGCACCGCGUAGGUAUUAGUUUUACAUUACAAUGUAGGGACUCGAUUCCAACAUACGGAAGCCGAGUUACCCCGCCCGUAGGCAAAACUGAUCAACACUUUGGCAAAAAGUUGAAAAAGUGGCCGAAACUCGCCUCGGCCAUCGUAACGACAUGCAAACACAUACAUAGCAUCACGUAGGUAUUAGGCACGUAUUACAACUUACGGGACUCGAUUCCGACAGACGGAGGCCGAGUUAUCAGCCCGUAGGUAAAACUGACCAAUAGUUAGGCAAAAAGUCGAAAAAGAGGCCAAAACUCACCUCGGCUGUAGUAACGACACGCUAACACAUACAUAGCACCACGUAGGCAUUAGGCACACGUUAUAACUUACGGGACUUAAUUUCGACUUACGGAGGCCGAGUUAUCAGCCCGUAGGCAAAACUGACCAACACUUAGGCAAAAAGUCAAAAAAGAGGCCAAAAUUAACCUCGACCGUCGUAAUAACACACAAACAUAUACAUAGCACCACGUAGGCAUUAGGCACACGUUAUAACUUACGGGACUUAAUUUCGACUUACGGAGGCCGAGUUAUCAACCCGUAGGCAAAACUGACCAAUACUUAGGCAAAAAGUCGAAAAAGCGGCCGAAACUCGCCUCGGCCAUCGUAAUGACACGCAAGCACAUACAUAGCAUCACGUAGGUAUUUAGCACACAUUAAAACUUACGAGACUCGAUUCCAAUAGACGGAGGCCGAGUUAUCAGCCCAUAGGUAAAACUGACCAAUAGUUAGGUAAAAAAUCAAAAAAGAGGCCAAAAUUCACCUUGGCUGUAGUAACGACACGCAAACACAUACAUAACACCACGUAGGUAUUUGGCACGUGUUAUAACUUACGGGACUCGAUUCCAACUUAUGGAGGCCUAGUUAUCAGCCCGUAGGCAAAACUGACCAACACUUAUGCAAAAAGUCUAAAAAGAUGCCAAAAACCAGUCUCGACCGUCGUAAUGAGACGCAAACUAAUACAUAGCAUCACGUAGGAAUUAGGCACGCGUUACAACUUACAGGACUCGAUUUUGACUUACGGAGGCCGAGUUAUCAGCCCAUUGGCAAAACUGACCAACACUUAGGCAAAAAGUCAAAAAAGAGGCCAAAAUUAGCCUCAGUCGUCGGAAUGACACACAAACAUAUACAUAGCACCACGUAGGCAUUAGGCACGCAUUACAACUUACGGGACUCAAUUUUUACUUACGGAGGCCGAGUUAUUAGCCCAUAGGCAAAACUGACAAACACUUAGGCAAAAACUCGAAAAAGAGGCCAAAACCCGCCUCGACCAUUAUAACUACACGUAAACACGUAUAUAGCACCGUGAAGGUAAUAGGCACGUGUUACAACUUACGGGACUCAAUUCUGACUUACAUAGGUCGAGUUAUCAGCCCAUAGGCAAAACUAACCAACACUUAGGAAAAAAGUCAAAAAAGAGUCCAAAACCCGCCUCGGCCGUUGUAACGAAACGCAAACAUGUACAUAGAACCGCGUAGAUAUUAGGAACGCGUUACAAGUUACGGGACUCGAUUCCGACUUACGGAGGCCGAGUUAUCAGCCCGUAGGCAAAACUGACUAACACUUAGGAAAAAAGUUAAAAAAGAGGCCAAAACUCUCCUUGGUUGUAGUAACGACACACAAACACAUAUAUAGCACCGCGUAGAUAUUAGGCACGCGUUACAACUUACGGGACUCGAUUCUGACCUACGGAGGCUGAGUUAUCAGCCCGUAGGUAAAACUUACCAACACUUAGGCAAGAAGUCAAAAAAGAGACCAAAACUCACCUCGGCAGUCGUAAAGACACACAAACAUGAACAUAGUACCAUGUAGGUAUUAGGCACAUGUUAGAACUUACGAGACUCGAUUCCGACUUACAGAGGCCGAGUUAUCAGCCCGUAGGCAAAACUGACCAACACUUUGGCAAAAUGUCGAAAAAGAGGCCAAAACCGUCUCGGCCGUCGUAACAACACACAAAUAUGUGUAUAGUACCGCGUAGGUAUUAGGCACAUGUUACAACUUACGGGACUCGAUUCCAACUUACGGAGGCCGAGUUAUCAGCCCGUAGCCAAAACUGACCAACACUUUGGCAAAAUGUCGAAAAAGAGGCCAAAACCGCCUCGGCCGUCGUAACAACACGUAAACACAUACAUAGCACUGUGUAGGUAUUAGGCACACGUUACAACUUACGGGACUAAUAUCCGACUUACGGAGGCGGAGUUAUCAGUCCGUAGGCAAAACUCGCCAACACUUAGGCAAAAAGUCAAAAAAGAGGCCAAAACCCGCCUCGACCGUCGUAACGACACGCAAACACAAACAUAGCACAAUGUAGGUAUUAAGCACGCGUUACAAUAUAAGUUACUCGAUUUUGACUUACGGAGGCCGAGUUAUCAGCCCGUAGGCAAAACUGACCAACAAUUAGGUAAAAAAUUAAAAAAGAGGCCAAAACCUGCCUCGACCGUUGUAAUGACACGAAAAUACAUGCAUAGUACCGCGUAGGUAUUAGGCACGCAUUAAAACUUAUGGGACCCGAUUCCAACUUACGGAGGUCGAGUUAUCAGCCCGUAGGCAAAACUGACCAACACUUAGGUAAAAAGUCAAAAAAGAGGCCAAAACCCGCCUCGGCCGUCGUAACGACACGUAAACACGUACAUAUCACCGUGUAGGUAUUAGGCACAUGUUACAACUUAUGGGACUUUAUUCUGAUUUACGGAGGCCGACUUAUCAGCCCGUAGGCAAAACUGACUAAUACUUAGACAAAAUGUCGAAAAAGAGGUCAAAACCCGCCUCGGUCUUCAUAACGACACGCAAACACGUACAUAGCACCGCGUAGGUAUUAGGCACACGUUACAACUUACGAAACUCGAUUCUGACUUACGGAGGCCGAGUUAUCAACCCGUAGGCAAAAACUGGCCAACAUUUAGGUAAAAAGUCAAAAAAGAGGCCAAAACUAGCCUCAGCCGUCAUAAGGACACGCAAACACGUACAUAGCACCACGUAGGUAUUAGGCAUGUGUUACAACUUAUGGGACUCUAUUCCGAUUUACGGAGGCCGAGUUAUCAGCCCGUAGGCAAAACUGACUAACACUUAGAUAAAAAGUCGAAAAAAAGGCUAAAACCAGCCUCGGUCUUCAUAACGACACGCAAACACGUACAUAGCACCGCGUAGGUAUUAGGCAUGCAUUACAACAUAUGGGACUCGAUUCCGACUUACAUAGGCUGAGUUAUCAGCCCGUAGGCAAAACUGACCAACACUUUGGCAAAAAGUCAAAAAAGAGUCCAAAAUCUGCCUCGGCCAUCGUAACAAUAUGCAAACUUGUAUAUAGCACAACGUAGGUAUUAGGAACGCGUUACAAAUUAUGGAAUUCGUUUCUGACAUACGGAGGCCAAGUUAUCAUCCCGUAGGCAAAAUUGACCAAUACUUAGGCAAAGAGUCAAAAAAGAGGCCAAAACCCGUCUCGGUCGUCAUAAUGACAGACAAACACAUACAUAGCACUACGUAGGUAUUAGACACGCGUUACAACUUAUGUAACUCGAUUCCAACUUACGGAGGCCGAGUUACCAGCCCGUAGGCAAAACUGACCAACAAUUAUGCAACAUGUCAAAAAAGAGGCCAAAACCCGCCUCGGCCGUCGUAACAACACGCAAACACGUGCAUAGUACCGCGUAGGUAUUCGGCACGCGUUACAACUUACGGGACGCGAUUCCAACUUACAGAGGUCGAGUUAUCAGCCCGUACUCAAAACUGACUAACACUUAGGUAAAAAGUCAAAAAAGAGGCCAAAACCCACCUCGGCUGUCGUAACAACACGUAAACACAUGCAUAGCACCGCGUAGGUACUAGGCACACGUUAUAACUUACGGGACUAAUUUUUGACUUACGGAGGCCGAGUUAUCAAUCCGUAGGCAAAACUCGCCAACACUUAGGCAAAAGGUCAAAAAAGAGGCCAAAACUCGUCUCGACCAUCGUAACAACACGUAAACACAUACAUAGCACAAUGUAGAUAUUAGGCACGCAUUACAAUAUAUGUUACUCGAUUCCGACUUACGGAGGCCGAGUUAUUAGCCCGUAGGCAAAACUGACCAACACUUAGGUAAAAAAUCAAAAAAGAGGCUAAAACCCGCCUCGGCCAUCGUAAUGUCACACAAACUCGUACAUAGUACCGCGUAGGUUUUAGGCAUGCGUUACAACUUACGGAACUCAAUUCUGACUUACAGAGGCCGAGUUAUCAGCCCGUAGGCAAAACUGACUAACACUUAGGUAAAAAGUCGAAAAAGAGGCCAAAACUCGCCUCAACCAUCGUAUUACGGAGGCCGAGUUAUCAGUUCGUAGGCAAAACUGACCAACACUUAGGGAAAAAUUCAAAAAAGAAGCCAAAACCCACCGCGGCCGUCGUAAAAACACGCAAAGUCAUAGCACCGCGUAGGUAUUAGGCAUGCGUUACAGCUUAUGGGACUCGAUUCCGAUUUACGGAGGCCGAGUUAUUAGCCCGUAGGCAAAACUGAACAACACUUAAGCAAAAAGUCGAAAAAGAGGCCAAAACCCACCUCGACCGUCGUAACAACAUGCUAACACAUACAUAGUACCGCGUGGGUAUUAGGCACGCGUUAUAACUUAGGAGACUCAAUUCUGACUUACGGAGGCCGAGUUAUCAACCCGUAGAGAAAACUGCACAAUACUUAGGCAAAAAGUAAAAAAAGAGGCCAAAACAUGCCUCAGCCGUCGUAAUGACACGCAAACACAUACAUAGCACCGCGCAUGUAUUAGGCAUGUGCUACAACUUACGAGACUCAAUUUUCACAUACGUAGGCCAAGUUGUUAACCCGUAGGCAAAAUUGACCAACACUUAGGUAAAAACAUAAAAAAGAGGCCAAAACCCGACUCGGCCAUUGUAAUGACAUGCAAAUGUAUGCAUAGCACCGCGUAGGUAUUAGGCACGUAUUAUAACUUACGAGACUCAAUUCUGACUUACGGAGGCUGAGUUAUCAGCUCGUAGGCAAAACUGACCAACACUUAGGGAAAAAGUCAAAAAAGAGGCCAAAAUUAUCCUCGGCCGUCGUAAUGACACACAAAUAUAUACAUAGCACCACGUAGGCAUUAGGCACGCGUUAUAACUUACGGGACUCAAUUUCGACUUACGGAGGCCGAGUUAUCAGCCCGUAGGCAAAACUGACCAACACUUAGGGAAAAAGUCAAAAAAGAGGCCAAAAUUAUCCUCGGCCGUCGUAAUGACACACAAAUAUAUACAUAGCACCACGUAGGCAUUAGGCACGCGUUAUAACUUACGGGACUCAAUUUCGACUUACGGAGGCCGAGUUAUCAGCCCGUAGGCAAAACUGACCAACACUUAGGGAAAAAGUCAAAAAAGAGGCCAAAAUUAUCCUCGGCCGUCGUAAUGACACACAAAUAUAUACAUAGCACCACGUAGGCAUUAGGCACGCGUUAUAACUUACGGGACUCAAUUUCGACUUACGGAGGCCGAGUUAUCAGCCCGUAGGCAAAACUGACCAACACUUAGGGAAAAAGUCAAAAAAGAGGCCAAAAUUAUCCUCGGCCGUCGUAAUGACACACAAAUAUAUACAUAGCACCACGUAGGCAUUAGGCACGCGUUAUAACUUACGGGACUCAAUUUCGACUUACGGAGGCCGAGUUAUCAGCCCGUAGGCAAAACUGACCAACACUUAGGGAAAAAGUCAAAAAAGAGGCCAAAAUUAUCCUCGGCCGUCGUAAUGACACACAAAUAUAUACAUAGCACCACGUAGGCAUUAGGCACGCGUUAUAACUUACGGGACUCAAUUUCGACUUACGGAGGCCGAGUUAUCAGCCCGUAGGCAAAACUGACCAACACUUAGGGAAAAAGUCAAAAAAGAGGCCAAAAUUAUCCUCGGCCGUCGUAAUGACACACAAAUAUAUACAUAGCACCACGUAGGCAUUAGGCACGCGUUAUAACUUACGGGACUCAAUUUCGACUUACGGAGGCCGAGUUAUCAGCCCGUAGGCAAAACUGACCAACACUUAUGCAGGUCUUCAUAACGACACGCAAACACGUAUAUAGCAUCGUGAAGGUAAUAGGCACAUGUUACAACUUACGAGACUCAAUUCUGACUUACGGAGGCCGAGUUAUCAGCCCGUAGGCAAAACUGACAAACACUUAGGCAAAAACUCAAAAAAGAGGCCAAAACCCGCCUCGAUCGUCAUAACGACACGCAAACACGUAUAUAGCAUCGUGAAGGUAAUAGGCACAUGUUACAACUUACGAGACUCAAUUCUGACUUACAUAGGCCGAGUUAUCAGCCCGUAGGCAAAACUAACCAACACUUAGGGAAAAAGUCAAAAAAGAGUCCAAAACCCGCCUCGAUCGUCAUAACGACACGCAAACACAUACAUAGCACCACGUAGGCAUUAGGCACACGUUAUAACUUACGGGACUCAAUUUCGACUUACGGAGGCCUAGUUAUCAGCCCGUAGGCAAAACUGAUCAAUACUUAGGCAAAAAGUCGAAAAACUGGCCGAAACUCGCCUCGGCCAUCGUAACGACACGCAAACACAUACAUAGAAUCACGUAGGUAUUUGGCACGCAUUAAAACUUACGAGACUCGAUUCCAAUAGACGGAGGUCGAGUUUCCAGCCCGUAGUAAAACUGACCAAUAGUUAGGUAAAAAGUCAAAAAAGAGGCCAAAACUCACCUUGGCUGUAGUAACGACACGCAAACACAUACAUAGCACCACGUAGGUAUUUAGCACGUGUUAUAACUUACGGGACUCGAUUCCGACUUACGGAGACCGAGUUAUCAGCCCGUAGGCAAAACUGACCAACACUUAUGCAAAAAGUCGAAAAAGAUGCCAAAAACCAGUCUCGACCGUCGUAAUGAGACGCAAACUAAUACAUAGCACCGCGUAGGAAUUAGGCAUGCGUUACAACUUACAGGACUCGAUUCUGACUUACGGAGGCCGAGUUAUCGGCCCAUUGGCAAAACUGACCAACACUUAGGCAAAAAGUCAAAAAAGAGGCCAAAAUUAUCCUCGGCCGUCGUAAUGACACACAAAUAUAUACAUAGCACCACGUAGGCAUUAGGCACGCGUUAUAACUUACGGGACUCAAUUUCGACUUACGGAGGCCGAGUUAUCAGCCCGUAGGCAAAACUGACAAACACUUAGGCAAAAACUCAAAAAAGAGGCCAAAACCCGUCUCAGUCUUCAUAACGACACGCAAACACGUACAUAGCACCGCGUAGGUAUUAGGCAUACAUUACAACAUAUGGGACUCGAUUCUGACUUACGGAGGCCGAGUUAUCAGCCCGUAGGCAAAACUAACCAACACUUAGGGAAAAAGUCAAAAAAGAGUCCAAAACCCGCCUCGGCCGUUGUAACGAAACGCAAACAUGUACAUAGAACCGCGUAGAUAUUAGGCAUGCGUUACAAGUUACGGGACUCGAUUCUGACUUACGGAGGCCGAGUUAUCAGCCCGUAGGCAAAAUUGACCACUACUUAGGCAAAAAAGUCAAAAAUGAGGCCAAAACCCGUCUCGGUCGUCAUAAUGACACACAAACACAUACAUAGCACUACGUAGGUAUUAGGCACGUGUUACAACUUGUGGGACUCUAUUCCGAUUUAUGGAGGCCGACUUAUCAGCCCGUAGGCAAAACUGACUAACACUUAGACAAAAAGUUGAAAAAGAGGCCAAAACCCGUCUCAGUCUUCAUAACGACACGCAAACACGUACAUAGCACCGCGUAGGUAUUAGGCAUACAUUACAACAUAUGGGACUCGAUUCUGACUUACAUUGGCUGAGUUAUCAGCCCGUAGGCAAAACUGACCAACACUUUGGCAAAAAGUCAAAAAAGAGUCCAAAAUCCGCCUCGGCCAUCGUAACAAUAUGCAAACUUGUAUAUAGCACAGCGUAGGUAUUAGGAACACGUUACAAAUUACGGAAUUCGUUUCUGACAUACGGAGGCCAAGUUAUCAGCCCGUAGGCAAAACUGACUAACACUUAGACAAAAAGUUGAAAAAGAGGCCAAAACCCGUCUCAGUCUUCAUAACGACACGCAAACACGUACAUAGCACCGCGUAGGUAUUAGGCAUAUAUUACAACAUAUGGGACUCGAUUCUGACUUACAUUGGCUGAGUUAUCAGCCCGUAGGCAAAACUGACUAACACUUAGACAAAAAGUUGAAAAAGAGGCCAAAACCCGUCUCAGUCUUCAUAACGACACGCAAACACGUACAUAGCACCGCGUAGGUAUUAGGCAUAUAUUACAACAUAUGGGACUCGAUUCUGACUUACAUUGGCUGAGUUAUCAGCCCGUAGGCAAAACUGACUAACACUUAGACAAAAAGUUGAAAAAGAGGCCAAAACCCGUCUCAGUCUUCAUAACGACACGCAAACACGUACAUAGCACCGCGUAGGUAUUAGGCAUAUAUUACAACAUAUGGGACUCGAUUCUGACUUACAUUGGCUGAGUUAUCAGCCCGUAGGCAAAACUGACUAACACUUAGACAAAAAGUUGAAAAAGAGGCCAAAACCCGUCUCAGUCUUCAUAACGACACGCAAACACGUACAUAGCACCGCGUAGGUAUUAGGCAUAUAUUACAACAUAUGGGACUCGAUUCUGACUUACAUUGGCUGAGUUAUCAGCCCGUAGGCAAAACUGACUAACACUUAGACAAAAAGUUGAAAAAGAGGCCAAAACCCGUCUCAGUCUUCAUAACGACACGCAAACACGUACAUAGCACCGCGUAGGUAUUAGGCAUAUAUUACAACAUAUGGGACUCGAUUCUGACUUACAUUGGCUGAGUUAUCAGCCCGUAGGCAAAACUGACUAACACUUAGACAAAAAGUUGAAAAAGAGGCCAAAACCCGUCUCAGUCUUCAUAACGACACGCAAACACGUACAUAGCACCGCGUAGGUAUUAGGCAUAUAUUACAACAUAUGGGACUCGAUUCUGACUUACAUUGGCUGAGUUAUCAGCCCGUAGGCAAAACUGACUAACACUUAGACAAAAAGUUGAAAAAGAGGCCAAAACCCGUCUCAGUCUUCAUAACGACACGCAAACACGUACAUAGCACCGCGUAGGUAUUAGGCAUAUAUUACAACAUAUGGGACUCGAUUCUGACUUACAUUGGCUGAGUUAUCAGCCCGUAGGCAAAACUGACUAACACUUAGACAAAAAGUUGAAAAAGAGGCCAAAACCCGUCUCAGUCUUCAUAACGACACGCAAACACGUACAUAGCACCGCGUAGGUAUUAGGCAUAUAUUACAACAUAUGGGACUCGAUUCUGACUUACAUUGGCUGAGUUAUCAGCCCGUAGGCAAAACUGACUAACACUUAGACAAAAAGUUGAAAAAGAGGCCAAAACCCGUCUCAGUCUUCAUAACGACACGCAAACACGUACAUAGCACCGCGUAGGUAUUAGGCAUAUAUUACAACAUAUGGGACUCGAUUCUGACUUACAUUGGCUGAGUUAUCAGCCCGUAGGCAAAACUGACUAACACUUAGACAAAAAGUUGAAAAAGAGGCCAAAACCCGUCUCAGUCUUCAUAACGACACGCAAACACGUACAUAGCACCGCGUAGGUAUUAGGCAUAUAUUACAACAUAUGGGACUCGAUUCUGACUUACAUUGGCUGAGUUAUCAGCCCGUAGGCAAAACUGACUAACACUUAGACAAAAAGUUGAAAAAGAGGCCAAAACCCGUCUCAGUCUUCAUAACGACACGCAAACACGUACAUAGCACCGCGUAGGUAUUAGGCAUAUAUUACAACAUAUGGGACUCGAUUCUGACUUACAUUGGCUGAGUUAUCAGCCCGUAGGCAAAACUGACUAACACUUAGACAAAAAGUUGAAAAAGAGGCCAAAACCCGUCUCAGUCUUCAUAACGACACGCAAACACGUACAUAGCACCGCGUAGGUAUUAGGCAUAUAUUACAACAUAUGGGACUCGAUUCUGACUUACAUUGGCUGAGUUAUCAGCCCGUAGGCAAAACUGACUAACACUUAGACAAAAAGUUGAAAAAGAGGCCAAAACCCGUCUCAGUCUUCAUAACGACACGCAAACACGUACAUAGCACCGCGUAGGUAUUAGGCAUAUAUUACAACAUAUGGGACUCGAUUCUGACUUACAUUGGCUGAGUUAUCAGCCCGUAGGCAAAACUGACUAACACUUAGACAAAAAGUUGAAAAAGAGGCCAAAACCCGUCUCAGUCUUCAUAACGACACGCAAACACGUACAUAGCACCGCGUAGGUAUUAGGCAUAUAUUACAACAUAUGGGACUCGAUUCUGACUUACAUUGGCUGAGUUAUCAGCCCGUAGGCAAAACUGACUAACACUUAGACAAAAAGUUGAAAAAGAGGCCAAAACCCGUCUCAGUCUUCAUAACGACACGCAAACACGUACAUAGCACCGCGUAGGUAUUAGGCAUAUAUUACAACAUAUGGGACUCGAUUCUGACUUACAUUGGCUGAGUUAUCAGCCCGUAGGCAAAACUGACUAACACUUAGACAAAAAGUUGAAAAAGAGGCCAAAACCCGUCUCAGUCUUCAUAACGACACGCAAACACGUACAUAGCACCGCGUAGGUAUUAGGCAUAUAUUACAACAUAUGGGACUCGAUUCUGACUUACAUUGGCUGAGUUAUCAGCCCGUAGGCAAAACUGACUAACACUUAGACAAAAAGUUGAAAAAGAGGCCAAAACCCGUCUCAGUCUUCAUAACGACACGCAAACACGUACAUAGCACCGCGUAGGUAUUAGGCAUAUAUUACAACAUAUGGGACUCGAUUCUGACUUACAUUGGCUGAGUUAUCAGCCCGUAGGCAAAACAGACCAACACUUAGGCAAAAAGUAGAAAAAGAGGCCAAAAUCCACCUCGGCCGUUGUAACGACACAAAUACUAGAACAUAGCACGGCGUAUGUAUUAGGCACGUGUUACAACUUAAGGGACUUGAUUCUGACUUAUGGAGACCGAGUUAUCAGCCCGUAAGCAAAACUAACUAACACGUAGGUAAAAAGUCAAAAAAAAGCCAAAACCCGCCUCGGCCAUCGUAAUGAUACGCAAAAACAUACAUAGCACCGCGUAGGUAUUAGGCAUACAUUACAAUGUACGGGACUCGAUUCUAACAUACGGAGGCCGAGUUACCAGCCCGUAGGAAAAACUAACCAACACUUAGGCAAAAAGUCAAAAAAGUGGCCGAAACUCGCCUCGGCCAUCGUACGACACGCAAACACAUACAUAGCAUCACGUAGGUAUUAGGCACGCAUUACAACUUACGGGACUCGAUUCCGACAGACGGAGGCCGAGUUAUCAGCCCGUAGGUAAAACUGACCAAUAGUUAGGAAAAAAGUCAAAAAAGAGGCCAAAACUCACCUCGGCUAUAGUAACGACACGCUAACACAUACAUAGCACCGCGUAGGUAUUUGGCAUGUGUUACAAUUUACGGGACUCGAUUCCGACUUACGGAGGCCGAGUUAUCAGCCCGUAGGCAAAACAGACCAACACUUAGGCAAAAAGUCGAAAAAGAGGCCAAAACCAGCCUCAGCCGUCGUAAGGACACGCAAACACGUACAUAGCACCACGUAGGUAUUAGGCACGUGUUACAACUUGUGGGACUCUAUUCCGAUUUACGGAGGCCGACUUAUCAGCCCGUAGGCAAAACUGACUAACACUUAGACAAAAAGUCGAAAAAGAGGCCAAAACCCGCCUCGGUCUUCAUAACGACACGCAAACACGUACAUAGCACCGCGUAAGUAUUAGGCACGCGUUACAACUUACGAAACUCGAUUCCGACUUACGGAGGCCGAGUUAUUAGCCCGUAGGCAAAACUGACCAACACUUAGGCAAAAAGUCGAAAAAGAGGCCAAAACCAGCCUCAGCCGUCGUAAGGACACGCAAACACGUACAUAGCACCACGUAGGUAUUAGGCACGUGUUACAACUUGUGGGACUCUAUUCCGAUUUACGGAGGCCGACUUAUCAGCCCGUAGGCAAAACUGACUAACACUUAGACAAAAUGUCGAAAAAGAGGCCAAAACCCGCCUCGGUCUUCAUAACGACACGCAAACACGUACAUAGCACCGCGUAGGUAUUAGGCACGCGUUACAACUUACGAAACUCGAUUCCGACUUACGGAGGCCGAGUUAUUAGCCCGUAGGCAAAACAGACCAACACUUAGGCAAAAAGUCGAAAAAGAGGCCAAAACCAGCCUCAGCCGUCGUAAGGACACGCAAACACGUACAUAGCACCACGUAGGUAUUAGGCACGUGUUACAACUUGUGGGACUCUAUUCCGAUUUACGGAGGCCGACUUAUCAGCCCGUAGGCAAAACUAACUAACACUUAGACAAAAUAUCGAAAAAGAGGUCAAAACCCGCCUCGGUCUUCAUAACGACACGCAAACACGUACAUAGCACCGCGUAGGUAUUAGGCACGCGUUACAACUUAUGAAACUCAAUUCCGACUUACGGAGGCCGAGUUAUUAGCCCGUAGGCAAAACAGACCAACACUUAGGCAAAAAGUCAAAAAAGAGGUCAAAACCAGCCUCAGCCGUCCUAAGGACACGCAGACACGUAUAUAGUACCACGUAGGUAUUAGGCAUAUGUUACAACUUGUGGGACUCUAUUCCGAUUUACGGAGGCCGACUUAUUAGCCCAUAGGCAAAACUGACAAACACUUUGACAAAAAGUCAAAAAAGAGGCCAAAACCCGCCUCGGUCUUCAUAAUGACAUGCAAACAUGUACAUAGCACCGCGUAGGUAUUAGGCAAGCAUUACAACAUAUGGGACUCGAUUCCGACUUACAUAGGUCGAGUUAUCAGCCCGUAGGCAAAACUGACCAACACUUUAGCAAAAAGUCGAAAAAGAGUCCAAAAUCCGCCUUGGCCAUCGUAACAAUAUGCAAACUUGUAUAUAGCACAGCGUGGGUAUUAGGAAUGCGUUACAAAUUAUGGAAUUCGUUUCUGACAUACGGAGGCCAAGUUAUCAGCCCGUAGGCAAAAUUGACCAAUACUUAGGCAAAAAGUCAAAAAAGAGGCCAAAACCCGUCUCGGUUGUCAUAAUGACACACAAACACAUACAUAGCACUACGUAGGUAUUAGACACGCGUUAUAACUUAUGGAACUCGAUUCCAACUUACGGUGGCCGAGUUACCAGCCCGUAGGCAAAAUUGACCAACAAUUAUGCAAAAUGUCGAAAAAGAGGACAAAACCCGCCUCGGCCAUCGUAACAACACGCAAACACGUGCAUAGUACUGCGUAGGUAUUCGGCAUGCGUUACAACUUACGGGACGCAAUUCCAACGUACAGAGGUCGAGUUAUCAGCCCGUAGUCAAAACUGACUAACACUUAGGCAAAAAGUCGAAAAAGAGGCCAAAACCCACCUCGGUCGUCAUAACAACACGUAAACACAUACAUAGCACCGCGUAGGUACUAGGCAUACGUUACAACUUACAGGACUAAUUUUCGACUUACGGAGGCCGAGUUAUCAGUCCGUAGGCAAAACUCGCCAACACUUAGGCAAAAAGUUAAAAAAGAGGCCAAAACUCGUCUCGACCGUCGUAAUAACACACAAACACAUACAUAGCACAAUGUAGAUAUUAGGCAUGCAUUACAAUAUAUGUUACUCGAUUCUGACUUACGGAGGCCGAGUUUUUAGCCCGUAGGCAAAACUUACCAACACUUAAGUAAAAAGUUAAAAAAGAGGCCAAAACCCGCCUCAGCCAUCGUAACGAUAUGCAAACACAUGCAUAGCACCGCAUAGGUAUUAGGCACACGUUAAAACUUACGGGACUCGAUUCCAACUUACGUAGGCCGAGUUAAUAGCCCGUAGGCAAAACUGACCAACACUUAGGUAAAAAAUAAAAAAAGAGGCUAAAACCCGACUCGGCCGUCGUAAUGUCACGCAAACUCGUACAUAGUACCGCGUAGUUAUUAGGCAUGCAUUACAACUUACUGAACUCAAUUCUGACUUACGGAAGCAGAGUUAUCAGCCCGUAGGCAAAACUGACCAACACUUAGGUAAAAAGUCAAAAAAGAGGCCAAAACCCGCCUCAGCCAUCGUAACGAUAUGCAAACACAUGCAUAGCACCGCAUAGGUAUUAGGCAUGCAUUACAACUUACGGGACUCAAUUUCGAGAUACGGAGGCUGAGUUAUCAGGCCGUAGGCAAAACUGACCAACACUUAGUUAAAAAGUCGAAAAAUAUGCCAAAACCCACCUCGGCCGUCGUAACAACACGCAAAUACAUACAUAGCACUGCAUGGGUAUUAGGCACGCAUUAUAACUUACGGGUCUCAAUUCUGACUUACGGAGGCCGAGUUAUCAGUCCGUAAGCAAAACUGAACAACAUUUAGGUAAAAAGUCAAAAAAGAGGCCAAAACCCACCUCGGCCGUCAUAACGACUCGCAAACACAUACAUAGCACCGCGUAGGUAUUAGGCACUCGUUACAACUUACGAGACUCGAUUCCAACUUACGGAGGCCGAGUUAUCAGCCCGUAGCUAAAACUGACCAACACUUAGGCAAAAAGUCGAAAAAGAGGCCAAAACCCGCCUCGGCCAUCUUAACAACACGCAAAUACAUAUAUAGCACCGCGUAGGUAUUAGGCGUGUGUUGCAACUUACGGGACCCGAUUCAGACUUACGGAGGCCGAGUUAUCAGCCCGUAGGCAAAACUGACCAACACUUAGGUAAAAAGUUAAAAAAGAGGCCAAAACUCGCCUCAGCCGUUGUAACGACACGAAAAUACAUGCAUAGUACCGCGUAGGUAUUAGGCACGCGUUAAAACUUACGGGACUCGAUUCCAAAUUACGGAGGCCUAGUUAUCAGCUCGUAAGCAAAACUGACCAACAUUUAGGUAUAAAGUCAAAAAAAGGCCAAAACUCUCCUCGGCCGUCGCAACGACACGCAAACACGCGCAUAUCAUCGUUUAGGUAUUAGGCACGCGUUACUACUUACGGGACUCGAUUCUGAUUUACUGAGACCGAGUUAUCAGCUCGUGGGCAAAACUGACCAACACUUAGGUAAAAAGUCAGAAAAGAGGCCAAACCCGCCUCAGCCAUCGUAACGAUACGCAAACACAUAUAUAGCACCGCGUAGGUAUUAUGCAUGUAUUACAACUUACGGUACCCGAUUUCGACAUACGGAGGCCGUUUUCAGCCCGUAGGCAAAACUGACCAACACUUAGGUAAAAAGUCGAAAAAGAGGCCAAAACCCACCUCGGCCGUCGUAACAACACGCAAAUACAUACAUAGUACUACAUGGGUAUUAGGCAUGUGCUAUAACUUAUGUGACUCAAUUCUGACUUACGGAGGCUGAGUUAUCAGCCCGUAAGCAAAACUGAACAACAUUUAGGUAAAAAGUCAAAAAAGAGGCCAAAACCCGCCUCGGCUGUCGUAACGACACGCAAACACAUACAUAGCACCGCGUAGGUAUUAGACACUCGUUACAACUUACGGGACUCUAUUCUGACUUACGAAGGCCGAGUUAUCAGCCCGUAGGCAAAACUCAACAACACUUAGGCAGAAAGUCGAAAAAGAGGCCAAAACCCGCCUUGAUCGUCGUAAUAACACGAACACACAUACAUAGAACAGCAUCGGUAUUAGGCACGUGAUAUAACUUAUGGGACUCAAUUCUAACUUACGGAGGCCAAGUUAUCAGCCCGUAGGUAAAACUGACCAACACUUAGCCAAGAAGUCAAAAAAGUGGCCAAAACCCGCCUCGGCAGUCGUAAAGACACGCAAACAUGAACAUAGCACCGUGUAGGUAUUAAGCACGUGUUAGAACUUACAUGACUCGAUUCCGACUUACAGAGGCCGAGUUAUCAGCCCGUAGGCAAAACUGACCAACACUUGAGCAAAAUGUCAAAAAAAGGCCAAAACCCGCCUCGGCCGUUGUAACAACAAGCAAACACGUGCAUAGUACCGCACAGGUAUUAGGCACACGUUAUAAGCCCGUAGGCCGAGUUAUCAGCCCGUAGGCAAAACUUAACAACACUUAGGCAAAAAGUCAAAAAAGAGGUCAAAACAUGCCUCGACCGUUGUAAUGACACGCAAACACAUGCAUAGCACCGUGCAUGUAUUAGGCAUGUUCUACAACUUACGGGACUCGAUUCUGACAUACGUAGGACAAGUUGUCAGCCCGUAGGCAAAAUUGACCAACACUUAGGUAAAAAGUUAAAAAAAGGCCAAAACACGCCUCGGCCAUUGUAAUGACAUGCAAACACAUGCAUAGUACCGCGUAGGUAUUAAGCACGCAUUAUAAAUUACCUGACUCAAUUCCGACUUACGGAGGCCGAGUUAUCAGUUUGUAGGCAAAACUGACCACCACUUAGGGAAAAAGUCAAAAAAGAAGCCAAAACCCACUUCGGCCGUCGUAAUGACAUACAAACAUGUACAUAGCACCGUGCAGAUAUUAGGCACGUGUUACACCUUACAGGACUCGAUUCUGACUUACGAAGGCCGAGUUAUCAGCCCGUAGGCAAAACUGACCAACACUUAGGCAAAAAAUCGAAAAAGAGGCCAAAACUCGCCUCGGCCGUUGUAACGAUACGGAAACUAGUAUAUAGCACCACGUAGGUAUUAGGCACGCGUUACAACUUAUGGAACCCGAUUCCGACUUACGGAGGCCGAGUUAUCAGCCCGUAGGCAAAACUGACCAACACUUAGGUAAAAAGUCAAAAAAGAGGCCAAAACCCGCCUCGGCUGUCGUAACGACACGUAAACACGUACAUAUCACCGUGUAGGUAUUAGGCACGCGUUACUACUUACGGGACUCGAUUCUGAUUUAUGGAGGCCGAGUUAUCAGCUCGUAGGGAAAACUAACCAAAAUUAGGCAAAAAGUCGAAAAAGAGUCCAAAACCCGCCUCAUCUAUUAUAAUGACACAGAAACUCGUGCAUAGCACCGCGUAGGUAUUAGGCACGCGUUACAACUUACGAAACUCAAUUCCAACUUAUGGAGGCCGAGUUAUCAGCCCGUAGGAAAAACUGACCAACACUUAGUUAAAAUGUCAAAAAAGAGGCCAAAACCCGCCUCAACCAUCGUAACGAUACGCGAACAAAUUAAUAGCACCGCAUAGGUAUUAGGUACUCAUUACAACUUACGGGACUCGAUUUCAACAUACGGAGGCCGAGUUAUCAGCCCGUAGGCAAAACUGACCAACACUUAGGCAAAAAGUCCAAAAAGAGGCCAAAACCCACCUCGGCCGUCGUAACAACAUGCAAAGACUUACAUAGCACUGCAUGGGUAUUAGGCACGUGUUAUAACUUACGGGACUCAAUUCUAACUUACGGAGGCUGAGUUAUCAGCCCGUAGACAAAACAGAACAACAUUUAGGUAAAAAGUCGAAAAAGAGGGAAAAACAUGACUCGGUCGUCGUAACAACAUAAAAACACAUACAUAGUACCGCGUAUGUAUUAGGCAUGCGUUACAACUUAUGGGACUCGAUUCUGACAUACGUAGACCUAGUUAUUAGCCCGUAUGCAAAAUUGACCAACACUUAGGUAAAAAGUUAAAAAAGAGGCCAAAACCCUCAUCGGCCAUUGUAGGUAUUAGACACGCGUUACAACUUACGGGUUCAUAGUGUUUUUCACAUAUCUAUGUUACGUAAAUAUGUGGAAGACCCGAAUCACAUUAUUGAGUUAGAACCGGACGAAAUAGCGGAAGAUUUAACGUAUGAAGAGGUUCCUGUUCAAAUCUUGGAUAGGAAGGAACAUAUUCUACGCUCCAAGGUUAUACCUCAAGUCAANNNNNNNNNNNNNNNNNNNNNNNNNNNNNNNNNNNNNNNNNNNNNNNNNNNNNNNNNNNNNNNNNNNNNNNNNNNNNNNNNNNNNNNNNNNNNNNNNNNNAUUUUAUUGAAAAUAACGACGGAAGUUUUACCGUUAAUACUGUUGAACUACUCGGUAGUAAAAGUACAGUAAUACGCGUGGUUGCAUAGUAGCACACGGUAUUGAUUAUUGAUGCUUAUGUGAGAAGUCACUCAGUUUGAUUCAAUUAUUGUCGAUAUUUUAUAUGAUGAUGAAGUUUUGUUUUAUUCGUAUUAUUAAUGUAAUAAAAUAGAAACAUCAUUUUGUAUAAAAUAAAAUACUUUUAUUAAAGUUAUUCUACAAAUAGAAUAUAUUAUAUUUUAUUAUGCAUAGUGCCUGCAUAGUGUUUGAAUAAUAAAAAUCUUUUUAUAUAAAAUAGAAUAUAUUAUAUUUUAUUUAAAAGAUUUUGCUUUAAAUAUGUACUGUCAGAUUAAAGUAAAUCAAUCUGGACCGUUCAUGAGUUAGUUACUAUGCAUUCCAUUUUUCUAUAAAUAGAAGCUCAUUCCUUCAUUAUUUUCUUACGAAUUCACUGAACUCUAGAGAGAGAAAGUUAUAGAGAGAAAUAAGAAGAGAAGUCUGCUAACUUUCUUUUCCUAUAUCUAAUUUCUUUUACGGUAAGGAAUAUUAUUUAUUUCAUAUUCUGAAGAGAACUUCUGUUAUUCCAUUUCUUAUUUAUUCAGUUGGAAUAACCUGUAUACGCGGGCUACCCUAUACUUGGUGACAUUCUUCUAUUAUUCUAUUUUUAUUAUUCCGUUGGAACAUCCUGUCUGUGUGUUUACACCGGACCUGGUUCCGUCUUUAUUAUUAUUCUGUCGGAAUAUCCUGUCGGUGUGAAUUUCACCUGACCUGGUUCCAUUAUUUAUUAUUCUGCAUUUAAUAUUCUGUCGGUGUGAAUUUCACCUGACCGCGUAGGUAUUAGGCACGCGUUAAAGCUUACGGGACUCGAUUCCAACUUACGGAGGCCGAGUUAUCAGCCCGUAGACAAAACUGAACAACACUUAGGUAAAAAGUCAAAAAAGAGGCCAGAACUCGCCUCGGUCGUCGUAACAACACGCAAACACGUACAUAUCACCGUGUAGGUAUUAGGCACGUGUUACUACAUACGGGACUCGAUUCUGAUUUACCGAGGCCGAGUUAUCAGCCCGUAGGCAAAACUGACCAACACUUAGGGAAAAAGUCAAAAAAGAGGCCGAAACCCACCUCGGCCAUUGUAAUGAGACGAAAACUCAUAUAUAGCACCGCGUAGGUAUUAGGAACGCGUUACAACUUACGGAACUCGAUUCCAACUUACGGAGGCCGAGUUAUCAGCCCGUAGGCAAAACUGACCAACACUUAGGUAAAAUGUCGAAAAAGAGGUCAAAACCAACCUCGAUCGUCGUAAUAACACGUAAAGACAUACAUAGCACUGCAUGGGUAUUAGGCACGCGUUACAACUUACGGGACUCAAUUCUGACUUACGGAGGCCGAGUUAUCAGCCCGUAAGCAAAAUUGAACAACAUUUAGGUAAAGAGUCAAAAAAGAGGCCAAAACAUGCCUCGGCCGUCGUAACGACAUAAAAACACAUACAUAGUACCGCGUAUGUAUUAAGCAUGCGUUACAACUUACAGGACUCGAUUCUGACAUACGUGGACCGAGUUAUUAGCCCGUAUACAAAAUUAACCAAUAUUUAGGUAAAAAGUUAAAAAAGAGGCCAAAACCCGCAUCAGCCAUUGUAAUGACACGCAAAUACAUGCAUAGCACCGCGUAGGUAUUAGGCACGCGUUACAACUUACGGGACUCAAUUCUGACUUACGGAGGCCGAGUUAUCAGCCCGUAGGCAAAACUGACCAACACUUGGGGUAAAGUCGAAAAAAGACCAAAAUCCACCUCGGCCGUUGUAAUAAUACAAAAACUAGUACAUAGGACCGCAUAGGUAUUAGGCACGCGUUACAGCUUACGGGACUCGAUUCCAAUUUACGAAGCCCGAGUUAUCAGCCCGUAGACAAAACUAACUAACACUUAGGUAAAAAGUCAAAAAAGAAAUCAAAACCCGCCUCGGCCAUCGUAAUGAUAUGAAAACAUAUACAUAUCACCGCGUAGGUAUUAGGCAUGCGUAACAACUUACGGGACUCAAUUCCGACAUAUGGAGGCCGAGUUAUCAGCCCGUAGGCAAAACUGACCAACACUUAGGCAAAAAAUUGAAAAAGAGGCCAAAACUCGCCUCGGCCAUCGUAACGACAUGCAAACACAUACAUAGUAUCGCGUAGGUAUUAGGCACGCGUUAAAACUUAUGGGACUGGAUUCAAACUUACGGAGGCCGAGUUAUCAGCCCGUAAACAAAACUGGCCAACACUUAGAUAAAAAGUCAAAAAAGAGGCCAAAACCUGCCUCGGUCGUCGUAACGAUAUGCAAACACGUAUAUAUCAUCGUGUAGGUAUUAGGCAUGCGUUACUACUUACGAGACUCAAUUCUGAUUUGCCGAGGCCGAGUUAUAAUCCCGUAGGCAAAACUGACCAACACUUAGGCAAAAAGUCGAAAAAGAGGCCAAAACCCGCCUCGACCGUUGUAAUGAGACAGAAACUCGUACAUAGAACCGCAUAGGUUUUAUGCACGCAUUACAACUUACGAAACUUGAUUCUGACUUACGGAGGCCGAGUUAUCAGCCCGUAGGAAAAACUGACCAACACUUUGGUAAAAAGUCAAAAAAGAGGCCAAAACUGCCUCAGCUAUCGUAAAGAUACACAAACACAUACGUAGCACCACGUAGGUAAUAGGCAUACAUUAUAACUUACGGGACUCGAUUUCGACAUACGGAGGUCGAGUUAUCAGCCCGUAGGCAAAACUGACCAACACUUAGGCAAAAAGUCAAAAAAGAGGCCAAAACAAACCUCGGCCGUCGUAACAAUACGCAAAGACAUACAUAGCACUGCAUGUGUAUUAGGCACGCGUUAUAACUUACAGGACUCAAUUCUGACUUAUGGAGGCCGAGUUAUCAGCCCAUAAGCAAAACUGAACAACAUUUAGGUAAAAAGUCAAAAAAGGGGCCAAAACAUGCCUUGACCGUCGUAACGACAUAAAAACACAUACGUAGUACUGUGUAUGUAUUAGGCAUGUGUUAUAACUUACGGGACUCGAUUCUGAUAGAUGUAGACCGAGUUAUUAGCCCGUAUUCAAAAUUGACCAACACUUAGGUAAAAAGUUAAAAAGAUGCCAAAACCCGUAUCGGCCAUUGUAACGACACGCAAAUACAGGGGUACCACCGCGUAGGUAUUAGGCACGUGUUACAACUUAUGGGGCUCAAUUCUUACUUACGGAGGCCGAGUUAUUAGCCCGUAGGCAAAACUUACCAACAUUUGGGGAAAAAGUCGAAAAAGAGGCCAAAACCCACCUCGACCGUUGUAACGAUACAAAAACUAGUACAUAGUACCACGUAGGUAUUAGGCACGCGUUACAACUUACAGGACUCGAUUCCAAUUUACGGAGGCCGAGUUAUCAGCCCGUAGGCAAAACUAACUAACACUUAGGUAAAAAGUCGAAAAAGAUGCCAAAAACCCGUCUCGGCCGUCGUAAUAAGCCACAACCUAAUACAUAGCACCGCAUUGGAAUUAGGCACGCGUUAUAACUUACAGGACUCGAUUCUGACUUACGGAGGCCGGGUUAUUAGCCCAUUGGCAAAACUGACCAACACUUAGGCAAAAAGUCAAAAAAGAAGCCAAAAUUAGCCUCGAUCGUCGUAAUGACACACAAACAUGUACAUAGCACCACGUAGGCAUUAGGCACGCGUUACAACUUACGAAAGUUGAUUUCGACUUACGGAGGCCGAGUUAUUAGCCCGUAGGCAAAACUGACUAACACUUGGGUAAAAACUCAAAAAAGAGGCCAAAACCCGCCUUGGCCAUGAUAACGACACGUAAACACGUAUAUAGCACCAUGUAGGUAUUAGGCACGUGUUACAACUUACGGAACUCGAUUCUGACUUACGGAGGCCGAGUUAUCAGCCAGUAGGCAAAAUUGACCAACACUUGGUCAAAAAAGAGGCCAAAAUCCGCCUCAGCCAUCGUAACGAUACGCAAACAUAUACAUAGCACUGCGUAGGUAUUAGGCAUGAAUUACAACUUACGGGACUCAAUUUCGACAUACGGAGGCCAAGUUAUCAGCUCGUAGGCAAAACUGACUAACACUUAUGCAAAAAGUCGAAAAAGAGGCCAAAACCCACCUCGACCGUCGUAUCAACACGCAAAUACAUACAUAGCACUGCAUUAGUAUUAGGCACGCGUUUUAACUUAUGGGACUAAAUUCUGACUUACGGAUGCCUAGUUAUCAGCCCGUAAGUAAAACUGAACAAUAUUUAGGUAAAAAGUUAAAAAAGAGGCCAAAACAUGCCUCGGCCGUCGUAACGACAUAGAAACACAUACAUAGUACCGCAUAUGUAUUAGGCAUGCGUGACAACUUACGGGACAAGAUUUUGACAUACGUAGACCGAGUUAUUAGCCCGUAUGCAAAAUUGACCAACACUUAGGUAAAAAGUUAAAAAGAGGCCAAAACCCACAUCGACCAUUGUAACGACACAAAAAUAUAUGUAUAGCAUCGCGUAGGUAUUAGGCACAAUGUUACAACUUACGGGACUCAAUUCCGACUUACAGAGGCCGAGUUAUCAGCCCGUAGGUAAAACUGACCAACAUUUGGGGAAAAAGUCAAAAAAGAUGCCAAAACCAACCUCAACUGUUGUAAUGAUACGAAAACUCGUACAUAGCACCGCGUAGGUAUUAGGCACAUGUUACAGCUUACGGGACUCGAUUUCGAUUUACGGAGGCUGAGUUAUCAGCCCCUAGGUAAAACUAACAAACACUUAGGUAAAAAGUCAAAAAAGAAGCCAAAACCCGCCUCGGCCAUCGUAAUGAUACGCAAACACAUACAUAGCACCGCGUAGGUAGUAGGCAUUCGUUACAACUUAUGGGACUCGAUUCUGACAUACGGAGGCCGAGUUAUCAGCCCGUAGGCAAAACUAACCAACACUUAGGCAAAAAUUCGAAAAAUAGGCCAAAACUCGCCUCAGCCAUCGUAACGACACGCAAACACAUACAUAGCAUCGCGUAGGUAUUAGGCACGCGUUAAAACUUACGGGACUCGAUUCCAACUUACGGAGGCCGAGUUAUCAGCCCGUAGACAAAACUGACCAACACUUAGGUAAAAAGUCAAAAAAGAGGCCAAAACCCGUAUCGGUCGUCAUAACGACACGCAAACACGUACAUAUCACUAUGUAGGUAUUAGGCACGCGUUACUACUUACGAAACUCGAUUAUGAUUUACCGAGGCCGAGUUAUAAGCUUGUAGGCAAAACUGACCAACACUUAGGCAAAAAGUCAAAAAAGAGGCCAAAACCCGCCUCAGCCAUUGUAAUGAGAUGGAAACUCGUACAUAGCAUCGCCUAGGUUUUAGGCACGCGUUAUAACUUACAAAACUCGAUUCUGACUUACGGAGGCCGAGUUAUCAGCCUUUAGGCAAAACUUACCAACACUUAGGUAAAAAGUCAAAAAAGAGGCCAAAACCUGCCUCAGCCAUCGUAAUGAUACGCAAACACAUACAUAGCACCGCGUAAAUAUUAGGCAUACAUUACAACUUACGGGACUCGAUUUCGACAUGCAGAGGCCGAGUUAUCAGCCCGUAGGCAAAACUGACCAGCACUUAGGCAAAAAGUCGAAAAAGAGGCCAAAACCGCCUCGACCGACAUAAUGACAUGCAAACAUGUACAUAGCACCGCGUAGGUAUUAGGCAUGCGUUACAACUUACGGGACUCGAUUCCGACUUACGGAAGCCGAGUUAUCAGCCCAUAGGCAAAACUGACCAACACUUAGGCAAAAAGUCGAAAAAGAUGCCAAAAACCCGUCUCGGCCGUCGUAAUAAGCCACAACCUAAUGCAUAGCACCGCGUUGGAAUUAGGCACGCGUUAUAACUUACAGGACUCAAUUCUGACUUACAGAGGCCGAGUUAUUAGCCCAUUGGAAAAACUGACCAAUACUUAGGCAAAAAGUCAAAAAAGAUGCCAAAAUUAGCCUCGAUCGUCGUAAUGACACACAAACAUGUAUAUAGCACCACGUAGGUAUUAGGCACGCGUUACAACUUACGGAAGAUGAUUUCAACUUACGGAGGCCGGGUUAUCAGCCCGUAGGCAAAACUGACCAACACUUAGGCAAAAACUAAAAAAAGAGGCCAAAACCUGUCUUGGCCGUCAUAACAACAUGCAAACUCGUAUAUAGCACCGUGUAGGUAUUAGGCACGUAUUACAACUUACGGAACUAGAUUCUGACUUACAGAGGAUGAGUUAUUAGCCCGUAGGCAAAACUGACCAACACUUAUGAAAAAAGUCGAAAAAGAGGCCAAAACCCACCUCGGCCGUCGUAAUAACACGCAAAGACAUACAUAGCAUUGCAUUGGUAUUAGGCACACAUUUUAACUUACGGGACUAAAUUCUGACUUACGGAGGCCUAGUAAUCAGCCCGUAAGCAAAACUGAACAACAUUUAGGUAAAAAGUUAAAAAAGAGGCCAAAACAUGCCUCAGCCGUCGUAACGACAUAAAAACACAUACAUAGUACCGCGUAUGUAUUAGGCAUGUGUUAUAACUUACGGGACAAGAUUUUGACAUACAUAGACCCAGUUAUUAGCCCGUAUGCAAAAUUGAUACGCAAACACAUACAUUGCACCACGUAGGUAUUAGACAUACGUUACAACUUACGGGACUCGAUUCCGACAUACGGAGGCCGAUUUAUCAGCCCGUAGGCAAAACUGACCAACACUUAGAUAAAAAGUCAAAAAAGAGGCCAAAACUCACCUCGGCCAUCGUAACAACACGCAAACACAUACAUAGCAUCGCGUAGGUAUUAGGCAUGCAUUACAACUUACGGGACUCGAUUUCGACAGACGGAGGCCGAGUUAUCAUCCCGUAGGCAAAACUGACCAACACUUAGGCAAAAAGUCGAAAAAAGUUGCCAAAAACCCGUCUCGGCCGUCGUAAUAAGACGCAAACUAAUACAUAGCACCGCGUCAGAAUUAGGCACGUGUUACAACUUACAGGACUCGAUUCUGACUUAUAGAGGCUGAGUUAUUAGCCUAUUGGCAAAACUGACCAACACUUAGGCAAAAAGUCAAAAAAAAGGACAAAAUUAGCCUCGGUCGUCGUAAUGACACACAAACAUAUACAUAGCACCACGUAGGCAUUAGGCACGCGUUAUAACUUACGGGACUCGAUUUCGAAUUAUAUAGGCCGAGUUAUCAGCCCGUAGGUAAAACUGACCAACACUUAGGCAAAAAGUUAAAAAAGAGGCCGAAACCCGCCUCGGCCGUCGUAACGAUACGCAAAGAAGUACAUAGCACCGCGUAGGUAUUAGGCAUGCGUUUCAACUUACAGGACUCAAUUCCGACUUACGGAGGCCGAGUUAUCAGCCCGUAGGCAAAACUGACCAACACUUACGGAAAAAUUCGAAAAAUAGUCCAAAACUCGCCUCGACCAUCGUAACGACACGCAAACACAUACAUAGCAUCGCGUAGGUAUUAGGCACGCGUUAAAACUUACUGGACUCGAUUCCAACUUACGGAGGCCGAGUUAUCAGCCCGUAGACAAAACUGACCAACACUUGGGUAUAAAGUCAAAAAAGAGGCCAAAACCCGCCUCGGUCGUCGUAACAACACGCAAACACGUACAUAUCACUGUGUAGGUAUUAGGCACGCAUUACUACUUACGGGACUCGAUUCUGAUUUACCGAGGCCGAGUUAUAAGCCCAUAGGCAAAACUGACCAACACUUAAGUAAAAAGUUGAAAUAGAGGCCAAAACCCGCCUCAGUCGUUGUAAUGAGGCGGAAACUCGUACAUAGCACCGCGUAGGUUUUAGGCACGCGUUACAACUUACAAAACUUGAUUCUGACUUAUGGUGGCCGAGUUAUCAGUCUUUAGGCAAAACUGACCAACACUUAGGUAAAAAGUAAAAAAAGAGACCAAAACCCGCCUCAGCCAUCGUAACGAUACGCAAACACAUACAUAGCACCGCGUAGGUAUUAGGCACGCGUUACAACUUACAAAACUCGAUUCUGACUUACGGAGGCCGAGUUAUCAAUCUUUAGGCAAAACUGACCAACACUUAGGUAAAAAGUAAAAAAAGAGACCAAAACCCGCCUCAGCCAUCGUAACGAUACGCAAACACAUACAUAGCACCGCGUAGGUAUUAGGCACGCGUUACAACUUACAAAACUCGAUUCUGACUUACGGAGGCCGAGUUAUCAAUCUUUAGGCAAAACUGACCAACACUUAGGUAAAAAGUAAAAAAAGAGACCAAAACCCGCCUCAGCCAUCGUAACGAUACGCAAACACAUACAUAGCACCACGUAGGUAUUAGGCAUACAUUACAACUUACGGGACUCAAUUUCGACAUACGGUGGCCGAGUUAUCUGCCCGUAGGCAAAACUGACCAACACUUAGGCAAAAAGUCGAAAAAGAGGCCAAAACCAACCUCGGCCGUCGUAACAACACGCAAAGACAUACAUAGCAUUGCAUGGGUAUUAGGCACGCGUUAUAACUUACGGGACUCAAUUCUGACUUACGGAGGCCGAGUUAUCAGCCCGUAAGCAAAAUUGAAAAACAUUUAGGUAAAAAGUCAAAAAAGGGGCGAAAACAUGCCUCGACCGUCGUAACUACAUAAAAACACAUGUAUAGUACUACGUAUAUAUAAGGCCUGCGUUACAACUUACGGGACUCGAUUCUGACAUACGUAGACCGAGUUAUUAGCCUGUAUUCAAAAUUGACCAACACUUAGGUAAAAAGUUAAAAAAGAGCCAAAUCCCGCAUCGGCCAUUGUAAUGACACGCAAAUAUAUGCAUAGCACCGCGUAGGUAUUAGGCACGCGUUACAACUUACGGGACUCAAUUCCGACUUACGGGGGCCGAGUUAUCAGCCCGUAGGCAAAACUGACCAAUAUUUGGGGAAAAAGUUGAAAAAGAGGCCAAAACCCACCUCGACCGUUGUAACAUUACAGAAACUCGUACAUAGCACCGCGUAGGUAUUAGGCACACGUUACAACUUACGGGACUCGAUUCCAAUUUACGGAGGCCGAGUUAUCAGCCCGUAGGCAAAACAAACUAACACUUAGGUAAAAAGUCAAAAAAUAAGCCAAAACCCGCCUCGGCCAUUGUAAUGAUACGCAAACACAUACAUAGCACCGCGUAGGUAUUAGGCAUGUGUUACAACUUACGGGACUCGAUUCCGACAUACGGAGGCCGAGUUAUCAGCCCGUAGGCAAAACUGACAAACACUUAGGCAAAAAGUCGAAAAAGAGGCCAAAACUCACAUCGACCAUCGUAAUGACAAGCAAACACAUACAUAUCAUCGCGUAUGUAUUAGGCACACAUUACAACUUACGGGACUCGAUUCCGACAGACAGAGGCCGAGUUAUCAGCCCGUAGGCAAAACUGACCAACACUUAGGAAAAAAGUAGAAAAAGAUGCCAAAAUCCAUCUCAGCCGUUGUAACGAUACAGAAACUCGUACAUAGCACCGCGUAGAUAUUAGGCACGCAUUACAACUUACAGGACUCGAUUCUGACUUACGGAGGCCGAGUUAUCAGCCUGUAGGCAAAACUAACUAACACUUAGGUAAAAAGUCAAAAAAGAAACUGAAACCCACCUCGGCCAUCGUAAUGAUACGCAAAAACAUACAUUGCACCGCGUAGGUAUUAGACAUACGUUAUAACUUACGGGACUCGAUUCCGACAUACGGAGGCCGAGUUAUCAGCCCGUAGGCAAAACUGACCAACACUUAGGAAAAAAGUAGAAAAAGAUGCCAAAAUCCAUCUCAGCCGUUGUAACGAUACAGAAACUCGUACAUAGCACCGCGUAGAUAUUAGGCACGCAUUACAACUUACAGGACUCGAUUCUGACUUACGGAGGCCGAGUUAUCAGCCUGUAGGCAAAACUAACUAACACUUAGGUAAAAAGUCAAAAAAGAAACUGAAACCCACCUCGGCCAUCGUAAUGAUACGCAAAAACAUACAUUGCACCGCGUAGGUAUUAGACAUACGUUAUAACUUACGGGACUCGAUUCCGACAUACGGAGGCCGAGUUAUCAGCCCGUAGGCAAAACUGACCAACACUUAGACAAAAAGUCAAAAAGGAGGCCAGAACCCAUCUCGGCCGUUUUAACUUUACGGAAACUCGUACAUAGCACCGCAUAGAUAUUAAACACACGUUACAACUUACGGGACUCGAUUCCAAUUUACGGAGGCCGAGUUAUCAACUCGUAGGCAAAACUAACUAACGCGUAGGUAAAAAGUCAAAAAAUAAGCCAAAACCCGCCUCGGCCAUCGUAAGGAUACACAAACACAAACAUAGCACCGCGUAGGUAUUAGGCAUGUGUUACAACUCACGGGACUCGAUUCCGACAUACGAAGGCCGAGUUAUCAGCCCGUAGGCAAAACUGACAAACACUUAGGCAAAAAGUCAAAAAAGAGGCCAAAACUCGCCUCGGCCAUCGUAAUGACAAAUAAACACAUACAUAUUUUCGCGUAGGUAUUAGGCACGCAUUAAAACUUACGAGACUCGAUUUCGACAGACGGAGGCUGAGUUAUCAGCCCGUAGGCAAAACUGACCAACACUUAGGCAAAAAGUAGAAAAAGAGGCCAAAAUCCACCUCGACCGUUGUAACGAUACAGAAACUCGCACAUAGCACCGCGUAGGUAUUAGGCACGCGUUACAUCUUACGAGACUCAAUUCCGACUUACGGAGGCCGAGUUAUCACCUUGUAGGCAAAACUAACUAACACUUAGGUAAAAAGUCAAAAAAGAAUCUGAAACCCGCCUCAGCCAUCGUAAUGAUACACAAACACAUACAUUGCACCGUGUAGGUAUUAGACAUACGUUACAACUUACGGGACUCGAUUCCGACAUACGGAGGCCGAGUUAUCAGCCCGUAGGCAAAACUGACCAACACUUAGGCAAAAAGUCAAAAAAGAGGCCAAAACUCGCAUCGGCCAUCGUAAUAAUACGCAAACACAUACAUAGCAUCGCGUAGGUAUUAGGCACGAAUUACAACUUACGGGAUUCAAUUUCGACAGACGGAGGCCGAGUUAUCAGCCCGUAGGCAAAAAUGACCAACACUUAGGCAAAAAGUCGAAAAAGAGGCCAAAACUCUCCUCGGCUGUAGUAAUGACACGCAAACAUAUACAUAGCACCACAUAGGUAUUAGGCACACGUUACAACUUAUGGGACUCGAUUCCGACUUACGGAGGCCAAGUUAUCAGCCUGUAGGCAAAACUGACCAACACUUCUGCAAAAAGUCGAAAAAGUUGCCAAAAACCCGUCUCGGCGGUCGUAAUAAGACGCAAACUAAUACAUAGCACCGCGUCAGAAUUAGGCACGUGUUACAACUUACAGGACUCGAUUCUGACUUACGGAGGCCGAGUUAUCAGCCCAUUGGCAAAACUGACCAACACUUAAGCAAAAAGUCAAAAACGAGGCCAAAAUUAGCCUCAGUCGUCGUAAUGACACAAAAACAUAUAUAUAGCACCACGUAGGCAUUAGGCAAGCGUUAGAACUUACAGAACUCGAUUCCGACUUACGGAGGCCGACUUAUCAGCCCGUAGGCAAAAUUGACCAACACUUAGGCAAAAAGUCGAUAAAGAGGCCAAAACCCGCCUCGGCCAUCGUAAUAAUACACAAACAUGUAUAUAACACUGCAUAGGUAUUAGGUAUGCGUUACAACUUACGGGACUCGAUUCUGACAUACGGAGGCCAAGUUAUUAGCCCGUAGGCAAAACUAACCAAUACUUAGGCAAAAAGUCAAAAAAGAGGCCAAAACCCGUCUCGACCGUCGUAAUGACACACAAACACAUACAUAGUACAGCGUAGGUAUUAGAUACGCGUUACAACUUACGGAGGGUGAGUUAUCAGCCUGUAGGCAAAACUGACCAACACUUAGGCAAAAAGUCAAAAAAGAGGAUAAAACACGCCUCGGCCGUUGUAACGAGACGCAAACACAUAUAUUGUACUGUGUAGGUAUUAAGCACGCGUUACAACUUAUGGGACCCGAUUCUGACUUACGGAGGCCGAGUUAUCAGCCCGUAGGCAAAACUGACCAACUCAUAGGUAAAAAGUGAAAAAAGAGGCCAAAACAUGCCUCGGUCGUCAUACCGACAUAAAAACAUAUACAUAGUACCGCAUAUGUAUUAAGCAUGCGUUACAACUUACAGGACUCAAUUCUGACAUACGUGGACCGAGUUAUUAGCCUGUAUACAAAAUUAACCAAUACUUAGGUAAAAAGUUAAAAAAGAGGCCAAAACCCCCAUCAGCCAUUGUAAUGACACGCAAAUACAUGCAUAGCACCGCGUAGGUAUUAGGCACGCAUUACAACUUACAGGACUCAAUUCCAACUUACGGAGGCCGAGUUAUCAGCCUAUAGGCAAAACUGACCAAUAUUUGGGGUAAAGUCGAAAAAAAGACCAAAAUCCACCUUGGCCGUUGUAAUAAUACAAAACCUCGUACAUAGGACCGCGUAGGUAUUAGGCACGCGUUACAGCUUACGGGAUUCGAUUCCAAUUUACGGAGCCCGAGUUAUCAGCCCAUAGACAAAACUAACUAACACUAAAGUAAAAAGUCAAAAAAGAAACCAAAACUCGCCUCGACCAUCGUAAUGAUAUGCAAACAUAUACAUAGCACCGCGUAGGUAUUAGGCAUGCGUAACAACUUACGGGACUCGAUUCCGACAUACGGAGGCCGAGUUAUCAGCCUGUAGGCAAAACUGACCAACACUUAGGCAAAAAAUUGAAAAAGAGGCCAAAACUCGCCUCGGCCAUCAUAACUACACGCAAACACAUACAUAGUAUCGCGUAGUUAUUAGGCAUGCGUUAAAACUUAUGGGACUUGAUUCCAACUUACGGAGGCCGAGUUAUCAGCCCGUAAAAAAAACUGACCAACACUUAGAUAAAAAGUCAAAAAAGAGGCCAAAACCUACCUCGGUCGUCGUAAUGACACGCAAACAUGUACAUAUCAUCGUGUAGGUAUUAGGCAUGCGUUACUACUUACGAGACUCAAUUCUGAUUUACCGAGGCCGAGUUAUAAUCCCGUAGGCAAAACUGACCAACACUUGGGCAAAAAGUCGAAAAAGAGGCCAAAACCCACCUCGACCGUUGUAAUGAGACGGAAACUCGUACAUUGAACCGCGUUGGUUUUAGGCACGCAUUACAACUUAUGAAACUCGAUUCUGACUUACGGAGGCCGAGUUAUCAGCCCGUAGGAAAUAUUGACCAACACUUAGGUAAAAAGUCAAAAAAGAGGCCAAAACCCGCCUCAGCUAUCGUAAAGAUACACAAACACAUACGUAGCACCACGUAGGUAAUAGGCAUACAUUACAACUUACGGGACUCGAUUUCGACAUACAGAGGUCGAGUUAUCAGCCCGUAGGCAAAACUGACCAACACUUAGGCAAAAAGUCGAAAAAGAGGCCAAAACAAACCUCGACCGUCGUAACAAUACGCAAAGACAUACAUAGCACUGCAUGUGUAUUAGGCACGCGUUAUAAUUUACGGGACUCAAUUCUGACUUAUGGAGGCCGAGUUAUCAGCCCGUAAGCAAAACUGAACAACAUUUAGGUAAAAAGUUAAAAAAGGGGCCAAAACAUGCCUUGACCGUCGUAACGACAUAAAAACACAUACGUAGUACUGUGUAUGUAUUAGGCACGUGUUAUAACUUACGGGACUUGAUUCUGAUAUAUGUAGACCGAGUUAUUAGCCCGUAUUCAAAAUUGACCAACAUUUAGGUAAAAAGUUAAAAAAGAUGCCAAAACCCGUAUCGGCCAUUGUAACAACACUCAAAUACAGGCGUAGCACCGCGUAGGUAUUAGGCACGCGUUACAACUUACGGGGCUCAAUUCUGACUUACGGAGGCCGAGUUAUCAGCCCGUAGGCAAAACUUACCAACAUUUGGGGAAAAAGUCAAAAAAGAGGCCAAAACCCACCUCGGCCGUUGUAACGAUACGAAAACUCGUACAUAGCACCACGUAGGUAUUAGGCACGCGUUACAACUUACAGGACUCGAUUCCAAUUUACGGAGGCCGAGUUAUCAGCCCGUAGGCAAAACUAGCUAACACUUAGGUAAAAAGUCAAAAAAUAAGCCAAAACCCGUCUCGGCCAUCGUAAUGAUACGUAAACACAUACAUAGCACCGUGUAGGUAUUAGGCAUGUGUUAUAACUUACGGGACUCGAUUCUGACAUACGGAGGCCGAGUUAUCAUCCCAUAGGCAAAACUGACAAAUACUUAGGCAAAAAGUCGAAAAAGAGGCCAAAACUCUCCUCGGCCAUUGUAACGACAAGCAAACACAUACAUAUCAUCGCGUAGAUAUUAGGAACGCAUUACAAAUUACGGGACUCGAUUCCGACAGACGGAGGCCGAGUUAUCAGCCCGUAGGCAAAAUUGACCAACACUUAGGCAAAAAGUAGAAAAAGAGGCCAAAAUCCACCUCAGCCGUUGUAACGAUACAGAAACUCGUACAUAGCACCGCGUAGGUAUUAGGCACACAUUACAACUUACGUGACUCGAUUCUGACUUACGGAAGCCGAGUUAUCAGCCUAUAGGAAAAACUAACUAACACUUAGGUAAAAAGUCAAAAAAGAAGCUGAAACCAGCCUCGGCCAUCGUAAUGAUACGCAAACAAAUACAUAGCACCGCGAAUGUGUUAGACAUACGUUACAACUUAUGGGACUCGAUUCCGACAUACGGAGGCCAAGUUAUCAGCCCGUAGGCAAAACUCACCAACACUUAGGCAAAAAGUCAAAAAAUUGGCCAACAGUCGCCUCGGCCAUUGUAACGACAUGUAAACACAUACAUAGCAUCGCGUAGGUAUUAGGCACGCAUUAUAACUUACGGGACUCGAUUCUGACAGACGGAGAUCGAGUUAUCAGCUCGUAGGCAAAAUUGACCAACACUUAGGCAAAAUGUUGAAAAAGAGGCCAAAACUCUCCUCGGCUGUAGUAACGACACGCAAACACAUACAUAGUACCGCGUAGGUAUUAGGCAUGCAUUACAACUUACUGGACUCGAUUCCGACUUACGGAGGCCGAGUUAUCAGCCCGUAGGCAAAACUGACCAACACUUAGGCAAAAAGUCAAAAAAGAUGCCAAAAACCCGUCUCGGCCGUCGUAAUAAGACACAAACUAAUACAUAGGACCGCGUUGGAAUUAGGUACACGUUAUAACUUACAGGACUCGAUUCUGACUUAUGGAGGCCGGGUUAUUAGCCCAUUGGCAAAACUGACCAACACUUAGGCAAAAAGUCAAAAAAGAAGUCAAAAUUAGCCUCGGUCGUCGUAAUGACACAUAAACAUGUACAUAGCACCACGUAGGCAUUAGGCACGCGUUACAACUUACGAAAGUUGAUUUCGACUUACGGAGGCCGAGUUAUUAGCCCGUAGGCAAAAACUGACCAACACUUGGGUAAAAACUCGAAAAAGAGGCCAAAACCCGCCUUGGCCAUGAUAACGACACGCAAACACGUAUAUAGCACCGUGUAGGUAUUAGGCACGUGUUACAACUUACGGAACUCGAUUCUGGCUUACGGAGGGCGAGUUAUUAGCCCGUAGGCAAAACUGACCAACACUUAGUCAAAAAAGUCAAAAAAGAGGCCAAAAUCCGCCUCAGCCAUCGUAACGAUACGCAAACAUAUACAUAACACUACGUAGGUAUUAGGCAUGAAUUACAACUUACGGGACUCGAUUUCGACAUACGGAGGCCAAGUUAUCAGCUCGUAGGCAAAACUGACCAACACUUAUGCAAAAAGUCGAAAAAGAGGCCAAAACCCACCUCGACCGUCGUAUCAACACGCAAAGACAUACAUAGCACUGCAUUGGUAUUAGGCACGCGUUUUAACUUGUGGGACUAAAUUCUGACUUACGGAUGCCUAGUUAUCAGCCUGUAAGUAAAACUGAACAAUAUUUAGAAAGUUAAAAAAGAGGCCAAAACAUGCCUCGGCCGUCGUAACAACAUAGAAACACAUGCAUAGUACCGCGUAUGUAUUAGGCAUGCGUUACAACUUACGGGACAAGAUUCUGACAUACGUAGACCGAGUUAUUAGACCGUAUGCAAAAUUGACCAACACUUAGGUAAAAAGUUAAAAAAGAGGCCAAAACCCACAUCGACCAUUGUAACGACACAAAAAUAUAUGUAUAGCAUCGCGUAGGUAUUAGGCACGCGUUACAACUUACGGGACUCAAUUCCGACUUACAGAGGCCGAGUUAUCAGCCCGUAGGUAAAACUGACCAACAUUUGGGGAAAAAGUCGAAAAAGAUGCCAAAACCAACCUCAGCUGUUGUAAUGAUACAAAAACUCGUACAUAGCACCGCGUAGGUAUUAGGCACGUGUUACAGCUUACGGGACUCGAUUUCGAUUUACGGAGGCCGAGUUAUCAGCCCGUAGUCAAAACUAACAAACACUUAGGUAAAAAGUCAAAAAAGAAGCCAAAACCCGCCUCGACCAUCGUAAUGAUACGCAAACACAUACAUAGCACCGCGUAGGUAUUAGGCGUGCGUUACAACUUAUGGGACUCGAUUCUGACAUACGGAGGCCGAGUUAUCAGCCCAUAGGCAAAACUAACCAACACUUAGGCAAAAAUUUGAAAAAUAGGCCAAAACUCGCCUCAGCCAUCGUAACGACACGUAAACACAUACAUAGCAUCGCGUAGGUAUUAGGCAGGCGUUAAAACUUACGGGACUCGAUUCCAACUUACGGAGUCCGAGUUAUCAGCCCGUAGACAAAACUGACCAACACUUAGGUAAAAAGUCAAAAAAGAGGCCAAAACCCGUCUCGGUCGUCGUAACGACACGCAAACACGUACAUAUCACUGUGUAGGUAUUAGGCACAAGUUACUACUUACGUAACUCGAUUAUGAUUUACCGAGGCCGAGUUAUAAGCCUGUAGGCAAAAUUGACCAACACUUAGGCAAAAAGUCAAAAAAGAGGCCAAAACCCGCCACAGCCGUUGUAAUGAGACAGAAACUCGUACAUAGCACUGCGUAGGUUUUAGGCACGCGCUACAACUUACAAAACUUGAUUCUGACUUACGGAGGCCGAGUUAUCAGCCUUUAGGCAAAACUUACCAACACUUAGGUAAAAAGUCAAAAAAGAGGCCAAAACCCGCCUCAGCUAUCGUAAUGAUACGCAAACACAUACAUAGCACCGCGUAAAUAUUAGGCAUACAUUACAACUUACGGGACUCGAUUUCAACAUACAGAGGCCGAGUUAUCAGCCCGUAGGCAUAACUGACCAACACUUAGGCAAAAAGUCAAAAAAGAGGCCAAAACCGCCUCGACCGACAUAAUGACAUGUAAACACGUACAUAGCACCGCGUAGGUAUUAGGCAUGCGUUACAACUUCCGGGACUCGAUUCCGACUUACGGAGGCCGAGUUAUCCGCCCGUAGGCAAAACUGACCAACACUUAGGCAAAAAGUCGAAAAAGAUGCCAAAAACCCGUCUCGGCCGUCGUAAUAAGACACAACCUAAUAUAUAGCACCGCGUUGGAAUUAGACACGCGUUAUAACUUACAGGACUCGAUUCUGACUUACGGAGGCCGAGUUAUUAGCCCAUUGGCAAAACUGACCAACACUUAGGCAAAAAGUCAAAAAAGAUGCCAAAAUUAGCCUCGAUCGUCGUAAUGACACACAAACAUGUACAUAGCACCACGUAGGUAUUAGGCACGCGUUACAACUUAUGGAAGUUGAUUUCAACUUACGGAGGCCGAGUUAUCAGCCCGUAUGCAAAGCUGACCAACACUUAGGCAAAAACUCGAAAAAGAGGCCAAAACCUGUCUUAGCAGUCAUAACAACACGCAAACACGUAUAUAGCACCGUGUAGGUAUUAGGCACGUAUUACAACUUACGGAACUCGAUUCUGACUUACGGAGGACGAGUUAUUAGCCCGUAGGCAAAACUGACCAACACUUAGGGAAAAAGUCAAAAAAGAGGCCAAAACCCGCCUCAGCCAUCGUAACGAUACGAAAACAUAUACAUAGCACCGCGUAGGUAUUAGGCAUGCAUUACAACUUACGGGACUCGAUUUUGACAUACGGAGGCCGAGUUAUCAGCUCGUAGGCAAAACUGACCAACACUUAUGAAAAAAGUCAAAAAAGAGGCCAAAACCCACCUCGGCCGUCGUAAUAACACGCAAAGACAUACAUAGCAUUGCAUUGGUAUUAGGCACACAUUUUAACUUACGGGACUAAAUUUUGACUUACGGAGGCCUAGUAAUCAGCCCGUAAGCAAAACUGAACAACAUUUAGGUAAAAAGUUAAAAAAGAGGCCAAAACAUGCCUCGGCCGUCGUAACGACAUAAAAACACAUACAUACUACCACGUAUGUAUUAGGCAUGUGUUACAACAUACGGGACAAGAUUCUGACAUACGUAGACCUAGUUAUUAGCCCGUAUGCAAAAUUGAUAUACAAACACAUACAUUGCACCACGUAGGUAUUAGACAUACGUUACAACUUACGGGACUCGAUUCCGACAUACGGAGGCCGAUUUAUCAGCCCGUAGGCAAAACUGACCAACACUUAGAUAAAAAGUCAAAAAAGAGGCCAAAACUCGCCUCGGCCAUCGUAACAACACGCAAACACAUACAUAGCAUCGCGUAGGUAUUAGGCACACAUUACAACCUAUGGGACUUGAUUCCGACAGACGGAGGCCGAGUUAUCAGCCCGUAGGCAAAACUGACCAACACUUAGGCAAAAAGUCGAAAAAGAGGCCAAAACUCUCCUCGGCUGUAGUAACGACACGCAAAUAUAUACAUAGCACCGCGUCAGAAUUAGGCACGCGUUAGAACUUACAGGACUCGAUUCUGACUUACGGAGGCCGAGUUAUCAGCCCGUAAGCAAAACUGACCAACACUUAGGUAAAAAGUCAAAAAAAAGGGCCAAAAUUAGCCUCGGUCGUCGUAAUGACACACAAACAUAUACCUAGCACCACGUAGGCAUUAGGCACGCGUUACAACUUACAGGACUCGAUUCUGACUUACGGAGGCCGAGUUAUUAGCCCAUUGGCAAAACUGACCAACACUUAGGUAAAAAGUCAAAAAAAAGGGCCAAAAUUAGCCUCGGUCGUCGUAAUGACACACAAACAUAUACCUAGCACCACGUAGGCAUUAGGCACGCGUUACAACUUAUGGGACUCAAUUUCGACUUACGGAGGCCGAGUUAUCAGCCCGUAGGCAAAACAGACCAACACUUAGGUAAAAACUCAAAAAAAGGCCAAAACCCGCCUUGGCCGUCAUAACAACACGCAAAUACGUAUAUAGCACCCUGUAGAUAUUAGGCACGUGUUACAACUUACGGGACUCGAUUCUGACUUACGGAGGCCGAGUUAUCAGCCCGUAAGCAAAACAGACCAACACUUAGGUAAAAACUCAAAAAAAGGCCAAAACCCGCCUUGGCCGUCAUAACAACACGCAAAUACGUAUAUAGCACCCUGUAGAUAUUAGGCACGUGUUACAACUUACGGGACUCGAUUCCGAAUUAUAUAGGCCGAGUUAUCAGCCCAUAGGUAAAACUGACCAACACUUAGGCAAAAAGUUAAAAAAGAGGCCGAAACCCUCCUCGGCCGUCGUAACGAUACGCAAAGAAGUACAUAGCACCGCGUAGGUAUUAGGCAUGCAUUUCAACUUACGGGACUCGAUUCUGACUUACGGAGACCGAGUUAUCAGCCCGUAGGCAAAACUGACCAGCACUUAGGCAAAAAUUCGAAAAAGAGGCCAAAAUUCGCCUCGGCCAUUGUAACGACACGCAAACACAUACAUAGCAUCGUGUAGGUAUUAGGCACGCGUUAAAACUUACUGGACUCGAUUCCAACUUACGGAGGCCGAGUUAUCAGCCCGUAGACAAAACUGACCAACACUUGGGUAAAAAGUCAAAAAAGAGGCCAAAACCCGCCUCGAUCGUCGUAACGACACGCAAACACGUACAUAUCACUGUGUAGGUAUUAGGCACGCGUUACUACUUACGGGACUCGAUUCUGAUUUACCGAGGCCGAGUUAUAAGCCCGUAGGCAAAACUGACCAACACUUAGGCAAAAAGUCAAAAAAGAGGCCAAAACCCGCCUCGAUCGUCGUAACGACACGCAAACACGUACAUAUCACUGUGUAGGUAUUAGGCACGCGUUACUACUUACGGGACUCGAUUCUGAUUUACCGAGGCCGAGUUAUAAGCCCGUAGGCAAAACUGACCAACACUUAGGCAAAAAGUCAAAAAAGAGGCCAAAACCCGCCUCGAUCGUCGUAACGACACGCAAACACGUACAUAUCACUGUGUAGGUAUUAGGCACGCGUUACUACUUACGGGACUCGAUUCUGAUUUACCGAGGCCGAGUUAUAAGCCCGUAGGCAAAACUGACCAACACUUAGGCAAAAAGUCAAAAAAGAGGCCAAAACCCGCCUCGAUCGUCGUAACGACACGCAAACACGUACAUAUCACUGUGUAGGUAUUAGGCACGCGUUACUACUUACGGGACUCGAUUCUGAUUUACCGAGGCCGAGUUAUAAGCCCGUAGGCAAAACUGACCAACACUUAGGCAAAAAGUCAAAAAAGAGGCCAAAACCCGCCUCGAUCGUCGUAACGACACGCAAACACGUACAUAUCACUGUGUAGGUAUUAGGCACGCGUUACUACUUACGGGACUCGAUUCUGAUUUACCGAGGCCGAGUUAUAAGCCCGUAGGCAAAACUGACCAACACUUAGGCAAAAAGUCAAAAAAGAGGCCAAAACCCGCCUCGAUCGUCGUAACGACACGCAAACACGUACAUAUCACUGUGUAGGUAUUAGGCACGCGUUACUACUUACGGGACUCGAUUCUGAUUUACCGAGGCCGAGUUAUAAGCCCGUAGGCAAAACUGACCAACACUUAGGCAAAAAGUCAAAAAAGAGGCCAAAACCCGCCUCGAUCGUCGUAACGACACGCAAACACGUACAUAUCACUGUGUAGGUAUUAGGCACGCGUUACUACUUACGGGACUCGAUUCUGAUUUACCGAGGCCGAGUUAUAAGCCCGUAGGCAAAACUGACCAACACUUAGGCAAAAAGUCAAAAAAGAGGCCAAAACCCGCCUCGAUCGUCGUAACGACACGCAAACACGUACAUAUCACUGUGUAGGUAUUAGGCACGCGUUACUACUUACGGGACUCGAUUCUGAUUUACCGAGGCCGAGUUAUAAGCCCGUAGGCAAAACUGACCAACACUUAGGCAAAAAGUCAAAAAAGAGGCCAAAACCCGCCUCGAUCGUCGUAACGACACGCAAACACGUACAUAUCACUGUGUAGGUAUUAGGCACGCGUUACUACUUACGGGACUCGAUUCUGAUUUACCGAGGCCGAGUUAUAAGCCCGUAGGCAAAACUGACCAACACUUAGGCAAAAAGUCAAAAAAGAGGCCAAAACCCGCCUCGAUCGUCGUAACGACACGCAAACACGUACAUAUCACUGUGUAGGUAUUAGGCACGCGUUACUACUUACGGGACUCGAUUCUGAUUUACCGAGGCCGAGUUAUAAGCCCGUAGGCAAAACUGACCAACACUUAGGCAAAAAGUCAAAAAAGAGGCCAAAACCCGCCUCGAUCGUCGUAACGACACGCAAACACGUACAUAUCACUGUGUAGGUAUUAGGCACGCGUUACUACUUACGGGACUCGAUUCUGAUUUACCGAGGCCGAGUUAUAAGCCCGUAGGCAAAACUGACCAACACUUAGGCAAAAAGUCAAAAAAGAGGCCAAAACCCGCCUCGAUCGUCGUAACGACACGCAAACACGUACAUAUCACUGUGUAGGUAUUAGGCACGCGUUACUACUUACGGGACUCGAUUCUGAUUUACCGAGGCCGAGUUAUAAGCCCGUAGGCAAAACUGACCAACACUUAGGCAAAAAGUCAAAAAAGAGGCCAAAACCCGCCUCGAUCGUCGUAACGACACGCAAACACGUACAUAUCACUGUGUAGGUAUUAGGCACGCGUUACUACUUACGGGACUCGAUUCUGAUUUACCGAGGCCGAGUUAUAAGCCCGUAGGCAAAACUGACCAACACUUAGGCAAAAAGUCAAAAAAGAGGCCAAAACCCGCCUCGAUCGUCGUAACGACACGCAAACACGUACAUAUCACUGUGUAGGUAUUAGGCACGCGUUACUACUUACGGGACUCGAUUCUGAUUUACCGAGGCCGAGUUAUAAGCCCGUAGGCAAAACUGACCAACACUUAGGCAAAAAGUCAAAAAAGAGGCCAAAACCCGCCUCGAUCGUCGUAACGACACGCAAACACGUACAUAUCACUGUGUAGGUAUUAGGCACGCGUUACUACUUACGGGACUCGAUUCUGAUUUACCGAGGCCGAGUUAUAAGCCCGUAGGCAAAACUGACCAACACUUAGGCAAAAAGUCAAAAAAGAGGCCAAAACCCGCCUCGAUCGUCGUAACGACACGCAAACACGUACAUAUCACUGUGUAGGUAUUAGGCACGCGUUACUACUUACGGGACUCGAUUCUGAUUUACCGAGGCCGAGUUAUAAGCCCGUAGGCAAAACUGACCAACACUUAGGCAAAAAGUCAAAAAAGAGGCCAAAACCCGCCUCGAUCGUCGUAACGACACGCAAACACGUACAUAUCACUGUGUAGGUAUUAGGCACGCGUUACUACUUACGGGACUCGAUUCUGAUUUACCGAGGCCGAGUUAUAAGCCCGUAGGCAAAACUGACCAACACUUAGGCAAAAAGUCAAAAAAGAGGCCAAAACCCGCCUCGAUCGUCGUAACGACACGCAAACACGUACAUAUCACUGUGUAGGUAUUAGGCACGCGUUACUACUUACGGGACUCGAUUCUGAUUUACCGAGGCCGAGUUAUAAGCCCGUAGGCAAAACUGACCAACACUUAGGCAAAAAGUCAAAAAAGAGGCCAAAACCCGCCUCGAUCGUCGUAACGACACGCAAACACGUACAUAUCACUGUGUAGGUAUUAGGCACGCGUUACUACUUACGGGACUCGAUUCUGAUUUACCGAGGCCGAGUUAUAAGCCCGUAGGCAAAACUGACCAACACUUAGGCAAAAAGUCAAAAAAGAGGCCAAAACCCGCCUCGAUCGUCGUAACGACACGCAAACACGUACAUAUCACUGUGUAGGUAUUAGGCACGCGUUACUACUUACGGGACUCGAUUCUGAUUUACCGAGGCCGAGUUAUAAGCCCGUAGGCAAAACUGACCAACACUUAAGUAAAAAGUUGAAAAAGAGGCCAAAACCCGCCUCAACCGUUGUAAUGAGGCGAAAACUCGUACAUAGCACCGCGUAGGUUUUAGGCACGUGUUACAACUUACAAAACUCGAUUCUGACUAACGGAGGCCGAGUUAUCAGCCUUUAGGCAAAACUGACCAACACUUAGGUAAAAAGUCAAAAAAGAAUCCGAAACCCGCCUCGGCCAUCGUAAUGAUACGGAAACACAUACAUAGCACCGCGUCAGAAUUAGGCACGCGUUAUAACUUACGGGACUCAAUUCCAACAUCCGGAGGUAACUAACACUUAGGUAAAAAGUCAAAAAAGAAUCCGAAACCCGCCUCGGCCAUCGUAAUGAUACGGAAACACAUACAUAGCACCGCGUCAGAAUUAGGCACGCGUUAUAACUUACGGGACUCAAUUCCAACAUCCGGAGGUAACUAACACUUAGGUAAAAAGUCAAAAAAGAAUCCGAAACCCGCCUCGGCCAUCGUAAUGAUACGGAAACACAUACAUAGCACCGCGUCAGAAUUAGGCACGCGUUAUAACUUACGGGACUCAAUUCCAACAUCCGGAGGUAACUAACACUUAGGUAAAAAGUCAAAAAAGAAUCCGAAACCCGCCUCGGCCAUCGUAAUGAUUACGGAAACACAUACAUAGCACCGCGUCAGAAUUAGGCACGCGUUAUAACUUACGGGACUCAAUUCCAACAUCCGGAGGUAACUAACACUUAGGUAAAAAGUCAAAAAAGAAUCCGAAACCCGCCUCGGCACAUCGUAAUGAUACGGAAACACAUACAUAGCACCGCGUCAGAAUUAGGCACGCGUUACAACUUACAGGACUCGAUUCUGACUUACGGAGGCCGAGUUAUCAGCCUGUAGGCAAAACUGACCAACACCUCGAUUCCGACAGACGGAGGCCGAGUUAUUAGCCCGUAGGCAAAACUGACCAACACUUAGGCAAAAAGUAGAAAAAGAUGCCAAAAUCCGUCUCGGCCGUUGUAACGAUACAGAAACUCGUACAUAGCACUGCGUAGAUAUUAGGCACGCAUUACAACUUACAGGACUCGAUUCUGACUUACGGAGGCCGAGUUAUCAGCCUGUAGGCAAAACUAACUAACACUUAGGUAAAAAGUCAAAAAAGAAGCCGAAACCUACCUCGGCCAUCGUAAUGAUACGCAAACACAUACAUUGCACCGCGUAGGUAUUAGACAUACGUUACAACUUACGGGACUCAAUUCCAACAUACGGAGGCCGAGUUAUCAGCCCGUAGGCAAAACUGACCAACACUUAGACAAAAAGUCAAAAAAGAGGCCAGAACCCAUCUCACCCGUUGUAACUUUACGGAAACUAGUACAUAGAACCGCAUAGGUAUUAGGCACACGUUACAACUUAUGGGACUCGAUUCCAAUUUACGGAGGCCGAGUUAUCAACUCGUAGGCAAAACUAACUAACACGUAGGUAAAAAGUCAAAAAAUAAGCCAAAACCCGCCUCGGCCAUCGUAAAGAUACACAAACACAAACAUAGCACCGCGUGGGUAUUAGGCAUGUGUUACAACUCACGGGACUCGAUUCCGACAUACGGAGGCCGAGUUAUCAGCCCGUAGGCAAAAUUGACAAACACUUAGGCAAAAAGUCAAAAAAGAGGCCAAAACUCGCCUCGACAAUCGUAACGACAAGUAAACACAUACAUAUUAUCGCGUAGGUAUUAGGAACGCAUUAACACUUACGAGACUCGAUUUCGACAGACGGAGGCCGAGUUAUCAGCCCGUAGGCAAAACUGACCAACACUUAGGCAAAAAGUAGAAAAAAGAGGCCAAAAUCCACCUCAACCGUUGUAACGAUACAGAAACUUGCACAUAGCACCGCGUAGGUAUUAGGCACGCGUUAUAACUUACGAGACUCGAUUCCGACUUACGGAGGCCGAGUUAUCACCUUGUUGGCAAAACUAACUAACACUUAGGUAAAAAGUCAAAAAAGAAUCCGAAACCCGCCUCGGCCAUCGUAAUGAUACACAAACACAUACAUUGCACUGCGUAGGUAUUAGACAUACGUUACAACUUACGGGACUCGAUUCCGACAUACGGAGGCCGAGUUAUCAGCCUGUAGGCAAAACUGACCAACACUUAGGCAAAAAGUCAAAAAAAGAGGCCAAAAUCCACCUCAAUCGUUGUAACGAUACAGAAACUCGCACAUAGCACCGCGUAGGUAUUAGGCACGCGUUAUAACUUACGAGACUCGAUUCCGACUUACGGAGGCCGAGUUAUCACCUUGUAGGCAAAACUAACUAACACUUAGGUAAAAAGUCAAAAAAGAAUCCGAAACCCGCCUCGGCCAUCGUAAUGAUACACAAAAAUAUACAUUGCAUCGCGUAGGUAUUAGGCACGCGUUCCAACUUACGGGACUCGAUUCUGACUUACGGAGGCCAAGUUAUCAGCCCGUAGGCAAAACUGACCAACACUUAGGCAAAAAGUCGAAAAAGUUGCCAAAAACCCGUCUCGGCCGUUGUAAUAAGACGCAAACUAAUACAUAGCACCGCGUCAGAAUUAGGCACGCGUUACAACUUACAGGACUCGAUUCUGACUUACGGAGGCCGAGUUAUUAGCCCAUUGGCAAAACUGACCAACACUUAGGUAAAAAGUCAAAAAAAAGGCCAAAAUUAGCCUCGGUCGUCGUAAUGACACAGAAACAUAUACCUAGCACCACGUAGGCAUUAGGCACGCGUUACAACUUACGGGACUCAAUUUCGACUUACGGAGGCCGAGUUAUCAGCCCGUAGGCAAAACAGACCAACACUUAGGUAAAAACUCAAAAAAAAGGCCAAAACCCGCCUUGGCCGUUAUAACAACACGCAAAUACGUAUAUAGCACCCUGUAGAUAUUAGGCACGUGUUACAACUUACGGGACUCGAUUCCGAAUUAUAUAGGCCGAGUUAUCAGCCCAUAGGUAAAACUGACCAACACUUAGGUAAAAAGUUAAAAAAGAGGUCGAAACCCGCCUCGGCCGUCGUAACGAUACGCAAAGAAGUACAUAGCACCGUGUAGGUAUUAGGCAUGCAUUUCAACUUACGGGACUCGAUUCUGACUUACGGAGACCGAGUUAUCAGCCCGUAAGCAAAACUGACCAACACUUAGGCAAAAAUUCGAAAAAGAGGCCAAAAUUCGCCUCGGCCAUCGUAACGACACGCAAACACAUACAUAGCAUCGUGUAGGUAUUAGGCACGCGUUAAAACUUACUGGACUCGAUUCCAACUUACGGAGGCCGAGUUAUCAGCCCGUAGACAAAACUGACCAACACUUGGGUAAAAAGUCAAAAAAGAGGCCAAAACCCGCCUCGAUCGUCGUAACGACACACAAACACGUACAUAUCACUGUGUAGGUAUUAGGCACGCGUUACUACUUACGAGACAUGAUUCUGAUUUACCGAGGCCGAGUUAUAAGCCCGUAGGCAAAACUGACCAACACUUAAGUAAAAAGUUGAAAAAGAGGCCAAAACCCGCCUCAACCGUUGUAAUGAGACGGAAACUCGUACAUAGCACCGCGUAGGUUUUAGGCACGCGUUACAACUUACAAAACUCGAUUCUGACUAACGGAGGCCGAGUUAUCAGCCUUUAGGCAAAACUGACCAACACUUAGGUAAAAAGUAAAAAAAGAGACCAAAACCCGCCUCAGCCAUCGUAAUGAUACGGAAACACAUACAUAGCACCGCGUAUGUAUUAGGCAUACAUUACAACUUACAGGACUCGAUUUCGACAUACGGAGGCCGAGUUAUCAGCCCGUAGGCAAAAUUGACCAACACUUAGGCAAAAAGUCAAAAAAGAGGCCAAAACCAACCUCGGCCGUCGUAACAACACGCAAGGACACACAUAGCACUGCAUGGGUAUUAGGCACGCGUUAUAACUUACGGGACUCAAUUCUGACUUACGUAGGCCGAGUUAUCAGCCCGUAAGCAAAAUUGAACAACAUUUAGGUAAAAAGUCAAAAAAGGGGCGAAAACAUGCCUCGACCGUCGUAACUACAUAAAAACACAUAUAUAGUACUACGUAUGUAUAAGGCCUGCGUUACAACUUACGGGACUCGAUUCUGACAUACGUAGACCGAGUUAUUAGCCUGUAUUCAAAAUUGACCAACACUUAGGUAAAAAGUUAAAAAAGAGGCCAAAUCCUGCAUCAGCCAUUGUAACGACACGCAAAUACAUGCAUAGCACCGCGUAGGUAUUAAGCACGCGUUACAACUUACGGGACUCAAUUCCGACUUACGGGGGCCGAGUUAUCAGCCCGUAGGCAAAACUAACCAAUAUUUGGGGAAAAAGUUGAAAAAGAGGCCAAAACCCACCUCGACCGUUGUAACAUUACGGAAACUCGUACAUAGCAUCGCGUAGGUAUUAGGCACACGUUACAACUUACGGGACUCGAUUCCAAUUUACGGAGGACGAGUUAUCAGCCCGUAGGCAAAACUAACUAACACUUUGGCAAAAAGUCGAAAAAGAGGCCAAAACUAGCAUCGACCAUCGUAACGACAAGCAAACACAUACAUAUCAUCGCGUAGGUAUUAAGCACACAUUACAACUUAAGGGACUCGAUUCCGACAGACGGAGGCCGAGUUAUUAGCCCGUAGGCAAAACUGACCAACACUUAGGCAAAAAGUAAAAAAAGAGGCCAAAACUCGCAUCGGCCAUCGUAACAAUACGCAAACACAUACAUAGCAUCGCGUAGGUAUUAGGCACGCAUUACAACUUAUGGGACCCGAUUCUGACUUACGGAGGCCGAGUUAUUAGCCCGUAGGCAAAACUGACCAACUCUUAGGUAAAAAGUCAAAAAAGAGGCCAAAACCCGCCUCGGCCGUCGUAACAACACGUAAACUCAUACAUAUCACCGUGUAGGUAUUAGGCACGCGUUACUACUUACGGGACUCAAUUCUGAUUUACGGAGGCCGAGUUAUCAGCUCGUAGGCAAAACUGACCAAAAUUAGGCAAAAAGUCGAAAAAGAGUCCAAAACCCGCCUCAUCUAUUAGAAUGAGAUAGAAACUCGUGCAUAGCACCGCGUAGGUAUUAGGCACGCAUUACAACUUACGAAACUCAAUUCCGACUUACGGAGGCCGAGUUAUCUGCCCAUAGGCAAAACUGACCAACACUUAGUUAAAAUUUCAAAAAAGAGGCCAAAACCCGCCUCAACCAUCGUAACGAUACGCAAACAAUUACAUAGCACCGCGUAGGUAUUAGGUAUUCAUUACAACUUACGGGACUCGAUUUCGACAUACGGAGGCCGAGUUAUCAGCCCGUAGGCAAAACUGACCAACACUUAGGCAAAAAGUCCAAAAAGAGGCCAAAACCCACCUCCGCCGUCGUAACAACACGCAAAGACUUACAUAGCACUGCAUGGGUAUUAGGCACGCGUUAUAACUUACGGGACUCAAUUCUGACUUACGAAGGUCGAGUUAUUAGCCCGUAAACAAAACAGAACAACAUUUAGGUAAAAAGUCGAAAAUGAGGGCAAAACAUGACUCGGUCGUCGUAACAACAUAAAAACACAUACAUAGUACCGCGUAUGUAUUAGGCAUGCGUUACAACUUAUGGGACUUGAUUCUGACAUACGUAGACCGAGUUAUUAGCCCGUAUGCAAAAUUGACCAACACUUAGGUAAAAAGUUAAAAAAGAGGCCAAAACCCGCAUCGGCCAUUGUAGGUAUUAGGCACGCGUUACAACUUACGGGUUCAUAGCGUUUUUCACAUAUCUAUGUUACAUAAAUAUGUAGAAGACCCGAAUCACAUUAUUGAGUUAGAACCGGACGAAAUAGCGAAAGAUUUAACGUAUGAAGAGGUUCCUGUUCAAAUCUUGGAUAGGAAGGAACAUAUUCUACGCUCCAAGGUUAUACCUCAAGUCAGAGUGUUAUGGAGGAUCCACGAUGUUGAGGAAAUGACCUGGGAGUUAGAAUCUGAAAUGAAAUCAAGGUAUCCUUAUCUCUUCGACAUACCAGGUAUGUACCCUAAUUUCGAGGGCGAAAUUUCAUAAGAAGGGGAGAUUGUAAGACCCCACUUUUAUGAAUAAAAAUGAAUUUUUUAUAAUUAUCAUUUUUGAAUAUUAUGGAGUAAAUUUAAUAUAAUGUUAUAGUUGUGGGUAAUAUUUACAAAUUUUGCAAAGUAUGCAAGUUGUCAUAUAAUAUUCGAUUGGUCGGGGAAUAUUCGUUUUAACAGAGAAUAUUCGUACAACGGCGCAAUCAUUGGUGGACCCCACAACGGAAUUAUUGUCGGAUUGAGAAAACGACAAAAAUAUUUUAUUGAAAAUAACGGCGGAAGUUUUACCGUUAAUACUGUUGAACUACUCGGUAGUAAAAGUACAGUAAUACGCGUGGUUGCAUAGUAACACACGGUAUUGAUUAUUGAUUCUUAUGUGAAAAGUCACUCAGUUUGAUUCAAUUAUUGUCGAUCUUUUAUAUGAUGAUGAAGUUUUGUUUUAUUCGUAUUAUUAACGUAAUAAAACAGAAACAUCAUUUUAUAUAAAACAAAAUACUUUUAUUAAAGUUAUUCUAUAAAUAGAAUAUAUUAUAUUUUAUUAUGCAUAGUGUUUGCAUAGUGCCUGCAUAGUGUUUGAAUAAUAAAAAUCUUUUUAUAUAAAAUAGAAUAUAUUGUAUUUUAUUUAAAAGAUUUUGUUUUAAAUAUGUACCGUCAGAUUAAAGUAAAUCAAUCUGGACCGUUCAUGAGUUAGUUACUAUGCAUUCCAUUUUUCUAUAAAUAGAAGCUCAUUCCUUCAUUAUUUUCUUACGAAUUCACUGAACUCUAGAGAGAGAAAGUUAUAGAGAGAAAUAAGAAGAGAAGUCUGCUAACUUUCUUUUCCUAUAUCUAAUUUCUUUUACGGUAAGGAAUAUUAUUUAUUUCAUAUUCUGAAGAGAACUUCUGUUAUUCCAUUUCUUAUUUAUUCAGUUGGAAUAACCUGUAUACACGGGCUACCCUAUACUUGGUGACAUUCUUCUAUUAUUCUAUUUUUAUUAUUCCGUUGGAACAUCCUGUCUAUGUGUUUACACCGGACCUGGUUUCGUCUUUAGUAUUAUUCUGUCGGAAUAUCCUGUCGGUGCGAAUUUCACCUGACCUGGUUCCAUUAUUUAUUAUUCCGCAUUUAAUAUUCUGUCGGAAUAUCCUGUUGGUGUGAAUUUCACCUGACCUGGUCCAAUUAUUUAUUAUUUCGCAUUUAAUAUUCUGUCGGAAUAUCCUGUCGGUGUGAAUUUCACCUGACCGCGUAGGUAUUAGGCACGCGUUAAAACUUACGAGACUCAAUUCCAACUUACGGAGGCCGAGUUAUCAUCCCGUAGAUAAAACUGAACAACACUUAGGUAAAAAGUCAAAAAAUAAGCCAGAACUCGCCUCGGUCGUCGUAACGACACGCAAACACGUAUAUAUCACCGUGUAGGUAUUAGGCACGUGUUACUACAUACGGGACUCGAUUCUGAUUUACCAAGGCCGAGUUAUCAGCCCGUAGGCAAAACUGACCAACACUUAGGCAAAAAGUCAAAAAAGAGGUCGAAACCCGCCUCAGCCAUUGUAAUGAGACGGAAACUCGUACAUAGCACCGCGUAGGUAUUAGAAACGCGUUACAACUUAUGGAACUCGAUUCCAACUUACGGAGGCCGAGUUAUCAGCCCGUAGGCAAAACUGACCAACACUUAAGUAAAAUGUCAAAUGAGGCCAAAACUCGCUUCAGCCAUCGUAACGAUACGCAAACACAUACAUAGCACUGCGUUGGUAUUAGACAUACAUUAUAACUUACGGGACUCAAUUUCGACAUACGGAGGCCGAGUUAUCACCCCGUAGGCAAAACUGACCAACACUUAGGCAAAAAGUCGAAAAAGAGGUCAAAACCAACCUCGACAGUCGUAACAACACACAAAGACAUACAUAGCACUGCAUGGGUAUUAGGCAAGCGUUAUAACUUACGGGACUCAAUUCUGACUUACGGAGGCCGAGUUAUCAGCCCGUAGGCAAAACUAACCAACACUUAGGCAAAAAGUUGAAAAAGAGGCCAAAACUCGCCUCGGCCAUCGUAACGACACGCAAACACAUACAUAGUAUCGCGUAGGUAUUAGGCACGUGUUAAAAAUUAUGGGACUUGAAUCCAACUUACGGAGGCCGAGUUAUCAGCCCAUAAACAAAACUGACCAACACUUAGAUAAAAAGUCAAAAAAGAGGCCAAAACCUGCCUCGGUCGUCGUAACGACACGCAAACACGUACAUAUCAUCGUGUAGGUAUUAGGCAUGCGUUACUAUUUACGAGACUCAAUUCUGAUUUACCGAGGCCGAGUUAUAAUCCCGUAGGCAAAACUGACCAACACUUAGGCAAAAAGUCGAAAAAGAGGCCAAAACCCGCCUCGACCGUUGUAAUGAGACGGAAACUCGUACAUAGAACCGCGUAGGUUUUAGGCACGCAUUACAACUUACGAAACACGAUUCUGACUUACGGAGGCCGAGUUAUCAGCCCGUAGGAAAAACUGACCAACACUUAGGUAAAAAGUCAAAAAAGAGGCCAAAACCCGCCUCAGCCAUCGUAAAGAUAUGCAAACACAUAAGUAGCACCAUGUAGGUAUUAGGCAUACAUUACAACUUACGGGACUCGAUUUCGACAUACGGAGGUCGAGUUAUCAGCCCGUAGGCAAAACUGACCAACACUUAGGCAAAAAGUCGUAAAAGAGGCCAAAUCCAACCUCGACCGUCAUAAUAAUUUGCAAAGACAUACAUAGCAUUGCAUGUGUAUUAGGCACGCGUUAUAACUUACGGGACUCAAUUCUGACUUAUGGAGGCCGAGUUAUCAGCCCGUAAGCAAAACUGAACAACAUUUAGGUAAAAAGUCAAAAAAGAGGCCAAAACCCACCUCGGCCGUUGUAACGAUACGAAAACACGUACAUAACACCACGUAGGUAUUAGGCACACGUUACAACUUACGGGGCUCAAUUCUGACUUACGGAGGCCGAGUUAUCAGCCCGUAGGCAAAACUGACCAACAUUUAGGGAAAAAGUCAAAAAAGAGGCCAAAACCCACCUCGGCCGUUGUAACGAUACGAAAACUCGUACAUAACACCACGUAGGUAUUAGGCACGUGUUACAACUUACAGGACUCGAUUCCAAUUUACGGAGGCCGAGUUAUAAGCCCGUAGGCAAAACUAACUAAAACUUAGGUAAAAAGUCAAAAAAAAAGCCAAAACCCGUCUCGGCCAUCGUAAUGAUACGUAAACACAUAGAUAGCACCGCGUAGGUAUUAGGCAUAUGUUAUAACUUACGGGACUCGAUUCCGACAUACGGAGGCCGAGUUAUCAGCCCAUAGGCAAAAUUGACAAAUACUUAGGUAAAAAGUUGAAAAAGAGGUCAAAACUCUCCUCGGCCAUCGUAACGACAAGCAAACACAUACAUAUCAUCGCGUAGAUAUUAGGCACGCAUUACAACUUACGGGACUCGAUUCUGACAGACGGAGGCCGAGUUAUCAGCCCGUAGGCAAAAUUGACCAACACUUAGGCAAAAAGUAGAAAAAGAGGCCAAAAUCCGCCUCAGCCGUUGUAACGAUACAGAAACUCGUACAUAGCACCGCAUAGGUAUUAGGCACGCAUUAUAACUUACGGGACUCGAUUCCGACUUACGGAAGCCGAGUUAUCAGCCUGUAGGAAAAACUAACUAACACUUAGGUAAAAAGUCAAAAAAGAAGCUGAAUCCCGCCUCGACCAUCGUAAUGAUACGCAAACAAAUACAUAGUACCACGAAGGUAUUUGAUGAGUGAUUUUAUACACAUGAAUUGGAUAUAUUCGAGCUUAAUUUAUUGUUGUUCUCAAGUCUUUUAAGAUGUUAUUAUGUGUUUGUGUCUAUUCAAGCAUGUUUUAUAUUGUUUUGUAGGAUUUGGGACAAAAGUUAAAUGGAUCGACGUUCGGGGUGGCUAGAUUCGCGUUUUCGUCUUGCCAUUUACACAACAGUCACUUCAGAGCCUAUUUUACUAUAUCGACGGACAUUAUUUUGAAAAACUCAAAGAAUGAAAGUUGUAUAUCUACUUUUCCUAUUUCCGGAUCAUCUUGAAUCAUCUAAAUCGGAGUUCGGAAGAAGAAGUUAUGGCCAUUUUCCCAAAGGAUGUCGGAGCAGAAAAUGUCAGAACUUGUAACAGCGUCGAAGCGCUAUUUUUAGUUCAUUUUGCAGCGUCGGGGCGUUAUAAGGCAGAGUCUGAGCAUCAAGCCCAGCGCUGGAGCGCUAGGGAAGGGCUUGGUGAUGGCAUGGAUGCGUUUUGGGCGAAUUUUGACACCUUAUUGACUCAAAAUUGGAUUGGGUUUGUUCCUAAGCUCAAAAUUAGACUUGUAACCUAUAAAUACUUGAUGUAAGGCAUAAAAUAAAGGGAGAUUACAUAGAUUNNNNNNNNNNNNNNNNNNNNNNNNNNNNNNNNNNNNNNNNNNNNNNNNNNNNNNNNNNNNNNNNNNNNNNNNNNNNNNNNNNNNNNNNNNNNNNNNNNNNAGACUCUGCCUUAUAGCACCCCGGCGCUGCAAAAUGAACUAAAAAUAGCGCCCCGGCGCUGUUACAAGUUCUGACAUUUUCUGCUCCAACGUCUUUUGGGAAAAUGCCCAUAACUUCUUCGUUCGAACUCCGAUUUAGAUGAUUCAAGAUGAUCCAGAAAGAGAAAAAGUAGAUCUACAACUUUCAUUCUUUACAUUUUUUGAAAUAAUACCAGAGUUAUAGUCAAAUUGGCUCUAAAGUGACUGCUGUGUAAAUAGCAAGCCGAAAACGCGAAUCUAGCCACCCCGAACGUCGAUCCAUGUAACUUUUGUCCCAAAUCCUACAAAACAAUAUAAAACAUGCUUGAAUAGACACAAACACAUAAAAACAUCUUAAAAGACAUGAGAACAACAAUAAAUUAAGCCCGAAUGUAUCCAAUUCAUGUGUAUAAAACUCACUCCUCAAAUACCCCCAAACUUAAACCUUUGCUUGUCCUCAAGCAAAAACACAAACAUGUUAUGCAAUGCAAUGUAAUGAAACUAAUCUAUAUGCCUACGACUCCAACAGUAAUGACAGAAACAAGUCUAUUCAACCAGCCUUAGAGAAAUCAAGUAAACAUGAUAAUACAUCAUAUUAAAACAAAUCAGUAAUUUCCCAAUCACUCAUCAAAUCUUAGACUGUUAUCACUGAUAUAGUGUGUGUGUGCUCCACAACAAUGUUAACUGAUAUAAAAUCAAAUUUAACACAUAAUAGGUCUCUUUAAAGGCAUCAUACAGUGAAAACUCACAAAAUUCACGAAUAAGCUAGAUCCAACUAUAGUCAAACAUCCACCAAGUUCAAGAGUCCAAUCCGGGAUACUUAUGCUUUACUUUUCAUUACGGGGGCUUUUUGCUCUUUUCCCGUUUUAUUGUUUUUUUUUUUUUUUUUUUACUUUCUUUUUUUUUAACCAUGACUGUGCAAUGUCUCAUUCCAUUAGGCUAACAGUGUCACCCCUUAGCGAGCUUUCGACCAACGACUCCCAGACCAUAUAAGACCUUAGGGCGCUAGGUUUUAAGAUACCCCUUCGGGCGUACUUACUCAAGUAACAAAGGCCCCGAAACAAAACUAGCCACGGUAAUUUUUAUUUUUAUUUUUAUUUUUUUCUUUUUUUUUUAGCGAAGCUUAUAUAUCCCAAAUUUUCCCCCUAAACUUAAGUUUUUAUCAAAAUUUAGCCAUCUCUGCCUGUUCAUGUCUUUCAUUCCUUCACAUUAGUAUUAUCCUUAAGAAAUCCAUUAUGUAUCAAUUUAAACUUAAUCAGUCAACAUAGCUGUUAUUAACGUGNNNNNNNNNNNNNNNNNNNNNNNNNNNNNNNNNNNNNNNNNNNNNNNNNNNNNNNNNNNNNNNNNNNNNNNNNNNNNNNNNNNNNNNNNNNNNNNNNNNNNNNNNNNNNNNNNNNNNNNNNNNNNNNNNNNNNNNNNNNNNNNNNNNNNNNNNNNNNNNNNNNNNNNNNNNNNNNNNNNNNNNNNNNNNNNNNNNNNNNNNNNNNNNNNNNNNNNNNNNNNNNNNNNNNNNNNNNNNNNNNNNNNNNNNNNNNNNNNNNNNNNNNNNNNNNNNNNNNNNNNNNNNNNNNNNNNNNNNNNNNNNNNNNNNNNNNNNNNNNNNNNNNNNNNNNNNNNNNNNNNNNNNNNNNNNNNNNNNNNNNNNNNNNNNNNNNNNNNNNNNNNNNNNNNNNNNNNNNNNNNNNNNNNNNNNNNNNNNNNNNNNNNNNNNNNNNNNNNNNNNNNNNNNNNNNNNNNNNNNNNNNNNNNNNNNNNNNNNNNNNNNNNNNNNNNNNNNNNNNNNNNNNNNNNNNNNNNNNNNNNNNNNNNNNNNNNNNNNNNNNNNNNNNNNNNNNNNNNNNNNNNNNNNNNNNNNNNNNNNNNNNNNNNNNNNNNNNNNNNNNNNNNNNNNNNNNNNNNNNNNNNNNNNNNNNNNNNNNNNNNNNNNNNNNNNNNNNNNNNNNNNUAAUAUAAAACUUAAUAAAAACUAAAAAUAAAAAUUAAACUUGGGUUGCCUCCCAAUAAGCGCUUGUUUUAGAGUCUCAGCCUGACUUCUUCAAUUCUCUAUCCAAUUCCCCUACGAAAAUUAAGGAACCCUCCAUCCAUCAGAAGCAAUGUCUCUUUUGGGAGGUUCCCAUUAGCAAAAACCCUUGAAUUGAAGUCACCUAGCAUGCUCUUUGUAGAUAGGAUCCCCAUUAAGAACGGCAAACCACUGGGUGUUUCCUCCAUUAUGUCGAUGAUCAUAUUAGGACAUUGAAGCUUAAUAAACAUAAUGGAAUCUUCCUCUAACUUCUCCUUUUCAUCCCACCAUAACUCCACAAUUGUACUAGCUCUUACGUCACCAAGAGUUUAACAAACAAUUACAAUUUGAUGAGUGAGUGAGUUUUAUACACAAGAAUUGGAUACAUUUGGGCUUAAUUUAUUAUUGUUCUCAAGUCUUUUAAGAUGUUUUUAUGUGUUUGUGUCUAUUCAAGCAUGUUUUAUAUUGUUUUGUAGGAUUUGGGAUAAAAGUUACAUGGAUCGACGUUCGGGGUGGCUAGAUUUGCGUUUUCGUCUUGCUAUUUACAUAGCAGUCACUUAAGAGCCAAUUUGACUAUAUCUCCGGACAUUAUUUCGAAAAACGCAAAGACUGAAAGUUGUAGAUCUACUUCUCCUCUUUCCGGAACAUCUUGAAUCAUUGAAAUCGGAGUUCAGACGAAGACGUUAUGACCAUUUUCCCAAAGGACGUCGGAGCAGAAAAUGUCAGAACUUGUAACAGCGUCGGGGCGCUAUUUUUAGUUCAUUUUGCAGUGCUGGGGCGCUAUAAGGCAGUGUCUGAGCAUCAAGCCCAGCGCUGGGGCGCUGGGGAAGGGCUUGGUGAUGGCCCGGACGCGUUUUGGGUGAAUUUUGACACCUUUUUGACUCCAAAUUGGAUUGAGUUUGUUCCUAAGCUCAAAAUUAGACUUGUAACCUAUAAAUACUUGAUGUAAGGCAUAAAAUGAAGAGAGAUUACAUAGAUUAGACUAGAUUAAACACUCCUUUAGAUUAGAACAUAACCCUAGUUCUUAUUAGUUUUGGAGAUUGAAACAACUUGGAGACCAUUAAAGAUUCAAAGCAGGAGCGAAAAAGGAGUCUCAAGGCUACCGAUAAUAGAUUAUAUUCUCUUCUCUUCUCUUACUUUUAUCUUUUAAUGUCUAUUCAAUUGUGGAUUCUUGGUUUUAAUUCAUUAAUUAUGAACUAACUCUUUUAUUAAGAUUUUAAUUGAACUUUUUAUGGCUAUGAAUUAGUUAUUCAUUAUAUUCCAAUUAUUUGUGUCAAAGUGAGUUGUUUAUCUUGCCUUAUGCUUAUUGAUUAAUUAUUUGAUCAGUAAUUACCUUGUUACUCUAGAAGGAAUUGAGAGAGGAAUUCUAGGGUUAGAACUGGGCAUGAUAUCAUGUGACUUAGUUAUUUGCACAGUGAAUAAUUAGGUUUGUGAAUAGAAUGAGAAUAUUUAUUUGCCGUAUGUAACACAUAGGGAAUUGGGAUUGUAACGCGUUUAAUUCAAUUGUUUUGUAUAGAGAUAUAGCAAAAUUAAUUUGGGUUAAAUAGAAGGCAAUUGAUCGCUCGAGAGAGGGCUUUUGGCACUUGAGAAUUUCUGUUAACAAUUCAGUAGACAUAAUAAUUGGNNNNNNNNNNNNNNNNNNNNNNNNNNNNNNNNNNNNNNNNNNNNNNNNNNNNNNNNNNNNNNNNNNNNNNNNNNNNNNNNNNNNNNNNNNNNNNNNNNNNNNNNNNNNNNNNNNNNNNNNNNNNNNNNNNNNNNNNNNNNNNNNNNNNNNNNNNNNNNNNNNNNNNNNNNNNNNNNNNNNNNNNNNNNNNNNNNNNNNNNNNNNNNNNNNNNNNNNNNNNNNNNNNNNNNNNNNNNNNNNNNNNNNNNNNNNNNNNNNNNNNNNNNNNNNNNNNNNNNNNNNNNNNNNNNNNNNNNNNNNNAACAACUAUCAUCAUGAUUGGGGGUAUCACCCGGAUUUUUCAUGGAGUAACAAUCAAGCUCAAGCUCAAGCCCCGAGACAACAAAACAAUUCCGGGUUUCAAAAUCAGACACAACAACCAGAGCGGAAAGCAAGUUGGGAAGAAGCCUUGGAUAGAUUUAUUACAGCUUCUGAAAAGAAACACGAGGAAUAUGAAAAGAAACAAAAUAAAACAGAUCUGAAUACACAAAUCAUAAAUGCGUUGAUCAAGAAUUUGGAAAAUCAAUUGGGGCAGAUAGCACAUGCAUUGAACUUCCAUCUUUAAUACACUUGGCUCUAUGACAUGGAUAACGAGACUGAUGAUGAGCCCGAUGGUGAGCCCGAGCCAAAUCUACAACUGGAUGAGCCAUGAGAUGAAAAAGAGGUGACAAGUGGGGAUAAUGACAACAAGGUCGGUGAAGAACUAAUUGUGAGAACCAAUGAUGAUGAGCCAAUGUUAUUUAUGCCUCAAGUGCCUUCUCCUCCAUAGUUCAACAGUCCGGUUAGAUUUGCAAAACCUUGUCCGAUUGGUAGUCAUGUCGUCGGCAAUACUCUCUAUGAUGUAAAAGCAACUACACCUUCGAAACCAUGGUGCGAUGAGCUGGAGAAGAUAGAAGAAGAAAUUGUUGUGUCUGACAAGCCUCAAUGCCAGAAUCUAUUCGCAGACACAAUGGAAAAAACACCUAGAUGUUGGAAGUUCUUGAAUGUGAUCUUAUCUAAAGAAAGCAUGCUAGAUGACUUUAAUACAAUGGCUAUCGUAAAUGGGAACCUACCAAAAGCUAUAUUAUUUUCGAUGGAUGGAGGGUUCCUCAAUUUUCGUAGGGGAAUUGGAUAGAGAAUUGAUGAAAUCAGGCUGAGACUAUAAAACAAGCGCUUAUUGGGAGGCAACCCAAGUUUAAUUUUUAAUUUUAAUUUUUAUUAAGUUUUAUAUUAGUAGUUUGGAAUUUGCAUUUAUUUAGGAUUUAAUAAAAUUGNNNNNNNNNNNNNNNNNNNNNNNNNNNNNNNNNNNNNNNNNNNNNNNNNNNNNNNNNNNNNNNNNNNNNNNNNNNNNNNNNNNNNNNNNNNNNNNNNNNNNNNNNNNNNNNNNNNNNNNNNNNNNNNNNNNNNNNNNNNNNNNNNNNNNNNNNNNNNNNNNNNNNNNNNNNNNNNNNNNNNNNNNNNNNNNNNNNNNNNNNNNNNNNNNNNNNNNNNNNNNNNNNNNNNNNNNNNNNNNNNNNNNNNNNNNNNNNNNNNNNNNNNNNNNNNNNNNNNNNNNNNNNNNNNNNNNNNNNNNNNNNNNNNNNNNNNNNNNNNNNNNNNNNNNNNNNNNNNNNNNNNNNNNNNNNNNNNNNNNNNNNNNNNNNNNNNNNNNNNNNNNNNNNNNNNNNNNNNNNNNNNNNNNNNNNNNNNNNNNNNNNNNNNNNNNNNNNNNNNNNNNNNNNNNNNNNNNNNNNNNNNNNNNNNNNNNNNNNNNNNNNNNNNNNNNNNNNNNNNNNNNNNNNNNNNNNNNNNNNNNNNNNNNNNNNNNNNNNNNNNNNNNNNNNNNNNNNNNNNNNNNNNNNNNNNNNNNNNNNNNNNNNNNNNNNNNNNNNNNNNNNNNNNNNNNNNNNNNNNNNNNNNNNNNNNNNNNNNNNNNNNNNNNNNNNNNNNNNNNNNNNNNNNNNNNNNNNNNNNNNNNNNNNNNNNNNNNNNNNNNNNNNNNNNNNNNNNNNNNNNNNNNNNNNNNNNNNNNNNNNNNNNNNNNNNNNNNNNNNNNNNNNNNNNNNNNNNNNNNNNNNNNNNNNNNNNNNNNNNNNNNNNNNNNNNNNNNNNNNNNNNNNNNNNNNNNNNNNNNNNNNNNNNNNNNNNNNNNNNNNNNNNNNNNNNNNNNNNNNNNNNNNNNNNNNNNNNNNNNNNNNNNNNNNNNNNNNNNNNNNNNNNNNNNNNNNNNNNNNNNNNNNNNNNNNNNNNNNNNNNNNNNNNNNNNNNNNNNNNNNNNNNNNNNNNNNNNNNNNNNNNNNNNNNNNNNNNNNNNNNNNNNNNNNNNNNNNNAAUAGACUUGUUUCUGUCAUUACUGUUGGAGUCGUAGGCAUAUAGAUUAGUUUCAUUACAUUGCAUUGCAUAACAUUUUUGUGUUUUUGCUUGAGGACAAGCAAAGGUUUAAGUUUGGGGGUAUUUGAUGAGUGAGUUUUAUACACAUGAAUUGGAUACAUUCGGGCUUAAUUUGUUGUUGUUCUUAAGUCUUUUAAGAUGUUUUUAUGUGUUUGUGUCUAUUCAAGCAUGUUUUAUAUUGUUUUGUAGGAUUUGGGACAAAAGUUACAUAGAUCGACGUUCAGGGUGGCUAGAUUCGCAUUUUCGGCUUGCUAUUUACGUAGCAGUAGCUUCAGAGCCAAUUUGAGUAUUGCUACGGACCUUAUUUCGAAAACCUCAAAGAAUGAAAGUUGUAGAUCUACUUUUCCUCUUUCCGGAUCAUCUUGAAUCAUCUAAAUCGGAGUUUGGAAGAAGAAGUUAUGGCCAUUUUCCCAAAGGACAUUGGAGCAGAAAAUGUCAGAACUUGUAACAGCGCCGGGGCGCUAUUUUUAGUUCAUUUUGCAGCGCCGGGACGCUAUAAGGCAGAGUCUGAGCAUCAAGCCCAGUGCUGGGGCGCUGGGGAAGGGCUUGGUGAUGGCCUGGACGCGUUUUGGCUGAAUUUUGACACCUUUUUGACUCCAAAUUGGAUUGGGUUUGUUCCUAAGCUCAAAAUUAGACUUAUAACCUAUAAAUACUUGAUGUAAGGCAUAAAAUAAAGGGAGAUUACAUAGAUUAGACUAGAUUAAACACUCCUUUCGAUUAGAACAUAACCCUAGUUCUUAUUAGUUUUGGAGAUUGAAACAACUUGGAGACCAUUCAAGAUUCAAAGCAGGAGCGAAAGAGGAGUCUCAAGGCUACUGACAAUAGAUUAUAUUCUCUUCUCUUCUCUUACUUUUAUCUUUUAAUGUCUAUUCAAUUGUGGAUUCUUGAUUUUAAUUCAUUAAUUAUGAACUAACUCUUUCAUUAAGAUUUCAAUUGAACUUUUUAUGAUUACGAAUUGAUUAUUUGAUUUAUUCUAAUUAUUUAUGUUGAAGUGAAUUGUUCAUCUUGCUUUGAGCUUAUUGAUUAAUUAUCUGAUCAAUAAUUACCUUGUUACUUUAGAAGAAAUUGAGAGAGGAAUUCUAGGGUUAGAACUGGGCAUGGUGACAUGUGACUUAGUUAUUUGCAUAGUGAAUAAUUAGGUUUGUGAAUAGAAUGAUAAUAUCUAUUUGCCGCAUGUAACACAUAAGGAAUUGGGAUUGUAACGAGUUUAAUUCAAUUGUUUUGCAUAGAGAUAUAGCAAAAUUAAUCUGGGUUAAAUAGAAGGCAAUUGAUCGCUCGAGAGAGGGCUUUUGACACUUGAGAAUAUCUGUUAACAAUUCAGUAGACAUAAUAAUUGAGGUAAUUGGAUAAUGGGUUUAUAGUUCAUAAUUGGGGAUAUUUGAGUCUUAAUCCUUAUUUACCUAAAUUUAAUCAAAUCUUAGUUGUUUAUUUGCUUUCUUUUAGACUAAUCUCUUUUAAUUGUUUAAUUUAGUUUUCUUAACUAGAAAAAUCACAAUUAUUGGUUGUUUAAAUAAAAUUGAUUUGGUUAAGAGUUAGUACUUGGUAAUUUUUAUUAAAUAAUUCCUCGUGGGAACGAUACUCUACUUUCACUUUAUUACUUGUUGACCGUGUAUUCUUAUACGUAUUCAUUGAUUGCGAAAUCGAUCAAUAGUAUUAGGCAUACGUUACAACUUAUGGGACUCGAUUCCGACAUACGGAGGCCAAGUUAUCAGCCCGUAGGCAAAACUGACCAACACUUAGGCAAAAAGUCAAAAAAGAGGCCAAAACUCUCCUCGGCUGUAGUAACGACACGCAAACACAGACAUAGCACCGCGUAGGUAUUAGGCGUGCGUUACAACUUACGGGAUUCGAUUUCGACUUACGGAGGCCGAGUUAUCAGCCCGUAGGCAAAAUUGACCAACACUUAGGCCAAAAGUCGAAAAAGAUGCCAAAAACCCGUCUCGGCCGUCGUAAUAAGACGCAAACUAAUACAUAGCACCGCGUUGGAAUUAGGUACGCAUUAUAACUUACAGGACUCGAUUCUGACUUACGGAGGCCGAGUUAUUAGCCCAUUGGCAAAACUGACCAACACUUAGGCAAAAAGUCAAAAAAGAAGCCAAAAUUAGCCUCGAUCGUCGUAAUGACACACAAACAUGUACAUUGCACCACGUAGGCAUUAGGCACGCGUUACAACUUACAGAAGUUGAUUUUGACUUACGGAGGCCGAGUUAUUAGCCCGUAGGCAAAACUGACCAACAUUUGGGUAAAAACUCGAAAAGAGGCCAAAACCCGCCUUGGCCAUCAUAACGACACGCAAACACGUAUAUAACACCGUGUAGGUAUUAGGCACGUGUUACAACUUACGGAACUCGAUUCUGACUUACGAAGGCCGAGUUAUCAGCCCGUAGGCAAAACUGACCAACACUUAGGCAGAAGGUCAAAAAAGAGGCCAAAAUCCGCCUCAGCCAUCGUAACGAUAUGCAAACAUAUACAUAGCACUGCGUAGGUAUUAGGCAUGAAUUACAACUUACGGGACUAGAUUUCGACAUACGGAGGCCAAGUUAUCAGUUCGUAGGCAAAACUGACCAACACUUAUGCAAAAAGUCGAAAAAGAGGCCAAAACCCACCUCGAUCGUCGUAACAACACGCAAAGACAUACAUAGCACUGCAUUGGUAUUAGACAUGCGUUUUAACUUACGGGACUAAAUUCUGACUUACGGAGGCCUAGUUAUCAGCUCGUAAGAAAAAACUGAACAACAUUUAGGUAAAAAGUUAAAAAAGAAGCCAAAACACGCCUCGACCAUCGUAACGACAUAGAAACACAUACAUAGUACCGCGUAUGUAUUAGGCAUGCAUUACAACUUACGGGACAAGAUUUUGACAUACGUAGACCGAGUUAUUAGCCCGUAUGCAAAAUUGACCAACACUUAGGUAAAAAGUUAAAAAAGAGGCCAAAACCCACAUCGACCAUUGUAACGACACGAAUAUAUAUAUAUAUAUAUAUAGCACCGCGUAGGUAUUAGGCAAGCGUUACAACUUACGGGACUCAAUUCCGACUUACAGAGGGCGAGUUAUCAGCCCUCAGGUAAAACUGACCAACAUUUGGGAAAAAAAGUCGAAAAAGAUGUCAAAACCAACCUCGGCCGUUGUAAUGAUAUGGAAACUCAUAUAUAGAGCCGCGUAGGUAUUAGGCACGCGUUACAUCUUAUGAGACUCGAUUCCGAUUUAUGGAGGCCGAGUUAUCAGCCCGUAGGCAAAACUAACAAACACUUAGGUAAAAAGUCAAAAAAGAAACCAAAACCCGCCUCGGCCAUCGUAAUGAUACGCAAACACAUACAUAGCACCGCGUAGGUGUUAGGCAUGAGUUACAACUUAUGGAACUCGAUUCCGACAUACGGAGGCCGAGUUAUCAGCCCGUAGGCAAAACUAACCAACACUUAGGCAAAAAUUUGAAAAAUAGGCCAAAAUUCGCCUCAACCAUCGUAAUGACACGCAAAUACAUACAUAGCAUCGCGUAAGUAUUAGGCACGUGUUAAAACUUACGGGACUCGAUUCCAAAUUACGGAGGACGAGUUAUCAGCCCGUAGACAAAACAGACAACCACUUAGGUAAAAAGUCAAAAAAGAGGCCAAAACCCGCCUCGGUCGUCGUAACGACACGAAAACACGUACAUAUCAUUGUGUAGGCAUUAGGCACGCGUUACUACUUACGGGACUCGAUUCUGAUUUACCGAGGUCGAGUUAUAAGCCUGUAGGCAAAACUGACCAACACUUAGGCAAAAAGUCAAAAAAGAGGCCAAAACCCGCCUCAGCCGUUGUAAUGAGAUAGAAACUCGUACAUAGCACCGCGUAGGUUUUAGGCACGUAUUACAACUUACGAAACUCGAUUCUGACUUACAAAGGCCGAGUUAUCAGCCUUUAGGCAAAAGUUACCAACACUUAGAUAAAAAGUCAAAAAAGAGGCCAAAACCCGCCUCAGCCAUCGUAAUGAUACGCAAACACAUACAUAGCACCGCGUAAAUAUUAGGCAUACAUUAAAACUUACGGUACUCGAUUUCGACAUACGGAGGCCGAGUUAUCAGCCCGUAGGCAAAACUGACCAACACUUAGGCAAAAAGUCGAAAAAGAGGCCAAAACUGCCUCGACUGACAUAAUGACAUACAAACACGUACAUAACACCACGUAUGUAUUAGGCAUGCGUUACAACUUACGGGACUCGAUUCCGAAUUACGGAGGCCGAGUUAUCAGCCCGUAGGCAAAACUGACCAACACUUAGGCAAAAAAUCGAAAAAGAUGCCAAAAACUCGUCUCGGCCGUUGUAAUAAGACGCAACCUAAUACAUAGCACCGCAUUGGAAUUAGGCACGCGUUAUAACUUACAGGACUUGAUUCUAACUUACGGAGGCUGAGUUAUUAGCCCAUUGGCAAAACUGACCAACACUUAGGCAAAAAGUCAAAAAAGAUGCCAAAAUUAGCCUCGGUAGUCGUAAUGACACACAAACAUGUACAUAGCCCCACGUAGGUAUUAGGCACGCGUUACAACUUACGGAAGUUGAUUUUAACUUACGGAGGCCGAGUUAUGAACCUGUAGGCAAAACUGACCAACACUUAGGCAAAAACUCGAAAAAGAGGCCAAAACCUACCUUGGCCGUCAUAACGACACGCAAACACGUAUAUAGCACCGUGUAGUUAUUAGGCACGUAUUACAACUUAGGGAACUAGAUUCUGACUUACGGAGUCCGAGUUAUUAGCCCGUAGGCAAAACUGACCAACACUUAGGCAAAAAGUCAAAAAAGAGGCCAAAACCCGCCUCAGCCAUCGUAACGAUACAAAAACAUAUACAUAGCACUGCGUAGGUAUUAGGCAAGCAUUACAACUUACGGGACUCGAUUUCGACAUACGGAGGCCGAGUUAUCAGCUCGUAGGCAAAACUGACCAACACUUAGACCGAGUUAUUAGCCCGUAUUCAAAAUUGACCAACACUUAGGUAAGAAGUUAAAAAAGAGGCCAAAACCUGCAUCGGCCAUUGUAACGACACACAAAUAUAUGCAUAGCACCGCGUAGAUAUUAGGCACGCGUUACAACUUACGGGACUCAAUUCCGACUUACGGAUGCCGAGUUAUCAACCCGUAGGCAAAACUGACCAACAUUUGGGGAAAAAGUCGAAAAAGAGGCCAUAACCCACCUCAGCCGUUGUAACGAUAUGGAAACUCGUACAUAGCACCGCAUAGGUAUUAGGCACGCGUUACAACUUACGGGACUCGAUUCCAAUUUACGGAGGCCGAGUUAUCAGCCCGUAGGCAAAACUAAUUAACACUUAGGUAAAAAGUCAAAAAAGAAGCAAAAACCCGCCUCGGCCGUCGUAAUGAUACGCAAAACAUACAUAGUACCGCGUAGGUAUUAGGCAUGUGUUACAACUUACGAGACUAGAUUCCGACAUACGGAGACCGAGUUAUCAGCCCGUAGGCAAAAUUGACCAACACUUAGGCAAAAAGUCGAAAAAGAGGCCAAAACUCACCUCGGCCAUCGUAACGACAAGAAAAUACAUACAUAUCAUCGCGUAGGUAUUAGGCACGCAUUACAGCUUAAGGGGCUCAAUUCUGUCGGACGAAGGCCGAGUUAUUAGCCCGUAAGAAAAACUGACCAACACUUCGGCAAAAAGUAGAAAAAGAGGCCAAAAUCCGCCUCGGCCGUUGUAACAAUACAAGAACUAGUACAUAGCACCGCGUAGGUAUUAGGCAUGUGUUACAACUUACGGGACUUGAUUCAGACGUACGGAGGCCGAGUUAUCAGCCUGUAGGCAAAACUAACUAACACUUAGGUAACAAGUCAAAAAAGAAGCCAAAACUCGACUCGGCCAUCGUAAUGAUACGCAAACACAUACAUAGCACCGCGUAGGUAUUAGACAUAUGUUACAACUUACGGGACUCGAUUCCGACAUACGGAGGCCGAGUUAUUAGCCCGUAGGCAAAACUGACCAACACUUAGACAAAAAGUCAAAAAAGAGACCAAAACUCGCCUCGGCCAUCGUAAUGACACGCAAACACAUACAUAGCAUCGUGUCGGUAUUAGGCACGUAUUAUAACUUACGGGACUCGAUUCCGACAGACGGAGGCCGAGUUAUCAACCCAUAGGCAAAACUGACCAACACUUAGGCAAAAGGUCAAAAAAGAGGCCAAAACUCUCCAUGGUUGUAGUAACGACACGCAAAUACAUAUAUAGCACUGCAUAGAUAUUAGACACGCAUUACAACUUACAGGACUCGAUUCCGACCUACGGAGGCCGAGUUAUCAGCCGGUAGGUAAAACUGACCAACACUUAGGCAAGAAGUCAAAAAAGAGGCCAAAACCCGCCUCGGCAGUCGUAAAGACACACAAACAUGAACAUAGUACCGUGUAGGUAUUAGGCACAUGUUAGAACUUACGGGACUCGAUUCUGACUUACAGAGGCCGAGUUAUCAGCCCGUAGGCAAAACUGACCAACACAUUGGCAAAAUAUCGAAAAAGUUGCCAAAACCGCCUCGGACGUCGUAACAACACGCAAACAUGUGUAUAGUACCACGUAGGUAUUAGGCACAUGUUACAACUUACGGGACUCGAUUCCAACUUACGGAGGCCGAGUUAUCAGCCUGUAGCCAAAACUGACCAACACUUAGGCAAAAAGUCGAAAAAGAGGCCGAAACCCACCUCGGCCGUCGUCACAACACGUAAACACAUAAAUAGCACCGCGUAGGUAUUAGGCAUACGUUACAACUUACAGGACUAAUUUCCGACUUACGGAGGCUGAGUUAUCAGUCCGUAGGCAAAACUCGCCAACACUUAGGCAAAAAGUCAAAAAAGAGGCCAAAACCCGCCUCGACCGUCGUAACAACACGCAAACACAAACAUAGCACAAUGUAGGUAUUAAGCACGCGUUACAAUAUAUGUUAGUCGAUUCUGACUUACGGAGGCCGACUUAUCAGCCCGUAGGCAAAACUGACCAACAAUUAGGCAAAAAAUUAAAAAAGAGGCCAAAACCCGGCUCGACCAUUGUAACGACACGAAAACACAUGUAUUGUACCGUGUAGGUAUUAGGCACGCGUUAAAACUUACGGGACUCGAUUCCAACUUACGGAGGCCGAGUUAUCAGCCUGUAGGCAAAACUGACCAACACUUAGGUAAAAAGUCAAAAAAGAGGCCAAAACCCGCCUUGGCCGUCGUAACGACACAUAAACACGUACAUAUCAUCGUGUAGGUAUUAGGCACGUGUUACAACUUGUGGGACUCUAUUCCGAUUUACGGAGGCCGACUUAUCAGCCUGUAGGCAAAACUGACUAACACUUAGACAAAAUUUCGAAAAAGAGGCCAAAACCCGCCUCGGUCUUCAUAACGACACGCAAACACGUACAUAGCACCGCAUAGGUAUUAGGCACGCGUUACAACUUACGAAACUCGAUUCCGACUUACGGAGGCCGAGUUAUUAGCCCGUAGGCAAAACAUACCAACACUUAGGCAAAAAGUCGAAAAAGAGGCCAAAACCAGUCUCAGCCGUCGUAAGGACACACAAACAUGUACAUAGAACCACGUAAGUAUUAGGUACGUGUUACAACUUGUGGGACUCUAUUCCGAUUUACGGAGGCCGACUUAUCAGCCCGUAGGCAAAACUGACUAACACUUAGACAAAAAGUCGAAAAAGAGGCCAAAACCUACCUCGGUCUUCAUAAUGACACGCAAACACAUACAUAGCAUCGCGUAGGUAUUAGGCAUGCAUUACAAUAUAUGGGACUCGAUUCCGACUUACAUAGGCCGAGUUAUCAGCCCGUAGGCAAAACUGACCAACACUUUGGCAAAAAGUCGAAAAAGAGUCCAAAACCCGCCUCGGCCAUCGUAACAAUAUGCAAACUUGUAUAUAGCACAGCGUAGGUAUUAGGAAUGCGUUACAAAUUAUGGAAUUCGUUUCUGACAUACGGAGGCCAAGUUAUCAGCCCGUAGGUAAAAUUGACCAAUACUUAGGUAAAAAGUCAAAAAAGAGGCCAAAACCUGUCUCGGUCGACAUAAUGACACACAAACACAUACAUAGCACUACGUAGGUAUUAGACACACGUUACAACUUAUGGAACUCGAUUCCAACUUACGGAGGCCGAGUUACCAGCCCGUAGGGAAAACUAACCAACAAUUAUGCAAAAUAUCGAAAAAGAGGCCAAAACCCGCCUCGGCCGUCGUAACAACACGCAAACACGUGCAUAGUACCGCAUAGGUAUUCGGCACGCGUUACAACUUACGGGACACGAUUCUAACUUAUAGAGGUCGAGUUAUCAGCCCGUAGUCAAAACUGACUAACACUUAGGCAAAAAGUUGAAAAAGAGGCCAAAACCCACCUCGGCCGUCGUAACAACACGUAAACACAUACAUAGCAUCGCGUAGGUACUACACACACGUUACAACUUACGGGACUAAUUUCUGACUUACAGAGGCCGAGUUAUCAGUCCGUAGGCAAAACUCGCCAACACUUAGGCAAAAAGUCAAAAAAGAGGCCAAAACUCGUCUCGACCAUCGUAACAACAAGCAAACAUAUACAUAGCACAAUGUAGAUAUUAGGCACGUGUUACAAUAUAUGUUACUCGAUUCUGACUUACGGAGGCCGAGUUAUUAGCCCGUAGGCAAAAUUGACCAACACUUAGGCAAAAAAUCGAAAAAGUGGCCAAAACUCGCCUCGGUCGUUGUAACGAUACAGAAACUAGUAUAUAGCACCACGUAGGUAUUAGGCACGCGUUACAACUUAUGGACUCGAUUCCGACUUACGGAGGCUGAGUUAUCAGCCCGUAGACAAAACUAACCAACACUUAGGUAAAAAGUCAAAAAAGAGGCCAAAACCCGCCUCGGCUGUAGCAACGAUACGCUAAUACAUACAUAGCACUGCGUAGAUAUUAGGCAUACGUUACAACUUACGAGACUCAAUUCCGACAUACGGAGGUCGAGUUAUCAGUCCGUAGGCAAAACUGACCAACACUUAGGCAAAAAGUCAAAAAAGAGGCCAAAAACCACCUUGGCAGUCAUAACGACAUGCAAACACAUACAUAGAACAGUGUGGGUAUUAGGCAUGUAUUACAACUUAUGGGUCUUGAUUCUGACUUACGGAGGCCGAGUUAUCAGCCCGUAAGCAAAACUGAACAACACUUAUGCUAAAAGUCGAAUAAGAGGCCAAAACCAGCCUCGACCGUCGUAACGAUAUGCAAAUACGUACAUAGCAACACGUAGGUAUUAGGCACGCGUUACAACUUAAGGGUCUCGAUUCCGACAUACGGAGGCUGAGCUAUCAGCCUGUAGGCAAAACUGACCAACUCUUAGGCAAAAAGAGGCCAAAACCCACCUCGGUCGUCGUAACAACACGCAAAGAGAUACAUAACACUGCAUGGGUAUUAGGCAUGCGUUAUAACUUACGGGACUCAAUUCUGACUUACGAAGGCCGAGUUAUCAGCCCGCAAGUAAAACAAAACAACAUUUAGGUAAAAAGUCAAAAAAGAGGCUAAAACCCGCCUCGGCCGUCGUAACAAGACGCAAAGACAUACAUAGCACCGCGUAGGUAUUAGGCACUCGUUACAAGUUACGAGACUCGAUUCCGACUUACGGAGGCCGAGUUUUCAGCCCGUAGACAAAACUCGCCAACACUUAUGCAAAGAGUCGAAAAAGAGGCCAAAACCCGCCUCGAUCGUCGUAACAACACGCACACACAUACAUAGCACAACGUAGGUAUUAGGCACAUGUUACAACUUACGAGAUUCAAUUCUAACUUACGGAGGCCGAGUUAUCAGUCCGUAGGUAAAACUGACCAACACUUAGGCAAGAAGUCAAAAAAGAGGCCAAAACCCGCCUCGGCAGUCAUAAAGACACGCAGAUAUGAACAUAGCACCGUGUAGGUAUUAAGCACGUGUUAGAACUUACGGGGCUCGAUUCCGACUUACAGAGGCCGAGUUAUCAGCCCGUUGGCAAAACUGACCAACACUUAGGCAAAAUGUCAAAAAAGAGGCCAAAACCCGCCUCGACCGUUGUAACAACAAGCAAACACGUGCAUAGUACCGCGUAGGUAUUAGGCACGCGUUACAACUUACGGGACUCGAUUCCGACAAACGGAGGCCGAGUUAUCAGCCCGUACGCAAAAUUGAACAACACUUAAGCAAAAAGUCGAAAAAGAGGCCAAAACCCACCUCGGCCGUCGUAACAACAUGCUAACACAUACAUAGCACCGCGUGGGUAUUAGCCACGCAUUAUAACUUAGGAGACUCAAUUCUGACUUACGGAGGCCGAGUUAUCAACCCGUGGAGAAAACUGCACAAUACUUAGGCAAAAAGUAAAAAAAGAGGCCAAAACAUGCCUCGGCCGUCGUAAUGACACGCAAACACAUACAUAGCACCGCGCAUGUAUUAGGCAUGUGCUACAACUUACGGGACUCAAUUUCCACAUACGUAGGCCAAGUUGUUAGCCCGUAGGCAAAAUUGACCAACACUUAGGUGAAAAGAUAAAAAAGAGGCCAAAACCCGACUCGGCCAUUGUAAUGACAUGCAAACGCAUGCAUAGCACCGCGUAGGUAUUAGGCACGCGUUAUAACUUACGAGACUUAAUUUCGACUUACGGAGGCCGAGUUAUCAGUUCGUAGGCUAAACUGACCAACACUUACGGAAAAAGUCAAAAAAGAAGCCAAAACCCAUCUCGGCCGUCGUAAUGACACGCAAACACGUACAUAGCACUGCGCAGGUAUUAGGCACGUGUUACAACUUACGGGACUCGAUUCUGACUUACGGAGGCCGAGUUAUCAGCCCGUAGACAAAACUGACCAACACUUAGGCAAAAAAAUCGAAAAAGAGGCCAAAACUCGCCUCGGCCGUUGAAACGAUACGAAAACUCGUAUAUAGCACCACGUAGGUAUUAGGCACGCGUUACAACUUACGGGACUCGAUUUCGACUUACGGAGGCCGAGUUAUCAGCCCGUAGAUAAAACUAACCAACACUUAGGUAAAAAGUUAAAAAAGAGGCCAAAACCCGCCUCGGCCGUCGUAACGAUACGCUAACACAUACAUAGCACCGCGUAGGUAUUAGGCAUACGUUACAACUUACGGGACUCGAUUCCGACAUACGGAGCCCGAGUUAUCAGCCCGUAGGCAAAACUGACCAACACUUAGGCAAAAAGUCAAAAAAGAGGCCAAAAAAAACCUCGGCAGUCGUAACGACACGCAAACACAUACAUAGAACCGCGUGGGUAUUAGGCAUGUGUUACAACUUAUGGGUCUUGAUUCUGACUUACGGAGGCCGAGUUAUCAGCCCGUAGGCAAAACUGACCAACACUUAGGCAAAAAGUCAAAAAAGAGGCCAAAAAAAACCUCAGCGGUCGUAACGACACGCAAACACAUACAUAGAACCGCGUGGGUAUUAGGCAUGUGUUACAACUUAUGGGUCUUGAUUCUAACUUACGGAGGCCGAGUUAUCAGCCCGUAGGCAAAACUAAACAACACUUAAGGCAAAACGUCGAAUAAGAGGCCAAAACCAGCCUCGACCGUCGUAACGAUAUGCAAACACGUACAUAGCACCGCGUAGGUAUUAGGCACACAUUACAACUUAAGGGACUCGAUUCCGACGUACGGAGGCCGAGCUAUCAGCCUGUAGGCAAAACUGACCAACACUUAGGCAAAAAGUCAAAAAAGAGGCCAAAACCCGCGUAGGUAUUUGGCACGCGUUACAAUUUACGGGACUCGAUUCCGACUUACGGAGGCCGAGUUAUUAGCCCGUAGGCAAAACUGACCAACACUUAUGCAAAAAGUCAAAAAAGAUGCCAAAAACUAGUCUCGACCGUCGUAAUAAGAUGCAAACUAAUACAUAGCACCGCGUAGGAAUUAGGCACGCGUUACAACUUACGGAACUUAAUUCUAACUUAUGGAGGCCGAGUUAUCAGCCCAUUGGCAAAACUUAUCAACACUUAGGCAAACAGUCAAAAAAGAGGCCAAAAUUAGCCUCGGUCGUCGUAAUAACACACAAACAUAUACAUAGCACCACGUAGGCAUUAGGCACGCGUUACAACUUACGGAACUUAAUUCUAACUUAUGGAGGCCGAGUUAUCAGCCCGUAGGUAAAACUGACCAAUAGUUAGGUAAAAAGUCAAAAAAAUGGCCGACACUCGCCUCGGCAAUCGUAACGGCACGCAAACACAUACAUAGCAUCACAUAGGUAUUUGGCAGCAUUAAAACUUACGAGACUCGAUUCCAACAGACGGAGGCCGAGUUAUCAGCCCGUAGGUAAAACUGACCAAUAGUUAGGUAAAAAGUCAAAAAAAUGGCCGACACUCGCCUCGGCAAUCGUAACGGCACGCAAACACAUACAUAGCAUCACAUAGGUAUUUGGCAGCAUUAAAACUUACGAGACUCGAUUCCAACAGACGGAGGCCGAGUUAUCAGCCCGUAGGUAAAACUGACCAAUAGUUAGGUAAAAAGUCAAAAAAGAGGCCAAAAUUAGCCUCGGUCGUCGUAAUAACACACAAACAUAUACAUAGCACCACGUAGGCAUUAGGCACACGUUACAACUUACGGGACUCAAUUUUGACUUAUGGAGGCCGAGUUAUCAGCCCGUAGGCAAAACUGAUCAAUACUUAGGUAAAAAGUCAAAAAAAUGGCCGACACUCGCCUCGGCAAUCGUAACGGCACGCAAACACAUACAUAGCAUCACAUAGGUAUUUGGCAGCAUUAAAACUUACGAGACUCGAUUCCAACAGACGGAGGCCGAGUUAUCAGCCCGUAGGUAAAACUGACCAAUAGUUAGGUAAAAAGUCAAAAAAGAGGCCAAAACUCACCUUGGCUAUAGUAACGACACGCAAACAAAUACAUAGUACCACGUAGGUAUUUGGCACGUGUUAUAACUUACGGGACCCGAUUCCUACUUACGGAGGCCGAGUUAUCAGCCCGUAGGCAAAACUGACCAACACUUAUGCAAAAAGUCAAAAAAGAUGCCAAAAACCAGUCUCGACUGUCAUAAUGGAGCGCAAACUAAUACAUAGCACCGCGUAGGAAUUAGGCACACGUUACAACUUACAGGACUCGAUUCUGACUUACGGAGGCCGAGUUAUCAGCCCAUUGGCAAAACUGACCAACACUUAGGCAAAAAGUCAAAAAAGAGGCCAAAAUUAGCCUCGGCCGUCGUAAUGACACACAAACAUAUACAUAGAACUACGUAGGCAUUAGGCACGCGUUACAACUUACGGGACUCAAUUUCGACUUACGGAGGCCGAGUUAUCAGCCCGUAGGCAAAACUGACAAACACUUAGGCAAAAACUCGAAAAAGAGGCCAAAACCCGCCUCGACCGUCAUAACGACAUGCAAACACGUAUAUAGCAUCGUGAAGGUAAUAGGCAUGUGUUACAACUUACGGGACUCAAUUCUAACUUACAUAGGCCGAGUUAUCAGCCCGUAGGCAAAACUAACCAACACUAAGGGAAAAAGUCAAAAAAGAGGCCAAAACCCACCUCGGCCAUUGUAACAAAAUACAAACAUGUACAUAGAACUGCGUAGGUAUUAGGCAUGCGUUAUAACUUAUGGGACUCGAUUCCGACUUACAUAUGCCGAAUUAUCAGCCUGUAGGCAAAACUGACCAACACUUAGGCAAAACGUCGAAAAAGAGGUCAAAACCGCCUCGACCAUCGUAACAAUACGCAAACAUGUAUAUAGUACGGCGUAAGUAUUAGGCACGCGUUACAACUUACGGGACUCAAUUCUGACAUACGGAGGCCAAGUUAUCAGCCCGUAGGCAAAACUGACCAAUACUUAGGCAAAAAGUCAAAAAAAGAGGCCUAAACCCGUCUCGGCCGUCGUAAUGACACACAAACGCAUACAUAGCAUUGCGUAGGUAUUAGACACACGAUACAACUUACGGGACUCAAUUCUGACUUACGGAGGCCGAGUUAUCAGCCCGUAAGCAAAACUGAACAACAUUUAGGUAAAAAGACAAAAAAAAGGCCAAAACAUGCCUCGACCGUCGUAACGACAUAAAAACAUAUACAUAGUACCGUGUAUGUAUUAGGCAUACGUUACAACUUACGGGACUCGAUUCUGACAUACGUAGACCGAGUUAUUUGUCCGUAUUGAAAAUUGACCAACAAUUAGGUAAGAAGUUAAAAAAGAGGCCAAAACCCGCAUCGACCAUUGUAACGACACACAAAUAUAUGCAUAGCACCGCGUAGGUAUUAGGCACGUGUUACAACUUACGGGACUCAAUUACGACUUACGGAUGUCGAGUUAUCAGCCCGUAGGCAAAACUGACCAACUUUUGGGGAAAAAGUCGAAAAAGAGGCCAUAACCCACCUCGGCCAUUGUAACGAUGUGGAAACUCGUAUAUAGCACCGCGUAGGUAUUAGGCACGCGUUACAACUUACGGGACUCGAUUCCAAUUUACGGAGGCCGAGUUAUCAGCCCGUAGGCAAAACUAAUUAACACUUAUGUAAAAAGUCAAAAAAGAAGCAAAAACCCGCCUCGGCCGUUGUAACGACACGAAAACACAUGUAUAGUACCGCGUAGGUAUUAGGCACGCGUUACAACUUACGGGACUCGAUUCCAAUUUACGGAGGCCGAGUUAUCAGCCCGUAGGCAAAACUGACCAACACUUAGGCAAAAGGUCAAAAAAGAGGCCAAAACUCUCCUUGGUUGUAGUAACGACAUGGAAAUACAUAUAUAGCACCGCGUAGAUAUUAGGCACGCAUUACAACUUACGGGACUCGAUUCCGACCUACGGAGGCCGAGUUAUCAGCCCGUAGCCAAAACUGACCAACACUUAGGCAAGAAGUCAAAAAAGAGGCCAAAACCCGCCUCGGCAGUCGUAAAGACACACAAACAUGAACAUAAUACCGUGUAGGUAUUAGGCACGCGUUACAACUUAUGAAACUCGAUUCCGACUUAUCAGUCCGUAGGCAAAACUCGCCAACACUUAGGCAAAAAGUCAAAAAAGAGGCCAAAACCCGCCUCGACCGUCGUAACAACACGCAAACACAAACAUAGCACAAUGUAGGUAUUAAGCACGCGUUACAAUAUAUGUUACUCGAUUCUGACUUACGGAAGCCGAGUUAUCAGCCCAUAGGCAAAACUGACCAACAAUUAGGUAAAGAAUUAAAAAAGAGGCCAAAACCCGCCUCGGCCGUUGUAACGACACGAAAACACAUGUAUAGUACCGCGUAGGUAUUAGGCAUGCGUUAAAACUUACGGGACCCGAUUCCAACUUACGGAGGCCGAGUUAUCAUCCUGUAGGCAAAACCGACCAACACUUAGGUAAAAAGUCAAAAAAGAAGCCAAAACCCGCCUCGGCCGUCGUAACGACACAUAAACACGUACAUAUCACCGUGUAGGUAUUAGGCACGUGUUACAACUUGUGGGACUCUAUUCCGAUUUACGGAGGCUGACUUAUCAGCCCGUAGGCAAAACUGACUAACACUUAGACAAAAUGUCGAAAAAGAGGCCAAAACCCGCCUCGGUCUUCAUAACAACACGCAAACACGUACAUAACACCGCGUAGGUAUUAGGCACGCGUUACAACUUAUGAAACUCGAUUCCGACUUACGAAGGCCGAGUUAUUAGCCCGUAGGCAAAACAUACCAACACUUAGGUAAAAAGUAAAAAAGAGGCCAAAACCAGUCUCAGCCGUCGUAAGGACACGCAAACAUGUACAUAGCACCACGUAGGUAUUAGGUACGUGUUACAACUUGUGGGACUCUAUUCCGAUUUACGGAGGCCGACUUAUCAGCCCGUAGGCAAAACUGACUAACACUUAGACAAAAAGUCGAAAAAGAGGCCAAAACCCGCCUCGGUCUUCAUAACGACAUGCAAACACGUACAUAGUACCGUGUAGAUAUUAGGCAUGCAUUACAACAUAUGGGACUCGAUUCCGACUUACAUAGGCCGAGUUAUCAGCCCGUAGGCAAAACUGACCAACACUUUGGCAAAAAGUCGAAAAAGAGUCCAAAACCCGCCUCGGCCAUCGUAACAAUAUGCAAACUUGUAUAUAGCACAGCGUAGGUAUUAAGAACGCGUUACAAAUUACGGAAUUCAUUUCUGACAUACGGAGGCCAAGUUAUCAGCCCGUAGGCAAAAUUGACCAAUACUUAGGCAAAAAGUCAAAAAAGAGGACAAAACCCGUCUCGAUCGUUAUAAUGACACACAAACACAUACAUAGCACUACGUAGAUAUUAGACACGCGUUACAACUUAUAGAACUCGAUUCCAACUUACGGAGGCCGAGUUACCAGCCCGUAGGCAAAACUAACCAACAAUUGUGCAAAAUGUCGAAAAAGAGGCCAAAACCCACCUCGGCCGUCGUAACAACUUACGGGAUGCGAUUCCAACUUACAGAGGUCGAGUUAUCAGCCCGUAGUCAAAACUGACUAACACUUAGGCAAAAAGUCAAAAAAGAGGCCAAAACCCACCUCGGCCGUCGUAACAACACGUAAACACAUACAUAGCACCGCGUAGGUACUACGCACACGUUACAACUUACGGGACUAAUUUCCGACUUACGAAGGCCGAGUUAUUAGUCUGUAGGAAAAACUCGCCAACACUUAGGCAAAAAGUCAAAAAAGAGGCCAAAACUCGUCUCGGCCGUCGUAAUAACACGCAAACACAUACAUAGCACAAUGUAGAUAUUAGGCACGCGUUACAAUAUAUGUUACUCGAUUCUGACUUACAGAGGCCGAGUUAUUAGCCCGUAGGCAAACAUGACCAACACUUAGGUAAAAAGUUAAAAAAGAGGCCAAAACCCGCCUCGGCCAUUGUAACGACACGAAAACACAUGUAUAGUAUCGCAUAGGUAUUAGGCACACGUUAAAACUUACGGGACUCGAUUCUAACUUACGUAGGUUGAGUUAAUAGCCCGUAGGAAAAACUGGCCAACACUUAGGUAAAAAAUCAAAAAAGAGGCUAAAACCCGCCUCGGCCAUCGUAAUGUCACGCAAACUCGUACAUAGUACCGCGUAGUUAUUAGGCAUGCAUUACAACUUACGGAACUCGAUUCUGACUUACGGAGGCCGAGUUAUCAGCCCGUAGGAAAAACUGACCAACACUUAGGUAAAAAGUCGAAAAAGAGGCCAAAACCGGCCUCAGCCAUCGUUACGACAAACACAUGCAUAGCACCGCGUAGGUAUUAGUUAUGCAUUACAACUUACGAGACUCAAUUUCGAGAUACGGAGGCCGAGUUAUCAGCCCGUAGGCAAAACUGACCAACACUUAGGUAAAAAGUCGCAAAAGAUGACAAAACCAACCUCGGCCGUCGUAACAACACACAAAUACAUACAUAACACUGCAUGGGUAUUAGGCACGCGGUAUAACUUACGGGAGUCAAUUCUGACUUACGGAGGCCGAGUUAUCAGUCCGUAAGCAAAACUGAACAACAUUUAGGUAAAAAGUCAAAAAAGAGGCCAAAACCCGCCUCGGCCGCCAUAAUGACUCGCAAACACAUACAUAGCACCGUGUAGGUAUUAGGCACUCAUUACAACUUACCGGACUCAAUUCCGACUUACGGAGAUCGAGUUAUCAGCCCGUAGGCAAAACUGACCAACAUAUAGGUCACAAGUCAAAAAAGAGUCCAAAACCCGCCUCGGCCGUCAUAAUAACACACAAACACGUGCAUAGUACCGCGUAGGUAUUAGGCACGCGUUAUAACUUACGGGACUCGAUUCCAACUUACGGAGGCCGAGUUACCAGCCCGUAGGCAAAACUGACCAACACUUAGGUAAAAAGUUAAAAAAAAGGCCAAAACCCGCCUCGGCCGUCGUAAUAACACACAAACACGUACAUAGUACCGCGUAGGUAUUCGGCACGCGUUAUAACUUACGGGACUCGAUUCUAAUUUACUAAGACACAGUUAUCAGCUCGUAGACAAAACUGACCAACACUUAGGUAUAAAGUCAAAAAAAGAGGCCAAAACCCGCCUCGGCCGUCGCAAUGACAGGCAAACACGCACAUAUCACCGUUUAGGUAUUAGGCACGCAUUACUACUUACGGGACUCGAUUCUAAUUUACUAAGACAGAGUUAUCAGCUCGUAGACAAAACUGACCAACACUUACGUUAAAAGUCAAAAAAGAGGGCAAAACCAGCUUCAGCCAUCGUAACGAUACGCAAACACAUACAUAGCACCGCGUAGGUAUUAUGCAUGCAUUACAACUUACGGUACCCAAUUUCGACAUACGGAUGCCGUUAUCAGCCCGUAGGCAAAACUGACCAACACUUAGGCAAAAAGUCGAAAAAGAGGCCAAAACCCACCCCGCCCGUCGUAACAACACGCAAAUAUAUACAUAGUACUGCAUGGGUAUUAGGCAUGCGCUAUAACUUACGGGACUCAAUUCUGACUUACGAAAGCUGAGUUAUCAGCCUGUAAGCAAAACUGAACAACAUUUAGGUAAAAAGUCAAAAAAGAGGCCAAAACCCGCCUCGGCUGUCGUAACGACACGCAAACACAUACAUAGCACCGCGUAGGUAUUAGACACUCGUUACAACUUACGGGACUCGAUUCUGACUUACGGAUGCCGAGUUAUCAGCCCGUAGGCAAAACUCGACAACACUUAGGCAGAAAGUCGAAAAAGAGGCCAAAACCCGCCUCGACCGUCGUAACAACACGCACACAUAUACAUAGCACAACAUCGGUAUUAGGCACAUGUUAUAACUUAUGGGACUCAAUUCUAACUUACGGAGGCCAAGUUAUCAGCCCGUAGGUAAAACUGACCAACACUUAGGCAAGAAGUCAAAAAAGAGGCCAAAACCCGCCUCGGCAGUCGUAAAGACACGCAAAUAUGAACAUAACACCGUGUAGGUAUUAGGAAUGUGUUAGAACUUACAUGACUCGAUUCCGACUUAUAGAGACCGAGUUAUCAGCCCGUAGGCAAAACUGAUCAACACUUGAGCAAAAUGUCGAAAAAAAGGCCAAAACCCGCCUCGGCCGUCGUAACAACAAAAAAAGAUGUGCAUAUUACCGCGUAGGUAUUAGGCAAGCGUUACAACUUACGGGACUCGAUUCCGACAUACGGAGGUCUAGUUAUCAGCCCGUAGGCAAAACUGAACAACACUUAGGCAAAAAGUCAAAAAAGAGGCCAAAACAUGCCUCGCCCGUCGUAACGACACGCAAACACAUGCAUAGCACCGUGCAUGUAUUAGGCAUGUGCUACAACUUACGGGACUCAAUUUCGACAUACGUAGGACAAGUUGUCAGCCCGUAGGCAAAAUUGACCAACACUUAGGUAAAAAGUUAAAAAAAAGGCCAAAACACACCUCGGCCAUUGUAAUGACAUGCAAACACAUGCAUAGUACCGCGUAGGUAUUAACCACGCAUUAUAACUUACCUGACUCAAUUCUGACUUACGGAGGCCGAGUUAUCAAUUCGUAGGCAAAACUGACCAACACUUAGGGAAAAAGUCAAAAAAGAAGCCAAAACCCACCUCGGCCGUCGUAAUGACAUGCAAACAUGUACAUAGCACCGCGCAGAUAUUAGGCACGUGUUACACCUUACGGGACUUGAUUCUGACUUACGAAGGCCGAGUUAUCAGCCCGUAGGCAAAACUGACCAACACUUAGGCAAAAAAUUGAAAAAGAGGCCAAAACUCGCCUCAGCCGUUGUAACGAUACGGAAACUAGUAUAUAGCACCACGUAGGUAUUAGGCACGCGUUACAACUUAUGGGACCCGAUUCUGACUUACGGAGGCCGAGUUAUCAGCCCGUAGGCAAAACUGACCAACACUUAUGUAAAAAGUCAAAAAAGAGGCCAAAACCCGCCUCGGCCGUCGUAACGACACGUAAACACGUACAUAUCACCGUGUAGGUAUUAGGCACGCGUUACUACUUACGGGACUCGAUUCUGAUUUACGGAGGCCGUGUUAUCAGCUCGUAGGUAGGGGUGCUCAAAAAAUUCGGUUUUUCGGUUUUUUUACCGAACCGGUUAUAACCGGUACUGGCGGUACCGAUUUUUUUCGGUUUCGGUUUUUUCGGUUUUGGUUUUUUGGUUUUUUUAUAUUUUUCCUUACCGGUAGCGGUAAUGAGAAUUUGGAAUUCAGUAUAACCGAAAAACCGAAAAAAAACCGAAAUUUGUAUGAAUUUGCAUUCUUGUUCUGGGAGGAGAGUGGAAGAGAGAGACUGAAGAGACAAUAAUCACUAUUUCAUGACUGCAAUGCAUUUGAUGCUUCUUUAGUCAACAAUACUAAGUGCUAAUUCCACUACUACUGUCUACUCAUGUACUAAGUAGGAGGAUAGAGGACACCUGCUAAUUUUCAUACAGUAUUUGAAUUUUAUAUACUCCUUCCAAAAUAACUUUUUUUUAAAAAUUUUAGCCGAUACAAUUUUUAAACUAUAUAUAAAAAAUAUUACUCAUUUAUUAUUAUUAAUGAAUUAUUUUAAAUUUAAAUUUAAAAAUACCUUAUUUUAAAAGUACUCAAUAUUAUAAUUCAGAGCGGAUGUAGUAUAUUGUUAGUACGUAGUUGGAUCUCAUUUUUAUUACUCGAGUCAAUAAUCACUACUAGUAUUUCAUAAUGCUUACAUUCACGAGAACAAAAUAAUGGGCUGCAAAUUGUUGAGUAAUGUAGAAUUACUAAUUACUUAAUUUUAUGUUUUUAUUCUAGCGAUAAAAGUUAUUAGAAGACCUCAAGUAAGGUAUAUAUGAUCAAAAUUCAAACCAAAAUAUGUAGAACAACAAGCCAACUAUAGUCUAUGAUAUAAAUAUAUAAUCAUAUAACAACAAGCCAACUACAGUCUACAACAACAAUUGUAUAUGAUUUCUACAAGACGAACAAUAUAUGAUAUAUAAUUGUUGAUGAUUUCUUUUUUUAGUUUUUUUUAAAAAAUUGUUAAUAUAUUAAAAUAAAUUAUUUAAUUAUUAUUAUUUAUUAAUAAUUAUAUAUAUUACUAUGCACGCGGUAUAACCGAAAACCGAACCGCAAAAAUCGGUACCGGUUCGGUUUUUUACUGAUGAACACCCCUACUCGUAGGCAAAACUGACCAAAAUUAGGCAAAAAGUCGAAAAAGAGUCCAAAACCCGCCUCAGCUAUUAUAAUGAGACAGAAACUCGUGCAUAGCACCGCGUAGGUAUUAGGCACGCGUUACAACUUACGAAACUCAAUUCCGACUUACGGAGGCCGAGUUAUCAGCCCGUAGGCAAAACUGACAAAUACUUAGUUAAAAUGUCAAAAAAGAGGCCAAAACCCGCCUCAACCAUCGUAAUGAUACGCAAACAAAUACAUAGCACCGCAUAGGUAUUAGGUAUUCAUUAUAAUUUACGGGACUCAAUUUUGACAUACGGAGGCUGAGUUAUCAGCCCGUAGGCAAAACUGGCCAACACUUAGGCAAAAAGUUCAAAAAGAGGCCAAAACCCACCUCGGCCGUCGUAACAACACGCAAAGACUUACAUAGCACUGCAUGGGUAUUAGGCACGCGUUAUAACUUACGGGACUCAAUUCUGACUUACGAAGGCUGAUUUAUCAGCCCGUAAACAAAACAGAACAACAUUUAGGUAAAAAGUCAAAAAAGAGGACAAAACAUGACUCGGUCGUCGUAACAACAUAAAAACACAUACAUAGUACCGUGUAUGUAUUAGGCAUGGGUUACAACUUAUGGGACUCGAUUCUGACAUACGUAGACCGAGUUAUUAGCCCGUAUGCAAAAUUAACCAAUACUUACGUAAAAAGUUAAAAAAGAGGCCAUAACCUGCAUCGGCCAUUGUAGGUAUUAGGCACGCGUUACAACUUACGGGACUCAAUUUUGAUUUACGGAGGCCGAGUUAUCAGCCCGUAGACAAAACUGACCAAUAUUUAGGAAAAAAGUCAAAAAAGAGGUCAAAACCCAUCUCGGCCGUUGUAACAAUACGAAAACUCAUACGUAGCACCGCGUAGGUAUUAGGCACGAGUUACAACUUACGGGACUCGAUUCCGAUUUACGGAGGCCGAGUUAUCAGACUGUAGGGAAAACUAAUUAACACUUAGGUGAAAAGUCAAAAAAGGAGCCAAAACCCGCUUCGGACAUUGUAACGAUACGCAAACACAUACAUAGCACCGCAUAGGUAUUAGGCAUGCAUUACAACUUAUGGGACUCGAUUCCGACAUACGGAAGCCGAGUUAUCAGCCCGUAGGCAAAACUGACCAACACUUAGGCAAAAAGUCAAAAAAGAGGCCAAAACUCACCUCAGACAUCGUAAUGACACCCAAACACAUACAUAGCAUCGCGUAGGUAUUAGGCACGCAGUACAACUUAUGGGAAAACUGAGCAACACUUAGGCAAAAAGUCGAAAAAGAGGACAAAACUCACCUUGGCAGUAGUAAUGACACGCAAACACAUAACUAGGACCGCGUAGGUAUUAGGCACGCGUUAAAACUUACGGGACUCGAUUCCGACUUACGAAGACCGAGUUAUCAGCCCGUGGGCAAAACUGACCAACAUUUGGGGUAAAAGUCGAAAAAGAGGCCAAAACCCACCUCGGGCGUUGUAACAAUACAAAAACACGUACAUAGCACCGCGUAGGUAUUAGGCACCCGUGACAAUUUACGGGACUCAAUUCCGAUUUAUGGAGGCCGAGUUAUCAGCCCGUAGGCAAAACUAACUAACACUUAGGUAAAAAGUCAAAAAAGAAGCCAAAACCCGCUUCAGCCAUCCUAAUGAUAUGCAAACACAAAAAUAGCACCGCGUAGGUAUUAGGCAUGCGUUACAACUUACGGGACUCGAUUACGAAGGACAGAGGCCGAGUUAUCAGCCCAUAGGCAAAACUGACUAACAAUUAGGCAAAAAGUCGAAAAAGAGGCCAAAACUCACCUCGGCUGUAGUAAUGACACGCAAAGACAUACAUAGCACCGCGUAGGUAUUUGGCACGCGUUACAACUUACGGGACUUGAUUCUGACUUACGGAGGCCGAGUUAUCAGCCCGUAGGCAAAACUGACCAACACUUAUGCAAAAAGUCGAAAAAGAUGCCAAAAACAAGUCUCGUCCCUCGUAAUGAGACGCAAACUAAUAUAUAGCACCGCGUAGGAAUUAGGCACGCGUUACAACUUACAGGACUCGAUUCUGACUUACGAAGGCAGAGUUAUCAGCCCAUUGGCAAAAUUUACCAACACUUGGGCAAAAAGUCAAAAAAGAGACCAAAAUAGGCUCGGUCGUCGUAAUGACAAACAAACAUAUACAUAGCACCACGUAGGCAUUAGGCACGCGUUACAACUUACGGGACUCAAUUUCGACUUACGGAGGCCGAGUUAUCAGCCCGUAGGCAAAACUGACAAACAAUUAGGUAAAAACUCAAAAAUAGGCCAAAACCCGCCUCGAUUGUCUUAACGACACGCAAACACGUAUAUAGCACCGUGUAGGUAUUAGGCAUGUGUUACAACUUACGGGACUCAAUUCUGACUUACAUAGGCCUAGUUAUCAGCCCGUAGGCAAAACUGACCAACACUUAGGCAAAAAGUCAAAAAAGAGGCCAAAACCCGCCUUGGUCGUUGUAACGAUACUUAAAAAAGUACAUAGCAUCUCGUAGAUAUUAGGCACGCAUUAUAAGUUACGGGACUCGAUUCCGACUUACGGAGGCCGAGUUAUCAGUCUGUAGGCAAAACUGACUAACACUUAGGCAAAAAGUUAAAAAAAAGACCAAAACCCGUCUCAGUCAUCAGAACGACACGUAAGAACAUACAUAGCACCGCGUAGGUAUUAGGCACGCGUUACAACUUACGGAACUCAAUUCUAACUUGCGGAGGCCAAGUUAUUAGCCCGUAGGCAAAACUGACCAACACUUGGGCAAACUGUCGAAAAAGAGACCAAAACCAGCCUCGACCAUCAUAAGGAUACGCAAACACGUACAUAGCACCAUGUAGGUAUUAGGCACGUGUUACAACUUGUGGGACUCGAUUCUGAUUUACGGAGGCCGACUUAUCAGCCCAUAGGCAAAACUGACUAACACUUAGGCAAAAAGUCAAAAAAGAGGCCAAAACUCGCCUCGGCCUUUAUAACGACACACAAAUACGUACAUAGCACUGCGUAGGUAUUAGGCAUGCGUUACAACUUAUGGUACUCAAUUCCGACUUACAUAGGACGAGUUAUCAGCCCGUACGCAAAAUUGACCAACACUUAGGCAAAACGUCAAAAAGAGGCCAAAACAGCCUCGNNNNNNNNNNNNNNNNNNNNNNNNNNNNNNNNNNNNNNNNNNNNNNNNNNNNNNNNNNNNNNNNNNNNNNNNNNNNNNNNNNNNNNNNNNNNNNNNNNNNNNNNNNNNNNNNNNNNNNNNNNNNNNNNNNNNNNNNNNNNNNNNNNNNNNNNNNNNNNNNNNNNNNNNNNNNNNNNNNNNNNNNNNNNNNNNNNNNNNNNNNNNNNNNNNNNNNNNNNNNNNNNNNNNNNNNNNNNNNNNNNNNNNNNNNNNNNNNNNNNNNNNNNNNNNNNNNNNNNNNNNNNNNNNNNNNNNNNNNNNNNNNNNNNNNNNNNNNNNNNNNNNNNNNNNNNNNNNNNNNNNNNNNNNNNNNNNNNNNNNNNNNNNNNNNNNNNNNNNNNNNNNNNNNNNNNNNNNNNNNNNNNNNNNNNNNNNNNNNNNNNNNNNNNNNNNNNNNNNNNNNNNNNNNNNNNNNNNNNNNNNNNNNNNNNNNNNNNNNNNNNNNNNNNNNNNNNNNNNNNNNNNNNNNNNNNNNNNNNNNNNNNNNNNNNNNNNNNNNNNNNNNNNNNNNNNNNNNNNNNNNNNNNNNNNNNNNNNNNNNNNNNNNNNNNNNNNNNNNNNNNNNNNNNNNNNNNNNNNNNNNNNNNNNNNNNNNNNNNNNNNNNNNNNNNNNNNNNNNNNNNNNNNNNNNNNNNNNNNNNNNNNNNNNNCGAGUUAUCAGGCCGUAGGCAAAAUUGACCAACACUUACGCAAAAAGCCAAAAAAGAUGCCAAAAACCCGUCUCGACUGUCGUAAUGAGACGCAACCUAAUACAUAGAACCGCGUAGGAAUUAGGCACGCGUUACAACUUACAGAACUCGAUUCUGACUUACGGAGGCCGAGUUAUCAGCCCAUUGGAAAAACUGACCAACACUUAGGAAAAAAGUCAAAAAAGUGGCCAAAAUUAGCCUCGGCCGUCGUAAUGACACACAAAUAUAUACAUAGCACCACGUAGGCAUUACGCACGCGUUACAACUUACGGAGGCCGAGUUAUCAUCCCGUAGGCAAAAAGUCAAAAAAGAGGCCAAAAAUCGCCUCGACCGUUGUAACGAUACUUAAAGAAGUACAUAGCACCGCGUAUAUAUUAAGCACGCGUUACAACUUACGAGACUCGAUUCGGACUGACGGAGGCCGAGUUAUUAGCCCGUAGGUAAAACUGACUAACACUUAGGCAAAAAGUCAAAAAAGAGGCCAAAACCCGUCUCAGUGAUCGUAAUGACAUGUAAACACAUACAUAGCACCGUGUAGGUACUAGGCACACGUUACAACUUACGGGACUCGAUUCUGACUUACGGAGGCUGAGUUAUCAGCCCGUAGGCAAAACUGACUAACACUUAGGCAAAAAGUUAAAAAAGAGGCCAAAACUCACCUCAGACAUCGUAAUGACACCCAAACACAUACAUAGCAUCGCGUAGGAAUUAGGCACGCGUUACAACUUACGGAACUCGAUUCUGACUUACGGAGGCUGAGUUAUCAGCCCGUAGGCAAAACUGACUAACACUUAGGCAAAAAGUUAAAAAAGAGGCCAAAACUCACCUCAGACAUCGUAAUGACACCCAAACACAUACAUAGCAUCGCGUAGGAAUUAGGCACGCGUUACAACUUACGGAACUCGAUUCUGACUUACGGAGGCUGAGUUAUCAGCCCGUAGGCAAAACUGACUAACACUUAGGCAAAAAGUUAAAAAAGAGGCCAAAACUCACCUCAGACAUCGUAAUGACACCCAAACACAUACAUAGCAUCGCGUAGGAAUUAGGCACGCGUUACAACUUACGGAACUCGAUUCUGACUUACGGAGGCUGAGUUAUCAGCCCGUAGGCAAAACUGACUAACACUUAGGCAAAAAGUUAAAAAAGAGGCCAAAACUCACCUCAGACAUCGUAAUGACACCCAAACACAUACAUAGCAUCGCGUAGGAAUUAGGCACGCGUUACAACUUACGGAACUCGAUUCUGACUUACGGAGGCUGAGUUAUCAGCCCGUAGGCAAAACUGACUAACACUUAGGCAAAAAGUUAAAAAAGAGGCCAAAACUCACCUCAGACAUCGUAAUGACACCCAAACACAUACAUAGCAUCGCGUAGGAAUUAGGCACGCGUUACAACUUACGGAACUCGAUUCUGACUUACGGAGGCUGAGUUAUCAGCCCGUAGGAAAAACUGACCAACACUUAGGUAAAAAGUCAAAAAAGCGGCCAAAACCCGCCUCAGCAAUCGUAACGAUAUGCAAACACAUGCAUAGCACCGCGUAGGUAUUAGGCAUGCAUUACAACUUACGGGACUCAAUUUCGACAUACGGAGGCCGAGUUAUCAGCCCGUAGGCAAAACUGAACAACAUUUAGGUAAAAAGUCAAAAAAGAGGCCAAAACCCGCCUCGACCGUCGUAAAAAAUACGCAAACACAUACAUAGCACCGCGCAAGUAUUAGGUACUCGUUACAACUUACGGGACUCAAUUCCGACUUACGGAGGCCGAGUUAUCAGCCCGUAGGCAAAACUGACCAACAUAUAGGUCAAAAGUUGAAAAAGAGGCCAAAACCCGCAUCGACCGUCGUAACAACACGCAAACACGUGCAUAGUACCGCGUCGGUAUUAGGCACGUAUUACAACUUACGGGACUCGAUUCCAACUUACGGAGGCCGAGUUAUCAGCCCGUAGCCAAAACAGACCAACACUUAAGCAAAAAGUCGAAAAGGAGUCCAAAACCCACCUCGGCUAUCGUAAUAACACGCAAAUAUAUACAUAGUACUGCAUAGGUAUUAGGCACGCGUUACAAAUUAUGGGACUCGAUUCUGACUUAUGGAGGCCGAGUUAUCAGCGUGUAGGCAAAAUUGACCAACACUUAAGCAAAAAGUCUAAAAAGGGGCCAAAACAAGCCUCGGCUAUCGUAACAACACGCAAACACGUACGUAGUAUCGCGUAGGUAUUAGGCAUGCGUUACAACUUAUGAGACUCGAUUCUGACUUACGGAGGCCGAGUUAUCAGCCCGUAGGCAAAACUGACCAACACUUAGGCAAAAAGUCGAAAAAGAGGCAAAAACUAGCCUCGACCGUUGUAACGACACGCAAACACAUACAUAGCAUCACGUAGGUAUUAGGAAAGCAUUACAACUUACGGGACUCAAUUCUGACUUACAGGGGCCGAGUUAUCAGCCCGUAGGCAAAACUGACCAACACUUAGGCAAAAAGUCAAAAAAGAGGCCAAAACCCGCCUCGACUGUUGUAACGAUAGGCAAACUCUUACAUAGCACCGCGUAGGUAUUAGGCAUAUGUUACAACUUACGAGACUCGAUUACGACUUACGGAGGCCGAGUUAUCAGUCCGUAAGCAAAACUGAACAACAUUUAGGUAAAAAGUCAAAAAAGAGGCCAAAACCCGCCUCGGCCGUCAUAAUGACUCGCAAACACAUACAUAGCACCGUGUAGGUAUUUGGCACUCAUUACAACUUACCGGACUCAAUUCCGACUUACGGAGAUCGAGUUAUCAGCCCGUAGGCAAAACUGACCAACAUAUAGGUCACAAGUCAAAAAAGAGGCCAAAACCCGCCUCGGCCGUCAUAAUGACUCGCAAACACAUACAUAGCACCGUGUAGGUAUUUGGCACUCAUUACAACUUACCGGACUCAAUUCCGACUUACGGAGAUCGAGUUAUCAGCCCGUAGGCAAAACUGACCAACAUAUAGGUCACAAGUCAAAAAAGAGUCCAAAACCCGCCUCGGCCGUCGUAAUAACACACAAACACGUGCAUAGUACCGCGUAGGUAUUAGGCACGCGUUAUAACUUACGGGACUCGAUUCCAACUUACGGAGGCCGAGUUAUCAGCCCGUAGCCAAAACUGACCAACACUUAGGCAAAAAGUCGAAAAAGAGGCCAAAACCCGCCUCGGCCGUCGUAACAACACGCAAACACAAAUAUAGCACCGCGUAGGUAAUAGGCGUGUGUUAAAACUUACGGGACCCGAUUCAGACUUACGGAGGCCGAGUUAUCAGCCCGUAGGCAAAACUGACCAACACUUAGGUAAAAAGUCAAAAAAGAGGCCAAAACCCGCCUCGGCUGUCGUAACGACACGCAAACACAUACAUAGCACCGCGUAGGUAUUAGACACUCGUUACAACUUACGGGACUCGAUUCUGACUUACGGAUGCCGAGUUAUCAGCCCGUAGGCAAAAUUGACCAACACUUAGGUAAAAAGUUAAAAAAGAGGCCAAAACCCGCCUAAGCCGGUGGAACGACAUGAAAACACAUACAUAGUACCGCGUAGGUAUUAGGCACGUGUUAUAACUUACGGGACUCGAUUCCAACUUACGGAGGCCGAGUUAUCAGCCCGUAGCCAAAACUGACCAACAUUUAGGCAAAAAGUCAAAAAAGAGGCCAAACCCCGCCUCGGCCGUCGUAACAACACGCAAACACAAAUAUAGCACCGCGUAGGUAAUAGGCGUGUGUUAAAACUUACGGGACCCGAUUCAGACUUACGGAGGCCGAGUUAUCAGCCCGUAGCCAAAACUGACCAACAUUUAGGCAAAAAGUCAAAAAAGAGGCCAAACCCCGCCUCGGCCGUCGUAACAACACGCAAACACAAAUAUAGCACCGCGUAGGUAAUAGGCGUGUGUUAAAACUUACGGGACCCGAUUCAGACUUACGGAGGCCGAGUUAUCAGCCCGUAGCCAAAACUGACCAACAUUUAGGCAAAAAGUCAAAAAAGAGGCCAAACCCCGCCUCGGCCGUCGUAACAACACGCAAACACAAAUAUAGCACCGCGUAGGUAAUAGGCGUGUGUUAAAACUUACGGGACCCGAUUCAGACUUACGGAGGCCGAGUUAUCAGCCCGUAGCCAAAACUGACCAACAUUUAGGCAAAAAGUCAAAAAAGAGGCCAAACCCCGCCUCGGCCGUCGUAACAACACGCAAACACAAAUAUAGCACCGCGUAGGUAAUAGGCGUGUGUUAAAACUUACGGGACCCGAUUCAGACUUACGGAGGCCGAGUUAUCAGCCCGUAGCCAAAACUGACCAACAUUUAGGCAAAAAGUCAAAAAAGAGGCCAAACCCCGCCUCGGCCGUCGUAACAACACGCAAACACAAAUAUAGCACCGCGUAGGUAAUAGGCGUGUGUUAAAACUUACGGGACCCGAUUCAGACUUACGGAGGCCGAGUUAUCAGCCCGUAGCCAAAACUGACCAACAUUUAGGCAAAAAGUCAAAAAAGAGGCCAAACCCCGCCUCGGCCGUCGUAACAACACGCAAACACAAAUAUAGCACCGCGUAGGUAAUAGGCGUGUGUUAAAACUUACGGGACCCGAUUCAGACUUACGGAGGCCGAGUUAUCAGCCCGUAGCCAAAACUGACCAACAUUUAGGCAAAAAGUCAAAAAAGAGGCCAAACCCCGCCUCGGCCGUCGUAACAACACGCAAACACAAAUAUAGCACCGCGUAGGUAAUAGGCGUGUGUUAAAACUUACGGGACCCGAUUCAGACUUACGGAGGCCGAGUUAUCAGCCCGUAGCCAAAACUGACCAACAUUUAGGCAAAAAGUCAAAAAAGAGGCCAAACCCCGCCUCGGCCGUCGUAACAACACGCAAACACAAAUAUAGCACCGCGUAGGUAAUAGGCGUGUGUUAAAACUUACGGGACCCGAUUCAGACUUACGGAGGCCGAGUUAUCAGCCCGUAGCCAAAACUGACCAACAUUUAGGCAAAAAGUCAAAAAAGAGGCCAAACCCCGCCUCGGCCGUCGUAACAACACGCAAACACAAAUAUAGCACCGCGUAGGUAAUAGGCGUGUGUUAAAACUUACGGGACCCGAUUCAGACUUACGGAGGCCGAGUUAUCAGCCCGUAGCCAAAACUGACCAACAUUUAGGCAAAAAGUCAAAAAAGAGGCCAAACCCCGCCUCGGCCGUCGUAACAACACGCAAACACAAAUAUAGCACCGCGUAGGUAAUAGGCGUGUGUUAAAACUUACGGGACCCGAUUCAGACUUACGGAGGCCGAGUUAUCAGCCCGUAGCCAAAACUGACCAACAUUUAGGCAAAAAGUCAAAAAAGAGGCCAAACCCCGCCUCGGCCGUCGUAACAACACGCAAACACAAAUAUAGCACCGCGUAGGUAAUAGGCGUGUGUUAAAACUUACGGGACCCGAUUCAGACUUACGGAGGCCGAGUUAUCAGCCCGUAGCCAAAACUGACCAACAUUUAGGCAAAAAGUCAAAAAAGAGGCCAAACCCCGCCUCGGCCGUCGUAACAACACGCAAACACAAAUAUAGCACCGCGUAGGUAAUAGGCGUGUGUUAAAACUUACGGGACCCGAUUCAGACUUACGGAGGCCGAGUUAUCAGCCCGUAGCCAAAACUGACCAACAUUUAGGCAAAAAGUCAAAAAAGAGGCCAAACCCCGCCUCGGCCGUCGUAACAACACGCAAACACAAAUAUAGCACCGCGUAGGUAAUAGGCGUGUGUUAAAACUUACGGGACCCGAUUCAGACUUACGGAGGCCGAGUUAUCAGCCCGUAGCCAAAACUGACCAACAUUUAGGCAAAAAGUCAAAAAAGAGGCCAAACCCCGCCUCGGCCGUCGUAACAACACGCAAACACAAAUAUAGCACCGCGUAGGUAAUAGGCGUGUGUUAAAACUUACGGGACCCGAUUCAGACUUACGGAGGCCGAGUUAUCAGCCCGUAGCCAAAACUGACCAACAUUUAGGCAAAAAGUCAAAAAAGAGGCCAAACCCCGCCUCGGCCGUCGUAACAACACGCAAACACAAAUAUAGCACCGCGUAGGUAAUAGGCGUGUGUUAAAACUUACGGGACCCGAUUCAGACUUACGGAGGCCGAGUUAUCAGCCCGUAGCCAAAACUGACCAACAUUUAGGCAAAAAGUCAAAAAAGAGGCCAAACCCCGCCUCGGCCGUCGUAACAACACGCAAACACAAAUAUAGCACCGCGUAGGUAAUAGGCGUGUGUUAAAACUUACGGGACCCGAUUCAGACUUACGGAGGCCGAGUUAUCAGCCCGUAGCCAAAACUGACCAACAUUUAGGCAAAAAGUCAAAAAAGAGGCCAAACCCCGCCUCGGCCGUCGUAACAACACGCAAACACAAAUAUAGCACCGCGUAGGUAAUAGGCGUGUGUUAAAACUUACGGGACCCGAUUCAGACUUACGGAGGCCGAGUUAUCAGCCCGUAGCCAAAACUGACCAACAUUUAGGCAAAAAGUCAAAAAAGAGGCCAAACCCCGCCUCGGCCGUCGUAACAACACGCAAACACAAAUAUAGCACCGCGUAGGUAAUAGGCGUGUGUUAAAACUUACGGGACCCGAUUCAGACUUACGGAGGCCGAGUUAUCAGCCCGUAGCCAAAACUGACCAACACUUAGGCAAAAAGUCGAAAAAGAGGCCAAAACCCACCCCGCCCGUCGUAACAACAUGCAAAUAUAUACAUAGUACUGCAUGGGUAUUACGCAUGCGCUAUAACUUACGGGACUUAAUUCUGACUUACGAAAGCUGAGUUAUCAGCCUGUAAGCAAAACUGAACAACAUUUAGGUAAAAAGUCAAAAAAGAGGCCAAAACCCGCCUCGGCUGUCGUAACGACACGCAAACACAUACAUAGCACCGCGUAGGUAUUAGACACUCGUUACAACUUACGGGACUCGAUUCUGACUUACGGAUGCCGAGUUAUCAGCCCGUAGGCAAAACUCGACAACAAUUAGGCAGAAAGUCGAAAAAGAGGCCAAAACCCGCCUCGACCAUCGUAACAACACGCACACAUAUACAUAGCACAACAUCGGUAUUAGGCACAUGUUAUAACUUAUGGGACUCAAUUCUAACUUACGGAGGCCAAGUUAUCAGCCCGUAGGUAAAACUGACCAACACUUAGGCAAGAAGUCAAAAAAGAGGCCAAAACCCGCCUCGGCAGUCGUAAAGACACGCAAANNNNNNNNNNNNNNNNNNNNNNNNNNNNNNNNNNNNNNNNNNNNNNNNNNNNNNNNNNNNNNNNNNNNNNNNNNNNNNNNNNNNNNNNNNNNNNNNNNNNNNNNNNNNNNNNNNNNNCGCGUAGGUAUUAGGCACGCGUUACAACUUACGGAACUCAAUUCUAACUUGCGGAGGCCAAGUUAUUAGCCCGUAGGCAAAACUGACCAACACUUGGGCAAACAGUCGAAAAAGAGACCAAAACCAGCCUCGGCCGUCAUAAGGAUACGCAAACACGUACAUAGCACCAUGUAGGUAUUAGGCACGUGUUACAACUUGUGGGACUCGAUUCUGAUUUACGGAGGCCGACUUAUCAGCCCAUAGGCAAAACUGACUAACACUUAGGCAAAAAGUCGAAAAAGAGGCCAAAACCCGCCUCGGCCUUUAUAACGACACACAAACACGUACAUAGCACUGCGUAGGUAUUAGGCAUGCGUUACAACUUAUGGUACUCAAUUCCGACUUACAUAGGACGAGUUAUCAGCCCGUACGCAAAAUUGACCAACACUUAGGCAAAACGUCAAAAAGAGGCCAAAACAGCCUCGGACAUCGUAACAAUAUACAAACAUGUAUAUAGCACAGCGUAAGUAUUAGGCACGCAUUACAACCUACGGGACUCGAUUCUGACAUACGGAGGCCAAGUUAUCAGCCCGUAGGCAAAACUGACCAAUACUUAGGCAAAAAGUCAAAAAAGAGGCCAAAACUCGUCUCGGCCAUCGUAAUGACACACAAACACAUACAUAGCAUUGCGUAGGUAUUAGACAUGCGUUACAACUUACGGGACUCGAUUCCAACUAUCGGACGACGAGUUAUCAGCCCGUAGGCAAAACUGACCAACACUUAGGCAAAAAGUAGAAAAAGAGCCCAAAAUCCGUCUCGGUCGUUCUAACGAUACAGAAACUCGUACAUAGCACCGCGUAGGUAUUAGGCACGCGUUACAACUUACGGGACUCGAUUCUGACUUACGGAGGCCGAGUUAUCAGCCCGUAGACAAAACUAACCAACACUUAGGUAAAAAGUCAAAAAAGAAGCCAAAGCCCGCCUCGGCCAUCGUAAUGAUACGCAAACACAUACACAGCACCGCGUAGGUAUUAGGCAUACGUUACAACUUACGGGACUCGAUUCCGACAGACAGAGGCCGAGUUAUCAGCCCAUAGGCAAAACUGACCAAUAAUUAGGCAAAAAGUCAAAAAAGAGGCCAAAUCUCACCUCGGCUGUAGUAACGACACGCAAACACAUAUAUAGCACUGCGUAGGUAUUAGGCACGCGUUACAACUUACGGGACUCGAUUCCGACUUACAGAGGCCGAGUUAUCAGGCCGUAGGCAAAAUUGACCAACACUUACGCAAAAAGCCAAAAAAGAUGCCAAAAACCCGUCUCGACUGUCGUAAUGAGACGCAAACUAAUACAUAGAACCGCGUAGGAAUUAGGCACGCGUUACAACUUACGGGACUCGAUUCCGACUUACAGAGGCCGAGUUAUCAGGCCGUAGGCAAAAUUGACCAACACUUACGCAAAAAGCCAAAAAAGAUGCCAAAAACCCGUCUCGACUGUCGUAAUGAGACGCAAACUAAUACAUAGAACCGCGUAGGAAUUAGGCACGCGUUACAACUUACGGGACUCGAUUCCGACUUACAGAGGCCGAGUUAUCAGGCCGUAGGCAAAAUUGACCAACACUUACGCAAAAAGCCAAAAAAGAUGCCAAAAACCCGUCUCGACUGUCGUAAUGAGACGCAAACUAAUACAUAGAACCGCGUAGGAAUUAGGCACGCGUUACAACUUACGGGACUCGAUUCCGACUUACAGAGGCCGAGUUAUCAGGCCGUAGGCAAAAUUGACCAACACUUACGCAAAAAGCCAAAAAAGAUGCCAAAAACCCGUCUCGACUGUCGUAAUGAGACGCAAACUAAUACAUAGAACCGCGUAGGAAUUAGGCACGCGUUACAACUUACGGGACUCGAUUCCGACUUACAGAGGCCGAGUUAUCAGGCCGUAGGCAAAAUUGACCAACACUUACGCAAAAAGCCAAAAAAGAUGCCAAAAACCCGUCUCGACUGUCGUAAUGAGACGCAAACUAAUACAUAGAACCGCGUAGGAAUUAGGCACGCGUUACAACUUACGGGACUCGAUUCCGACUUACAGAGGCCGAGUUAUCAGGCCGUAGGCAAAAUUGACCAACACUUACGCAAAAAGCCAAAAAAGAUGCCAAAAACCCGUCUCGACUGUCGUAAUGAGACGCAAACUAAUACAUAGAACCGCGUAGGAAUUAGGCACGCGUUACAACUUACGGGACUCGAUUCCGACUUACAGAGGCCGAGUUAUCAGGCCGUAGGCAAAAUUGACCAACACUUACGCAAAAAGCCAAAAAAGAUGCCAAAAACCCGUCUCGACUGUCGUAAUGAGACGCAAACUAAUACAUAGAACCGCGUAGGAAUUAGGCACGCGUUACAACUUACGGGACUCGAUUCCGACUUACAGAGGCCGAGUUAUCAGGCCGUAGGCAAAAUUGACCAACACUUACGCAAAAAGCCAAAAAAGAUGCCAAAAACCCGUCUCGACUGUCGUAAUGAGACGCAAACUAAUACAUAGAACCGCGUAGGAAUUAGGCACGCGUUACAACUUACGGGACUCGAUUCCGACUUACAUAGGCCGAGUUAUCAGCCCGUAGGCAAAACUGACCAACACUUAGGUAAAAAGUUAAAAAAGAGGCCAAAACCCGCCUCGGCCGUUGUAACGACACGAAAACACAUGCAUAGUACCGCAUAGGUAUUAGGCAGACAUUAAAACUUAUGGGACUCGAUUCUAACUUACGUAGGCCGAGUUAAUAGCCCGUAGACAAAACUGACCAACACUUAGGUAAAAAAUCAAAAAAGAGGCUAAAACCCGCCUCGGCCGUCGUAAUGUCACGCAAACUCGUACAUAGUACCGCGUAGGUAUUAGGCACGCAUUACAACUUACGGGACUCAAUUCUGACUUACGGAGGCCGAGUUAUCAGCCCGUAGCCAAAACAGACCAACACUUAAGCAAAAAGUCGAAAAAGAGGCCAAAACCCGCCUCGGCCGUCGUAAUGUCACGCAAACUCGUACAUAGUACCGCGUAGGUAUUAGGCACGCAUUACAACUUACGGGACUCAAUUCUGACUUACGGAGGCCGAGUUAUCAGCCCGUAGCCAAAACAGACCAACACUUAAGCAAAAAGUCGAAAAAGAGGCCAAAACCCGCCUCGGCCGUCGUAAUGUCACGCAAACUCGUACAUAGUACCGCGUAGGUAUUAGGCACGCAUUACAACUUACGGGACUCAAUUCUGACUUACGGAGGCCGAGUUAUCAGCCCGUAGCCAAAACAGACCAACACUUAAGCAAAAAGUCGAAAAAGAGGCCAAAACCCGCCUCGGCCGUCGUAACAACACGCAAACACAUAUAUAGCACCGCAUAGGUAUUAGGCGUGUGUUACAACUUACGGGACCUGAUUCAGACUUACGAAGGCCGAGUUAUCAGACCGUAGGCAAAACUGACCAACACUUAGGCAAAAAGUCAAAAAAGAGGCCAAAAAAAAACCUCGGCAGUCGUUACGACACGCAAACACAUACAUAGAACCGCGUGGGUAUUAGGCAUGUGUUACAACUUAUGGGUCUUGAUUCUGACUUACGGAGGCCGAGUUAUCAGCCCGUAGGCAAAACUGAACAACACUUAGGCAAAAAGUCGAACAUGAGGCCAAAACCAGCCUCGACCGUCGUAACGAUAUGCAAACACGUACAUAGCACCACGUAGGUAUUAGGCACGCAUUACAACCUAAGGGACUCAAUUCUGACAUACGGAGGCCGAGCUAUCAGCCUGUAGGCAAAACUGACCAACACUUAGGCAAAAAGUCGAAAAAGAGGCCAAAAUCCACCUUGGCCGUCGUAACGAUGCGCAAACACAUGCAUAGCACCGCGUAGGUAUUUGGCAUGCGUUAAAACUUAUGGGACUCGAUUAUGAUAUACGUAGGCCGAGUUAUCAGCCCGUAGGUAAAACUGACCAACAUUUAGGGAAAAAGUUGAAAAAGAGGCCAGAACCGCCUCGACCCUCAUAAUGACAUGCAAACACGUACAUAACACUGCAUGCAUUAUAACUUAUGGGACUCGAUUCUGACAUACGGAUGCCCAGUUAUCAGCACGUAGGUAAAACUGACCAACACUCAAGAAAAAAGUCGAAAAGGAGUCCAAAACCCACCUCGGCUGUCGUAAUAACACGGAAACAUAUACAUAGCACUGCAUAGGUAUUAGGCACGCGUUACAAAUUAUAGGACUCGAUUCUGACUUACGGAGGCCGAGUUAUCAGCGUGUAGAAAAAAUUGACCAACACUUAAGCAAAAAGUCUAAAAAGGGGCCAUAACAAGCCUCGACUAUCGUAACAACACGAAAGCAUGUACAUAGCAUCGCGUAGGUAUUAGGCAUGCGUUAUAACUUAUGAGACUCGAUUCCGACUUACGGAGGCCGAGUUAUCAGCCCGUAGGCAAAACUGACCAACACUUAUGCAAAAAGUCGAAAAAGAGGCCAUAACUAGCCUCGGCCGUUGUAACGACACGCAAACACAUACAUAGCAUCGCGUAGGUAUUAAGCACGCAUUACAACUUACGGGACUCGAUUCUGACUUACGGGGGGCCGAGUUAUCAGCCCGUAGGCAAAACUGACCAACACUUAGGCAAAAAGUCAAAAAAGAGGCCAAAACUCGCCUCGGCCAUUGUAAUGAAAUGCAAACAUAGCUAAAAAGUCUUACAUAGCACCGUAUAGGUAUUAGGCAUGCGUUACAACAUAAGGGACUCGAUUCUGACUUACGGAGGCCGAGUUAUCAGCGUAGGCAAAACUGACCAACACUUAGCUAAAAAGUCAAAAAAGAGGCCAAAACCCGCCUCGGCUAUCAAAACGAUACGCAAACACAUACAUAGAACCACGUAGGUAUUAGGCAUACGUUACAACUUAUAGGACUUGAUUCCGACUUACGGAGACCGAGUUAUCAGCCCGUAGGCUAAACUGGCCAACACUUAGUUAAAAUGCUAAAAAAGAGGCCAAAACCCGCUUCAGUCAUCAUAACGAUACGCAAACACAUACAUAGCACCUCGUUGGUAUUAGGCAUACAUUACAACUUACGGGACUCAAUUUUGACAUACGGAGGCCGAGUUAUCAGCCCGUAGGAAAAACUGACCAACAUUUAGGCAAAAAGUCGAAAAAAGGCCAAAACCAACCUCGGCCGUCGUAACAACACGCAAAGAUAUACAUAGCACUACAUGGGUAUUAAGCACGCGUUAUAACUUACGGGACUCAAUUCUGACUUACGGAGGCCGAGUUAUCAGCCCGUAAGCAAAACUGAACAACAUUUAGGUAAAAAGACAAAAAAGAGGCCAAAACAUUCCUCGGCCGUCGUAACGACAUAAAAACAUAUACACAGUAUCGCGUAUGUAUUAGGCAUGCGUUACAACUUACGGGACUCGAUUCUGACAUACGUAGACCGAGUUAUUAGCCCGUAUGCAAAUUUGACCAACAUUUAGGUAAAAAGUUAAAAAAGAGGCCAAAACCCGCAUCAGCCAUUGUAAUGACACCCAAAUACAUGUAUAGCACCACGUAGGUAUUAGACACGCGUUACAACUUACAUGACUCAUUUUUGACUUACGGAGGCCGAGUUAUCAGCCCGUAGCCAAAAAUAACUAACACUUAGGUAAAAAGUCAAAAAAGAAGCCAAAACCUGCCUCGGCCGUUGUAAUGAUACAAAAACUCGUACACAGCACCGCGUUGGUAUUAGGCAUACGUAACAACUUACGGGACUCUAUUCCGACAUACGGAGGCCGAGUUAUCAGUCCGUAGGCAAAACUGACCAACACUUAGGCAAAAAGUCAAAAAAGAGGCCAAAACCAACCUCGGCCGUCGUAACAACACGCAAAGACAUACAUAGCACUGCAUGGGUAUUAGGCACGCGUUAUAACUUACGGGACUCAAUUCUAACUUACGGAGGCCGAGUUAACAGCCUGUAAGCAAAACUGAACAACAUUUAGGUAAAAAGUCAAAAAAGAGGCCAAAACAUGCCUCGACCGUCGUAACAACAUAAAAAAAUAUACAUAGUACUGCUUAUGUAUAAGGCAUGUGUUACAACUCACGGGACAUGAUUCUGACAUACAUAGACCGAAUUAUUAGCCCGUAUUCAAAAUUGACCAACACUUAGGUAAAAAGUUAAAAAAGAGGCCAAAACCCGCAUCGGCCAUUGUAACGACACGCAAAUACAUGCAUAGCACCGCGUAGGUAUUAGGCACGCGUUACAACUUACGAGACUCAAUUCCGACUUAUGGAGGCCGAGUUAUCAACCCGUAGGCAAAACCGACCAACAUUUGGGGAAAAAGUCAAAAAAAGGCCAAAAUCCACCUCGGCCGUUAUAAUGAUACGGAAACUCGUACAACUUACGGGACUCGAUUCUGACAUACGGAGGCCGAGUUAUCAGCCCGUAGGGAAAACUGACAAACACUUAGGUAAAAAGUCGAAGAAGAGGCCAAAACUCGCCUCGGCCAUCGUAACGACAAGCAAACACAUACAUAUCAUCGCGUAGGCAAAAUUAACUAACACUUAGGUAAAAAGUUAAAAAAGAGGCCAAAACUCGCCUCGGCAAUUCUAAUGACAUGCAAACGCAUGCAUAGCACUGCGUAAGUAUUAGGCACGUGUUAUAACUUACGAGACUCAAUUCUGACUUACGGAGGCCGAGUUAUCAGUUCGUAGGCAAAACUGACCAACACUUAGGGAAAAAGUCAAAAAAGAAGCCAAAACCCACCUCGACCAUCGUAACGACAUGCAAACACGUACACAGCAUCGCGCAGGUAUUAGGCACGUGUUAUAACUUACGGGACUCGAUUUUGAGUUACGUAGGCCGAGUUAUCAGCCCGUAGGCAAAACUGACCAACACUUAGGCAAAAAAUCGAAAAAGAGGCCAAAACUCGCCUCGGCCGUUGAAACGAUAUGGAAACUCGUAUAUAGCACCACGUAGGUAUUAGGCACGCGUUACAACUUACAGGACUCGAUUUUGACUUACGGAGGCCGAGUUAUCAGCCCGUAGAUAAAACUAACCAACACUUAGGUAAAAAGUUAAAAAAGAGGCCAAAACCCGCCUCGGCCGUCGUAACGAUACGCUAACACAUACAUAGCACCGCGUAAGUAUUAGGCAUACAUUACAACUUACGGGACUCGAUUCCGACAUACGAAGCCCGAGUUAUCAGCCCGUAGGCAAAACUGACCAACACUUAGGUAAAAAGUCAAAAAAGAUGCAAAAAAAAAUCUCGGAAGUCGUAACGACACGCAAACACAUACAUAGAACCGCGUGAGUAUUAGGCAUGUGUUACAACUUAUGGGUCUUGAUUCUGACUUACGGAGGCCGAGUUAUCAGCCCGUAGGCAAAACUGAACAACACUUAGGCAAAAAGUCGAACAAGAGGGCAAAACCAGCCUCGACCUUCGUAACGAUAUGCAAACACGUACAUAGCACCGCGUAGGUAUUAGUCACGCGUUACAACUUAAGGGACUCGAUUCCGACAUACGGAGGCCGAGCUAUCAGCCUGUAGGAAAAACUGACCAACACUUAGGCAAAAAGUCGAAAAAGAGGCCAAAACCCACCUUGGCUGUCGUAACGAUGCGCAAACACAUGCAUAGCACCGCCUAGGUAUUUGGCAUGCGUUAAAACUUACGGGACUCGAUUAUGAUAUACGAAGGCCGAGUUAUCAGCUCGUAGGUAAAACUGACCAACAUUUAGGGAAAAAGUCAAAAAAGAGGCCAAAACCGCCUCGACCCUCAUAAUGACAUGCAAACACGUACAUAAUACUGCGUCGGUAUUAGACAUGCAUUACAACUUAUAGGACUCAAUUCUGACAUACGGAUGCCGAGUUAUCAGUGCGUAGGUAAAACUGACCAACACUCAAGCAAAAAGUCAAAAAAGAGUCCAAAACCCACCUCGGCUAUCGUAAUAACACGCAAAUAUAUACAUAGCACUGCAUAGGUAUUAGGCACGCGUUACAAAUUAUGGGACUCGAUUCUGACUUAUGGAGGCCGAGUUAUCAGCGUGUAGGCAAAAUUGACCAACACUUAAGCAAAAAGUCUAAAAAGGGGCUAAAACAAGCCUCGGCUAUCGUAACAACACGCAAACAUGUACGUAGCAUCGCGUAGGUAUUAGGCAUGCGUUACAACUUAUGAGACUCGAUUCUGACUUACGGAGGCCGAGUUAUCAGCCCGUAGGCAAAAUUGACCAACACUUAGGCAAAAAGUCGAAAAAGAGGCCAAAACUAGCCUCGACCGUUGUAACGACACGCAAACACAUACAUAGCAUCACGUAGGUAUUAGGAAAGCAUUACAACUUACGGGACUCAGUUCUGACUUACAGGGGCCGAGUUAUCAGCCCGUAGGCAAAACUGACCAACACUUAGGCAAAAAGUCAAAAAAGAGGCCAAAACCCGCCUCGACUGUUGUAACGAUAGGCAAACUCUUACAUAGCACCGCGUAGGUAUUAGGCAUACGUUACAACUUACGAGACUCGAUUACGACUUACGGAGGCCGAGUUAUCAGCCGUAAGGCAAAACUGACCAACACUUAGCGAAAAAGUCAAAAAGAGGCCAAAACCCGCCUCGGCCGUCAAAACGAUACGCAAACACAUACAUAGAACUACGUAGGUAUUAGGCAUGUGUUACAACUUACGGGACUUGAUUCCGAUAUACGGAGCCCGAGUUAUCAACCCGUAGGCAUAACUGACCAACACUUAGGCAAAAAGUCAAAAAAGAGGCCAAAACCCACCUCGGCCGUCGUAACGAUACACAAACACUUACAUAGCACCGCGUGGGUAUUAGGCACACGUUACAACUUACGGGACUCGAUUUCAACUUACGAAGGUUGAGUUAUCUGCCCGUAGACAAAACUCGCCAACACUUAGGCAAAAAGUCGAUAAAAGAGGCCAAAACCCGCCUUGACUGUCGUAACAACACGCAAACACAUACAUAGUACAACGUAGGUAUUAGGCAUACGUUACAACUUACGGGACUCGAUUCCAACUUACGGAGGCUGAGUUAUAAGCCCGUAGGUAAAACUGAACAACACUUAGGCAAGAAGUCAAAAAAGAGGCCAAAACUCGCCUCGACAGUCGUAAAGACACGCAAACACAAAUAUAGCACUGCGUAGGUAUUAGGCACGCGUUACAACUUACGGGACUCGAUUCCUACUUACAGAGGCCGAGUUAUCAGCCCGUAGGUAAAACUGACCAACACUUAGGCAAAAAGUCGAAAAAGAGGCCAAAACCCGCCUCGACCAUCUUAAGGACACGCAAAUAGAUACAUAGCACCGUGUAGGUAUUAGGCACGCAUUACAACUUACAGGACUCGAUUCUGACUUACAGAGACCAAGUUAUAAGCCCGUAGGCAAAACUGACCAACACUUAGGCAAAAAGUCAAAAAAGAGACCAAAUCUCGCCUCGACCAUCUUAACGACACGUAAACACGUACAUAGCACUACGUAGGUACUAGGCAUGCGAUAUAUCUUACUGGACUAAGUUCAGACUUAUGGAGGCCGAGUUAUCAGCCCGUAGGCAAAACUGAGUAACACUUAGGCAAAAAGUCGAAAAGAGGCUACCCGCCUCAGCCGUCGUAACGACACACAAACACAUACAUAGAACUGCGUAGGUAUUAGGCACUCGUUACAACUUACGGGACUCGAUUCUGACUUACGGAGGCCGAAUUAUCAGCCCGUAGUCAAAACUCGCCAACACUUAGGCAAAAAGGCAAAAAGAGGGCAAAACCCGUCUCGACCGUCGUAACAACACGCAAACACAUACAUAACACAAUAUAGGUAUUCGACACGCGUUACAAUAUACGAUACUCGAUUCUGACUUACGGAGGCUGAGUUAUCAGCCCAUAGGCAAAACUGAACAACAUUUAGGUAAAAAGUUAAAAAAGAGGCCAAAGCUCGCAUCGGCUGUUGUAACGACACGAAAACACAUGCAUAGUACUGCGUAGGUAUUAGGCACGUGUUAAAACUUACGGGACUCGAUUCCAACUUACGGAGGCUGACUUAUCAGCCCGUAGGGAAAACUGACGAACACUUAGGUAAAAAGUCAAAAAAGAGGCCAAAACCCGCCUCGGCCGUCGUAAUGACACGUAAACACGUACAUAUCACCGUGUAGGUAUUAGGCACGCGUUACUAUUUAUGGGACUUGGUUCUGAUUUACGGAGGCCGAGUUAUCAGCCCGUAGGUAAAACUAACCAACACUCAGGUAAGAAGUUAAAAAAGAGGCCAAAACUCGCCUCGGCAAUCGUAAAGACACGCAAAUAUGAACAUAGCACCGCGUAGGUAUUAGGCACGGGUUAGAACUUACGGGACUCGAUUCCGACUUACAGAAGCCGAGUUAUCAGCCCUUAGGAAAAACUGACCAACACUCAGGUAAGAAGUCAAAAAAGAGGCCAAAACUCGCCUCGACAAUCGUAAAGACACGCAAAUAUGAACAUAGCACCGCGUGGGUAUUAGGCACGGGUUAGAACUUACGGGACUCGAUUCCGACUUACAGAAGCCGAGUUAUCAGCCCUUAGGAAAAACUGACCAACACUUAGGCAAAAAGUCGAAAAAGAGGCCAAAACCUGCCUCGGCCGUCAUAACAACACGCAAACACAUGCAUUGUACCGCAUAGGUAUUAGGCACGCGUCAGAACUUACGGGACUCGAUUCCAACUUACGGAGGCCGAGUUAUCAUCAGCCCGUAGCCAAAAUUGACCAACACUUAGGUAAAAAGUCAAAAAAGAGGCCAAAACCCGCCUCGACCGUCGUAACAACACGCAAACACAAACAUAGCACAAUGUAGUUAUUAAGCACGCGUUAUAAUAUAUGUUACUCGAUUCCGACUUACGGAGGUUGAGUUAUCAGCCCGUAGGCAAAACUGACCAACAAUUAGGUAAAAAAUUAAAAAAGAGGCCAAAACCCGCCUCGGCCGUUGUAACGACAUGAAAACACAUGCAUAGUACCGCAUAGGUAUUAGGCAUGCGUUAAAACUUACGGGACCCGAUUCCAACUUACGGAGGCCGAGUUAUCAGUCCGUAGGUAAAACUGACAAACACUUAGGUAAAAAGUCAAAAAAGAGGCCAAAACCCGUCUCGGCCGUCGUAACGACAAGUAAACACGUACAUAUCACCGUGUAGGUAUUAGGCACGCGUUACUACUUACGGGACUCGAUUCUGAUUUACGAAGGUCGAGUUAUCAGCUCGUAGGCAAAACUGACCAAAAUUAGGCAAAAAGUCGAAAAAGAGUUCAAAACCCGCCUCAGCUGUUAUAAUGAGACAGAAACUCGUGCAUAGCACCGCAUAUGUAUUAGGCACGCGUUACAACUUAUGAAACUCAAUUCCGACUUACGGAGGCCGAGUUAUCAGCCCGUAGGCAAAACUGACCAACACUUAGUUAAAAUGUCAAAAAAGAGGCCACAAACCGCCUCAGCCAUCGUAACGAUACGCAAAGAAAUACAUAGCACCGCGUAGGUAUUAGGUAUUCAUUACAACUUACGGGACUUGAUUUCGACAUACGGAGGCCGAGUUAUCAGCCCGUAGGCAAAACUGACCAACACUUAGGCAAAAAGUCCAAAAAGAGGCCAAAAACCACCUCGGCCGUCAUAACAACACGCAAAGACAUACAUAGCACUGCAUGGGUAUUAGUCACGCGUUAUAACUUACGGGACUCAAUUAUGACUUACGGAGGCCGAGUUAUCAGCCCGUAAGUAAAACUGAACACCAUUUAGGUAAAAAGUCAAAAAAGAGGCCAAAACAUGCCUCGGUCGUCGUAAUGACACGCAAAGACAUACAUAGCACUGCAUGGGUAUUAGUCACGCGUUAUAACUUACGGGACUCAAUUCUGACUUACGGAGGCCGAGUUAUCAACCCGUAAGCAAAACUAAACAACAAUUAGGUAAAAAGUCGAAAAAGAGGGCAAAACAUGACUCGGUCGUCGUAACAACAUAAAAACACAUACAUAGUACCGCGUAUGUAUUAGGCAUACGUUACAACUUAUAGGACUCGAUUCUGAAAUACGUAGACCGAGUUAUUAUACCGUAUGCAAAAUUGACCAACACUUAGGUAAAAAGUUAAAAAAGAGGCCAAAACCCGCAUCGACCAUUGUAGGUAUUAGGCACGCGUUACAACUUACAGGACUCAAUUCUGAUUUACGGAGGCCGAGUUAUCAGCCCGUAGACAAAACUGACCAACACUAAGGCACCGCGUAGGUAUUAGGCACGCGUUACAACUUACGGAACUCGAUUCCGAUUUACGGAGGCCGCGUUAUCAGAUCGUAGGCAAAACUAAUUAACACUUAGGUAAAAAGUUAAAAAAAUAGCCAAAACCCACUUCGGACAUCGUAACGAUACGCAAACACAUACAUAGCACCGCAUAGGUAUUAGGCAUGCGUUACAACUUAUGGGACUCGAUUCCGAUAUACGGAGGCCGAGUUAUCAGCCCGUAGUCAAAACUGACCAACACUAAGGCAAAAAGUCAAAAAAGAGGCCAAAACUCACCUCGGACAUCGUAACGACACCCGAACACAUACAUAGCAUAAUUCCAAUGGCUUUGGCUACUAUAACCUUCCCGACCGCUAUUUUUUCUUUUUUCUAGACAUUUCGCUUCAAAAUAAGAAAUUGUAUUCUACUGAGUAUCAAAAUAUAGUAACUAAAAAAUAAAAUAUAAAUGGAUAAAUAAACAAAUAGCGGCUUACAUCGUUUCUAUGAUUACUUUCUAAUGAUGAAGAAGUAUGGACGCAUUCGCUCAUAGAAAACGGUAUCAACCUCCCCAUUGCGUAUUGGUACUUAUCGAGUAUAGAAUAAAUCUGCUUCUCUUUGUUCCUACGAACGGAAUCGUUCCAUUAUUACCAACAGAAUAGAACAAAUAUUAACCCUUGCUCUGAAACAAUCCCCUGAACAGGGGAACAUAGUCAUAGUCAUAGUAUAGUCUUUUCCAAUGCAAUAAAGUUACGUAGUGUCUUGUAGGUAUUAGGCACGCAUUACAACUUACGGGAAAACUGAACAACACUUAGGCAAAAAGUUAAAAAAGAGGCCAAAACCCACCGCGGCCGUUGUAACAACACGUAAACACAUACAUAGGACCGCGUAGGUACUAGGCACACGUUACAACUUACGGGACUAAUUUCUGACUUACGGAGGUCGAGUUAUCAGUCCGUAGGCAAAACUCGCCAACACUUAGGCAAAAAGUCAAAAAAGAGGCCAAAACUCGUCUCGACCAUCGUAACAACACGCAAACACAUACAUAGCACAAUGUAGAUAUUAGGCACGCGUUACAAUAUAUGUUACUCGAUUCCGACUUACGGAGGCCGAGUUAUUAGCCCGUAGGCAAAACUGACCAACACUUAGGUAAAAAGUUAAAAAAGAGGCCAAAACCCGCCUCGGCCGUUGUAACGACAUGAAAACACAUGCAUAGUACCGCAUAGGUAUUAGGCAGAUGUUAAAACUUAUGGGACUCGAUUCCAACUUACGUAGGCCGAGUUAAUAGUCCGUAGGCAAAACUGACCAACACUUAGGUAAAAAAUCAAAAAAGAGGCUAAAACCCGCAUCGACCGUCGUAAAGUCACGCAAAAUCGUACAUAGUACCGUGUAGGUAUUAGGCAUGCGUUACAACGUACAGAACUCGAUUCUGACUUACGGAGGCCGAGUUAUCAGCCCGUAGGCAAAACUGACCAACACUUAGGUAAAAAGUCAAAAAAGAGGCCAAAACCCGCCUCAGCCAUCGUAAUGAUACGCAAACACAUGCAUAGCACCGCGUAGGUAUUAGGAAUGCAUUACAACUUACGGGACUCAAUUUCGACAUACGGAGGCCGAGUUAUCAGCUAGUACGCAAAACUGACUAACACUUAGGUAAAAAGUCGAAAAAGAUGCCAAAACCCACCUCGGCCGUCGUAACAACACGCAAAUACAUACAUAGCACUGCAUGGGCAUUAGGCACGCGUUAUAACUUACGGGACUCAAUUCUGACUUACGGAGGCCGAGUUAUCAGCCCGUAGGCAAAACUGACCAACACUUAGGUAAAAAGUCAAAAAAGAGGCCAAAACCCGCCUCAGCCAUCGUAAUGAUACGCAAACACAUGCAUAGCACCGCGUAGGUAUUAGGAAUGCAUUACAACUUACGGGACUCAAUUUCGACAUACGGAGGCCGAGUUAUCAGCUAGUACGCAAAACUGACUAACACUUAGGUAAAAAGUCGAAAAAGAUGCCAAAACCCACCUCGGCCGUCGUAACAACACGCAAAUACAUACAUAGCACUGCAUGGGUAUGAGGCACGCGUUAUAAAUUACGUGACUCAAUUCUGACUUACGGAGACCUAGUUAUCAGUCCGUAAGCAAAACUGAACAACAUUUAGGUAAAAAGUCAAAAAAGAGGUCAAAACCCGCCUCGGCCGUCAUAACAACUCGCAAACACAUACAUAGCACCGCAUAGGUAUUAGGCAUACGUUACAACUUACGGGACUCAAUUCUGACUUACGGAGGCCGAGUUAUCAGCCCGUAGGCAAAACUGACCAACAUAUAGGUCAAAAGUCAAAAAAGAGGCCAAAACCCGCCUCGGCCGUCGUAAUAACACGCAAACACGUGCAUAGUACCGCGUAGGUAUUUGGCACGCAUUACAACUUACGGGACUCGAUUCCAACUUACGGAGGCCGAGUUAUCAGCCCGUAGCCAAAACUGACCAACACUUAGGUAAAAAGUCGAAAAAGAGGCCAAAACCCGCCUCGGCCGUCGUAACAACACGCAAACACAUAUAUAGCACCGCGUAGGUAUUAGGCGUGUGUUACAACUUUCGGGACCCGAUUCAGACUUACGGAAGCCGAGUUAUCAGCCCGUAGGCAAAACUGACCAACACUUAGGUAAAAAGUUAAAAAAGAGGCCAAAACUCGCCUCGGCCGUUGUAACGACACGAAAACACAUGCAUAGUACCGCGUAGGUAUUAGGCAUGCAUUAAAACUUACGGGAUUCGAUUCCAAAUUACGGAAGCCGAGUUAUCAGCCCGUAAGCAAAACUGACCAACACUUAGGUAAAAAGUCAAAAAAAGAGGCCAAAACCCGCCUCGGCCGUCGUAACGACACGCAAACACGCACAUAUCACCGUUUAGGUAUUAGGCACGCGUUACUACUUACGGGACUCGAUUCUGAUUUACUGAGACCGAGUUAUCAACUCGUACGCAAAACUGACCAACACUUAGGUAAAAAGUCAAAAAAAGUGGCCAAAACCCGCCUCGGUCGUCGUAACGACACGCAAACACGGACAUAUCACCGUUUAGGUAUUAGGCACGCGUUACUACUUACGGGACUCGAUUCUGAUUUAUUGAGACCGAGUUAUCAGCUCGUAGGCAAAACUGACCAACACUUAGGUAAAAAGUCAAAAAAGAGACCAAAACCCGCCUCAGCCAUCGUAACGAUACGUAAACACAUACAUAGCACCGCGUAGGUAUUAUGCAUACAUUACAACUUACGGUACCCAAUUUCGACAUACGGAGGCCGUUAUCAGCCUGUAGGAAAAACUGACCAACACUUAGGCAAAAAGUCAAAAAAGAGGCCAAAACUCACCUCGGCCGUUGUAACAACAUUCAAAUACAUACAUAGCACUGCAUUGGUAUUAGGCAUGCGCUAUAACUUACGGGACUCAAUUCUGACUUACGGAAGCUGAGUUAUCAGCCUGUAAGAAAACUGAACAACAUUUAGGUAAAAAGUCAAAAAAGAGGCCAAAACCCGCCUCGACUGUCGUAACGACACGCAAACACAUACAUAGCACCGCGUAGGUAUUAGACACUCGUUACAACUUACGGGACUCGAUUCUGACUUACGGAGGCCGAGUUAUCAGCCCGUAGGCAAAACUGACCAACACUUGAGCAAAAUGUCGAAAAAAAGGCCAAAACACGCCUCGACCGUCGUAACAACACGCACACACAUACAUAGCACGGCAUCGGUAUUAGGCACGUGUUAUAACUUACGGGACUCAAUUCUAACUUACGGAGGCCAAGUUAUCAGCUCGUAGGUAAAACUGACCAACACUUAGGCAAGAAGUCAAAAAAGAGGCCAAAACCCACCUCGGCAGUCGUAAAGACACACAAACAUGAACAUAGCACCGUGUAGGUAUUUGGCACAUGUUAGAACUUACAUGACUCGAUUCCGACUUACAGAGGCCGAGUUAUCAGCCCGUAGGCAAAACUGACCAACACUUGAGCAAAAUGUCGAAAAAAAGGCCAAAACCCGCCUCGGCCGUCGUAACAACAAGCAAACACGAGCAUAGUACCGCGUAGGUAUUAGGCACGCGUUACAACUUACGGGACUCGAUUCCGACAUACGGAGGCCGAGUUAUCAGCCCGUAGGCAAAACUGAACAACACUUAGGCAAAAAGUCAAAAAAGAGGCCAAAACAUGCCUCGACCGUCGUAACGACACGCAAACACAUGCAUAUCACCGUGCAUGUAUUAGGCAUGUGCUACAACUUACGGGACUCGAUUCCGACAUAUGUAGGACAAGUUGUCAGCCCGUAGGCAAAAUUGUCCAACACUUAGGUAAAAAGUUAAAAAAAAGGCCAAAACACGCCUCGGCCAUUGUAAUGACAUGCAAACACAUGCAUAGCACCGCGUAGGUAUUAAGUACGUAUUAUAACUCCUGACUCAAUUUUGACUUACGGAGGCCGAGUUAUCAGUUCGUAGGCAAAACUGACCAACACUUAGGGAAAAAUUCAAAAAAGAAGCCAAAACCCACCUCGGUCGUCGUAAAAACACGCAAAGACAUAGCACCGCGUAGGUAUUAGGCACGCGUUACAGCUUACGGGAUUUGAUUCCGAUUUACGGAGGUCGAGUUAUCAGCCCGUAGGCAAAACUAACUAACACUUAGGUAAAAAGUCAAAAAAGAAGCCAAAAUUCACCUCGGCCAUCGUAAUGUUACGAAAACACAUACAUAGCACCACUUAGGUAUUAGGCACGCGUUAUAGCUUACGGGACUCGAUUCCGACAUACAGAGGCCGAGUUAUCAGCCCGUAGGCAAAACUGACCAACACUUAGGUAAAAAGUUAAAAAAGAUGCCAAAACCCGCCUCGGCUAUCGUAACGACACGCAAACACAUACACAGUAUCGCGUAGGUAUUAGGCACACGUUAAAACUUACGGGACUCGAUUCCAACUUACGUAGGCCCAGUUAAUAGCCCGUAGGCAAAACUAACCAACACUUAGGUAAAAAAUCGAAAAAGAGGCCAAAACUCGCCUCAACCAUCGUAUUAGGCAUGCGUUAAAACUUACGGGACUCAAUUCUGACAUACGUAGACCGAAUUAUAAGCCCGUAUGCAAAAUUGACCAACACUUAGGUAAAAAGUUAAAAAAGAGGCCAAAACCCGCAUCGACCAUUUUAACGACACGCAAAUAUAUGCAUAGAACAGUGUAGGUAUUAGGCACGCGUUACAAUUUACGGGACUCAAUUCCGACUUACGGAGGCCGAGUUAUCAGCCCGUAGGCAAAACUGACCAAUAUUUGGGGAAAAAGUCAAAAACGAGGCCAAAACCCACCUCAGCCGUUGUAACAAUACGGAAACACGUACAUAGCACCGUGUAGGUAUUAGGCACACGUUACAGCUUACGGGACUCGAUUCUGAUUUACGGAGGCCGAGUUAUCAGCCCGUAGGCAAAAUUAACUAACACUUAGGUAAAAAGACAAAAAAGAAGCCAAAACCCGCCUCGGCCAUCGUAAUGAUACGGAAACACAUAAAUAGUACCGCGUAGGUAUUAGGCAUACGUUACAACUUACGGGACUCGAUUCCGACAUAUGGAGGCCGAGUUAUCAGCCCGUAGACAAAACUGACCAACACUUAGGCAAAAAGUCGAAAAAGAGGCCAAAACUCGCCUCGGCCAUCGUAACAACACGCAAACACAUACAUAGCAUCGUGUAGGUAUUAGGCACACAUUAAAACUUACAGGACUCGAUUCCGACAGACGGAGGCCGAGUUAUCAGCUCGUAGGUAAAACAGACCAACACUUAGGCAAAAAGUAGAAAAAGAGGCCAAAAUCCACCUCGGCCGUUGUAACGAUACAAAUACUAAUACAUAGCACGGCGUAGGUAUUAGGCACGCGUUACAACUUAAGGGACUUGAUUCCGACUUACGGAGGCCGAGUUAUCAGCCCGUAAGCAAAACUAACUAACACGUAAGUAAAAAGUCAAAAAAGAAGCCAAAAUCCGCCUCGGCCAUCGUAAUGAUACGCAAAAACAUACAUAGCACCGCGUAGGUAUUAGGCAUACAUUACAAUGUAUGGGACUCUAUUCCAACAUAUGGAGGCCGAAGUACCAGCCCGUAGGCAAAACUCGACAACACUUAGGCACAAAGUCGAAAAAGAGGCCAAAACCCGCCUCGACCAUCGUAACAACACGCACACACAUACAUAGCACAACAUCGGUAUUAGGUAUGUGUUAUAACUUACAGGACUCAAUUCUAACUUACGAAGGCCAAGUUAUCAGCCCGUAGGUAAAACUGACCAACACUUAGGCAAGAAGUCAAAAAAGAGGCAAAACCCCGCUUCGGCAGUCGUAAAGACACACAAACAUGAACAUAGCACUGUGUAGGUAUUAGGCACGUGUUAGAACUUACAUGACUCGAUUCCGACUUAAAGAGGCCGAGUUAUCAGCCCAUAGGCAAAACUGACCAACACUUGAGCAAAAUGUCGAAAAAAGGCCAAAACCCACCUCGGCCGUCGUAACAACAAGCAAACACGUGCAUAGUACCGCGUAGGUAUUAGGCACGCGUUACAACUUACGGGACUCGAUUCCGACAUACGGAGGCCAAGUUAUCAGCCCGUAGGCAAAACUGAACAACACUUAGGCAAAAAGUCAAAAAAGAGGCCAAAACAUGCCUCGACCGUCAUAACGAUACGCAAACUCAUGCAUAGCACCGUGCAUGUAUUAGGCAUGUGCUACAACUUACGGAACUCGAUUCCGACAUACGUAGGACAUGUUGUCAGCCCGUAGGCAAAAUUGACCAACACUUAGGUAAAAAGUUAAAAAAAAGGCCAAAACACGCCUCGGCCAUUGUAAUGUUACGAAACACAUACAUAGCACCGCGUAGGUAUUAGGCAUGCGUAACAACCUACGGGACUCGAUUCCGACAUACGGAGGCCGAGUUAUCAGCCCAUAUGCAAAACUGACAAACACUUAGGCAAAAAGUCGAAAAAAGGCCAAAACUCGCCUCGGCCAUCGUAACGACAUGCAAACACAUACAUAGUAUCGUGUAGGUAUUAGUCACACGUUAAAACUUACUGGACUCGAUUCCAACUUACGGAUGCCGAGUUAUCAGCCCGUAAACAAAACUAACCAACAAUUACGUAAAAAGUCAAAAAAGAGGCCAAAAUCCGCCUCGAUCGUCGUAACGACACGCAAACACGUACAUAUCAUCGUGUAGGUAUUAGGCACGCGUUACUACUUACGGGACUCAAUUCUAAUUUACCGAGGCCGAGUUAUAAUCCCGUAGGCAAAAUUGACCAACACUUAGGCAAAAAGUCGAAAAAGAGGCCAAAACCCGCCUCGACUGUUGUAAUGAGACGAAAACUCGUACAUAGAACCGCAUAGGUUUUAGGCACGUGUUACAACUUACGGAACUUGAUUCUGACUUAUGGAGGCCGAGUUAUCAGCCCGUAGGCAAAGCUGACCAACACUUAGGUAAAAAGUCUAAAAAGAGGCCAAAACCCGCCUCAGCCAUCAUAAUGAUACGCAAACACAUACAUAACACCACGUAGGUAUUAGGCAUACAUUACAACUUACGGGACUCGAUUUCGACAUACGGAGGCCGAGUUAUCAGCCCAUAGGCAAAACUGACCAACACUUAGGCAAAAAGUCGAAAAAAAGGCCAAAACCAACCUCAGCCGUCGUAAAAACACGCAAAGACAUACAUAGCACUGCAUGGGUAUUAGACACGCGUUAUAACUUACGGGACUCAAUUCUGACUUACGGAGGCCGAGUUAUCAGCCCGUAAGAAAAACUGAACAACAUUUAGGUAAAAAGUCAAAAAAGAGGCCAAAACAUGCCUCGACCGUCGUAACGACAUAAAAACACAUACAUAGUACUGCGUAUGUAUUAGGCAUGUGUUAUAACUUACGGGACUAGAUUCUGACAUACGUAGACUGAGUUAUUAGCCUGUAUUCAAAAUUGACCAACACUUAGGUAAAAAGUUAAAAAAGAGGCCAAAACUCGCAUCGGCCAUUGUAACGACACGCAAAUACAUGCAUAGCAUCGCGUAAGUAUUAGGCACGCAUUACAACUUACGGGACUCAAUUUCGACUUACGGAGGCGAGUUAUCAGCCCAUAGGCAAAACUGACCAAUAUUUGGGAAAAAAGUCAAAAAAAGGCCAAAAUCCACCUCGGCCGUUGUAAUGAUACGGAAACUCGUAUAACUUACGGGACUCGAUUUCGACAUACAGAGGCUGAGUUAUCAGCCCGUAGGCAAAAGUGACAAACACUUAGGCAAAAAGUCGAAAAAGAGGCCAAAACUCGCCUCGACCAUCGUAACGACAAGCAAACACAUACAUAUCAUCACGUAGGUAUUAGCACGCAUUACAACUUACGGGACUCGAUUCCGACAGACGGAGGCCGAGUUAUCAGCUCGUAUGAAAAAUUGACCAAUACUUAGGCAAAAAGUAGAAAAAGAGGCCAAAAUCCGCCUCAGCCAUUGUAACGAUACAGAAACUCAUACAUAGCACCGCGUAGGUAUUAGGCACGCGUUACAACUUACGGGACUCGAUUUCGACUUACGCAGGCCGAGUUAUCAGCCUGUAGGAAAAACUAACACUUAGGCAAAAAGUCAAAAAAGAAGCCGAAACCCGCCUCGGCCAUCGUAAUGAUACGUAAACACAUAGAUUGCACCGCGGAGCUAUUAGACAUACGUUACAACUUAUGGGACUCGAUUACGACAUACGGAGGCCGAGUUAUCAGCCCGUAGGUAAAACUGACCAACACAUAGGCAAAAAGUCAAAAAAGAGGCCAAAACUUGCCUCGCCCAUCGUAACGACACAUAAACACAUACAUAGCAUCGCGUAGGUAUUAGGCACGCAUUACAACUUAUGGGACUCGAUUCCGACAGACGGAGACCGAGUUAUCAGCCCGUAGGCAAAACUGACCAACACUUAAGCAAAAAGUCAAAAAAGAAGCCAAAACUCUCCUCGGCUGUUGUAACGACACACAAACACAUACAUAGAAACGCGUAGGUAUUAGGCAUGUGAUACAACUUACGGGGCUCGAUUCCGACUUACGGAGGUCGAGUUAUCAGCCUGUAGGCAAAACUGACCAACACUUAGGCAAAAAGUCGAAAAAGAUGCCAAAAACUCAUCUCGGUCGUCAUAAUAAGACGCAAACUAAUACAUAGCACCGCGUUGGAAUUAGGCACACGUUACAACUUAUAAGACUCGAUUCUGAGUUACGGAGGCCGAGUUAUUAGCCCAUUGGCAAAACUGACCAACACUUAGGCAAAAAGUCAAAUAAGCCAAAAUUAGCCUCGGUCGUCGUAAUAACACACAAACGUGUACAUAGCACCACGUAGGCAUUAGGCACGCGUUACAACUUACAGAACUUGAUUUGAACUUACGGAGGCCGAGUUAUCAGCCCGUAGGCAAAACUGACCAACACUUAGGCAAAAACUCUAAAAAGAGGCCAAAACCCGCCUUAGUCGUCAUAAUGACACGCAAACACGUAUAUAGCACCGUGAAGGUAUUAGGCACUUGUUACAACUUACAGAACUCGAUUCUGACUUAUGGAGGCUGAGUUAUCAGCCCGUAGGCAAAACUGACAAACACUUAGGCAAAAAGUCAAAAAAAAGGUCAAAACCCGCCUCAGCCAUCGUAAUGAUAUGCAAAUAUAUACAUAGCACCACGUAAGUAUUAGGCAUGCAUUACAACUUACGGGACUCGAUUUCGACAUACGGAGGCCGAGUUAUCAGGCCGUAGGUAAAACUGACCAACACUUAUGCAAAAAGUCGAAAAAGAGGCCAAAACCCACCUCGGCCGUCGUAACAACACGCAAAGACUUACAUAGCACUGCAUUGGUAUUAGGCACACGUUAUAACUUACGGGACUCAAUUUUGACUUACGGAGCCCGAGUUAUCAGCCCGUAAGCAAAACUGAACAACAUUUAGGUAAAAAGUCAAAAAAGAGGCCAAAACAUGUCUCGGCCGUCGUAACAACAUAAAAACACAUACAUAGUACUACGUAUGUAUAAGGCCUGCGUUACAACUUACGGGACUUGAUUCUGACAUACGUAGACCGAGUUAUUAGACCGUAUUUAAAAUUGACCAACACUUAGGUAAAAAGUUAAAGAAGAGGCCAAAACCCACAUCGGCCAUUGUAAUGACACGCAAAUACAUGCAUAGCACCGCGUAGGUAUUAGGCACGCGUUACAACUUACGGGACUCAAUUCUGACUUACGGAGGCUGAGUUAUCAGCUCGUAGGUAAAACUGACCAACAUUUGGGGAAAAAGUCGAAAAAGAGGCCAAAACCCAACUCGGCCAUUGUAAUGAUACGAAAACUCGUACAUAGCAUCGCGUAGGUAUUAGGCACGCAUUACAGUUUACGGGACUCGAUUCCGAUUUACGGAGGCCGAGUUAUCAGCCCAUAGGCAAAACUAACUAACACUUAGGUAAAAAGUCAAAAAAGAAGCCAAAACCCGCCUUGCCCAUCGUAAUGAUACGCAAAAACAUACACAGCAUUGCGUAGGUAUUAUGCAUGCGUUAUAACUUACGGCACUCGAUUCCCACAUACAGAGGCCGAGUUAUCAGCCCGUAGGCAAAACUAACUAACACUUAGGUAAAAAGUCAAAAAAGAAGCCAAAACCCGCCUCGACGAUCAUAAUGAUACGCAAAAACAUACACAACACCGUGUAGGUAUUAGGCAUGCGUUACAACUUACGGGAUUUGAUUCCCACAUACGGAGGCCGACUUAUCAGCCCGUAGGCAAAACUGACCAACACUUAGGCAAAAAGUCAAAAAAGAGGCAAAAACUUGCCUCGGCCAUCGUAACGACACGCAAAUAUAUACAUAGCAUCGCGUAGGUAUUAGGCACGCUUUAAAACUUACGGGACUCGAUUCCAACUUACAGAGACCGAGUUAUCAGCCCGUAGACAAAACUGACCAACACUUGGGCAAAAAGUCAAAAAAGAGGCCAAAACCCGCCUCGGUCGUCGUAACGACACGCAAACAUUUACAUAUCACUGUGUAGGUAUUAGGCACACGUUACUACUUAUGGGACUAGAUUUUGAUUUAUCGAGGCCGAGUUAUAAGCCCGUAGGCAAAACUGACCAACACUUAGGCAAAAAGUUAAAAAAGAGGCCAAAACUCGCCUCAGCCGUUGUAAUGAGACGGAAACUCGUACAUAGCACCGCAUAGGUUUUAGGCACACAUUACAACUUACGAAACUCGAUUCCAACUUAUAGAGGUCGAGUUAUCAGCCUGUAGACAAAACUGACCAACACUUAGGUAAAAAGUCAAAAAGGAGGCCAAAACCCGCCUCAGCCAUCGUAACGAUACGCAAACACAUACAUAGAACCGCGUAGGUAUUAGGCAUACAUUAAAACUUACAGGACUCGAUUUUGAUAUACGGAGGCCGAGUUAUCAGCCCGUAGGCAAAAAUGACCAACACUUAGGCAAAGAGUCGAAAAAGAGGCCAAAACCAACCUCGUCUAUCGUAACAACACGCAAAUACAUACAUAGCACUACAUGGGUAUUAGGCACGUGUUAUAACUUACGGGACUCAAUUCUGACUUACGGAGGCCGAGUUAUCAGCCCGUAAGCAAAACUGAACAACAUUUAGGUAAAAAGUCAAAAAAGAGGCCAAAACAUGCCUUGACCGUCGUAACGACAUAAAAACACAUACAUAGUACUGCGUAUGUAUUAGGCAUGUGUUACAACUUACGGGACUAGAUUCUGACAUACGUAGACCGAGUUAUUAGCCCGUAUGCAAAAUUGACCAACACUUAGGUAAAAAGUUAAAGAAGAGGCCAAAACCCACAUCGGCCAUUGUAACGACACACAAAUACAUGCAUAGCACCGCCUAGGUAUUAGGCACGCGUUACAACUUACGGGACUCAAUUCCGACUUACGGAGGCCGAGUUAUCAGCCCGUAGGUAAAACUGACCAACAUUUGGGGAAAAAGUCGAAAAAGAGGCCACCUCGGCCGUUGUAAUGAUACAAAAACUCGUACAAUGCACCGCGUAGGUAUUAGGCAUGCGUUACAGCUUACGGGACUCGAUUCUGAUUUACGAAGGCCGAGUUAUCAGCCCGUAGGCAAAACUAACUAACACUUAGGUAAAAAGUCAAAAAAGAAGCCAAAACCUGCCUCGACCAUCGUAAUGAUACGCAAACACAUACACAGCACCGCGUAGGUAUUAGGCAUGCAUUGCAAUUUAUGGCACUCGAUUCUUAAUACGGAGGCCGAGUUAUCAGCCCGUAGGCAAAACUGACCAACACUUAGGCAAAAAGUCGAAAAAGAGGCCAAAACCCGCCUCGGUCGUCGUAACGACACGCAAACACGUACAUAUCACUAUGUAGGUAUUAGGCAGCCGUUACUACUUAUGAUAGUCGAUUCUGAUUUACCGAGGCCGAGUUAUAAGCCCGUAGGCAAAACUGACCAACACUUAGGCAAAAAGUCGAAAAAGAGGCCAAAACCCGCCUUAGCCGUUGUAAUGAGACGAAAACUCGUACAUAGCAUCGCGUAGGUAUUAGUCACGCGUUACAACUUACGAAACUCGAUUCCGACUUACGGAGGUCGAGUUAUCAGCCUGUAGGCAAAACUGACAAACACUUAUGUAAAAAGUCAAAAAAGAGGCCAAAACCCGCCUCAGCCAUCGUAACGAUACGCAAAGAUAUACAUAGAACCGCGUAGGUAUUAGGCAUACAUUACAACCUAUGGGACUCUAUUCGACAUACGGAGGCCGAGGUAUCAGCCCGUAGGCAAAACUGACCAACACUUAGGCAAAAAGUCAAAAAAGAGGCCAAAACCAACCUCAUCCGUCGUAACAACACGCAAAUACAUACAUAACACUGCAUGGGUAAUAGGCACACGUUAUAACUUACGGGACUCAAUUCUGACUUACGGAGGCCGAGUUAUCAGCCCGUAAGCAAAACUGAACAACAUUUAGGUAAAAAGUCAAAAAAGAGACGAACACAUGCCUCGACCGUCGUAACGACAUAAAAACACAUACAUAGUACUGCGUAUGUAUAAGGCCUACGUUACAACCUACGGGACUCGAUUCUGACAUACGUAGACCGAGUUAUUAGCCCGUAUACAAAAUUGACCAACACUUAGAUAAAAAGUUAAAAAAGAGGCCAAAACCCGCAUCAGCCAUUGUAACGACACGCAAAUACGUGCAUAGCAUCGCGUAGGUAUUAGGCACGCAUUACAACUUAAGGGACUUGAUUCUAACUUACAGAGGUCGAGUUAUCAGCCCGUAGGCAAAACUGACCAACACUUAGGCAAAAAGUCAAAAAAGAGGCUAAAACUCGCCUCAGCCGUCGUAACGACACGCAAACACGUACAUAGUACCGUGUAGGUAUUAGGCAUGAAUUACAACUUACGGGACUCGAUUCUAACUUGCAGAGGUCGAGUUAUCAGCCCGUAGGCAAAACGGACCAAUACUUAGGCAAAAAGUCGAAAAAGAGGCCGAAACAUGCCUCGGCCGUCGUAAUGACACGCAAAAAUAUACAUAGCACCGCGUAGGUAUUCGUUACAACUUACGGGACUAGAUUUCGACUUACGGAGGCCGAUUUAUCAGCCUGUUUGCCAAACUGACUAACAUUUAGGCAAAAAGUCAAAAAAGAGGCCAAAACCCGUCUCGGUCGUCAUAACAAAACAAAAACACGUACAUAACACCGCGUAGGUAUUAGGCACGUGUAACAACUUAAGGGAUUGGAUUCCGACUUACAGAGGCCGAGUUAUCAGCCUGUAGGCAAAACUGACCAAUACUUAGGCAAAAAGUCGAAAAAGAGGCCAAAACCCGCCUCAGACGUCGUAAAGACAUGCAAACACAGACAUAGUAUUGCGUAGGCAUUAGGCACGCGUUAAAACUUACGGGACUCGAUUUCAACUUACGGAGGCCGAGUUAUCAGCUCGUACGCAAAACUGACCAACACUUAGGCAAAAAGUCAAAAAAGAGGCAAAAACCCGCCUUAGCCGGCAUAACAACACGCAAACACAUACAUAACACCGCAUAGGUAUUAGGCACACGUUACAAAUUAAGGGACUCGAUUCUGACUUACGGAGGUCGACUUAUAAGGCCAUAGGCAAAACUCGCCAUCACUUAGAUAAAAUGUCGAAAAAGAGGCCAAAACCUGUCUUGACCGUCGUAACAACCCGCAGACAAAUACAUAGCACAGUGUAGGUAUUAGGCACGCGUUACAACUUAAGUGACUCGAUUCUAACUUACGGAGGCCGAGUUAUCAGCCCGUAGGCAAAACUGACCAACACUUAGGCAAAAAGUCAAAAAAGAGGCCAAAACCCGCCUCGGACGUCAUAAAGACAUGCAAACACAGACAUAGUAUUGCGUAGGCAUUAGGCAUGCGUUAAAACUUACGGGACUCGAUUUCAACUUACGGAGGCCGAGUUAUCAGCUCGUACGCAAAACUGACCAACACUUAGGCAAAAAGUCGAAAAAGAGGCCAAAACCCGCCUCAGCCGGUAUAACAACACGCAAACACAUACAUAACACCGCGUAGGUAUUAGGCACACGUUACAAAUUAAGGGACUCGAUUCUGACUUACGGAGGUCGACUUAUAAGGCCCUAGGCAAAACUCGCCAACACUUCGAUAAAAAGUCGAAAAAGAGGCCAAAACCUGCCUCGGCUAUCGUAACGAUAUACAAACACAUACAUAGCACCAUGUAGGUAUUAGGCACGCGUUACAACUUAUGGGACUCGAUUCUGACUUACGGAGGUCGAGUUAUCAGCCCGUAGGCAAAACUGAACAACACUUAGGCAAAAAGUCGAACAACAGGCCAAAACCAGCCUCGACCGUCGUAAUGAUAUGCAAACACGUGCAUAGUACUGCGUAGGUAUUAGGCACGCGUUACAACUUACGGGACUUGAUUCCAACUUACGCAGGCCGAGUUAUCAGCCCGUAGCCAAAAUUGACCAACACUUAGGCAAAAAGUCAAAAAAGAGGCCAAAACCCGUCUCGGCCGUCGUAAUAACAUGCAAACACAUAUAUAGCACCGCGUAGGUAUUAGGUGUGUGUUACAACUUACGGGACUCGAUUCAGACCUACGGAGGCCGAGUUAUCAGCCCCAUAGGCAAAACUGACCAACACUUAGGUAACAAAUUAAAAAUGAGGCCAAAACCCGCCUCGGCCGUUGUAACGACAUGAAAACACAUGCAUAGUACCGUGUAGGUAUUAGGCACGCGUUAAAACUUACGGAACUCGAUUCCAACUUACGGAGGCCGAGUUAUCAGCCCGUAGGCAAAACUGACCAACACUUAGGUAAAAAGUCAAAAAAAGGCCAAAACCCGCCUCGGCCAUCGUAACGUCACGCAAACACGUACAUAUCACCGUGUAGGUAUUAGGCACGCGUUACUACUUACUGGAAUCGAUUCUGAUUUACGGAGGCCGAGUUAUCAGCUCGUAGGCAAAAUUGACCAAUACUUAGGCAAAAAGUCAAAAAAGAGGCCUAAACCCGCCUCGGUCGUUGUAAAGAGACAGAAACUCGUACAUAGCACCGCGUAGGUAUUAGGCAUGCAUUACAGCUUACGAAACUCGAUUCUGACUUACGGAGGCCGAGUUAUCAACCCGUAGGCAAAACUGACCAAUAUUUAGGUAAAAAGUCAAAAAAGAGGACAAAACUCGCCUCAGCCAUCGUAACGAUACGCAAACACAUACAUAGCACCGCGUAGGUAUUAGGCAUGCAUUACAACUUACGGGACUCGAUUUCAACAUAUGGAGGCCGAGUUAUCAGCCCGUAGGCAAAACUGACCAACACUUAGGCAAAAAGUCGAAAAAGAGGCCAAAACCCACCUCGGCCGUAAUAACGACACGCAAACACGUACAUAGCACCGCGUAAGUAUUAGGCAUGCAUUACAACAUAUGGGACUCGAUUUCAUCUUAUAUAGGCCGAGUUAUCAGCCCGUAGGCAAAACUGACCAACACUUUGGCAAAAAGUCGAAAAAGAGUCCAAAAUCCGCCUCGGCCAUCGUAACAAUAUGCAAACUUGUAUAUAGCACAGCGUAGGUAUUAGGAACGCGUUACAAAUUACGGAAUUCGUUUCUGACAUACGGAGGCCAAGUUAUCAGCCCGUAGGCAAAAAUGACUAAUACUUAGGCAAAAAGUCAAAAAAGAGGCCAAAACCCAUCUCGGUCGUCAUAAUGACACACAAACACAUACAUAGCACUACGUAGGUAUUAGACACAUGUUACAACUUAUGGAACUCGAUUCUAACUUACGGAGGCCGAGUUACCAGCCCGUAGGCAAAACUGACCAACAAUUAUGCAAAAUGUCGAAAAAGAGGCCAAAACCCGCCUCGACCGUCGUAACAACACGCAAACACGUGCAUAGUACCACGUAGGUAUUCGGCACGCAUUACAAAUUACGGGACGCGAUUCCAACUUAUAGAGGUCGAGUUAUCAGCCCGUAGUCAAAACUGACUAACACUUAGGCAAAAAGUCGAAAAAGAGGCCAAAAUCCACCUCGACCGUCGUAACAACACGUAAACACAUACAUAGCACCGCGUAGGUACUAGGAACAUGUUACAACUUACGAGACUAAUUUCUGACUUACGGAGGCCGAGUUAUCAGUCCGUAGGCAAAACUCGCCAACACUUAGUCAAAAAGUCAAAAAAGAGGCCAAAACUCAUCUCGACCGUCAUAACAACACGCAAACACAUACAUAGCACAAUGUAGAUAUUAGGCACGCGUUACAAUAUAUGUUACUCGAUUCCGACUUACGGAGGCCGAGUUAUUAGCCCGUAGGGAAAACUGACCAACACUUAAGUAAAAAGUUAAAAAAGAGGCCAAAACCCGCCUCGGCCGUUGUAACGACACGAAAACACAUGCAUAGUACCGCAUAGGUAUUAGGCACACGUUAAAACUUACGGGACUCGAUUCGAACUUACGUAGGCCGAGUUAAUAGCCCGUAGGCAAAACUGACCAACACUUAGGUAAAAAAUCAAAAAAGAGGCUAAAACCCACCUCGGCCGUCGUAAUGUCACGCAAACUAGUACAUAGUACCGCGUAGGUAUUAGGCAUGCGUUACAACUUACGGAACUCAAUUCUGACUUACGGAGGCCGAGUUAUCAGCCCGUAGGCAAAACUGACCAACACUUAGGUAAAAAGUCGAAAAAGAGGACAAAACCCGCCUUAGCCAUCGUAACGAUACGCAAACACAUGCAUAGCACUGCGUAGGUAUUAGGCAUGCAUUACAACUUACGGGACUCAAUUUCGACAUACGGAGGCUGAGUUAUCAGCCCAUAGGCAAAACUGACCAACACUUAGGUAAAAAGUCGAAAAAGAUGCCAAAACCCACCUCGGCCAUCGUAACAACACGCAAAUACAUACAUAGCACUGCAUGGGUAUUAGACACGCGUUAUAAAUUACGGGACUCAAUUCUGACUUACGGAGGCCGAGUUAUCAGUCUGUAAGCAAAACUGAAUAACAUUUAGGUAAAAAGUCAAAAAAGUGGCCAAAACCCGCCUCGGCCGUCAUAACAACUCGCAAACACUUACAUAGCACCGCGUAGGUAUUAGGCACUCGUUACAACUUAUGGGACUCAAUUCCGACUUACGGAGGCUUAGUUAUCAGCCCGCAGGAAAAACUGACCAACAUAUAGGUUAAAAUUCAAAAAAGAGGCCAAAACCCGCCUCGGCCGUCGUAACAACACGCAAACACGUGCAUAGUACCGCGUAGGUAUUUGGCACGCAUUACAACUUACGGGACUCGAUUCCAACUUACGGAGGCCGAGUUAUCAGCCUGUAGCCAAAACUAACCAACACUUAGGCAAAAAGUCAAAAAAGAGGCCAAAACCCGCCUCGGCCGUCGUUAUAACACGCAAAUACAUAUAUAGCACCGCGUAGGUAUUAGGCGUGUGUAACAACUUAUGGGACCCGAUUCAGACUUACGGAGGCCGAGUUAUAAGCCCGUAGGCAAAACUGACCAACACUUAGGUAAAAAGUUAAAAAAGAGGCCAAAACCCGCCUCGGCCGUUGUAACGACACGAAAACACAUGCAUAGUACCGUGUAGGUAUUAGGCACGCGUUAAAACAUACGGGACUCGAUUCCAAAUUACGGAGGCCGAGUUAUCAGCCCGUAAGCAAAACUGACCAACACUUAGGUAAAAAGUUAAAAAAGAGGCCAAAACCCGCCUCGGCCGUUGUAACGACACGAAAACACAUGCAUAGUACCGUGUAGGUAUUAGGCACGCGUUAAAACAUACGGGACUCGAUUCCAAAUUACGGAGGCCGAGUUAUCAGCCCGUAAGCAAAACUGACCAACACUUAGGUAAAAAGUCAAAAAAAGAGGCCAAAACCCGCCUCGGCCGUCGUAACAACACGCAAACACGCACAUAUCACCGUUUAGGUAUUAGGCACGCGUUACUACUUUCGGGACUCUAUUCUGAUUUACUGAGACCGAGUUAUCAGCUCGUAGGCAAAACUGACCAACACUUAGGUAAAAAGUCAAAAAAGAGGCCAAAACCCGCCUCAACCAUCGUAACGAUACGUAAUCACAUACAUAGCACCGCGUAGGUAUUAUGCAUGCAUUACAACUUAUGAUACCCGAUUUCGACAUACGGAGGCCGUUAUCAGCCCGUAGGCAAAACUGACCAACACUUAGGCAAAAAGUCAAAAAAUAGGUCAAAACCCACCUCGGCCGUCGUAACAACACUCAAAUACAUACAUAGCACUGCAUGGGUAUUAGGCAUGCACUAUAACUUACGGGACUCAAUUCUGACUUACGGAGGCUGAGUUAUCAGCCCGUAACAAAACUGAACAACAUUUAGGUAAAAAGUCAAAAAAGAGGCCAAAACCCGCCUCGACUGUCGUAACGACACGCAAACACAUACAUAGCACCGCGUAGGUAUUAGACACUCAUUACAACUUACGAGACUCAAUUCUGACUUACGGAGGCCGAGUUAUCAGCCCGUAGGCAAAACUCGACAACACUUAGGCAGAAAGUCGAAAAAAAGGCCAAAACCCACCUCAACCGUCGUAACAACACGCACACACAUACAUAGCACAACAUCGGGAUUAGGCACAUGUUAUAACUUACGGGACUCAAUUCUAACUUACGGAGGCCAAGUUAUCAGCCCGUAAGUAAAACUGACCAACACUUAGGCAAACGGGACUCGAUUCCGAUUUACGGAGGCCAAGUUAUCAGCCCGUAGGCAAAACUGACCAACCCUUAGGCAAACGGGACUCGAUUCCGAUUUACGGAGGCCAAGUUAUCAGCCCGUAGGCAAAACUGACCAACCCUUAGGCAAACGGGACUCGAUUCCGAUUUACGGAGGCCAAGUUAUCAGCCCGUAGGCAAAACUGACCAACCCUUAGGCAAACGGGACUCGAUUCCGAUUUACGGAGGCCAAGUUAUCAGCCCGUAGGCAAAACUGACCAACCCUUAGGCAAACGGGACUCGAUUCCGAUUUACGGAGGCCAAGUUAUCAGCCCGUAGGCAAAACUGACCAACCCUUAGGCAAACGGGACUCGAUUCCGAUUUACGGAGGCCAAGUUAUCAGCCCGUAGGCAAAACUGACCAACCCUUAGGCAAACGGGACUCGAUUCCGAUUUACGGAGGCCAAGUUAUCAGCCCGUAGGCAAAACUGACCAACCCUUAGGCAAACGGGACUCGAUUCCGAUUUACGGAGGCCAAGUUAUCAGCCCGUAGGCAAAACUGACCAACCCUUAGGCAAACGGGACUCGAUUCCGAUUUACGGAGGCCAAGUUAUCAGCCCGUAGGCAAAACUGACCAACCCUUAGGCAAACGGGACUCGAUUCCGAUUUACGGAGGCCAAGUUAUCAGCCCGUAGGCAAAACUGACCAACCCUUAGGCAAACGGGACUCGAUUCCGAUUUACGGAGGCCAAGUUAUCAGCCCGUAGGCAAAACUGACCAACCCUUAGGCAAACGGGACUCGAUUCCGAUUUACGGAGGCCAAGUUAUCAGCCCGUAGGCAAAACUGACCAACCCUUAGGCAAACGGGACUCGAUUCCGAUUUACGGAGGCCAAGUUAUCAGCCCGUAGGCAAAACUGACCAACCCUUAGGCAAACGGGACUCGAUUCCGAUUUACGGAGGCCAAGUUAUCAGCCCGUAGGCAAAACUGACCAACCCUUAGGCAAACGGGACUCGAUUCCGAUUUACGGAGGCCAAGUUAUCAGCCCGUAGGCAAAACUGACCAACCCUUAGGCAAACGGGACUCGAUUCCGAUUUACGGAGGCCAAGUUAUCAGCCCGUAGGCAAAACUGACCAACCCUUAGGCAAACGGGACUCGAUUCCGAUUUACGGAGGCCAAGUUAUCAGCCCGUAGGCAAAACUGACCAACCCUUAGGCAAACGGGACUCGAUUCCGAUUUACGGAGGCCAAGUUAUCAGCCCGUAGGCAAAACUGACCAACCCUUAGGCAAACGGGACUCGAUUCCGAUUUACGGAGGCCAAGUUAUCAGCCCGUAGGCAAAACUGACCAACCCUUAGGCAAACGGGACUCGAUUCCGAUUUACGGAGGCCAAGUUAUCAGCCCGUAGGCAAAACUGACCAACCCUUAGGCAAACGGGACUCGAUUCCGAUUUACGGAGGCCAAGUUAUCAGCCCGUAGGCAAAACUGACCAACCCUUAGGCAAACGGGACUCGAUUCCGAUUUACGGAGGCCAAGUUAUCAGCCCGUAGGCAAAACUGACCAACCCUUAGGCAAACGGGACUCGAUUCCGAUUUACGGAGGCCAAGUUAUCAGCCCGUAGGCAAAACUGACCAACCCUUAGGCAAACGGGACUCGAUUCCGAUUUACGGAGGCCAAGUUAUCAGCCCGUAGGCAAAACUGACCAACCCUUAGGCAAACGGGACUCGAUUCCGAUUUACGGAGGCCAAGUUAUCAGCCCGUAGGCAAAACUGACCAACCCUUAGGCAAACGGGACUCGAUUCCGAUUUACGGAGGCCAAGUUAUCAGCCCGUAGGCAAAACUGACCAACCCUUAGGCAAACGGGACUCGAUUCCGAUUUACGGAGGCCAAGUUAUCAGCCCGUAGGCAAAACUGACCAACCCUUAGGCAAACGGGACUCGAUUCCGAUUUACGGAGGCCAAGUUAUCAGCCCGUAGGCAAAACUGACCAACCCUUAGGCAAACGGGACUCGAUUCCGAUUUACGGAGGCCAAGUUAUCAGCCCGUAGGCAAAACUGACCAACCCUUAGGCAAACGGGACUCGAUUCCGAUUUACGGAGGCCAAGUUAUCAGCCCGUAGGCAAAACUGACCAACCCUUAGGCAAACGGGACUCGAUUCCGAUUUACGGAGGCCAAGUUAUCAGCCCGUAGGCAAAACUGACCAACCCUUAGGCAAACGGGACUCGAUUCCGAUUUACGGAGGCCAAGUUAUCAGCCCGUAGGCAAAACUGACCAACCCUUAGGCAAACGGGACUCGAUUCCGAUUUACGGAGGCCAAGUUAUCAGCCCGUAGGCAAAACUGACCAACCCUUAGGCAAACGGGACUCGAUUCCGAUUUACGGAGGCCAAGUUAUCAGCCCGUAGGCAAAACUGACCAACCCUUAGGCAAACGGGACUCGAUUCCGAUUUACGGAGGCCAAGUUAUCAGCCCGUAGGCAAAACUGACCAACCCUUAGGCAAACGGGACUCGAUUCCGAUUUACGGAGGCCAAGUUAUCAGCCCGUAGGCAAAACUGACCAACCCUUAGGCAAACGGGACUCGAUUCCGAUUUACGGAGGCCAAGUUAUCAGCCCGUAGGCAAAACUGACCAACCCUUAGGCAAACGGGACUCGAUUCCGAUUUACGGAGGCCAAGUUAUCAGCCCGUAGGCAAAACUGACCAACCCUUAGGCAAACGGGACUCGAUUCCGAUUUACGGAGGCCAAGUUAUCAGCCCGUAGGCAAAACUGACCAACCCUUAGGCAAACGGGACUCGAUUCCGAUUUACGGAGGCCAAGUUAUCAGCCCGUAGGCAAAACUGACCAACCCUUAGGCAAACGGGACUCGAUUCCGAUUUACGGAGGCCAAGUUAUCAGCCCGUAGGCAAAACUGACCAACCCUUAGGCAAACGGGACUCGAUUCCGAUUUACGGAGGCCAAGUUAUCAGCCCGUAGGCAAAACUGACCAACCCUUAGGCAAACGGGACUCGAUUCCGAUUUACGGAGGCCAAGUUAUCAGCCCGUAGGCAAAACUGACCAACCCUUAGGCAAACGGGACUCGAUUCCGAUUUACGGAGGCCAAGUUAUCAGCCCGUAGGCAAAACUGACCAACCCUUAGGCAAACGGGACUCGAUUCCGAUUUACGGAGGCCAAGUUAUCAGCCCGUAGGCAAAACUGACCAACCCUUAGGCAAACGGGACUCGAUUCCGAUUUACGGAGGCCAAGUUAUCAGCCCGUAGGCAAAACUGACCAACCCUUAGGCAAACGGGACUCGAUUCCGAUUUACGGAGGCCAAGUUAUCAGCCCGUAGGCAAAACUGACCAACCCUUAGGCAAACGGGACUCGAUUCCGAUUUACGGAGGCCAAGUUAUCAGCCCGUAGGCAAAACUGACCAACCCUUAGGCAAACGGGACUCGAUUCCGAUUUACGGAGGCCAAGUUAUCAGCCCGUAGGCAAAACUGACCAACCCUUAGGCAAACGGGACUCGAUUCCGAUUUACGGAGGCCAAGUUAUCAGCCCGUAGGCAAAACUGACCAACCCUUAGGCAAACGGGACUCGAUUCCGAUUUACGGAGGCCAAGUUAUCAGCCCGUAGGCAAAACUGACCAACCCUUAGGCAAACGGGACUCGAUUCCGAUUUACGGAGGCCAAGUUAUCAGCCCGUAGGCAAAACUGACCAACCCUUAGGCAAACGGGACUCGAUUCCGAUUUACGGAGGCCAAGUUAUCAGCCCGUAGGCAAAACUGACCAACCCUUAGGCAAACGGGACUCGAUUCCGAUUUACGGAGGCCAAGUUAUCAGCCCGUAGGCAAAACUGACCAACCCUUAGGCAAACGGGACUCGAUUCCGAUUUACGGAGGCCAAGUUAUCAGCCCGUAGGCAAAACUGACCAACCCUUAGGCAAACGGGACUCGAUUCCGAUUUACGGAGGCCAAGUUAUCAGCCCGUAGGCAAAACUGACCAACCCUUAGGCAAACGGGACUCGAUUCCGAUUUACGGAGGCCAAGUUAUCAGCCCGUAGGCAAAACUGACCAACCCUUAGGCAAACGGGACUCGAUUCCGAUUUACGGAGGCCAAGUUAUCAGCCCGUAGGCAAAACUGACCAACCCUUAGGCAAACGGGACUCGAUUCCGAUUUACGGAGGCCAAGUUAUCAGCCCGUAGGCAAAACUGACCAACCCUUAGGCAAACGGGACUCGAUUCCGAUUUACGGAGGCCAAGUUAUCAGCCCGUAGGCAAAACUGACCAACCCUUAGGCAAACGGGACUCGAUUCCGAUUUACGGAGGCCAAGUUAUCAGCCCGUAGGCAAAACUGACCAACCCUUAGGCAAACGGGACUCGAUUCCGAUUUACGGAGGCCAAGUUAUCAGCCCGUAGGCAAAACUGACCAACCCUUAGGCAAACGGGACUCGAUUCCGAUUUACGGAGGCCAAGUUAUCAGCCCGUAGGCAAAACUGACCAACCCUUAGGCAAACGGGACUCGAUUCCGAUUUACGGAGGCCAAGUUAUCAGCCCGUAGGCAAAACUGACCAACCCUUAGGCAAACGGGACUCGAUUCCGAUUUACGGAGGCCAAGUUAUCAGCCCGUAGGCAAAACUGACCAACCCUUAGGCAAACGGGACUCGAUUCCGAUUUACGGAGGCCAAGUUAUCAGCCCGUAGGCAAAACUGACCAACCCUUAGGCAAACGGGACUCGAUUCCGAUUUACGGAGGCCAAGUUAUCAGCCCGUAGGCAAAACUGACCAACCCUUAGGCAAACGGGACUCGAUUCCGAUUUACGGAGGCCAAGUUAUCAGCCCGUAGGCAAAACUGACCAACACUUAGGUAAAAAGUCGAAAAAGAUGCCAAAACCCACCUCGGCCAUCGUAACAACACGCAAAUAUAUACACAGCACUGCAUGGGUAUUAGACACGCGUUAUAAAUUACGGGACUCAAUUCUGACUUACGGAGGCCGAGUUAUCAGUCCGUAAGCAAAACUGAACAACAUUUAGGUAAAAAGUCAAAAAAGUGGCCUAAACCCGCCUCGGCCGUCAUAAUAACUCGCAAACACUUACAUAGCACCGCGUAGGUAUUAGGCACUCGUUACAACUUAUGGGACUCAAUUCCGACUUACAGAGGCUUAGUUAUCAGCCAGCAGGAAAAACUGACCAACAUAUAGGUUAAAAUUUGAAAAAGAGGCCAAAACCCGCCUCGGCCGUCAUAACAACACACAAACACGUGCAUAGUACCGCGUAGGUAUUUGGCACGCAUUACAACUUACGGGACUCGAUUCCAACUUACGGAGGCCGAGUUAUCAGCCCGUAAGCAAAACUGACCAACACUUAGGUAAAAAGUCAAAAAAAGAGGCCAAAACCCGCCUCGGCCGUCGUAACAACACGCAAACACGCACAUAUCACCGUUUAGGUAUUAGGCACGCGUUACUACUUUUGGGACUCUAUUCUGAUUUACUGAGACCGAGUUAUCAGCUCGUAGGCAAAACUGACCAACACUUAGGUAAAAAGUCAAAAAAGAGGUCAAAACCCGCCUCAACCAUCGUAACGAUACGUAAUAACAUACAUAGCACCGCGUAGGUAUUAUGCAUGCAUUACAACUUACGACACCCGAUUUCGACAUACGGAGGCCGUUAUCAGCCCGUAGACAAAACUGACCAACACUUAGGCAAAAAGUCAAAAAAGAGGCCAAAACCCACCUCGGCUGUCGUAACAACACGCAAAUACAUACAUAGCACUGCAUGCGUAUUAGGCAUGCGCUAUAACUUACGGGACUCAAUUCUGACUUACGGAGGCUGAGUUAUCAGCCCGUAACAAAACUGAACAACAUUUAGGUAAAAAGUCAAAAAAGAGGCCAAAACCCGCCUCGACUGUCGUAACAACACGCAAACAUAUACAUAGCACCGCGUAGGUAUUAGACACUCGUUACAACUUACGAGACUCAAUUCUGACUUACGGAGGCCGAGUUAUCAGCCCGUAGGCAAAACUCGACAACACUUAGGCAGAAAGUCAAAAAAAAGGCCAAAACCCGUCUCAACCGUCGUAACAACACGCACACACAUACAUAGCACAGCAUCAGGAUUAGACACAUGUUAUAACUUACGGGACUCAAUUCUAACUUACGGAGGCCAAGUUAUCAGCCCGUAAGUAAAACUGACCAACACUUAGGCAAGAAGUCAAAAAAGAGGCCAAAACCCGCCUCGGCAGUCGUAAAGACACGCAAACACGAACAUAGCACCGUGUAGGUAUUAAGCACGUGUUAGAACUUACAUGACUCGAUUCCGACUUACAGAGGCCGAGUUAUCAGCCCGUAGGCAAAACUGAGCAACACUUGAGCAAAAUGUCGAAAAAAGGCCAAAAUCCGCCUCGGCCGUCGUAACAACAAACACACACGUGCAUAGUACCACAUAGGUAUUAGGCACGCAUUACAACUUACGGGACUCGAUUCCGACAUACGGAGGCCGAGUUAUCAGCCCGUAGGUAAAACUGAACAACACUUAGGCAAAAAGUUAAAAAAGAGGCCAAAACAUGCCUCGACCGUCGUAACGACACGCAAACACAUGCAUAGCACCGUGCAUGUAUUAGGCAUGUGCUACACCUUACGGGACUCAAUUCCGAUAUACGUAGGACAAGUUGUCAGCCCGUAGGCAAAAUUGACCAACACUUAGGUAAAAAGUUAAAAAAAAGGCCAAAACACGCCUCGGCCAUUGUAUUGACAUGCAAACACAUGCAUAGCACCGAGUAGGUAUUAAGCACGCAUUAUAACUCCUGACUCAAUUCCGACUUACGGAGGCCGAGUUAUCAGUUCGUAGGUAAAACUGACCAACACUUAGGAAAAAAUUCAAAAAAGAAGCCAACACCCACCUCGGUUGUCGUAAAAACACGCAAAGACAUAGCACCGCAUAGGUAUUAGGCACGCGUUACAGCUUACGGGACUCGAUUCCGAUUUACGGAGGCCAAGUUAUCAGCCCAUAGUCAAAACUAACUAACACUUAGGUAAAAAGUCAAAAAAGAAGCCAAAAUUCACCUCGGCCAUCGUAAUGUUACGAAAACACAUACAUAGCACCGCGUAGGUAUUAGCCAUGCGUAACAACUUAUGGGACUCGAUUCCGACAUACGGAGGCCGAGUUAUCAGCCCCCGUAGGCAAAACUGACCAACACUUAGGCAAAAAGUCGAGAAAGAUACGGAGGCCGAGUUAUCAGCCCCCGUAGGCAAAACUGACCAACACUUAGGCAAAAAGUCGAAAAAGAGGCCAAAACUCACCUCGGCCAUCGUUACAACACGCAAACACAUACACAGUAUCGCGUAGAUAUUAGGCACACGUUAAAACUUACGGGACUCGAUUCCAACUUACGGAUGCCGAGUUAUCAGCCCGUAAACAAAACUGACCAACACUUACGUAAAAAGUCAAAAAAGAGGCCAAAUAGCAUUGCGUAAGUAUUAGGCACGCGUUACAACUUACGGGAUUCAAUUUCGACAUACGGAGGCCGAGUUAUCAGCCCGUAAACAAAACUGACCAACACUUAGGUAAAAAGUCAAAAAAAGAGGCCAAAACAUGCCUCGACCGUCGUAACGACAUAAAAACACAUACAUAGUACUGCGUAUGUAUUAGGCAUGUGUUACAACUUACGGGACUAGAUUCUGACAUACGUAGACUGAGUUAUUAGCCCGUAUUCAAAAUUGACCAACACUUAGGUAAAAAGUUAAAAAAGAGGCCAAAACUCGCAUCGGCCAUUGUAAUGACACACAAAUACAUGCAUAGCAUUGCGUAAGUAUUAGGCACGCGUUACAACUUACGGGACUCAAUUUCGACAUACGGAGGCCGAGUUAUCAGCCCGUAGGCAAAACUGACCAAUAUUUGGGAAAAAAGUCAAAAAAAGGGCCAAAAUCCACCUCGGCCGUUGUAAUGAUACAGAAACUCGUAUAACUUACGGGACUCGAUUUAGACAUACGAAGGCUGAGUUAUCAGCCCGUAGGCAAAAGUGACAAACACUUAGGCAAAAAGUCGAAAAAGAGGCCAAAACUCGCCUCGGCCAUCGUAACGACAAGCAAACACAUACAUAUCAUCACGUAGGUAUUAGCACGCAUUACAACUUACGGGACUCGAUUCCGACAGACGGAGGCCGAGUUAUCAGCUCGUAUGAAAAAUUGACCAACACUUAGGCAAAAAGUAGAAAAAGAGGCCAAAAUCCGCCUCAGCCGUUGUAACGAUACAGAAACUCGUACAUAGCACCGCGUAGGUAUUAGGCACGCGUUACAACUUACGGAACUCGAUUUCGACUUACGAAGGCCGAGUUAUCAGCCUGUAGAAAAAACUAACACUUAGGUAAAAAGUCAAAAAAGAAGCCGAAACCCUCCUCGGCCAUCGUAAUGAUACGCAAACACAUACAUUACACCGCGGAGGUAUUAGACAUACGUUACAACUUAUGGGACUCAAUUCUGACAUACGAAGGCCGAGUUAUUAGCCCGUAGGCAAAACUGACCAACACUUAGGCAAAAAGUCAAAAAAGAGGCCAAAACUCGUCUCGGCCAUCGUAACAAUACAUAAACACAUACAUAACAUCGCGUAGGUAUUAGGCACGUAUUACAACUUACGGGACUCGAUUCCUACAGACGGAGACCGAGUUAUCAGCCCGUAGGCAAAACUGACCAACACUUAGGCAAAAAGUCAAAAAAGAGGCCAAAACUCUCCUCGGCUAUUGUAACGACACGCAAACACAUACAUAGCACCGCGUAGGUAUUAGGCAUGCGUUACAACUUACGGGACUCGAUUCCGACUUACGGAGGCCGAGUUAUCAGCUCGUAGGCAAAACUAACCAACACUUAGGCAAAAAGUCGAAAAAGAUGCCAAAAACUCGUCUCGGUCGUCGUAAUAAGACGCAAACUAAUACAUAGCACCGCGUUGGAAUUAGGCACACGUUAUAACUUAUAAGACUCGAUUCUGACUUACGGAGGCCGAGUUAUUAGCCCAUUGGCAAAAUUGACCAACACUUAGGCAAAAAAUCAAAAAAUAAGCCAAAAUUAGCCUCGGUCGUCGUAAUAACACACAAAUGUGUACAUAGCACCACGUAGGCAUUAGGCACGCGUUACAACUUACGAAACUUGAUUUCAACUUACGGAGGCUGAGUUAUCAGCCCGUAGGCAAAACUGACCAACACUUACGGAAAAACUAGAAAAAGAGGCCAAAACCCGCCUUGGCCGUCAUAACGACACGCAAACACUUAUAUAGCACCGUGUAGCUAUUAGGCACGCGUUAUAACUUACGGAACUCGAUUCUGACUUACGGAGGCCGAGUUAUUAGCCCGUAGGCAAAACUGACAAAUACUUAGGCAAAAAGUCAAAAAAGAGGUCAAAACCCGCCUCAGCCAUCGUAACGAUAUGCAAACAUAUACAUAGCACCACGUAAGUAUUAGGCAUGCAUUACAACUUACGGGACUCGAUUUCGACAUACGGAGGCCGAGUUAUCAGGCCGUAGGUAAAACUAACCAACACUUAUGCAAAAAGUCAAAAAAGAGGCCAAAACCCACCUCGGCCGUCGUAACAACACGCAAAGACUUACAUAGCAUUGCAUUGGUAUUAGGCACGCGUUAUAACUUACGGGACUCAAUUUUGACUUACGGAGGCCGAGUUAUCAGCCGUAAGCAAAACUGAACAACAUUUAGGUAAAAAGUCAAAAAAGAGGCCAAAACAUGCCUCGGCCGUCGUAACGACAUAAAAACACAUACAUAGUACCGCGUAUAUAUUAGGCAUACAUGACAACUUAUGGGACAAGAUUUUGACAUACGUAGACCGAGUUAUUAGCCCGUAUGCAAAAUUGACCACAACUUAGGUAAAAAGUUAAAGAAGAGGCCAAAUCCCACAUCGGACAUUGUAACGACACGCAAAUACAUGCAUAGCACCACGUAGGUAUUAGGCACGCGUUACAACUUACGGGACUCAAUUCCGACUUACGGAGGCCGUGUUAUCAGCUCGUAGGUAAAACUGACCAAUAUUUGGGGAAAAAGUCGAAAAAGCGGCCAAAACCCACCUCGACCGUUGUAAUGAUACGAAAACUAGUACAUAGCACCGCGUAAGUAUUAGGCACGCAUUACAGCUUACGGGACUCGAUUCCGAUUUACGCAGGCCGAGUUAUCAGCCCGUAGGCAAAACUAACUAACACUUAAGUAAAAAGUCAAAAAAGAAGCCACAACCCGCCUCGGCCAUCGUAAUGAUACGCAAAAACAUACACAGCACCGCGUAGGUAUUAUGCAUGCGUUAUAACUUACGGCACUCGAUUCCCACAUACGAAGGCCAAGUUAUCAGCCCGUAGGCAAAACUAACUAACACUUAGGUAAAAAGUCAAAAAAGAAGCCAAAACCCGCCUCGACCAUCGUAAUGAUACGUAAAAACAUACAUAACACCGCGUAGGUAUUAGGCAUGCGUUACAACUUGCGGCACUCGAUUCCCACAUACGGAGGCCGAGUUAUCAACCCGUAGGCAAAAUUGACCAACACUUAGGCAAAAACUCGCCUCGGCCAUCGUAACGACACGCAAACACAUACAUAGCAUUGCGUAGGUAUUAGGCACACGUUAAAACUUACGGGACUUGAUUCCAACUUAUAGAGACCGAGUUAUCAGCCCGUAGACAAAACUGACCAACACUUGGUCGUCGUAAUGAUACGCAAACACGUACAUAGCACCGCGUAGGUAUUAGGCAUGCGUUAUAACUUACGAAACUUGAUUCCGACUUACGGAGGUCGAGUUAUCAGCCUGUAGGCAAAACUGACAAACACUAAGAUAAAAAGUCAAAAAAGAGGCCAAAAUCCGCCUCAGCCAUCGUAAUGAUACGCAAAGAUAUACAUAGAACCGCGUAGGUAUUAGGCAUACAUUACAACUUACGGGACUCGAUUUCGACAUACGGAGGCCGAGUUAUCAGCCCGUAAACAAAACUGACCAAAACUUAGGCAAAGAGUCAAAAAAGAGGCCAAAACCAACCUCGGCUGUUGUAACAACAUGCAAAUACAUACAUAGCACUGCAUGGGUAUUAGGCACAUGUUAUAACUUACGGGACUCAAUUCUGACUUACGGAGGCCGAGUUAUCAAGCCCGUAAUCAAAACUGAACAACAUUUAGGUAAAAAGUCAAAAAAGAGGCAAAAACAUGCCUCGGCCGUCGUAACGACAUAAAAACACAUACAUAGUACCGCGUAUGUAUUAGGCAUGUGUUACAACUUACGGGAGAAGAUUCUGACAUACGUAGACUGAGUUAUUAGCCCGUAUGCAAAAUUGACCAACACUUAGGUAAAAAGUUAAAGAAGAGGCCAAAACCCGCAUCGGCCAUUGUAACGACACGCAAAUACAUGCAUAGCAUCGCGUAAGUAUUAGGCACGCGUUACAACUUACGGGACUCAAUUUCGACUUACGGAGGCCGAGUUAUCAGCCCGUAGGCAAAACUGACCAAUAUUUGGGUAAAAAGGUCAAAAAAGGCCAAAAUCCACCUCGGCCGUUGUAAUGAUACGGAAACUCGUAUAACUUACGGGACUCGAUUUCGACAUACGGAGGCUGAGUUAUCAGCCCGUAGGCAAAAGUGACAAACACUUAGGAAAAAAGUCGAAAAAGAGGCCAAAACUCGCCUCGACCAUCGUAACGACAAGCAAACACAUACAUAUCAUCACGUAGGUAUUAGGACGCAUUAAAACUUACGGGACUCGAUUCCGACAGACGGAGGCUGAGUUAUCAGCUCGUAGGAAAAAUUGACCAACACUUAGGCAAAAAGUAGAAAAAGAGGCCAAAAUCCACCUCAGCCGUUGUAACGAUACAGAAACUCGUACAUAGCACCACGUAGGUAUUAGGCACGCGUUACAACUUACGGGACUCGAUUCCGUCUUACGAAGGCCGAGUUAUCAGCCUGUAGAAAAAACUAACACUUAGGUAAAAAGUCAAAAAAGAAGUCGAAACCCUCCUCGGCCAUCGUAAUGAUACGCAAACACAUACAUUACACCGCGGAGGUAUUAGACAUACGUUACAACUUAUGGGACUCGAUUCUGACAUACGAAGGCCGAGUUAUCAGCCCGUAGGCAAAACUGACCAACACAUAGGCAAAAAGUCAAAAAAGAGGCCAAAACUCGCCUCGGCCAUCGUAACGACACAUAAACACAUACAUAGCAUCGCGUAGGUAUUAGGCACGUAUUACAACUUACGGGACUCGAUUCCUACAGACGAAGACCGAGUUAUCAGCCCGUAGGCAAAACUGACCAACACUUAGGCAAAAAAGUCAAAAAAGAGGCCAAAACUCUCCUCGGCUAUUGUAACAACACGCACACACAUACAUAGCACCGCGUAGGUAUUAGGCAUGCGUUACAACUUACGGAACUCGAUUCCGACUUACGGAGACCUAGUUAUCAGCCCGUAGGCAAAACUGACCAACACUUAGGCAAAAAGUCGAGAAAGAUGCCAAAAACUCGUCUCGGUCGUCGUAAUAAGACGCAAACUAAUACAUAGCACCGCGUUGGAAUUAGGCACACUUUAUAACUUAUAAGACUCGAUUCUGACUUACGGAGGCCGAGUUAUUAGCCCAUUGGCAAAACUGACCAACACUUAGGCAAAAAGUCAAAAAAUAAGCCAAAAUUAGCCUCGGUCGUCGUAAUAACACACUAAUAUGUACAUAGCACCACGUAGGCAUUAGGCACGCGUUACAACUUACGGAACUUGAUUUCAACUUAAGGAGGCCGAGUUAUCAGCCCGUAGGCAAAACUGACCAACACUUAGGCAAAAACUAUAAAAAGAGGCCAAAACCCGCCUUGGCCGUCAUAACGACACACAAACACUUAUAUAGCACCGUGUAGCUAUUAGGCACGCGUUACAACUUACGGAACUCGAUUCUGACUUACGGAGGCCGAGUUAUUAGCCCGUAGGCAAAACUGACAAACAGUUAGGCAAAAAGUCAAAAAAGAGGUCAAAACCCGCCUCAGCCAUCGUAACGAUAUGCAAACAUAUACAUAGCACCACGUAAGUAUUAGGCAUGUAUUACAACUUACGGGACUCGAUUUCGACAUACGGAGGCCGAGUUAUCAGGCCGUAGGUAAAACUAACCAACACUUAUACAAAAAGUCAAAAAAGAGGCCAAAACCCACCUCGGCCGUCGUAACAACACGCAAAGACUUACAUAGCAUUGCAUUGGUAUUAGGCACGCGUUAUAACUUAUGGGACUCAAUUUUGACUUACGGAGGCCGAGUUAUCAGCCCGUAAGCAAAACUGAACAACAUUUAGGUAAAAAGUCAAAAAAGAGGCCAAAACAUGCCUCGGCCGUCGUAACGACAUAAAAACACAUACAUAGUACUGCGUAAAUAUUAGGAAUACCUUACAACUUACGGGACAAGAUUUUGACAUACGUAGACCGAGUUAUUAGCCCGUAUGCAAAAUUGACCACCACUUAGGUAAAAAGUUAAAGAAGAGGCCAAAUCCCACAUCGGAUAUUGUAACGACGCGCAAAUACAUGCAUAGCACCACGUAGGUAUUAGGCACGCGUUACAACUUACGGGACUCAAUUCCGACUUACGGAGGCCGUGUUAUUAGCUCGUAGGUAAAACUGACCAACAUUUGGGGAAAAAGUCGAAAAAGAGGCCAAAACCCACCUUGACCGUUGUAAUGAUACGAAAACUCGUACAUAGCAUCGCGUAAGUAUUAGGCACGCAUUACAGCUUACGGGACUCGAUUCCGAUUUACGGAGGCCGAGUUAUCAGCCCGUAGGCAAAACUAACUAACACUUAAGUAAAAAGUCAAAAAAGAAGCCACAACCCGCCUCGGCCAUCGUAAUGAUACGCAAAAACAUACACAGCACCGCGUAGGUAUUAUGCAUGCGUUAUAACUUACGGCACUCGAUUCCCACAUACGGAGGUCGAGUUAUCAGCCCGUAGGCAAAACUAACUAACACUUAGGUAACAAGUCAAAAAAGAAGCCAAAACCCGCCUCGACCAUCGUAAUGAUACGCAAAAACAUACACAACACCGCGUAGGUAUUAGGCAUGCGUUACAACUUACGGCACUCGAUUCCCACAUACGGAGGCCGAGUUAUCAAGCCGUAGGCAAAAUUGACCAACACUUAGGCAAAAAGUCGAAAGAGAGGCAAAAACUCGCCUCGACCAUCGUAACGACACGCAAACACAUACAUAGCAUCGCGUAGAUAUUAGGCACGCGUUAAAACUUACGGGACUCGAUUCCAACUUAUAGAGACCGAGUUAUUAGCCCGUAGACAAAACUGAACAACACUUGGGCAAAAAGUCAAAAAAGAGGCCAAAACCCGCCUCGGUCGUCGUAACGACACGCAAACACGUACAUAGCACCGCGUAGGUAUUAGGCACGCGUUACAACUUACGAAACUCGAUUCUGACUUACGGAGGCCGAGUUAUCAGCCUGUAGGCAAAACUGACAAACACUAAGAUAAAAAGUCAAAAAAGAGGCCAAAACCCGCCUCAGCCAUCGUAAUGAUACGCAAAGAUAUAUAUAGAACCGCGUAGGUAUUAGGCAUACAUUACAACUUACGGGACUCGAUUUCGACAUACGGAGGCCGAGUUAUCAGCCCGUAGGUAAAACUGACCAACACUUAGGCAAAGAGUCGAAAAAGAGGCCAAAACCAACCUCGGCUGUUGUAAUAACACGCAAAUACAUAUAUAGCACUGCAUGGGUAUUAGGCACGUGAUAUAACUUACGGGACUCAAUUCUGACUUACGGAGGCCGAGUUAUCAAGCCCGUAAUCAAAACUGAACAACAUUUAGGUAAAAAGUCAAAAAAGAGGCAAAAACAUGCCUCGGCCGUCGUAACGACAUAAAAACACAUACAUAGUACCGCGUAUGUAUUAGGCAUGUGUUACAACUUACGGGAGAAGAUUCUGACAUACGUAGACCGAGUUAUUAGCCCGUAUGCAAAAUUGACCAACACUUAGGUAAAAAGUUAAAGAAGAGGCCAAAACUCGCAUCGGCCAUUGUAACGACACACAAAUACAUGCAUAGCAUUGCGUAAGUAUUAGGCACGCGUUACAACUUACGGGACUCAAUUUCGACUUACGGAGGCUGAGUUAUCAGCCCGUAGGCAAAACUGACCAAUAUUUGGGUAAAAAGGUCAAAAAAAGGCCAAAAUCCACCUCGGCCGUUGUAAUGAUACGGAAACUCGUAUAACUUACGGGACUCGAUUUCGACAUACGGAGGCUGAGUUAUCAGCCCGUAGGCAAAAGUGACAAACACUUAGGAAAAAAGUCGAAAAAGAGGCCAAAACUCGCCUCGACCAUCGUAACGACAAGCAAACACAUACAUAUCAUCACGUAGGUAUUAGGACGCAUUAAAACUUACGGGACUCGAUUCCGACAGACGGAGGCUGAGUUAUCAGCUCGUAGGAAAAAUUGACCAACACUUAGGCAAAAAGUAGAAAAAGAGGCCAAAACAUGCCUCGGCCGUCGUAAUGACAUAAAAACACAUACAUAGUACCGCGUAUGUAUUAGGCAUGCGUUACAACUUACGGGAGAAGAUUCUGACAUACGUAGACCGAGUUAUUAGCCCGUAUGCAAAAUUGACCAACACUUAGGUAAAAAGUUAAAGAAGAGGCCAAAACCCACAUCGGCCAUUGUAACGACACACAAAUACAUGUAUAACACCGCGUAGGUAUUAGGCAUGCGUUACAACUUACGGGACUCAAUUCCGACUUACGGAGGCCGAGUUAUCAGCCCGUAGGCAAAACUGACCAACAUAUAGGUCAAAAGUCGAAAAAGAGGCCAAAACCCACCUCGGCCGUUGUAAUGAUACGAAAUCUCAUACAUAACAUCGCAUAGGUAUUAGGCACGCGUUACAGCUUACUGGACUCGAUUCCGAUUUACGGAGGCCGAGUUAUUCAGCCCGUAGGCAAAACUAACUAACACUUAGGUAAAAAGUCAAAAAAGAAGCCAAAACCUGCCUCGGCCAUCGUAAUGAUACGCAAACACAUACACAGCACCGCGUAGGUAUUAAGCAUGCGUUGCAAUUUACGGCACUCGAUUCUGACAUACGUAGGCCGAGUUAUCAGUCCGUAGGCAAAACUGACCAACACUUAGGCAAAAAGUCGAAAAAGAGGCUAAAACUCGCCUCGGCCAUCGUAACGACAUGUAAACACAUAGAUAGCAUCGCGUAGGUAUUAGGCACGCGUUAAAACUUUCGGGAUUCGAUUCUAACUUAUGGAGGCCGAGUUAUCAGCCCGUAGACAAACUGACCAACACUUAAGUAAAAAGUCAAAAAAGAGGCCAAAACCCGCCUCGGUAGUCGUAACGACACGCAAACACGUACAUAUCACUGUGUAGGUAUUAGGCACGCGUUACUACUUACGGUACUCGAUUCUGAUUUACCGAGGCCGAGUUAUAAGCCCGUAGGCAAAACUGACCAACACAUACGCAAAAAGUCAAAAAAGAGGCCAAAACCCGCCUCAGCCGUUGUAAUGAGACGAAAACUCGUAAAUAGCGCCGCGUAGGUUUUAGGCACGCGUUACAACUUAUGAAACUCGAUUCCGACUUACGGAGGCCGAGUUAUUGUUGGGCUUCGGCAUAGAAACGCACAGCGGAAAUUAAAAUUUUAAAGCAAUUUCCGAAACCCUAAAACAGGAUCCAUGCGAAAAAUCAAUUAAAUCAGAUGUUUAGAGAUUAUACCAGAUAUAAAAAACGAGAAUCUGAAACCGAUUGCGCCUCGAAUCUCUAACGCAAUACAAACCGAUUGCGCCUCUACGGUAUCCACACGAACGCUGCACGAACCGUCGAACGAUUCUGCAAUAAGAAGGACUUGCGGUACUAGCCACCAAAAGGAAUGGAUUUUCUGAAACUGUUUUCUCUCUAGUCUCUCUCUAAGAGCGGNNNNNNNNNNNNNNNNNNNNNNNNNNNNNNNNNNNNNNNNNNNNNNNNNNNNNNNNNNNNNNNNNNNNNNNNNNNNNNNNNNNNNNNNNNNNNNNNNNNNNNNNNNNNNNNNNNNNNNNNNNNNNNNNNNNNNNNNNNNNNNNNNNNNNNNNNNNNNNNNNNNNNNNNNNNNNNNNNNNNNNNNNNNNNNNNNNNNNNNNNNNNNNNNNNNNNNNNNNNNNNNNNNNNNNNNNNNNNNNNNNNNNNNNNNNNNNNNNNNNNNNNNNNNNNNNNNNNNNNNNNNNNNNNNNNNNNNNNNNNNNNNNNNNNNNNNNNNNNNNNNNNNNNNNNNNNNNNNNNNNNNNNNNNNNNNNNNNNNNNNNNNNNNNNNNNNNNNNNNNNNNNNNNNNNNNNNNNNNNNNNNNNNNNNNNNNNNNNNNNNNNNNNNNNNNNNNNNNNNNNNNNNNNNNNNNNNNNNNNNNNNNNNNNNNNNNNNNNNNNNNNNNNNNNNNNNNNNNNNNNNNNNNNNNNNNNNNNNNNNNNNNNNNNNNNNNNNNNNNNNNNNNNNNNNNNNNNNNNNNNNNNNNNNNNNNNNNNNNNNNNNNNNNNNNNNNNNNNNNNNNNNNNNNNNNNNNNNNNNNNNNNNNNNNNNNNNNNNNNNNNNNNNNNNNNNNNNNNNNNNNNNNNNNNNNNNNNNNNNNNNNNNNNNNNNNNNNNNNNNNNNNNNNNNNNNNNNNNNNNNNNNNNNNNNNNNNNNNNNNNNNNNNNNNNNNNNNNNNNNNNNNNNNNNNNNNNNNNNNNNNNNNNNNNNNNNNNNNNNNNNNNNNNNNNNNNNNNNNNNNNNNNNNNNNNNNNNNNNNNNNNNNNNNNNNNNNNNNNNNNNNNNNNNNNNNNNNNNNNNNNNNNNNNNNNNNNNNNNNNNNNNNNNNNNNNNNNNNNNNNNNNNNNNNNNNNNNNNNNNNNNNNNNNNNNNNNNNNNNNNNNNNNNNNNNNNNNNNNNNNNNNNNNNNNNNNNNNNNNNNNNNNNNNNNNNNNNNNNNNNNNNNNNNNNNNNNNNNNNNNNNNNNNNNNNNNNNNNNNNNNNNNNNNNNNNNNNNNNNNNNNNNNNNNNNNNNNNNNNNNNNNNNNNNNNNNNNNNNNNNNNNNNNNNNNNNNNNNNNNNNNNNNNNNNNNNNNNNNNNNNNNNNNNNNNNNNNNNNNNNNNNNNNNNNNNNNNNNNNNNNNNNNNNNNNNNNNNNNNNNNNNNNNNNNNNNNNNNNNNNNNNNNNNNNNNNNNNNNNNNNNNNNNNNNNNNNNNNNNNNNNNNNNNNNNNNNNNNNNNNNNNNNNNNNNNNNNNNNNNNNNNNNNNNNNNNNNNNNNNNNNNNNNNNNNNNNNNNNNNNNNNNNNNNNNNNNNNNNNNNNNNNNNNNNNNNNNNNNNNNNNNNNNNNNNNNNNNNNNNNNNNNNNNNNNNNNNNNNNNNNNNNNNNNNNNNNNNNNNNNNNNNNNNNNNNNNNNNNNNNNNNNNNNNNNNNNNNNNNNNNNNNNNNNNNNNNNNNNNNNNNNNNNNNNNNNNNNNNNNNNNNNNNNNNNNNNNNNNNNNNNNNNNNNNNNNNNNNNNNNNNNNNNNNNNNNNNNNNNNNNNNNNNNNNNNNNNNNNNNNNNNNNNNNNNNNNNNNNNNNNNNNNNNNNNNNNNNNNNNNNNNNNNNNNNNNNNNNNNNNNNNNNNNNNNNNNNNNNNNNNNNNNNNNNNNNNNNNNNNNNNNNNNNNNNNNNNNNNNNNNNNNNNNNNNNNNNNNNNNNNNNNNNNNNNNNNNNNNNNNNNNNNNNNNNNNNNNNNNNNNNNNNNNNNNNNNNNNNNNNNNNNNNNNNNNNNNNNNNNNNNNNNNNNNNNNNNNNNNNNNNNNNNNNNNNNNNNNNNNNNNNNNNNNNNNNNNNNNNNNNNNNNNNNNNNNNNNNNNNNNNNNNNNNNNNNNNNNNNNNNNNNNNNNNNNNNNNNNNNNNNNNNNNNNNNNNNNNNNNNNNNNNNNNNNNNNNNNNNNNNNNNNNNNNNNNNNNNNNNNNNNNNNNNNNNNNNNNNNNNNNNNNNNNNNNNNNNNNNNNNNNNNNNNNNNNNNNNNNNNNNNNNNNNNNNNNNNNNNNNNNNNNNNNNNNNNNNNNNNNNNNNNNNNNNNNNNNNNNNNNNNNNNNNNNNNNNNNNNNNNNNNNNNNNNNNNNNNNNNNNNNNNNNNNNNNNNNNNNNNNNNNNNNNNNNNNNNNNNNNNNNNNNNNNNNNNNNNNNNNNNNNNNNNNNNNNNNNNNNNNNNNNNNNNNNNNNNNNNNNNNNNNNNNNNNNNNNNNNNNNNNNNNNNNNNNNNNNNNNNNNNNNNNNNNNNNNNNNNNNNNNNNNNNNNNNNNNNNNNNNNNNNNNNNNNNNNNNNNNNNNNNNNNNNNNNNNNNNNNNNNNNNNNNNNNNNNNNNNNNNNNNNNNNNNNNNNNNNNNNNNNNNNNNNNNNNNNNNNNNNNNNNNNNNNNNNNNNNNNNNNNNNNNNNNNNNNNNNNNNNNNNNNNNNNNNNNNNNNNNNNNNNNNNNNNNNNNNNNNNNNNNNNNNNNNNNNNNNNNNNNNNNNNNNNNNNNNNNNNNNNNNNNNNNNNNNNNNNNNNNNNNNNNNNNNNNNNNNNNNNNNNNNNNNNNNNNNNNNNNNNNNNNNNNNNNNNNNNNNNNNNNNNNNNNNNNNNNNNNNNNNNNNNNNNNNNNNNNNNNNNNNNNNNNNNNNNNNNNNNNNNNNNNNNNNNNNNNNNNNNNNNNNNNNNNNNNNNNNNNNNNNNNNNNNNNNNNNNNNNNNNNNNNNNNNNNNNNNNNNNNNNNNNNNNNNNNNNNNNNNNNNNNNNNNNNNNNNNNNNNNNNNNNNNNNNNNNNNNNNNNNNNNNNNNNNNNNNNNNNNNNNNNNNNNNNNNNNNNNNNNNNNNNNNNNNNNNNNNNNNNNNNNNNNNNNNNNNNNNNNNNNNNNNNNNNNNNNNNNNNNNNNNNNNNNNNNNNNNNNNNNNNNNNNNNNNNNNNNNNNNNNNNNNNNNNNNNNNNNNNNNNNNNNNNNNNNNNNNNNNNNNNNNNNNNNNNNNNNNNNNNNNNNNNNNNNNNNNNNNNNNNNNNNNNNNNNNNNNNNNNNNNNNNNNNNNNNNNNNNNNNNNNNNNNNNNNNNNNNNNNNNNNNNNNNNNNNNNNNNNNNNNNNNNNNNNNNNNNNNNNNNNNNNNNNNNNNNNNNNNNNNNNNNNNNNNNNNNNNNNNNNNNNNNNNNNNNNNNNNNNNNNNNNNNNNNNNNNNNNNNNNNNNNNNNNNNNNNNNNNNNNNNNNNNNNNNNNNNNNNNNNNNNNNNNNNNNNNNNNNNNNNNNNNNNNNNNNNNNNNNNNNNNNNNNNNNNNNNNNNNNNNNNNNNNNNNNNNNNNNNNNNNNNNNNNNNNNNNNNNNNNNNNNNNNNNNNNNNNNNNNNNNNNNNNNNNNNNNNNNNNNNNNNNNNNNNNNNNNNNNNNNNNNNNNNNNNNNNNNNNNNNNNNNNNNNNNNNNNNNNNNNNNNNNNNNNNNNNNNNNNNNNNNNNNNNNNNNNNNNNNNNNNNNNNNNNNNNNNNNNNNNNNNNNNNNNNNNNNNNNNNNNNNNNNNNNNNNNNNNNNNNNNNNNNNNNNNNNNNNNNNNNNNNNNNNNNNNNNNNNNNNNNNNNNNNNNNNNNNNNNNNNNNNNNNNNNNNNNNNNNNNNNNNNNNNNNNNNNNNNNNNNNNNNNNNNNNNNNNNNNNNNNNNNNNNNNNNNNNNNNNNNNNNNNNNNNNNNNNNNNNNNNNNNNNNNNNNNNNNNNNNNNNNNNNNNNNNNNNNNNNNNNNNNNNNNNNNNNNNNNNNNNNNNNNNNNNNNNNNNNNNNNNNNNNNNNNNNNNNNNNNNNNNNNNNNNNNNNNNNNNNNNNNNNNNNNNNNNNNNNNNNNNNNNNNNNNNNNNNNNNNNNNNNNNNNNNNNNNNNNNNNNNNNNNNNNNNNNNNNNNNNNNNNNNNNNNNNNNNNNNNNNNNNNNNNNNNNNNNNNNNNNNNNNNNNNNNNNNNNNNNNNNNNNNNNNNNNNNNNNNNNNNNNNNNNNNNNNNNNNNNNNNNNNNNNNNNNNNNNNNNNNNNNNNNNNNNNNNNNNNNNNNNNNNNNNNNNNNNNNNNNNNNNNNNNNNNNNNNNNNNNNNNNNNNNNNNNNNNNNNNNNNNNNNNNNNNNNNNNNNNNNNNNNNNNNNNNNNNNNNNNNNNNNNNNNNNNNNNNNNNNNNNNNNNNNNNNNNNNNNNNNNNNNNNNNNNNNNNNNNNNNNNNNNNNNNNNNNNNNNNNNNNNNNNNNNNNNNNNNNNNNNNNNNNNNNNNNNNNNNNNNNNNNNNNNNNNNNNNNNNNNNNNNNNNNNNNNNNNNNNNNNNNNNNNNNNNNNNNNNNNNNNNNNNNNNNNNNNNNNNNNNNNNNNNNNNNNNNNNNNNNNNNNNNNNNNNNNNNNNNNNNNNNNNNNNNNNNNNNNNNNNNNNNNNNNNNNNNNNNNNNNNNNNNNNNNNNNNNNNNNNNNNNNNNNNNNNNNNNNNNNNNNNNNNNNNNNNNNNNNNNNNNNNNNNNNNNNNNNNNNNNNNNNNNNNNNNNNNNNNNNNNNNNNNNNNNNNNNNNNNNNNNNNNNNNNNNNNNNNNNNNNNNNNNNNNNNNNNNNNNNNNNNNNNNNNNNNNNNNNNNNNNNNNNNNNNNNNNNNNNNNNNNNNNNNNNNNNNNNNNNNNNNNNNNNNNNNNNNNNNNNNNNNNNNNNNNNNNNNNNNNNNNNNNNNNNNNNNNNNNNNNNNNNNNNNNNNNNNNNNNNNNNNNNNNNNNNNNNNNNNNNNNNNNNNNNNNNNNNNNNNNNNNNNNNNNNNNNNNNNNNNNNNNNNNNNNNNNNNNNNNNNNNNNNNNNNNNNNNNNNNNNNNNNNNNNNNNNNNNNNNNNNNNNNNNNNNNNNNNNNNNNNNNNNNNNNNNNNNNNNNNNNNNNNNNNNNNNNNNNNNNNNNNNNNNNNNNNNNNNNNNNNNNNNNNNNNNNNNNNNNNNNNNNNNNNNNNNNNNNNNNNNNNNNNNNNNNNNNNNNNNNNNNNNNNNNNNNNNNNNNNNNNNNNNNNNNNNNNNNNNNNNNNNNNNNNNNNNNNNNNNNNNNNNNNNNNNNNNNNNNNNNNNNNNNNNNNNNNNNNNNNNNNNNNNNNNNNNNNNNNNNNNNNNNUUGUCCCAUCAACAAUGAUACUCGACUAGGGACAUUUAAGAACACUGAUACUAAUGGUAAUAUAUAAUCUCAUGUUCAAGUCACAUACUUGAAACUAUAUAAUUUGUAUCACUAUUCUAAGGAAUUUUAUUAUGUUAACAAUUAUAUUACGCAGUAAAUAAAACCAUAAUAAAAUCAUAUAUUUAUUCAAUCAAAUAUAAUAUCAAAACGUUAAGCAAUUAUAUCAAAUAAUUGGCCCCUAGGGCAUAAACUCUAACAGUUAUCAGCCUGUAGGCAAAACUGACCAACACUUAGGUAAAAAGUCAAAAAAGAGGACAAAACCUGCCUCAGCCAUCGUAACGAUACGCAAACAUAUACAUAGAACCGCGUAGGUAUUAGGCAUACAUUACAACUUACGGGACUCGAUUUCGACAUACGGAGGCCGAGUUAUCAGCCCGUAGGCAAAACUGACCAACACUUAGGCAAAAAGUCGAAAAAGAGGCCAAAACCAACCUCGGCCGUCGUAACAACACACAAAUACAUACAUAGCACUGCAUGAGUAAUAGGCACGCGUUAUAACUUACGAGACUCAAUUCUGAUUUACGGAGGCCGAGUUAUCAGCCCGUAAGCAAAACUGAACAACAUUUAGGUAAAAAGUCAAAAAAGAGGCGAAAACAUGCCUCGACCGUCGUAACGACAUAAAAACACAUACAUAGUACUGCGUAUGUAUAAGGCCUACGUUAUAACUUACAGGACUCGAUUCUGACAUACGUAGACCGAGUUAUUAGCCCGUAUUCAAAAUUGACCAACACUUAGGUAAAAAGUUAAAAAAGAGGCCAAAACCCGCAUCGGCCAUUGUAACGACACGCAAAUACGUGCAUAGCACCGCGUAGGUAUUAGGCACGCGUUACAACUUAUGGGACUUGAUUCUAACUUACAGAGGUCGAGUUAUCAGCCCGUAGGCAAAACUGACCAACACUUAGGCAAAAAGUCAAAAAAGAGGCUAAAACCCGCCUCAACCGUCGUAACGACACGCAAACACGUACAUAGUACCGUGUAGAUAUUAGGCAUGAAUUAUAAUUAACGGGACUCGAUUCUAACUUACAGAGGUCGAGUUAUCAGCCCGUAGGCAAAACGGACCAAUACUUAGGCAAAAAGUCAAAAAAGAGGCCGAAACAUGCCUCGGCCGUCGUAAUGACACGCAAAAAUAUACAUAGCACCGCGUAGGUAUUCGUUACAACUUACGGGACUAGAUUCCGACUUACGGAGGCCGAUUUAUCAGCCUGUUUGCCAAACUGACUAACAUUUAGGUAAAAAGUCAAAAAAGAGGCCAAAACCCGCCUCGGACGUCGUAAAGACAUGCAAACACAGACAUAGUAUUGUGUAGGCAUUAGGCACGCGUUAAAACUUAUGGGACUCGAUUUCAACUUACGGAGGCCGAGUUAUCAGCUCGUACGCAAAACUGACCAACACUUAGGCAAAAAGUCGAAAAAGAGGCCAAAACCCACCUCAGCCGGCAUAACAACACGCAAACACAUAUAUAGCACAGCAUAGGCAUUAGGCACACGUUACAACUUAAGGGACUCGAUUCUGACUUACGGAAGUCGACUUAUAAGGCCAUAGGAAAAACUCGCCAACAAUUAGAUAAAAAAUCAAAAAAGAGGCCAAAACCUGUCUUGACCGUUGUAACAACCCGCAGACACAUACAUAGCACAGCGUAGGUAUUAGGUACGCGUUACAACUUAAGUGACUCGAUUCUAACUUACGGAGGCCGAGUUAUCAGCCCGUAGGCAAAACUGACCAACACUUAGGUAAAAAGUCGAAAAAGAGACCAAAACCCAUCUCGACUGUCAUAACGACACAAAAACACAUACAUAGCACCGCAUAGGUAUUAGGCACGCGUUAUAACUUAAGGGACUCGAUUCUAACUUACGGAGGCCGAGUUAUUAGCCCGUAGUCAAAAUUGGAUAACACUUAAGCAAAAAGUCAAAAAAGUGGCCAAAACCUGCCUCGGCUGUCGUAACGAUAUGCAAACACAAACAUAGCACCAUGUAGGUAUUAGGCACGCGUUACAACUUACAGUACUCAAUUCUGACUUACGGAGGCCGAGUUAUCAGCCCGUAGGCAAAACUGACCAACAUAUAGGUCAAAAGUCGAAAAAGAGGCCAAAACCCGCCUCGGCCGUCGUAACAACACGCAAACACGUGCAUAGUACCGCAUAGGUAUUAGGCACGCGUUACAACUUACGGUACUCAAUUCUAACUUACGGAGGCCGAGUUAUCAGCCCGUAGGCAAAACUGACCAACAUAUAGGUCAAAAGUCGAAAAAGAGGCCAAAACCCGCCUCGGCCGUCGUAACAACACGCAAACACGUGCAUAGUACCGCAUAGGUAUUAGGCACGCGUUACAACUUACAGGACUUGAUUCCAACUUACGGAGGCCGAGUUAUUAGCCCGUAGCCAAAACUGACCAACACUUAGGCAAAAAGUCGAAAAAGAGGCCAAAACCCGUCUCGGCCGUCGUAACAACACGCAAACAAAUAUAUAGCACCGCAUAUGUAUCAGGCGUGUGUUACAACUUACGGGACUCGAUUCAAACCUGCGGAGGCCGAGUUAUCAGCCCGUAGACAAAACUGACCAACACUUAGAUAACAAGUUAAAAAAGAGGCCAAAACCCGCCUCGGCCGUUGUAACGACAAAAAAACACAUGCAUAGUACCGCGUAGGUAUUAGGCACGCGUUAAAACUUACGGAACUCGAUUCCAACUUACGGAGGCCGAGUUAUCAGCCCGUAGGCAAAACUAACCAACACUUAGGUAAAAAGUCAAAAAAGAGGCCAAAACCCGCCUCGGCCGUCGUAACGUCACGCAAACACGUAUAUAUCACCGUGUAGGUAUUAGGCACACGUUACUACUUACUGGAAUCGAUUCUGAUUUACGGAGGCCGAGUUAUCAGCUCGUAGACAAAACUGACCAAUACUUAGGCAAAAAGUCAAAAAAGAAGCCAAAACUCGCCUCGGCUGUUGUAAAGAGACAAAAACUCGUACAUAGCACCGCGUAGGUAUUAGGCAUGCAUUACAGCUUACGGAACUCGAUUCUGACUUAUGGAGGCCGAGUUAUCAACCCGUAAGCAAAACUGACCAAUAUUUAGGUAAAAAGUCAAAAAAGAGGCCAAAACUUGCCUCAGCCAUCAUAACGAUACGCAAACACAUAAAUAGCACCGCGUAGGUAUUAGGCAUGCAUUACAACUUACGGGACUCGAUUUCGACAAACGGAGGCCGAGUUAUCAGCCCAUAGGCAAAACUGACCAACACUUAGGCAAAAAGUCGAAAAAGAGGCCAAAACCCACCUCGACCGUCGUAACAACACGCAAAUACAUACAUAGCACUGCAUGGGUAUUAGGCACGCGUUAUAACUUACGGGACUCAAUUCUGACUUACGGAAGCCGAGUUAUCAGCCCGUAAGCAAAAUUGAACAACAUUUAGGUAAAAAGUCAAAAAAGAGGCCAAAACCCGCAUCGGCCGUCGUAACGACACGCAAACACAUACAUAUCACCGCGUAAGUAUUAGACAAUCGUUACAACUUACGGGACUCGAUUCUGACUUACGGAGGUCGAGUUAUCAGCCCGUAGGCAAAGCGCCAACACUUAGGCAGAAAGUUGAAAAAGAGGCCAAAACCCGCCUCGACCGUCGUAACAACACGCACACACAUACAUAGCAUAGCGUCGGUAUUAGGCACGUGUUAUAACUUACGGGACUCAAUUCUACCUUACGGAGGCCAAGUUAACAGCCCGUAGGUAAAACUGAACAACACUUAGGCAAGAAGUCAAAAAAGAGGCCAAAACCCGCCUCGGCAGUCGUAAAGACACGCAAACAUGAACAUAGCACCAUUCAGGUAUUAGGCACGUGUUAGAACUUACAUGACUCGAUUCCGACUUACAAAGGCCGAGUUAUCAGCCCGUAGGCAAAACUGACCAACACUUAGGCAAAAUGUCAAAAAAAGGCCAAAACCCGCUUCGGCCGUCGUAACAACAAGCAAACACGUGCAUAGUACCGCAUAGGUAUUAGGCACACGUUAUAACUUACAGGACUCGAUUCGGACAUACGAAGGCCGAGUUAUCCGUAGGCAAAACUGAACAACACUUAGGUAAAAAGUCAAAAAAGAGACCAAAACAUGCCUUAACCGUCGUAACGACACGCAAACACAUACAUAGCACUGUGCAUGUCUUAGGCAUGUGCUACAACUUACGGGACUCGAUUCCGACAUACGUAGGACAAGUUGUCAGCCCGUAGGCAAAAUUGACCAACACUUAGGUAAAAAUUUAAAAAAGGCCAAAACCCGCCUCGGCCAUUGUAAUGACAUGCAAACACAUGCAUAGCACCGCGUAGGUAUUAAGCACGCGUUAUAACUUACCUGACUCAAUUCCGACUUACGGAGGCCGAGUUAUCAGUUCGUAGGCAAAACUGACCAACACUAAGGGAAAAAGUCAAAAAAGAAGCGAAAACCCACCUCGACCGUCGUAAUGACACGCAAACAUGUACAUAGCACCGCACAGGUAUUAGACACGUGUUACAACUUACGAGACUCGAUUCUGACUUACGAAGGCCGAGUUAUCAGCCCGUAGGCAAAACUGACCAACACUUAGACAAAAAAUCAAAAAAGAGGCCAAAACUAGCCUCGACCGUUUUAACGAUACGGAAACUAGUAUAUAGCAGCACGUAGGUAUUAAGCACGCGUUACAACUUAUGGGACUCGAUUCCGAUUACGGAGGCCGAGUUAUCAGCCCGUAGACAAAACUUACCAACACUUAGAUAAAAGUCAAAAAAGAGGCCAAAACCCGCCUCGGCCAUCGUAACGAUACGCUAAUACAUACAUAGCACCGCGUAGGUAUUAGGCAUAUGUUACAACUUACGGGACUCGAUUCCGACAUACAGAGGCCGAGUUAUCAGCCCGUAAGCAAAACUAACCAACAGUUAGGCAAAAAGUCAAAAAGAGGUCAAAAACCACCUCGGCAGUCGUAACGACACGUAAACACAUACAUAGAACCGCGUGGGUAUUAGGCAUGUGUUACAACUUAUGGGUCUUGAUUCUGACUUACGGAGGCCGAGUUAUCAGCCCGUAGGCAAAACUAAACAACACUUAGGCAAAAAGUCGAACAACAGGCCAAAACCAGCCUCGACCGUCAUAACGAUAUGCAAAUACGUACAUAGCACCGUGUAGGUAUUAGGCACGCGUUACAACUUAAGGGACUCGAUUCCAUCAUACGGAGACCGAGCUAUCAGUUUGUAGACAAAACUGACCAACAGUUAGGCAAAAAGUCAAAAAAGAGGCCAAAACUCACCUCGGCCAUCGUAACAACACGCAAAGACAUACAUAGCACUGCAUGGGUAUUAGGCACGCGUUAUAACUUACGGGACUCAAUUCUGACUUACGGAGGCCGAGUUAUCAGCCCGUAAGCAAAAACUGAACAACAUUUAGAUAAAAAGUCAAAAAAGAGGCCAAAACCCGUCUCGGCCGUCAUAACGAAACAAAAAUACGUACAUAACACCGCGUAGGUAUUAGGCACGUGUAACAACUUAAGGGAUUGGAUUCCGACUUACAGAGGCCAAGUUAUCAGCCGGUAGGCAAAACUGACCAAUACUUAGCCAAAAAGUCGAAAAAGAUGCCAAAACCCGCCUCGGACGUCGUAAAGACAUGCAAACACAGACAUAGUAUUGUGUAGGCAUUAGGCACGCGUUAAAACUUACGGGACUCGAUUUCAACUUACGGAGGCCGAGUUAUCAGCUCGUACGUAAAAUUGACCAAGACUUAGGCAAAAAGUCGAAAAAGAGGCCAAAACCCACCUCAGCCGGCAUAACAACACGCAAACACAUACAUAGUACCGCGUAGGUAUUAGGCACACGUUACAACUUAAGGGACACGAUUCUGACUUACGAAAGUUGACUUAUAAGGCCAUAGGCAAAACUCGCCAACACUUACAUAAAAAUUCGAAAAAGAGGCCAAAACCUGUCUUGACCGUCGUAACAACCCGCAGAUACAUACAUAGCAUAGCGUAGGUAUUAGGCACACGUUACAACUUAAGUGACUCGAUUAUAACUUACGGAGGCCGAGUUAUCAGCCCGUAGGCAAAACUGACCAACACUUAGGCAAAAAGUCAAAAAAGAGAUCAAAACCCGUCUCGAAUGUCAUAACGACACAAAAACACAUACAUAGCACCACAUAGGUAUUAGGCACACGUUACAACUUAAGGGACUUGAUUCUGACUUACGGAGGCCGAGUUAUUAGCCCGUAGUCAAAACUGGAUAACACUUAAGUAAAAAGUCAAAAAUGAGGCCAAAACCUGCCUCGGCUGUCGUAACGAUAUGCAAACACAAACAUAGCACCAUGUAGGUAUUAGGCACGCUUUACAACUUACGGGACUCGAUUCUGACUUACGGAGGCCGAGUUAUCAGCCCGUAGGCAAAACUGACCAACAUAUAGCUCAAAAGUCGAAAAAGAGGCCAAAACCCGCCUCGGCCGUUGUAAUAACACGCAAACACGUGCAUAGUACCGCGUAGGUAUUAGGCACGCGUUACAACUUACAGGACUUGAUUCCAACUUACGAAGGCCGAGUUAUCAGCCCGUAGCCAAAACUGACCAACACUUAGGCAAAAAGUCGAAAAAGAGGCCAAAACCCGUAUCGGCCGUCGUAACAACACGCAAACACAAAUAUAGCACCGCGUAGGUAUUAGGCGUGUGUUACAACUUACGGGACUCGAUUCAGACCUGCAGAGGCCGAGUUAUCAGCUCGUAGACAAAACUGACCAACACUUAGGUAACAAGUUAAAAAAGAGGCCAAAACCCGCCUCGGCAGUUGUAACGACACGAAAACACAUGCAUAGUACCGCGUAGGUAUUAGGCAUGCGUUAAAACUUACGGAACUCGAUUCCAACUUACGGAGCCCGAGUUAUCAGCCCGUAGGCAAAACUGACCAACACUUUGGUAAAAAGUCAAAAAAGAGGCCAAAACCUGCCUCGGCCGUCGUAACGUCACGCAAACACGUACAUAUCACCGUGUAGGUAUUAGGCACGCGUUACUACUUACUGGAAUCGAUUCGGAUUUACGGAGGCCGAGUUAUCAGCUCAUAGGCAAAACUGAACAACAUUUAGGUAAAAAGUCAAAAAAGAAGCCAAAACCCGCAUCGGCCGUCGUAACAACACGCAAACACAUAUAUAUCACCGCGUAGGUAUUAGACAAUCGUUACAACUUACGGGACUCGAUUCUGACUUACGGAGGUCGAGUUAUCAGCCCGUAGGCAAAAGUCGUCAACACUUAGGCAGAAAGUUGAAAAAGAGGGCAAAACCCGCCUCGACCGUCGUUAUAACACGCACACACAUACAUAGCAUAGCGUCGGUAUUAGGCACGUGUUAUAACUUACAGGACUCAAUUCUACCUUACGGAGGCCAAGUUAACAGCCCGUAGGUAAAACUGACCAACACUUAGGCAAGAAGUCAAAAAAGAGGCCAAAACCCGCCUCGGCAGUUGUAAAGACACGCAAACAUGAACAUAGCACCGUUCAGGUAUUAGGCACGUGUUAGAACUUACAUGACUCGAUUCCGACUUACAGAGGCCGAGUUAUCAGCCCGUAGGCAAAACUGACCAACACUUAGGCAAAAUGUCGAAAAAAGGCCAAAACCCGCUUCGGCCGUCGUAACAACAAUCAAACACGUGCAUAGUACCGCGUAGGCAAAACUGACCAACACUUAGGCAAAAAGUCGAAAAAGAGGCCAAAACUAGCCUCGGUCGUUGUAACGAUACGGAAACUAGUAUAUAGCACCACGUAGGUAUUAAGCACGCGUUACAACUUACGAGACUCAAUUGCGAUUACGGAGGCCGAGUUAUCAACCCGUAGACAAAACAUACCAACACUUAGAUAAAAAGUCAAAAAAGAGGCCAAAACCCGCCUCAGCCAUCGUAACGAUACGCUAAUACAUACAUAGCACCGCGUAGGUAUUAGGCAUACGUUACAACUCCCGAGACUCGAUUCCGACAUACGGAGGCCGAGUUAUCAGCCCGUAGGCAAAACUAACCAACACUUACGCAAAAAGUCAAAAAAAAGGUCAAAAACCACCUUGGCAGUCGUAACGACACGUAAACACAUACAUAGAACCGCGUGGGUAUUAGGCAUGUGUUACAACUUAUGGGUCUUGAUUCUGACUUACAGAGGCCGAGUUAUCAGCCCGUAGGCAAAACUGAACAACACUUAGGUAAAAAGUCGAACAACAGGCCAAAACCAGCCUCGACCGUUGUAACGAUAUGCAAAUACGUACAUAGCACCGUGUAGGUAUUAGGCACGUGUUAUAACUUAAGGGACUCAAUUCCGUCAUACGGAGACCGAGCUAUCAGUUUGUAGGCAAAACUGACCAACACUUAGGCAAAAAGUCAAAAAAGAGGCAAAAACUCACCUCGGCCGUCGUAACAACACGCAAAGACAUAAAUAGUACUGCAUGGGUAUUAGGCACGCGUUAUAACUUACAGGACUCAAUUCUGACUUACGGAGGCCGAGUUAUCAACCCGUAAGCAAAACUGAACAACAUUUAGAUAAAAAGUCAAAAAAAGGCCAAAACCCGCCUCGGCCGUCGUAACGACACGCAAACACAUACAUAGCACCGCGUAGGUAUUAGGCACUCGUUACAACUUACGAGACUCAAUUCUGACUAACGGAGGCCGAGUUAUCAGCCUGUAGGCAAAACUCGCUAACACUUAAGCAAAGAGUCGAAAAAGAGGCCAAAACCCGCCUCGACCGUCGUAACAACACACACAUACAUAUAUAGCACAACGUAGGUAUUAGGCAUGUGUUACAACUUACGGGACUCAAUUCUAACUUACGGAGGCCGAGUUAUCAGCCCGUAAGUAAAACUGACCAACACUUAGGCAAGAAUUCAAAAAAGAGGCCAAAACCCGCCUCGGCAGUCGUAAAGACACGCAAACAUGAACAUAGCACCGUGUAGGUAUUAGGCACGUGUUAGAACUUAUGGGGCUCGAUUCCGACUUACAGAGGCCGAGUUAUCAGCCCGUAGGCAAAACUGACCAACACUUAGGCAAAAUGUCGAAAAAGAGGCCAAAACCCGCCUCGGCCGUCGUAAAAACAAGCAAACACGUGCAUAGUACCGCGUAGGUAUUAGGCACGCGUUAUAACUUACGGGACUCGAUUCCGAUAAACGUGUUAGGUUUUUGUGAAAAUCAAAGUAGCAAUCAAAUUGCAAAAUUUUGCGGAAGCGUAAUAAAAUCAGAUUUUAAAAUUUUUCACAAACCAAUUACCCGGAUCAAUCUUUAUGCAUAUUAUUAAUUAAACGAAGAAUAAGAAAUUGUGAAAUCAUACCCUUGUAGAAACGAGCUUCCUCAGGUAUGAGUUCACCUCCUACUUCUCCGCGAUCUCCUUGAAUCUCCGGGUAAAUUCCUUCCUUUGAUCAAUGUAAGCCACCCAAGUGUAUGGCCUCUAGAGGUGAUCCACCAAGGAAGAAGAAUUUUCAAGAAGAAGGGUGUAUUGGCUCAAACCCUAGUUUUUCCUAUCUCUAUAGAAAAAGGGAGUACUCUCCAACUCUUUGGAAUUACGNNNNNNNNNNNNNNNNNNNNNNNNNNNNNNNNNNNNNNNNNNNNNNNNNNNNNNNNNNNNNNNNNNNNNNNNNNNNNNNNNNNNNNNNNNNNNNNNNNNNNNNNNNNNNNNNNNNNNNNNNNNNNNNNNNNNNNNNNNNNNNNNNNNNNNNNNNNNNNNNNNNNNNNNNNNNNNNNNNNNNNNNNNNNNNNNNNNNNNNNNNNNNNNNNNNNNNNNNNNNNNNNNNNNNNNNNNNNNNNNNNNNNNNNNNNNNNNNNNNNNNNNNNNNNNNNNNNNNNNNNNNNNNNNNNNNNNNNNNNNNNNNNNNNNNNNNNNNNNNNNNNNNNNNNNNNNNNNNNNNNNNNNNNNNNNNNNNNNNNNNNNNNNNNNNNNNNNNNNNNNNNNNNNNNNNNNNNNNNNNNNNNNNNNNNNNNNNNNNNNNNNNNNNNNNNNNNNNNNNNNNNNNNNNNNNNNNNNNNNNNNNNNNNNNNNNNNNNNNNNNNNNNNNNNNNNNNNNNNNNNNNNNNNNNNNNNNNNNNNNNNNNNNNNNNNNNNNNNNNNNNNNNNNNNNNNNNNNNNNNNNNNNNNNNNNNNNNNNNNNNNNNNNNNNNNNNNNNNNNNNNNNNNNNNNNNNNNNNNNNNNNNNNNNNNNNNNNNNNNNNNNNNNNNNNNNNNNNNNNNNNNNNNNNNNNNNNNNNNNNNNNNNNNNNNNNNNNNNNNNNNNNNNNNNNNNNNNNNNNNNNNNNNNNNNNNNNNNNNNNNNNNNNNNNNNNNNNNNNNNNNNNNNNNNNNNNNNNNNNNNNNNNNNNNNNNNNNNNNNNNNNNNNNNNNNNNNNNNNNNNNNNNNNNNNNNNNNNNNNNNNNNNNNNNNNNNNNNNNNNNNNNNNNNNNNNNNNNNNNNNNNNNNNNNNNNNNNNNNNNNNNCUAUCUAAGAAUUUAGAUCUCAUUAGCAUGAUCUCAUCAUGAUUCUAAAAGCAUUGCUUAAAACUAUGGGUUUAUCACAUAUUAAAAUAGCACCAUGUAGAUAAUAAAUGCCUUUAAUAAAUAAUUCUUUUAUUAAUAAAUAAAUAAGAUUGAUUACAAAGUAUAUGCUUUAUCAUCAUACAUGAUUGGCUUGUAUGCAUACUACUUUCAAAACGGAGGCCGAGUUAUCAGCCCGUAAGCAAAACUGAACAACACUUAGGCAAAAAGUAAAAAAAGAGGCCAAAACAUGCCACGGCCGUCGUAAUGACACGCAAACACAUACAUAGCACCGCGCAUGUAUUUGACAUGUGCUACAACUUACGGGACUCGAUUCUGACAUACGUAGGCCAAGGUGUCGGCCCGUAGGUAAAAUUGACCAAUAAUUUGGUAAAAAAUUAAAAAAGAGGCCAAAACCCGUCUCAACCAUUGUAAUGACAUGCAAACACAUGCAUAGCACCGCGUAGGUAUUAGGCACGUGUUAUAACUUACGGGACUCAAUUAUGACUUACGGAGGCCGAGUUAUCAGUUCGUAGGAAAAACUGACCAACACUUAGGGAAAAAGUCAAAAAAGAAGCUAAAACCCACCUCGGCCGUCGUAAUGACACGCAAACACGUACAUAGCACCGCGCAGGUAUUGGGCACGUGUUACAACUUACGGGACUCGAUUCUGACUUACGGAGGCCGAGUUAUCAGCCCGUAGACAAAACUGACCAACACUUAGGCAAAAAAUCGAAAAAGAGGCCAAAACUCGCCUCGGUCGUUGUAACGAUACAGAAACUCGUAUAUCGCACGACGUAGGUAUUAGGCACGCGUUACAACUUACGGGACUCAAUUCUGACUUACAGAGGCCGAGUUAUCAGCCCGUAGAUAAAACUAACCCACACUUAGGUAAAAAGUCAAAAAAGAGGCCAAAACCCGCCUCGGCUGUCAUAACGAUACGCUAACACAUACAUAGCACCGCAUAGGUAUUAAGCAUACGUUACAACAUACGGGACUCGUUUCCGACAUACAGAGGCCGAAUUAUCAGCCCGUAGGCAAAACUGACCAACACCUAGGCAAAAAGUUAAAAAAGAGGCCAAAAACCACCUCGGCAAUCGUAACGACACGCAAACACAUAUAUAGAACCGCGUGGGUUUUAAACAUGUGUUACAACUUAUAGGUCUUGAUUCUGACUUACGGAGGCCGAGUUAUCAGCCCGUAGGCAAAACUGAACAACACUUAGGCAAAAAGUCGAACAAGAGACCAAAACCAGCCUCGACCGUCGUAACGAUAUGCAAACACGUACAUAGAACCGCGUAGGUAUUAGGCACGCGUUACAACUUAAGGGAUUCGAUUCCAACAUACGGAGGCCGAGCUAUCAGCCUGUAGGCAAAACUGACCAACACUUCGGUAAAAAGUCGAAAAAGAGGCCAAAACCUGCCUUGGCUGUCGUAACGACGCGCAAACACAUGCAUAGCACCGCGUAGGUAUUUAGCAUGCGUUACACCUUACGGGACUCGAUUCCGAUAUACGAAGGCCGAGUUAUCAGCCCGUAGGUAAAAUUGACCAACACUUAGUGAAAAAGUCGAAAAAGAGGUCAAAAUCGCCUCGACCGACAUAAUGACACGCAAACACGUACAUAUCACUGCGUCGAUAUUAGACAUGUGUUACAACUUAUGGGACUCGAUUCUGACAUACAGAUGCCGAGUUAUCAGCGCGUAGGUAAAACUGACCAACACUCAAGCAAAAAGUCAAAAAAGAGUCCAAAAUCCACCUCGGCUGUCGUAAUAACACGCAAACAUAUACAUAGCACUAUAUAGGUAUUAGGCACGCGCUACAACUUAUGGGACUCGAUUUUGACUUACGGAGGCCGAGUUAUCAGCGUGUAGUCAAAAUUGACCAACACUUAAGCAAAAAGUCUAAAAAGGGGCCAAAACAAGCCUCGGCUAUCGUAACAACACGCAAACACGUACGUAGCAUCGCGUAGGUAUUAGGCAUGCGUUACAACUUAUGAGACUCGAUUCCAACUUACGGAGGCCGAGUUAUCUGCCCGUAGGCAAAAUUGACCAACACUUAGGCAAAAAGUCGAAAAAGAGGCCAAAACUAGCCUCGACAGUUUUGACGACACACAAACACAUACAUAGCAUUGCGUAGGUAUUAGGCACGCAUUACAACUUACGGGACUCGAUUCUGACUUACGGGGGUCGAGUUAUCAGCCCCUAGGCAAAACUGACCAACACUUAGGAAAAAAGUCUAAAAAGAGGCCAAAACCGGCCUCGACCGUUGUAACCAUAGGCAAACUCUUACAUAGCACCGUGUAGGUAUUAGGCAUGCGUUACAACUUACAGGACUCGAUUCCGACUUACGGAGACCGAGUUAUCAGCCCGUAGGCAAAACUGACCAACACUUAGCUAAAAAGUCAAAAAAAAAAGCCAAAACCCGACUCGGCCGUCAAAACGAUACGCAAACACAUACAUAGAACCACGUAGGUAUUAGGCAUGUGUUACAACUUAUGGGACUUGAUUCCGAUAUACGGAGGCCGAGUUAUCAACCCGUAGGCAUAACUAACCAACACUUAGGCAAAAAGUCGAAAAAGAGACCAAAACCCUCCUCGGCCGUCUUAACGACACACAAACACUUACAUAGCACCGCGUGGGUAUUAUGUGACGCCCCCAAAAUAGGUAUACAUCACCCAUUUUGAGUUGUCAAAUACAUGGUACAGAAACUACUACAACUUUAUUAUUACAACAUAAAAACUGUGAGUUUAAAAUACAAAUAUUGUCAUCCAGACAAUAUUAAUACCCAAAUAAAUCCUCAUCACAAUUAUUAAUACAUUAUUUUAUGAAAAUGGUGAGGACUACUAAACAACUCUCUCUAGAACCAUCAUUCCAUACCCCGACUCGUACUCGCUAUAUUCUCGCCUCCUGAGAAGAAAAAUGGAACAACAAGGAAAAGGGUGAGCUCAACUAGCCCAGUAAAGAAUAUUAUGACUAAGAUAAUAUAGAACAAAUUAUCGUUAGUCCUCAACAGGGAAAAAUCUGAUAGAAUACAAUAGACAACAAAUUUCAGAUCAAUAUUCGCAGCGAAAAAUAAUAAUUCAUAGAAUAGUUACGUAGAGGAUGAAAUCUACUAAUAUCUAUGAAUUAAACAGUCCAUCAUCAUUAUUUUAUCCCUGUAACAUCAAUCAAUAUACAUCUUGAAUCAAAUAUUCAUCUUUGCACUACAGGCCAAAGAUAUUCAGUAACAUCAUCAUUUAGGACUGAGGAUGAUGAAAAAUAUUUUUAAAGAAACGAAUCCAGUGAAACAAAAGACAAGGAUUAAGGAUUAAGGAUUAAGGAUUCGUAAUUCGGUUUAUCCAUGUCCAAAAAUACCUCAAUAAUAAUCAUAGUGGAGUAAAAUUCAAGAAUGAUCAAAACAUGGAUACAAUCAAAGCUAGUAAUCAUAAUAGAUAUUUUGGACAAAAACGAAAAUUUAAUUUUUUUGUGGAUAGUGUCGUAUUCGUGAAUAGUGCCAUAUACGUAAAUAGUGCUAUAUACGUGAAUAGUAACACCUACACAAAAAGUUCCAAAUUUGAUAAAAACUUCAGAUCAAUAUUUUGGCAUAAUGAUAUUAAAGAAAUAAUAUCAUUACAAAAAAAAUAAUAUCCCUUACCUCGAAAGACAGUACUUCUAGUUGAAACACCGGAUAUUGACUAUGACUUGAACUUGCACCGUAUAGCAAUACUCAAAGUAUACUCAAAAUACUCACAAGAAUACGCUCGAUAAUAUAGAGAGAGAAAACUUCGCUUUCUGGUGUAAUUUUCAAUUCUAACCUAAGCACCCUAUUUAUAGGAAAAUGCUUAGAACACCAAAGCAGAAAAUUUAAUAUAAUAAUAUAUUUAUAAAAAUUUGUCUACGCCAACCUUUGAGAAUCUGAAAUCAGCCCCUUCAACACACAUAUGGAACACACCUUAAUGAAAAAAACGUUUUUCAUACUUUAAAUAUUUUAAACUUCCAAAAAUCAAUUAUUUCGGAGCUUCGGAACUUCAAUAAUUCAUAAUAAAUAGCCCUUUUAUCCGAAAAUUUGAAUCUCGCGAGUUUUUAUAGGAAAUUCAAUUCUCUACAACUUUUCAGAAGAAAGUUUUUCCAAAUUCCAAACAGAAAUUGACCGAAAUCCACAAACGGACGAUUUUACAGGCUAUAAUCAAAUUUCAGUCAAUAAAUGGGGUCCACCGACAUGUUUAACAUGUUUUAAAUAUUUAUUGUAACAAAAAUACUCCUCCUCCACAUAUACUCAUAUAUCCCACAUUCAUCGUAAAAAUAUCAUCAUUAUUAUAUUAUUAAAAUAUAAUAAUAUAUUUAAAUGAAUUAUUUUAUCAGAAAAAGAUAAAAUUUCAAUUUUCAACAAUUGUCACAUUAAAAAUUUUUUUCCAUCUAUAUCCACAUAAAAUCAAUAUUUUCCUCAUCAUAUAAAUCAUUAAUUAAUUAUUCAAAAAUAAUAUUACAGAAUCACAAUACUGACAACCAGGCAGUUCCCAGGAAAGAGGGGGCCUUCCGGUAAAGAUUUCUCCUUANNNNNNNNNNNNNNNNNNNNNNNNNNNNNNNNNNNNNNNNNNNNNNNNNNNNNNNNNNNNNNNNNNNNNNNNNNNNNNNNNNNNNNNNNNNNNNNNNNNNNNNNNNNNNNNNNNNNNNNNNNNNNNNNNNNNNNNNNNNNNNNNNNNNNNNNNNNNNNNNNNNNNNNNNNNNNNNNNNNNNNNAAUAAUUGGUGCAAUACCGUGUGCUACUGUGCAACAACGCGUAUUACUGUGUUUUAACCACCGGGUAUUCCAACAGUAUUAACGGUAACAACUACGCCGUUAUUUAUAAACAACUUAUACUUGUCGUUUUCUUCAUCCAAUCCCUUUCUGUUAUGGGGCUCACACAAGGCUGCGCCGUCGUACGAAUAUUCCUCGACAAUAAAAAUAUUCCACGACCCAACGAAUAUUCCUCAACAACAAUGAAUAUUUUAUAACCACUUGCUUAUUUUGUAAAAUUUGCGCAUUUUACCCAUAACUAACCACAUUAAUCAAUUCAACCCUAACUAUUUCAAAAUAAUAAAUAAAGGAAAUUUCAUUUUUAUAAAAAAAAUUCGGGGUCUUACAUAUUAGGCAUGCGUUACAACUUACGGGACUCGAUUCUGACAUACGGAAGCCAAGUUAUCAGCCCGUAGGCAAAACUGACCAAUACUUAGGCAAAAAGUUGAAAAAGAGACCAAAACUAGCCUCGACCGUUGUAACGACAUGCAAACACAUACAUAGCAUCGCGUUGGUAUUAGGCACGCAUUACAACUUACGGGACUCGAUUCUGACUUACGAGAGCCGAGUUAUCAGCCCGUAGGCAAAACAGACCAACACUUAGGCAAAAAGUCAAAAAAGAGGCCAAAACCGGCCUCGACCGUUGUAACGAUAGGCAAACUCUUACAUAGCACCGUGUAGGUAUUAGGCAUGCGUUACAACUUACGGGACUCGAUUCCGACUUAUGGAGGCCGAGUUAUCAGCCCGUAGGCAAAACAGACCAACACUUAGGCAAAAAGUCAAAAAAGAGGCCAAAACCCGCCUUGGCCGUCAAAACGAUACGCAAACACAUACAUAGAACCACGUAGGUAUUAGCCAUGCGUUACAACUUAUGGGACUUGAUUCUGAUAUACGGAGGCCGAGUAAUCAACCCGUAGGCAAAACUAACCAAUAUUUAGGUAAAAAGUUAAAAAAAGAGGCCAAAACCCGCAUCGGCCGUUGUAAUGACACGAAAACACAUGUAUAGUACCGUGUAGGUAUUAAGCACACGUUAAAACUUACGGGACUCGAUUCCAACUUACAGAGGCCGAGUUAUCAGCCCGUAGGCAAAACUGACCAACAAGUAGGUAAAAAGUCAAAAAAAGAGGCCAAAACCCGCCUCGGUCGUCGUAACAACACGCAAACAUAUGCAUAGUACCGCAUAGGUAUUAGGCACGCGUUACAACUUACAGGACUCGAUUCCAACUUACGGAUGGCGAGUUAUCAGCCCGUAGCCAAAACUGACCAACACUUAGGCAAAAAGUCGAAAAAGAGGCCAAAACCCACCUCGGCCGUCGUAACAACACGCAAACACAUAUAUAGCACUGCGUAGGUAUUAGGCACACGUUACAACUUAUGAAACUAAUUUCCGACUUACGGAAGCCGAGUUAUCAGUCCGUAGGCAAAACUAAACAACAUUUAGGUAAAAAGUCAAAAAAGAGGCCAAAACCCGCCUCGGCCUUCGUAACGACAUGCAAACACAUAUAUAGCACCGCGUAGGUAUUAGGCACUCUUUACAACUUACGGGACUCGAUUCUGACUUACGGAGGCCGAGUUAUCAGCCCGUAGGCAAAACUCGCCAACACUUAUUCAAAAAGUCGAAAAAGAGGCCAAAACCCACCUCGACCGUCGUAACAACGCGCACACACAUACAUAGCACAACAUAGGUAUUAGGCACUUGUUACAACUUACGGGACUUGAUUCUAACUUACGGAGGCCGAAUUAUCAGCCCGUAUGUAAAAAUGACCAACACUUAGGCAAGAAGUAAAAAAGAGGCCAAAACUCACCUCGGUAGUCGUAAAGACACGCAAACAUGAACAUAGCACCGUGUAGGUAUUAGGCAAGGGUUAGAACUUAAGGGUCUCGAUUCUGACUUACAGAGGCCAAGUUAUCAGCCCGUAGGAAAAACUAACCAACACUUAGACAAAAUAUCGAAAAAGAGGCCAAAACCUGCGUCGGUCGUCGUAACAACACGCAAACAUGUGCAUAGAACCGCAUAGGUAUUAGGCACGCGUUACAACUUACGGGACUCGAUUCUGACUUACGGAGGCCGAAUUAUUAGCCCAUUGGCAAAACUGACCAACACUUAGGCAAAAAGUCAAAAAAGAGGCUAAAAUUAGCCUCGGUCGUCGUAAUGACACACAAACAUAUACAUAGCACCACGUAGGCAUUAGGCACGCGUUACAACUUACAGGACUAGAUUUCGACUUACGGAGGUCGAGUUAUCAGCCCGAAGUCAAAACUGACCAACACUUAGGCAAAAACUCAAAAAAAGGCCAAAACCCGCCUUGGCCGUCAUAACGACACGCAAAAACGUAUAUAGCACCGUGUAGGUAUUAGGCACGUGUUACAACUUACGGGACUCGAUUCCGAAUUAUAUAGGGCGAGUUAUCAGCCCGUACGCAAAACUGACCAACACUUAGGCAAAAAGUUAAAAAAGAGGCCGAAACCUGCCUCGACCGUCGUAACGAUACGCAAAGAAGUACAUAGCACCGCGUAGGUAUUAGGCAUGCGUUACAACUUACGGGACUCGAUUCCGACUUACGGAGGCCGAGUUAUCAGCCCGUAGGCAAAACUGACCAACACAUAGGCAAAAAUUCGAAAAAGAGGCCAAAACUCGUAUCGGCCAUCGUAACGACACGCAAACACAUACAUAGCAUCGCGUAGGUAUUAGGCACGCGUUAAAACUUACUGGACUCGAUUCCAACUUACGGAGGCCGAGUUAUCAGCUCGUAGACAAAACUGACCAACACUUAGGUGAAAAGUCAAAAAAGAGGCCAAAACCCGCCUUGGUCGUCGUAACGACACGCAAACACGUACAUAUCACUGUGUAGGUAUUAGGCACGCGUUACUACUUACGGGACUCGAUUCUGAUUUACCGAGGCCGAGUUAUAAGCCCGUAGGCAAAACUGACCAACACUUAAGCAAAAAGUUGAAAAAGAGGCCAAAACCCUCCUCAGCCGUUGUAAUGAGGCGGAAACUCGUACAUAGCAUCGCGUAGGUUUUAAGCACGCGUUACAACUUACGAAACUUGAUUCCGACUUACGGAGGCCGAGUUAUCAGCCUUUAGGCAAAACUGAUCAACACUUAGGUAAAAAGUCAAAAAAGAGACCAAAACCUGCCUCAGCCAUCGUAAUGAUACGCAAACACAUACAUAGCACCGCGUAGGUAUUAGGCAUACAUUAUAGCUUACGGGACUCGAUUUUGAAAUACGGAGGCCGAGUUAUCAGCCCGUAGGCAAAACUGACCAACACUUAGGCAAAAAGUCGAAAAAGAGGCCAAAACCAACCUCGGCCGUCGUAACAACACGCAAAGACAUACAUAGCACUGCAUGGGUAUUAGGCACGCGUUAUAACUUACGGGACUCAAUUCUGACUUACGGAGGCCGAGUUAUCAGCCCGUAAGCAAAACUGAACAACAUUUAGGUAAAAAGUCGAAAAAGGGGCGAAAACAUGCCUCGACCGUCGUAACGACAUAAAAACACAUACAUAGUACUACGUAUGUAUAAGGCCUGCGUUACAACUUACGGGACACGAUUCUGACAUACGUAGAUCGAGUUAUUAGCCCGUAUUCAAAAUUGACCAACACUUAGGUAAAAAGUUAAAAAAGAGGUCAAAUCCCGCAUCGGCCAUUGUAACGACACAUAAAUACAUGCAUAGCACCGCGUAGGUAUUAGGCAUGCAUUAUAACUUAUGGGACUCAAUUCCGACUUACGGGGGCCGAGUUAUCAGCCCGUAGGCAAAACUGACCAAUAUUUGGGAAAAAAGUCAAAAAAGAGGCCAAAACCCACCUCGACUGUUGUAACGUUAUGGAAACUCGUACAUAGCACCGCGUAGGUAUUAGGCACACGUUACAACUUAUGGGACUCGAUUCCAAUUUACGGAGGCCGAGUUAUCAGCCCGUAGGCAAAACUAACUAACACUUAGGUAAAAAGUUAAAAAAUAAGCCAAAACCCGUCUCGGCCAUCGUACUGAUACGUAAACACAUACAUAGCACCGCGUAGGUAUUAGGCAUGUGUUACAACUUACGGGACUCGAUUCCAACAUACGGAGGCCGAGUUAUCAGCCCGUAGGCAAAACUAACAAACACUUAGGCAAAAAGUCAAAAAAGAGGCUAAAACUCGCAUGGACCAUCGUAACGACAAGCAAACACAUACAUAUCAUCGCGUAGGUAUUAGGCACACAUUACAACUUACGGGACUCGAUUCCGACAGACGGAGGCCGAGUUAUCAACCCGUAGGCAAAACUGACCAACACUUAGGCAAAAAGUAGAAAAAGAUGCCAAAAUCCGCCUCGACCGUUGUAACGAUACAGAAACUAGUACAUAGCACCGCGUAGGUAUCAGGCACGCAUUACAACUUACGGGACUCGAUUUCGACUUACGGAGGCCAAGUUAUCAGCCUGUAGGCAAAACUAACUAACACUUAGGUAAAAAGUCAAAAAAGAAGCCGAAACCCGCCUCGGCCAUCGUAAUGAUACCCAAACACAUACAUUGCACUGCAUAGGUAUUAGACGUACGUUACAACUUACAGGACUCGAUUCCGACAUACGGAGGCCGAGUUAUCAGCCCGUAGGCAAAACUGACCAACACUUAGGCAAAAAGUCAAAAAAGAGGCCAAAACUCACCUCGGCUAUCGUAACAACACGCAAACACAUACAUAGCAUCGCGUAGGUAUUAGGCACGCAUUACAACUUACGGGACUCGAUUCUGACAGACGGAGGCCGAGUUAUCAGCCCGUAGGCAAAACUGAGCAACACUUAGGCAAAAAGUCAAAAAAGAGGCCAAAACUCUCCUCGGCUGUAGUAACGACACACAAACACAAAUAUAGCACCGCGUAAGUAUUAGGCACGUGUUACAACUUACAGGACUCGAUUCCGACUUACGGAGGCCAAGUUAUCAGCCCGUAGGCAAAACUGACCAACACUUAGGCAAAAAGUCAAAAAAGUUCCCAAAAACCCGUCUCGGGCGUCGUAAUAAGAUGCAAAGUAAUUCAUAGCACUGUGUCAGAAUUAGGCACGCGUUACAACUUACAGGACUCGAUUCUGACUUACGAAGGCCGAGUUAUUAGCCCAUUGGCAAAACUGACCAACACUUAGGCAAAAAGUCAAAAAAGAGGCCAAAAUUAGCCUCGGUCGUUGUAAUGACAUACAAACAUAUACAUAGCACCACGUAGACAUUAGGCACGCGUUACAACUUACGGGACUUAAUUUUGACUUACGGAGGCCGAGUUAUCAGCCCGUAGGCAAAACUGACCAACACUUGGGCAAAAACUCGAAAAAAGGCCAAAACCCGCCUUGGCCGUCAUAACGACACACAAACACGUAUAUAGCACUGCAAACACAUACAUAGCAUCGCAUAAGUAUUAGGCACGCGUUAAAACUUACGAGACUCGAUUCCAACUUACGGAGGCCGAGUUAUCAGUCAAUAGACAAAACUGACCAACACUUAGGUAAAAAGUCAAAAAAGAGACCAAAACCCGCCUCGGUCGUCGUAAUGACAUGCAAAAAUGUACAUAUCAUUGUGUAGGUAUUAGGCACGCGUUACUACUUACGGGACUCGAUUCUAAUUUACCGAGGCCGAGUUAUAAGCCCGUAGGCAAAACUCACCAACACUUAGGUAAAAAGUCGAAAAAGAGACCAAAACCCGCCUCAGGCGUUGUAAUGAGACGGAAACACGUACAUAGUACCGCGUAAGUUUUAGGCAUGCGUUACAACUUACGAAACUCGAUUUCGACUUACGGAGGCCAAGUUAUCAGCCUUUAGGCAAAACUGACCAACACUUAGGUAAAAAGUCAAAAAAGAGGUCAAAACCUGCAUCAGCCAUCGUAACGAUACGCAAACACAUACAUAGCACCACGUUGGUAUUAGGCAUACAUUACAACUUACGGGACUUGAUUUCGACAUACGGAGGCCGAGUUAUCAGCCCGUAGGCAAAACUAACCAACACUUAGGCAAAAAGUCGAAAAAGAGGCCAAAACUAACCUCGGCCGUCGUAACAACAUGCAAAGACAUACAUAGCACUGCAUGGGUAAUAGUUAUGCGUUAUAACUUACGGGACUCAAUUCUGACUCACGGAGGCUGAGUUAUCAGCCCGUAAGCAAAACUGAACAACAUUUAGGUAAAAAGUCAAAAAAGGGGCGAAAACAUGCUUCGACCAUCGUAACGACAUAAAAACACAUAAAUAGUACUGUGUAUGUAUAAGGCCUGCGUUACAACUUACGGGACUCGAUUCUGACAUACGUAGACCGAGUUAUUAGCCCGUAUUUAAAAUUGACCAACACUUAGGUAAAAAGUUAAAAAAGAGGCCAAAACUCGCAUCGGCCAUUGUAACGACACGCAAAUCAAAGAGUUGAUCUCCAUGCUUUUUGGUAAGUGUUACAUGGUUAUUGUGUUGCACUCUUUUUGUAAUUAUUUUGUGGAUGCACUAAUCUUGUAAUUAUUAUCUAAUUGUUGUAUAGUAGUGUAAAGAACUCUUUAUUAAACUUUAGAAUUUAAUAUGAAAUAAUCAAUUACUCCCUCCGUCCCAUAGUUAUAGGCUGAUUUCUUUUGGCACAUAGUUUAAGAAAAUCAGUUUAAGUGACAAUUUUAAAAAGAAAAUUUCAACAUAUACCCCUUAAUAUAGAAUUAAUAAAUAAGUUAAUUACUCUUUACUUAUCACACUGAAACUCUCAACUUAAUUGAUUAGCGUGUAUUGACCAUUAAAGUCCUUAACCAUAUAACUUUAACCAAAGAUGGAGUUUUUACUUUCAACCAAUUGUCUUUUAUACACAAAAUAUGUUAAACUAGUAAAGCCUAAAAAGUUGAAUUCUUUUAUUGAGAAUACAUCAACAUUAAAUAUGGUGAUAAAAAUAAUGACGCUGAAUGUUGUUUCUUCAAAAAAAAGUAAUGGUUGAAUAUUUAUUAUAAGGGCAUAAAAGUAAAACAAUGAACCAACUAAAUUUUAUAAAUAAUAAGUAGCCUAUAUAUUGGGACAUCCCAAAAUGAAAAAUCACCCUAUAACUAUGGGACAGAAGGAGUAUUUAUAUUCAAAAUUUUAGAAACAAUUUAAACAUGUAAGAAAUCGAACUAGUCGAACCAAUCUCGAACUUAUCGAACUGAACUCGAACUUAUCGAGUCAAUCUUGAACUUAUCGAACCGAACUCGAACUUAUCGAACCGAACCACAUGGUUCGCGAACAUGUUCGAUCGAGCAAUCGAACGUAACACUAUGUGCGAACUCGACUCGACUAGGCGAGCAACUCGAACUCGAACCGAACUGGUUCGCGAACGUUUGCAGCCCUACAAUAAUAUACUACAUACCUGAAGGUUAUACAAGGCAAUUUUAACUAAACUGCUGAAAGAUGAUACAAUCCAUAUCGCAAAACUUUUUGGUUCUCACUAUUUUAUCAAAUCAACUAGAUAAUAGCUCAUAAUUGACAUGAACAUAUAAUGAAGAAAUUGACACUUCAAACCAAAGAUAACAGCUUUGUGACGACCAGUUUCAUCAAAUGAUUCAUCUCCAGAUGAAACAGUCACAUUAUACAGAAAGCUUAGUAAUUGAUAACAUCGGUAGAAUGUCUAAAAGAGAAACUGGCAUGGAUAGAGCCCUCAAGAGAACAUAACAUCAAAACUUAAGAUAUUUUAGUUGUCUGCUAUAUGCUCAACAUAUGAACCAGAAAGUCCAGAAGUCCCAAGAACUGUGACCUGCAAUUGAAUGAACAAACAAUUUCAAAGAAUUAGACCAUUUAAUGUAGUCAUUCGAAGAAAGCAGGNNNNNNNNNNNNNNNNNNNNNNNNNNNNNNNNNNNNNNNNNNNNNNNNNNNNNNNNNNNNNNNNNNNNNNNNNNNNNNNNNNNNNNNNNNNNNNNNNNNNNNNNNNNNNNNNNNNNNNNNNNNNNNNNNNNNNNNNNNNNNNNNNNNNNNNNNNNNNNNNNNNNNNNNNNNNNNNNNNNNNNNNNNNNNNNNNNNNNNNNNNNNNNNNNNNNNNNNNNNNNNNNNNNNNNNNNNNNNNNNNNNNNNNNNNNNNNNNNNNNNNNNNNNNNNNNNNNNNNNNNNNNNNNNNNNNNNNNNNNNNNNNNNNNNNNNNNNNNNNNNNNNNNNNNNNNNNNNNNNNNNNNNNNNNNNNNNNNNNNNNNNNNNNNNNNNNNNNNNNNNNNNNNNNNNNNNNNNNNNNNNNNNNNNNNNNNNNNNNNNNNNNNNNNNNNNNNNNNNNNNNNNNNNNNNNNNNNNNNNNAGGAUAAAGAAGAGCAAGUACUCUCACAUAUUAAUGCUGGUGAGAAACAUGAAUCGGAAGUUAAGUGUGUUGAAAAACUUGCAGAUUCAGAGAUGAUUUGCGGUGAGAAAAUUGAAGUUAAGUUUGACCCAAAAUGCAAAAACAUCAAGGAAGAUAAAUUUGAGGUCAACAAUAUUGAUUUUCUCUUUCCCGUUGAUAUAGUUGAGUUCCCAACUACUUCAAAUUUCUAUAUUAUGUCAUUGUUAUUCCCAAAAAUUGUGCUAAUGACAUUAAAACAUCGGAUGCAAAUGUUUUGUUGGAAGAAAUCUCUCGGGCCGUGGUUUAUUAUUCUACGAUAUUUCAACUCGAGGACGAGUUUUUUUCUAAGGCGAGGAGAAUGAUGAAGUACGGAAGAAGAAAUUCAAUAAGUUUGUUAUUAAUUUUUUAUUUUUAUUUAGAGAUAAAUGUGUUAUUAAUUAAAUUAUUUAGUAGGAUAUUAUAGUAAUAGUUUUUCAUUAGGAGAGUUUUAAUUGUAGUAGUAGAUUUCAAUUAGGAGAGUAUUAUAGUAGUAGAUUUUAGUUAGAAGAUUGUUUCCUUUCUAAAUUAGAGUUUUUACUUAAUCCCCAAGUAUUGUGUUUUGUAUUUAAGUAUUGUAAUACUUCAUUAUUUUGGGAUAUUAUUGAAUAUAUUGAUUUGAGAUAAAAACUGUGUGCUUUUGUGUGUGUUUCUUUACCGAUUCUCUGCGGGAGAUAGGUACUCUUAUUCCUUCUUCCUACCCCAUCCUACAUCAUGUCUACUUAAGAGUGCCAUACACAAAUCUUAAUAUUUGCAAGGAAAAGUCAACAAAAGUAGGACUCUCUUCUCUAGAUGGAGGAAGUGAUCCGUAUUUCGUUUUCAUAUCAGUCUUUUUUAAUAUUUUGCUCCUAUUUUCUUUUAGCAUCUCUAUGGCCAGUGCUAGUAAUACCAUCUUAGCCUUUUAACUGUCUGCAACACACUUAUGUGCAGUAAACAAGCAAUGAACCAACACAAUGAGAAACAUGGAUGAUAACAAAUUGCUAGGUCCAAAUUUUGUAUGCUAUCUAUCUGCCUAUAUAAAAGUGUUUACAAGAAAAAAGCACAUAUUUUUAUACCUUUCCCCAUUCAGAACCAAGACCACCACAUCUCAUUUUCAAAUGUAUCAUCCUCGUUCCCAGUUCAUUCUCUACUUUCUUUCGCAAAAAGGUCUCAUCAGGUCCAAAUGCUUCCAGAUAUGCAGUGUAACGUUCAAAAGCAGUGUUUAAUGCUUUAACAAAUUCAUAUGGUAAAGGUCUGACAUUCUGCAGAAAUAUUCACAUGAGUAUACAGCAUGAAUCCGAGAAACAGUAAAUAAAUAAGUGUCACCAAUAACAAUGUUUUUAUGUAACCUCGCCACUCAAUCCAAGGUUGUCAUCAAUUUCCAUCCUCAAAGAUACAAGUUUUCCCGUAAAUUCC